Molecule: long non-coding RNA, 297868 nt
Filed under: Triticum aestivum (bread wheat)
Lineage: Eukaryota; Viridiplantae; Streptophyta; Magnoliopsida; Poales; Poaceae
Description: long non-coding RNA (TAES_LNC008548)
Rfam family: MIR1120/MIR1122 microRNA precursor family (bases 224598-224712)
Source: RNAcentral
CCCUAUGUUUCAUUAGAAAGGAAAAACAGGUCACUGUCGAACAGUGGCGGAGCUUAGUACAACUCUGAGGGGCCCCAGCCCAAAAUUUACUAUGCAUGGCUUAGAUUUGGAUAAAAUCAAAUCUUUUUUCUCCUAGUUGUUCAUAUUUUCGCUUUGCCCACCCCCUCACGAGAUUAUUGUCAAGCUCCGCCACUGCUGUCGAAUAACCCAAAGUUCCAGGACAUCAGCACCCACUCGACAAACAACUGUGGACGUUCUACUCGCCAAUGAUUCAACAACAUAUUAGCAGAAAAGACACAUCUGUGCUGACAAGAUUUAAGAUUCCAGCGCGAUGAAAUUACAAGACGAGACAGACUCUGUGGUCGGAAAUUUGUAUACAGCUGAAAGCCUGAAACUGCAGCAACAUCUAGGGCGCAAAGCUUGACUGUUGGUGUGUCUAACUAAAAUGAACAAGGGUAUGAACCAGUACACACGAGGUAAUGAAGGGGGCAGCUUUGUCUCUAGAGGUCUUUCACCUGACCGUAGGAUAGCCGUCGCCCGUUGAGGAUUGCAGUGGUUGAAGCUUCUUCAGUUUCGUCGGACUUGAAUUUCCACUCUGAAAAUGAACCACCAUACCUGCAUCUCUGACUUUCUUGUGGGCGCAAAUGAGAUUGUGAGAACGACAACCACAACUAUGCUCAAGGACAGCCAGUAAUGUAUUUCCCAACACACCCUGAACUUGCUUUUACAGAUUAUUAUUACAUUUCCUCUACUGACCUACUAGUAGACAUCAUCAACUCAACUAGUAAUAAUGUAUUUCCCAGCUCCUGAAUCACUGCUAUGAUUACCACGCCAUCCAAGUGCAGUAUCAGGAUCAGUCAUGCAAACCAUACCUGCUAGUUUACUGAAACUUAAAUUAUCAGGGAACUCAUGAACCAUCCCCACUUGCUUGCAUACUGCAGGUCAGGCUUCCCUAGAAAAUGGUAUAUGGUAUUGUAGGUAAUAGGUAAUGGAAGCCUUUCAUUCAAAGCUUCCUAUACACUCACUUCCCUCUGGGAACGCAAGUAAAACACUGACCUUGUACAGCUAGGAAUCAGCAAGUUCCUGAAGGAGUCUGACUGACUACAAAUUACACCUUCCCAGAAUUUUCAUAGCAAAGGAUGCAUUCCAAAACAUGCCACCACAUUGUGUGACGAUUCGGUAUUCAACUAGACAGCCUGUGCAACUUCUACUCACUUCAUUCACUGCUACUCAAUGUAAAAUAUUAGGAGACCAUGACAGUUCUAAUGCAAACGAUACAGAGGAGCUGCAGUCCCCUCCACAUUUUCUCAUCCGGGUCGGCAAAGGCAGUGUUAAACUACUCCUACUUAAACACAAAAAACAGCAAACACUACAAACAAUUAUAUUGAGCUAAGCACACAAGCCACGCAAUCAACCAAAGGCGGCAUUGACAUGGCACACGAUUGGCAAUAAAUAUUCAUGCCAUGCGGAACAAACAAAGAAUGCCAUAAAUUCCAGAACCUGAAUGAGAGUGAGCGUGAUUCAAAUCUUGCACAGAGAAAGCUUUCGUAGCAUUACAGCGAAACAGAAUGGUGGCAUGUGUAUAAGUUUUGAGUUAAUCGGCAGGAAUCAUCAAAUUAGUAUUUUUGCUAGUUGCCAACUAAAUUAAAACUAGGAAGUUCCCAGAGAACUGAGAAUAUGUAAUUGAAGAUUUGAGAAUAUGUAAUUAAGAUUUCACAAUUCACAUCAAAUUAGCAGUUUGUCAUGAAGAGAUCAUAGUAGCCAUUAGAGGACCGUAAGAUGUGGGAGCACUUUGUGUUUUUAAAUCCAGGAUGAAUAAAAUACUAAACAAACUGCCAUAUGUUGAAAGUACUUGACAGGAAUAGGGUUGAACAAAAUCCAGAUCCCACUGGAGAAGCACCAGCGAGAAGAACACCACUUCUGAAAAUCUACUCCAUACCAACAAACCAGAAUCAUAUUCAGUGGAGUUGACACUAAUCAAAGACAUGCCUAUUCAGGGCAAAAUAUUCGUUCAAGCUUCCAGUUCAGAUCCUUCAGCUCUCAUUGUUUUAGUAUAUAGCAACAGGAGGUCACUACUAUUAAACCAACACAAGUGGGUGGUAGGAUCUUUCUUGUAUCAUUAUAGUUAAAAAUAUGGGCACACCAAAAUUUGAUUUUCUGUCAUAAGUGCACUCAUGGACAAUAGUAUGUAUAGAAUAGUAAACCCACAAAUCCAAGUGUAAUCAAUUCAUAUAUGUAUGAACAUUUUUACUGCAUUCAGAGCUCACGUACAUGCGAUCUUUACUUCCUAUUAUAGGUGAUAAAUUUGCAAGUUGAAAGAUACAAGCAGCCAAAUAUCAAAAUCCAACUUCCUGAAACAGUAUUUCCAUUUUGAUAAUCUGCUAUACAAACUGAGUACCAACUGAUAUUUCCAUUUUGGACCCUUGUUUGAGACUUCUAGCAUUUUCUUGAUUCAAGCGAAAGAUGAGAUCAUAUUCCAUCCAAACCAGUAGGAUGGCACAACAGAAACCAAAGUAAGAUGCUUCAGGACAGUCGAAAGAAUCAGACGUGCACACUACCAACUCAAAGCUGCACCAAAUAUACGAGGCCCCUGAAUGCAAGUUCAAACUGAAAACUACCACAAAGACCAAAUCAUUAUGCUUCAGGAUCAGUAAUCAGAGGUCAAAACCAUCAGGGAAGUCCAUCUUGCAAUAAAACCUCCAACAAUGCAAAUCAAUGAACAACCCAAAUAUAAUCAGCAUACUUAAAGUUUCUUCAAGGAAAGUCAGACCAUAGUGAAAUCUGGUAAUCAGUUGAAACAAGCAUGGAGUCCAGGUGUAAGUUUUUGUGGUUGAAGAAGAUUCCGAACGAAGAUCCCAAACAGCCAUCAGACGAACAUAAAUCGAAGAACUUAAUGUAUAUUCACUCAAAUCUGACGUCGCCAAGCACAGAUGAGGAAUCCAGUAAACCAAUGCGACCAAACAUGGGAAACUGACCUGCCUCGAGUCCCCUUCACCAUACGUUCACAACCCACAUGGAGCUUUACUUCCACACCAGAUCGAGAUCUAGUCCUGCAAGCCAAAUUGUAGAGGAGGCGACAACAGAUGAAAUCCAUGUACAGAGCAAAGGUUUGGGCCCAAACUCCUAAUAACAAUUAUAUCUUGCCAACCCACACACGCAUAAGAAGAAAACACAGGGAUCAAGAGUACAGAUAACAAGCAUGGAGAGCUAGUCAUUGGCAACAUGGCCUGGGCUAAAUAAAAAUCUGUAACCAUAGGAAGGGCAGGGGAAAAAACCUAUAUCAGAGAGAUGCCCAAGUAACUAAAUGAAAUUAGAAAAAAUAGGAUCGUAUGAGUCUUUUUCGGUUGGAGGAUGUGCCAUUAGUUGAAAGCUCUGGAUUAUCCUCAUAUUCGUGCUGCAUAUGAAUCUGUAUUUAAAAUAGUGUCUAGUAAGAUAAUCAAUAGGUUAUGUAAGUUACAAUGAAUUGAAACGAUACUAGUAGAUUUAGAAGAUCAGCAGACGGAUUCAUCAUCAAGCUGAACAUGAGUUCGUCAACUACAACCUGCAGCAAGCAAUAAAAAAAAAUUUAGGGGCAAAUGCUGCUUAUAAAUAGCUAAAGCACGGACGAAAAGAUGAGUGGGAACAAGCAGGUAUGGAUGAUGGAGGACAACAACGCCGGUUCCAAACUGCAGUUAUAUCCUUUCCAAGUCAGUAUCUGCAAGAGCUGAGAAUUACUAAGGCAAAGAAACCCUAAUGUCUAUAGAGUUCAAUUAUAGAGUAAAAAAGUUUUAGCCACGGAAGGAACCGCCACACCGAGGCAAAAUAGGACCGCCUUCUAAAAACAGAUAGUUUAAAUCAGAAAACUGUGAGAAACCAAAACAGAUCAGUGAAGACGAAAGAGUAAAACAGAGGGAGUGAUAAUUAUCCAAACACAGAGCAUCAAGAUGCGUCGCUCCUGCUAAGCCAUAGCCACCGACAUAUCCAAUUAUAUCCUGCACAUAGGCCCAGACUUCCUAAAUAUAUCCUGCAACUGAUACGUGCAGAAGACCAGCACAGGGAUCAAGAGUACAAACAACAAACGAUCCACACACACAGAGAGAGAGAGAUCGCAAACCAAACAAUUUUAACAGAUUCCGACUCACUACCAGCAUGGUUUGGGCUUAAUCUGCAACCAAAGGGAGGGUAGAAGGAAAAACCUAAAUCAAAGACAUGAACAAGUAACUACGUGAAACAAAAAUAGGAGGUGAGUUAAAACUGGAGGAGUCUUUUUCAUUGUAGGAUGUUCCAUUAGUUUGAAUCUCCAUUGUUGAACCUUGGCAGAUAAAUCUGAAUUCAAAAUAUUGUCUGGUAAGAUAAUUUUAAAGGCUGUCUAAGUUCUGAUGAAUUGAGAAAAUAAUAGAAUUAGAAGAACUGCAAACAGAUUCAAGUCAGCAUCAGGUUGGAAGAGUCAUCAACUACGACCUGCAACGAGGGAGAUACCUUUCUACAAGUUACAAGAGGAAAACUAGGCUCAGCUAAAGCAUGCAUCAAAUGUUGAGGUAAAGGGUAAGUAAGCCUGUCUCGGCCGGAGUCGGGUAGACAACACUGGUUCCAAUUAUUUCGCUCCCAAGUCAGCAUCUGCAAGAGCUGCGAAUUACCAACCAAGGCAAAGAAACUAACAUUUGGAAGUUCAAUUAUCAAGGGAGGAUAAAAGGUCAGAUAUGUUGGGCCACAGAAAGAACCUCCAUGCCGAGGAAAAAUAGGACCACCCGCUAAUCCAUAUAAUUCCAAUUUCUGGAGAACCAGCAAAUAUUCUAAAUCAGAAUUGUCGGGCAACUAAUUGAGCUACGGAGAAGAAAUUAAACAGAGAGAGUAAUGAUCAUUCAAGUGCAGGUCAGCAAGAAGAUAGGUCGCUCCCGCUAAGCCAUAUAAUCCCAAUUUCUGGACAACCAGCAACAAAUCCGAAUCAGAAUUGUCGGAGACUAAAAUUGAAUUGAGGAGAAGGAAUUAAAUAGAGGGGUUCGUAAUCAUUCAAAUGCAGAUCAGCAAGAAGAUAGGUUGCUCCUGCUAAACCUUACUAAGCCCAAUUUCUGAAAACAAAUAUAGAUCAGAACUGCCAAGACUAACUUGUACUGUGCAAACCAAAUAAAUUGAAUCGGGGCAGAAUUCAUUAUCCAAACGCUGAUAGCAAGUUCCAGGUUCCAAAGCUACAUUAUCCAACCAAUCAAAAUGAUGAACAGAAACCAAAUCUCCACCAAUUAACCUCAAUUUCUGGAAAACCACAAACGAAUACAGAUCAGAACUACCAAGGGCUAAAUUGUACUGUGCGAACCAAAUAAAUUGAAUUGGGACGGAAUAUAUAUUAUCCAAACGCAGAUCACAAGUUCCAGGUUGGUAAGAGAUCCAAAGCUUCAUUAUCCAAUCAAUCAAAGAACUACUACACUCCUGCAUCUGCUGCAAGCAAAGGAGCACAAACACACACCAACAGCGCGAUCAGCUGCUGCAAUAAGAAUCCAACAGGACCUCUAAUCCACCUCAUAUUAGCUGAUGAUGAAGAAACACGUGAUGAGAACCAGAAGACCACACGGGCGAUAGCCAUUCAAACCUGACCUGCUCAAAUCCCCUUCAACAUACAACACCACAGGAUCUCCACGUUCCAGAUCCAAUCCUGAAACCAAUGUGUGGAGGAACACAACUAAACCAAACAAACCGUUGAUAGAACACUGACCUGACUCACUGUACAGAGAUUUACCCAUAAGCCCAAACUUCCUAAAUAUGUCCUGCAGUGGACAGGAUAAGAGUACAGAUAACGAAUUGAACCGCUUUGAGAUAUAUUGCAAACCAACCGAUUUUAACAGAUUUCGACUCACUACCAAGUACCAACAUGCUCUGGGCUAAAAUAAAUCUGCAAUGCAAGCCUAAAUCAAAGGCAUGAACCAAGUAGUUUGGUGAAAUAAAAAUAAGAGGCAAGAGUUAUAAAUGGAGCAGAGUCUUUUUCUGUUGUAGGAUGUGCCAUUAGUUUGAAGCUCCAUUCUUGCACCUUUGCAGAUGAAUCUGAAUUCAAAAUAUUGCCUGGUGAGAGAUCUUAAAGGUUAUCCAAUUAAUAAUGAAUCGAAGGUUAUCCAAUUAAUAAUGAAUUGAUUAGAUUUAGAAAAAAUGCAAGCAGAUUCAACUCAGCAUCAGUAUAGACUUUGCGUUUGUCAAAACUGCAACUCGUCAAACCUGAAACGAGCAAGGUACUUCUCUGUAAAUUAGGGGGAAACUAAGCUCAGCUAAAGCAUGCUUCAAAUGAGGAGGAGGUAAAAGUUAUAAGAAAGUCUUGUCUGGGAAAGCCAGGUAGACAGCACCGGUUCCAUCCAAGAUGAUGUCUGCAAGAGCUGAGAAUUGACAAACUAAGGCAAAGAAAACUUGUCUGGUGUGUUUUAAUAAUUAUAUUAUUGAGUAAGAAAUAUUUUGAGCCACAGAAAAAGAACCGCCAUGCCAGGGAAAAUAGGACCACCCGUUCAGCCGUAUAAUUCCAAUUUUCUGGAGUAGGAGCAAGAAAUCGAAAUCAGAAUUCUGUGGAGGCUAAUUGAACUGUGGAGAAAAGAAAAUGAACAGAGAGGGGAUGAUCAUCCAAACACAGGUGAGGAAGAAUGACAAGUCGCUCCCAGUAAGCCGUACAAUCCCAAUUUCUGGACAAGCAUGAACAAAUCUAAUUCAGAACAGACUAAAAUUGAACCGUGUAGAUGAAGGGAUUAAGUAGAGGGGGGUAAUUAAUCAUCCAAACGCAGAUGUUGCCCCCGCUAUGCCGUGUAAUCCAAUUUAUAAUUUCUGGAGAAGCAAAGAAUUCAGAUCAGAAUUGCAUGCCGUUGACUACUGUGCAGACCAAGAAACUAAAGUUGGGAGGGUUCAGGUUGGUAAGAGAUCCUAGGCUUCAUCACCCGAGAAGAUCAGACCAUAUCAGGGUAACCGCUGGUCCGUAGCCAAUCAGAAUAACCUCUGAACCUUAACCAACCAUCAAUCAAUCAGAAUAACCAUGAAAAGAAACCAAACCUCCAGAUCUGAAGAACUAGCGCGCCCUCUGGAUUCCUCUGCAUCUAGGUUGAGAGCACAAGACAUACCAAAACCGAGAUCAGCCGGUACAAUUAUAAGAAUAUUAUACGAGGGCCUCGAAUUAAUCCACCUCGUACCAACGGAUGACACGGAGUAAACCAGAGCGGUCGGGGAACCAGAAGAUGACGCGGGCCAUAUCCAUUUGAAAUCUGGAAUCACGGAUGAGCGCAGAGGAAGCGGUGUGAACGAGCACGGGAAUCUGACCAACGCGCGCGGAUGCGAACACGAAUACGAGGAACACGGGAUCCACAGUUGUAAACAGAACCGUACACACGAAACAGAAUCUGAGAUAGACUCGCAAACCAAAUGAAUGAAUCCCCCGAUCGAUCGCUUCCCGGGAUCGCACGGAGGCGGAGGAGACGAGACGGGUCGAAUCCAAGGCAACGGCGACGGCGAGUGAAAUCAAAUCAAACGCGAUUCGGAACGAAUCGGGAAUUGGUGGAGGAGACGCGAGGACGCGAGGAGGCGACUCGGGCGAUCGAGGGCGGAGGCGCGGCCGGAACGAAAGCUCCAGAGGAGAAGAGAGGAGGCCGGAGCGCGGGGUGGAGGGGGCGCACCUGGGGCGCCUUUUCUAGCCGGCGCAGAGGCGGUGCGGGAGGCCUGGCGCCAACCGGUUCCUUACCGGACCGGACACGGCUUCGCCUCGCAAGGAAGGGAUUAAUCAGGCUUUCUGGUCACAGGUGGGCGGCGGAAAUCAAACGGGAGUGGACCUGGUGAGACCGGACUUGGUUUGGUUUGGUUCGGUUCGGGUGGGGCGGCUGGCGGGUCGGCAAAGCAUCGGGUUGGGACGUGGGCCGCACCGACGGAACGCGAAAUUUCUAGGCUGCUCGCUGCUCGGGGUUGCAGACGGGCCAUGUGAUGUGAGAUGCCGUGUGUGGCUGCCGUUGAUUGCUGACCGUGUCCGUGAGCGCGAGCCACGAUGAACGCGUGGAUGGAUGAGAACCUGGAACAGGCCGUGCGCUGGGGGAGGAUCGCUGCCCUGGUCUUAACGCUCGCGUCCACCACCUUGCUUGGAUGCCCGAAAUCACUAGUUAAGGCCCACUCCAGCGCUAGACCCCGUUUUAUCCGCCGAAGGCAGUUUGAAUAAAAACGGAUGCAUGCAACGACCUAGCGCGCAGAAGAAUACCCAUAUUUUAUCCGGUCCGUGUCCGUUCUGCCUCAUCUUCACACUAAACUUGAGCUGGAUUUGGGACCAAAGCGGACAGAAAACAAACAAGUCUGUGGCCUCCUCGUCCGCUCCUGUCCGGCCCGGGCUCAUUUGUCAACCUCUUUGCACCCUACCUAUCCCGCUUUUGUCUCUCUCCUCUCGCUCGUGCCCCCUCUUGCGCCUGGAUCCCUUUGCCUAACCGAUAACCAUCGCCGUCGGGGAGCGGCGGCGGGCGCAGUGGCGCGACGCCGAACUGGAAGGGGAAGACGCAGAUGGAGCGGCUGGUGGUGAGUGACGCGCCCACGCCCCGCGGCGACGGGAGCAGCGGAGGUGCGGCUAGGAGCGCAACAGCCGGAUGCCGGCGUGCAUGUGGACCGGCUCCCUCUUGGGCCGCCGCCCCGCCAGCGCAUGCGCGUGCAUGGACGACGACGCGGCCGCCACCCCGGCAAUGUUCGGCACCAUGGCACCAUGGCACGACGAGUAAUUGACAAAAAAUUACCACAUUUCACGUAAUCGUCCCACAGAACUACCACAUUUUGAAAACUGACCAAAAACUCAAGUUUAGCGCUGAUUUUGUGACAAAAACUACCAGAUCGAGUUGAUGACAUAUUGAAGUGUUUUAAACGGCUUUCUGACAUAUCCGGCCCACCGGCCAGGACGGAGGCCGCGCUAACGGCUAACGGCGCUCGCCUGCCACCCGUUAGCCGCGCGCGUCGGUCGGGCCCGGUCGGACCAGGACUAGCCUGGCCGACCGGCUAGCUCGUCGUCCUCCCACCUCACUCUCCCCCGAGCUCACUGUCCUAGCCCUAGCCGUCUUCGUUCACGGCGGCGGAUCCAAACUCUGGCGCCAAAUCGCUUGGAGGAGCGCCCCUCGAUGUGCUAGGCGGCGGGGAUGCCGUCUUCGUUGAGGUUGAUAACUGGCUAGGCAGCAGUAGCUUUGCGGUCGAAAACCAAUCACAACCUCAAUCUCAGCCGUCCCAAACGAUUGUGAGGCGGCCUGUAGCAACAACGUCGAAGAGAAGAAGCGCAGGUCGAGGCCGGUGCAAGCUUCCUUGUCCUGCUGGUGGCGCGAGGUAUGACAACAGAUCUAUAAUUGUUUUUCUGAAAUGAUUUGUUUUGUUAGGAAUCACGAUAUAUAGGCUAGUUGCAUAGUUAGAUUUACAUUAGAACCAUGUUUGAGCACAACGGGAAUUGAAAUCUGUUGGGAACAUUAACAUUUUGUUUUGCUGUGACUGAAUCCAACAUGUCAGAAAAUAGAAAAUUUGAACUGUCAAACACUAAAUAUUGUGCAGAACAUUUAAUUACAAAUUUUCCAAUUUGUGGUGCAGUAUUGAUGACCCAAAGUGAGAAAUUUGAUGACCCAAAGUGGGAAAUUUGAUGACCCAAAGUGGGAAAUUUCUUAGCCAGAGAAUCUGUGGUUAGAGGAAUUUACCAGUUAGACAUAUCAUUUUUGACUAUGGUUUCUCUUAUUCGGAGUGAGGGCUAUGGAGCUGAUGAUUAUAUGUACUAUGUUCUCAAUGAGGAGAAAGGAAUAGAAGGUAUGGAGCAUCUUGGUUCUGAACAUGAUGUGCAGCAGAUGUUGAUCCACUUUGAGAAGGAAAAGAGUGUGAACAUACGAGUUGUCAGGGCAGAUGAGCAAUGUAAUGCAGAUGAAAAUAGAGAUAGUUAUUUUGCUGAACAUUGCAUUAACACUCAACAAAGUUGCACAAAGUUGGUGGAUGCAAUCAGUGACAGAAAGGAUGAGCUUAAGCAAAGUAGUCUGCAGAUGAAAGCUGACUUUAACCAUUUUGAAGGUGACACUAAUGUGUCUGAAUUUCUUUCUAAUGAUGCGUAGUCAGGUUUAGAUGACAACAAUGUGCAAUUACAUCCAGGUUCCCCCUCUGAAGAAGAAGCUGCAGAAGUAGAUACAUCAGUGGUCAAGAAACUUAAGCCAGUCAGAAACCCCUGGUCCAACCAUUAGAUCCCACCAAGAGGUUGAGAAAGAGGUAAAACCAGACUGGUUUCCUAAAGCAGAUGAAUUUUGUUUUCCUGGUGAUGUUGGCAUUAGUGAUGAAGAAGAAGAGCCUGAAGGAGCUUUCAAACUAGCAAGUGGCAGGAAGAGAGUGUUGAAGAAGUCAAAGGAUAGAGUAUGGUUCAAUGAGAAGCUUCCAGAUCCACAUGAACAGUUUUGUAAGGGAUUGUGCUUCACCACUGUUUAUGAGUUCAGAGAUGCACUUAGGGAUUUUCACAUCAGGACUCUGAGGAAUUUCCAGUAUCACAGAAAUACCCCUAAUAGGAUUAUUGUUUGGUGCUCAGAGAGAGCCCAUGGAUGUGAUUUUCAUAUCAGUGCAUCUAAGAUAGCUCAUGAAAAAACGUAUGCAUCAAGAAGUGUGAUAUGUUGCAUAAUUGUGGAGCAUGUGUAGAGACCACAAAGGUUACUACAAAGUGGUUGUCCAAAUUAGUACAACCAGCAUUGAGAUAAGACAUUAGAUCUCCUAUGGAUGCAUUAAUAAAGAAGACUAAGACUAAAUUCUCAGUUGAUGUUUCAAGAAGUGUUGCAUAUUGUUGGGGAACAUAGUAAUUUCAAAAAAAAUCCUACGCACACGCAAGAUCAUGGUGAUGCAUAGCAACGAGAGGGGGAGUGUAUCUUCAUACCCUUGAAGAUCGCUAAGCAGAAGCGUUUAACAACGCGGUUGAUGUAGUCAUACACCUUCACGAUCCGUCCCGAUCAAGUACCGAACGUACGGCACCUCCGUGUUCAGCACACGUUCAGCUCGAUAACGUCCUCACCUUCUUGAUCCAGCAAGACGGGCGAAGUAGUAGAUGAGUUCCGGCAGCAUGACGGUGUGGUGACGGUGUUGUUGAAGAACAAUCUUCGCAGGGCUUCGCCUAAGCACUACAAAAACUAUGACAGAGGAUAAACUAGAUGGGACGAGGUUGCCGGCACACGGCUUGGUGUUUCUUGAUGUGUCUUUGGUGCUAGCCCUUCCCCUCUAUUUAUAUGUUGAGCCUUGGGGUCGAAACUUGGAGUAAAAGCCUCCACAAAAUCGGUUUCACCCAAAGGCAAGAGUCCUUCUCGGACUCCAGGGCCAGACGCCUGGGACCUUGGCGUCUGGCCCCUGGACUAUGCAAAACUUCCUUUUACGCUUUCCAAAAACCUUGUGGGCUUUCCACUUUGGCCCAAAUAAAGUGUUCUCGCACCUAAACAUUUCGGGAAACAUCAGGAACCCCUUCCGGUGAAUUCUGGAACCCUUUCGGAGACCAAACACUAUUAUCCCAUAUAUCAAUCUUUAUCUCCGGACCAUUCCGGAAUUUCUCAUCACGUUCGUGAUCAUAUCCGGGACUCCGAACAACAUUCGGUCACCAACAUACAUAACUCAUAUAAUACUAUAUCGUCAACGACCAUUAAGCGUGCGGACCCUACGGGUUCGAGAACUAUGUAGACAUGACCGAGACACCUCUCUGGUCAAUAACCAAUAGCGGAACCUAGAUGCCCAUAUUGGAUCCUACAUAUUCUACGAAGAUCUUUAUCGGUCGAACCGCAUAACAACAUACGUUGUUCCCUUUGUCAUCGGUAUGUUACUUGCCCGAGAUUCGAUCGUCGGUAUCUCAAUACCUAGUUCAAUCUCGUUACCGGCAAGUCUCUUUACUCAUUCCGUAAUACAUCAUCCCGCAACUAACUCAUUAGUCACAUUGCUUGCAAGGCUUAUAGUGAUGUGCAUUACCGAGAGGGCCCAGAGAUACCUCUCCGAUAAUCAAAGUGACAAAUCCUAAUCUUGAUCUAUGCCAACUCAACAAGUACCAUCGGAGACACCUGUAGAGCACCUUUAUAAUCACCCAGUUACGUUGUGAUGUUUGGUAGCACACAAAGUGUUCCUCCGGUAUUUGGGAGUUGCAUAAUCUCAUAGUCAUAGGAACAUGUAUAAGUCAUGAAGAAAGCAAUAGCAACAUACUGAACGAUCAAGUGCUAAUUAAGCUAACGGAAUGGGUCAAGUCAAUCACAUCAUUCUCUAAUGAUGUGAUCUCGUUAAUCAAAUGACAUCUCAUGUCUAUGGCUAGGAAACUUAACCAUCUUUGAUUCAAUGAGCUAGUCAAGUAGAGGUAUACUAGUGACAUUCUAUUUGUCUAUAUAUUCACACAUGCACUAAGUUUCCGGUUAAUACAAUUCUAGCAUGAAUAAUAAGCAUUCAUCAUGAUAUAAGAAAAUAUAAAUAACAACUUUAUUAUUGCCUCUAGGGCAUAUUUCCUUCAGUCUCCCACUUGCACUAGAGUCAAUAAUCUAGAUUACACGGUAAUGAUUCUAACACCCAUGGAGUCUUGGUGCUGAUCAUGUUUUACUCGUGAGAGAGGCUUAGUCAACGGGUCUACAACAUUCAGAUUCGUAUGUAUCUUGCAAAUCUCUAUGUCUCCCUCCUUGACUUGAUCGCAGAUGGAAUUGAAGCGUCUCUUGAUGUGCUUGGUUCUCUUGUGAAAUCUGGAUUCCUUUGCCAAGGCAAUUGCACCAGUAUUGUCACAAAAGAUUUUCAUUGGACCUGAUGCACUAGGUAUGACACCUAGAUCGGAUAUGAACUCCUUCAUCCAGACUCCUUCAUUUGCUGCUUUCGAAUCAGCUAUGUAUUCCGCUUCACAUGUAGAUCCCGCCACGACGCUUUGCUUAGAACUGCACCAACUGAUAGCUCCACCGUUCGAUAUAAAUACGUAUCUGGUUUGUGACUUAGAGUCAUCUAGAUCAGUGUCAAAGCUUGCAUCGACGUAACCAUUUACGACGAGCUCUUUGUCACCUCCAUAAAUGAGAAACAUAUCCUUAGUCCUUUUUAGGUAUUUCAGGAUGUUCUUGACCGUUGUCCAGUGAUCCACUCCUGGAUUACUUUGGUACCUCCUUGCUAAACUAAUAGCAAGGCACACAUCUGGUCUGGUAUACAGCAUUGCAUGCAUGAUAGAGCCUAUGGCUGAAGCAUAGGGAACACCUUUCAUUUUCUCUCUAUCUUCUGCAGUGGUCGGGCAUUGAGUCUGACUCAACUUCACACCUUGUAAUACAGGCAAGAACCCUUUCUUUGCUUGAUCCAUUUUGAACUUCUUCAAAACUUUAUCAAGGUAUGUACUUUGUGAAAGUCCAAUCAAGCGUCUUGAUCUAUCUCUAUAGAUCUUGAUGCCCAAUAUAUAAGCAGCUUCACCGAGGUAUUUCAUUGAAAAAAUCUUAUUCAAGUAUCCUUUUAUGCUAUCCCGAAACUCUAUAUCAUUUCCAAUCAACAAUAUGCCAUCCACAUAUAAUAUUAGAAAUGCUACAGAGCUCACACUCACUUUCUUGUAAAUACAUGCUUCUCCAAAAGUCUAUAUAAAACCAUAUGCUUUGAUCACACUAUCAAAACGUUUAUUCCAACUCCGAGAUGCUUGCACCAGUCCAUAGAUGGAUCACUGGAGCUUGCACACUUUGUUAGCAUCCUUUGGAUCGAUAAAACCUUCAGGUUGCAUCAUAUACAACUCUUCUUCCAAAAAUCCAUUCAGGAAUGCAGUCUUUACAUCGAUUUGCCAAAUUUCAUAAUCAUAAAAUGCAGCAAUUGCUAACAUGAUUUGGAUGGACUUAAGCAUCGCUACGGGUGAGAAAGUCUCAUCGUAGUCAACUCCUUGAACUUGUCGAAAACCUUUCGCAACAAGUCGAGCUUUGUAGACAGUAAUAUUACCGUCAGCGUCAGUCUUCUUCUUGAAGAUCCAUUUAUUCUCGAUGGCUUGCCAAUCAUCGGGCAAGUCAACCAAAGUCCACACUUUGUUCUCAUACAUGGAUCCUAUCUCAGAUUUCAUGGCCUUAAGCCAUUUCGUAGAAUCUGGGCUCAUCAUUGCUUCCUCAUAGUUCAUAGGUUCGUCAUGGUCAAGUAACAUGACCUCCAGAAUAGGAUUAUCGUACCACUCUGGUGCGGAUCUUACUCUGGUUGACCUACGAGGUUCGGUAGUAACUUGAUCUGAAGUUUCAUGAUCAUCAUCAUUAGCUUCCUCACUAAUUGGUGUAGGAGUCACAGGAACAGAUUUCUGUGAUGAACUACUUUCCAAUAAGGGAGUAGGUAUAGUUACCUCAUCAAGUUCUACUUUCCUCCCACUCACUUCUUUCGAGAGAAACUCCUUCUCUGGAAAGGAUCCAUUCUUAGCAACAAAUGUCUUGCCUUCGGAUUUGUGAUAGAAGGUGUACCCAAAAGUUUCCUUUGGGUAUCCUAUGAAGACACAUUUCUCUGAUUUAGGUUCGAGCUUAUCAGGUUGAAGCUUUUUCACAUAAGCAUCGCAGCCCCAAACUUUAAGAAACGACAACUUUGGUUUCUUGCCAAACCGUAGUUCAUAAGGCGUCGUCUCAACGGAUUUAGAUGGUGCCCAAUUUAACGUGAAUGCAACCGUCUCUAAAGCAUAACCUCAAAACGAUAGCGGUAAAUCAGUAAGAGACAUCAUAGAUCGCACCAUAUCUAAUAAAGUGUGGUUACGACGUUCGGACACACCAUUACACUGUGGUGUUCCAGGUGGCGUGAGUUCCGAAACUAUUACGCAUUGUUUCAAAUGAAGACCAAACUUGUAAAUCAAAUAUUCUCCUCCACGAUCAGAUCGUAGAAACUUUAUUUUCUUGUUAUGAUGAUUUUCUACUUCACUCUGAAAUUCUUUGAACUUUUCAAAUGUUUCAGACUUAUGUUUCAUUAAGUAGAUAUAUCCAUAUCUGCUUAAAUCAUCUGUGAAGGUGAGAAAAUAACGAUACCCGCCGCGAGCCUCAAUAUUCAUCGGACCACAUACAUCAGUAUGUAUGAUUUCCAAAAAAUCUGUUGCUCGCUCCAUUGUUCCGGAGAACGGAGUUUUAGCCAUCUUGCCCAUGAGGCAUGGUUCGCAAGUACCAAGUGAUUCAUAAUCAAGUGAUUCCAAAAGUCCAUCGGAAUGGAGUUUCUUCAUGCACUUUACACCAAUAUGACCCAGAUGGCAGUGCCACAAAUAAGUUGCACUAUCAUUAUCAACUCUGCAUCUUUUGGCUUCAAUAUUAUGAAUAUGUGUAUCACUACUAUCGAGAUUCAAUAAAAAUAGACCAUUCUUCAAGGGUGCAUGACCAUAAAAGAUCUUACUCAUAUAAAUAGAACAACCAUUAUUCUAAGAUUUAAAUGAAUAACCGUCUUGCGUCAAACAAGAUCCAGAUAUAAUGUUCAUGCUCAACGCUGCCACUAAAUAACAAUUAUUCACGUCUAAAACUAAUCCUGAAGGUAGAUGUAUAGGUAGUGUGCCGACCGCGAUCACAUCGACUUUGGAACCAUUUCCCACGCGCAUCGUCACUUCGUCCUUAGCCAAUCUUCGCUUAAUCCGUAGUCCCUGUUUUGAGUUGCAAAUAUUAGCAUCAGAACCAGUAUCAAAUACCCAGGCACUACUGCGAGCAUUAGUAAGGUACACAUCAAUAACAUGUAUAUCACAUAUACCUUUGUUCACCUUGCCAUCCUUCUUAUCCACCAAAUACUUGGGGCAGUUCUGCUUCCGGUGACCAGUCCCUUUGCAGUAGAAGCACUCAAUGUCAGGCUUAGGUCCAGACUUGGGCUUCUUCACUUGAGCAGCAACUUGCUUGCCGUUCUUCUUGAAGUUCCCCUUUUCCUUUAACCUUUUUCUUGAAACUGGUGGUCAUGUUAACCAUCAACACUUGAUGCUCCUUUUUGAUUUCUACCUCCGCAGCCUUUAGCAUCACUGUCGGUGUCAAAACCGGCGGAUCUCGGGUAGGGGGUCCCGAACUGUGCGUCUAGGCGGAUGGUAACAGGAGACAAGGGACACGAUGUUUUUACCCAGGUUCGGGCCCUCUCGAUGGAGGUAAAACCCUACUCCUGCUUGAUUAAUAUUGAUGAUAUGGGUAGUACAAGAGUAGAUCUACCACGAGAUCAGAGAGGCUAAACCCUAGAAGCUAGCCUAUGGUAUGAUUGUUGUUCGUCCUACAGACUAAAACCCGCCGGUUUAUAUAGACACCAGAGAGGGUUAGGGUUACACAGAGUUGGUUACAAUGGGAGGAGAUCUACAUAUCCGUAUCGCCAAGCUUGCCUUCCACGCCAAGGAAAGUCCCAUCUGGACACGGGACGAAGUCUUCAAUCUUGUAUCUUCAUAGUCUAGGAGUCCGGCCAAAGGUCAUAGUCCGGCUAUCCGGACACCCCCUAAUCCGGGACUCCCUCAGUAGCCCCCGAACCGGGCUUCAAUGACGAUGAGUCCGGCGUGUAGAUUUAUCUUCGACAUUGCAAGGCGGGUUCUUCUCCAAACUCCAUAUACCUGUUGAAUAGUGUCCGACUUCUGAUGAAUGUCGCACUCCUUGGCUUCUGCGCCCAAUAAUGGCCAUCUUCCACGUGUCAAGCGAAUGCGAAAAGCCAGGGUGUUUUUUCAUUUACCCCCUAGCUGCGCAAAUGAGCCGCCUAUAAAAGAGACGGGGAUUUAGAUCCGAAUCACAUAAUCUUCCCUCCGCGAGCAUUCAUCGGAGUGCAUUCGACAGAGAUCCAUUCCAUCAUGGCCAGUCGACGCAGCUCCUCCUCUCGCCCCCAGCCCUCAGCCUGGAGAUUGGGAGAGAUGCUCUGUCCCGCACAGCAAGCUAGUGGCGCUCCAAACCAAGGGGUUUCUCCCCCAGCCUACAUGGUCCUGAUUCGAGCCGGGCUUGCCACCUAUAAUGGUGGAGAGCAAGCGGAGAGCGUCCCCAAUCCCUCCAAAGGAGAGCGGGUAUGCCUUGUCCCUUAUUUGAUAAGAGGGCUCGGAUUUCCAAUUCAUCCGUUUCUCUGGGGGCUCCUGGAGUUCUACGGCCUCCAGUUGCACAACCUUACGCCCGCCUCCAUAUUGCAUAUUGCGGGCUUCAUAGCCCUUUGCGAGCUGUUUCUGGGCGUCAAGGAUCAUUUCGCGCCAUGGAAGAAACUGUUCUGCCUUGUGCCCCGUUCACAGGAGGGGUCGAUAUAUCAAGUGGGCGGAGCCGAACUAUGGCGCAUCACCGGGACUGGAUAUCUAUUCGGAACCCCAAAGAAGGCGUCCGAAGACUGGCCCUCAGAAUGGUUUUAUAUAGAAGAUGCCCCCCUGCCGGAUCCUGUUCGGAUCAGCCUCCCUGAGUUUAAUAAUGCUCCUUUGAAGAAGCGCCUAAGCUGGCGUCCACGGAGCCCUCAGAAGGAAAAUGAUAGGGACGUCCUUUACCUGAUGAGCCGGAUAAGGUUGUUAGCUCAUUCCAGACUGACCAUGAUCGAGGUCAUGGCCACAUGCAUUAUGCGGGGGGUGCAACCGCUUCAGUAUAGAGGCCACCCCAUGUGGGAUUUCAACGGGGAGGACGACGCCACCCGGUGCGGCCGUAAGGGGCCGGAGUCAGUUGCCGCUCUAAUAAAGAUCUUGUCCACUUUGUACAAGGGAGAAGGGGAGGAAUUUCUCCGUGUCAACCCACGGGGCGGAUUCUCCAUGUACAAUCCUCCAAGUUGGGUAAGCGAGCACUUUCACUCGUCCAUCCGUUUCAUAUUCCCAUAGUUAAGUAUUCAGCCUAGCAAUUUCAAUGCAAGAGCUACGCCAGGCUGUAAAGGAGAUAAACAACCCUCCUCCACAACCUGAGGACCCGGAACGGUCCUUCGACCCGGACUCCCAAGAGGACCCGGACUUAGCUGUGGAGCUGAUCGAUGGGGUGUUUCAUCAAUUGAGCAAGGACAACACCUUGGUGGCCAUUACGGCCAAUUAUCCCAGACUACUUCCAGCCUCACAAGUAACCAAGACCGAAGUCCCCGUACUUUUAAAAUGAUCUACCCGUGCUUAUUUUUGACCACCAUAUACCAAUGGCGUUUUUGCGGGGGAAGUCCUUGAGGCAGAGGGCCGAGCCUGCGGUGGCUAGCCAACAAGGGGUGUCAAGGCCCGGCAGGCUUAAAAGAAGUGCGAUCCGGAUUGAGACACCGGUGCAGCGGUAUGGCGCGCGAUUUUAUUCCCAGGUUUUAUUCCCUCAAGGUAUACUAACGCUCGUGCUCUCUUCAGGAAGAAGAGCGCUCGCCGGACUAUAUCCAGAGAGGUUGCCAAUCGCACCUCCACCGGCCAGGCUCCAAGGCCGGGUCCGGAAGCGGAGACGAACAUGAGGCGCGCACCGGGCGCUCCUCUGACAGAGGAUGCGGACGGGCUGUCUGCUGCCAAUUCCGAGGUGGAAAGUGCCAUGAACCACAGGCGUCACCGGACAGUUCUUCGUGACACUUGUUUCUCCCAGGAGGCAUUGGAUACCUUUAAUAUGGGAGAUGCGUACCUCCGUGCCACUCAAAAUGGUCUAGCCAGAGCCACAUAGCAGUAUGUAAAAGACAUACGGGUGAGAAAAUUUGAUGGUUAUAUAUGUCAGUAGCCCCCGAGACUUGAAACAGUUAGAAUAACUGAUUGAAGGAUCAUUUGUUAUGCAGGAUCUUACAGAAAAGAAUACCCAACUGUCCCAGGAGCUGGAAGAGUGCAAAGCCCAACUUGAGGCUGCACUAGCCGCGGUGGGGGAGACCAAGGAGACUCCCUCUGGUAAUAUAUGCUUCGAAAGAUAAGUAUGUUGUGAAGGGCGGCAUGUGUGCGAAUCUGACAAUAACAUUGCAGAUGGUGCCGGAGUGGAUCCGGACAAGCAACAACUCUUGCGCCGGUUAAAGGCCAGCGAGAACGUGCUUACGAGGGUGAGGCAAGAGAAGAAUAAGCUCCAAGAUGCCAACACCCAGCUGGGCGAGGAACUAAAGGAUGUUCGUGCUCAGCUGUCGGACUCCGUGAAGGAGAAUCGGCGGCUUCGACGCGACAUUUUUAGUAAGUGCUUGAACGAACUUCGAAAAAGAGUUCGGCGAGGAACUCGAUUGACAGAGUUAUGUCUGUAGGUAUGCUGACAGGUCAGCCUGCCGAGGAAAUGCCCGGUUCUACGGGUGACCUUCUUCCCGAGCUCUUACAACUGCACGAACGAGUUCAGCAGGUAAUGCAAGGCAUCGUCCAGGCCCUAUGGCCAUCCGUCUCCAUGCCCGAAGGCCUUGGAGAGCUUGCAGAGAAGCUAAAGGGAGUGCGGCGGCGCUUUCGAUUAUGGAAGAUAUCAGCCUGCCGUCAAGGCGCUAGGGAGGCCUGGGCCAUGGUGAAGACGUGGUACACGAAGGCCAACCCAAACCACAUGGCCGAGGUCAGACCUAUGGGGCCCGAUGGGAAGGAGAUCCCUGUGAGUUUAGUGUACGGCCAGGUAGAGUUGGCCGCCAAAUAUUCCCAACAGGACUGUAAACUAGACAGCCUGUUGGAUGGUAUUGAAGAGGAAUAUACCCAGUCAAAUUGACUAUGUAAUUUAAAAUGACAUAUAAAAUGCCUUCUAGCCGGAUUGUAGAUCGUUUGUCAUGGCGGACCUUUUCGCUUCAACCUCGGGACCCAAUAGUCUGGAGUGUGUCCGAAUACCCUCUCGGUUAUGUAAGAACCGGGGCAUGCGUGGAGACCAGGCGUAGGGGUCAUUAGUGCUUGAACAGACAAGUGCCCAACUAGUUAUGUUAUAUUACAUGGUUAGUAAGAAACAUCUUCCAGGGAGAAUAGUUCCGUUAGGGGUUCCUUUCCCUGGGGAGGCAUGCCCUAAAGUGCAUGUACGGACUGCAAAAAGAGCAGAAAAGCAUCUGGGGGCAGAUAGAUAAACGAGUGGGAAAUCAUCUUUAGUUCACCGACCGAAUAUUCCCUUAAGAACGCUAGAUUUCGGCUUCACCCAGUCUGAGGUACACAUCCGGCUGACCCGGCAGUAACAAUCGCAGAGGUGCUCCCUUUACCGCCUAGCCGAACAAUCGGGAACGUAGGGGUAAGCACAGGAGCCAGGCAAGCCUGCUUGGCCAAAACUUAAGUCAUAUUGAUGCAUAUAAUGGUGAGAAAAAAGGUACAUGCAGAAGUGUGACACAUGUGUUGGGCAUGAAGCCCUAUAUAAACAAGCUUCUGUUAAAGAAGCCCCCAGGUAUGAUGAGCGCGGGUAGCGCGUCAAUUUGUGUGCGAACAAGGCGCGAACGAGCCCUUAAAGGCUGUAAGAGAAAAGGAGGGAGAAGUAGAGAAAUGUAAGACAGCUAAUGUAUAAUAAAUGGACAGAGGAAAAAGACGAACACAGAGUCCGGUGCUAGGCAUAGAAUCUCCGGAGACGGGCUGCGUUCCAUGGGUUCGGCUCGAGUCGGUUAUGCGAUGCAUCACGCAGACGGUACGCUCCACCAGUGAGGACUUGGUCAAUAAUGAAGGGACCUUCCCAUUUGGGCUUGAGUUUGUCCUUUUUCUUGUCCGGCAGGCGUAGAACUAACUCGCCAACAUUGUAAGUUUUGGCCCGUACUUCCCUGCUUUGAUAUCUUCGAGCCUGCUGUUGAUAGAAUGCUGAAGGUGCUUUUGCCACGUCACUCUCCUCCUCCAAGGCGUCCAAACUGUCCUGCCGAUCGAGUUCGGCUUCUCUUUCUUCGUACAUGCGCACGCGAGGUGAGUCAUGAAUUAUGUCGCAGGGCAGAACUACCUCUGCACCGUAUACCAUAAAGAAUGUUGUCAAUCCGGUUGUGCGAUUUGGAGUGGUCCGUAGCCUCCAGAGUACGGAGUCGAGCUCCUCUACCCAGUGCGUGUUAGAUUCCUUGAGGGACCGCACUAAUCUGGGUUUGAUGCCGCUCAUUAUUAGACCAUUUGCUCGCUCGACUUGACCGUUAGUUUGUGGGUGAUAGACUGAAGCGUAGUCGAGCUUGAUGCCCAUGUUUUUGCACCAGAGUUUGACCUCGUCGGCCAUAAAGUUCGUGCCGUUAUCAGUGAUGAUGUUGUGGGGGAUGUCGUAACAGUGUACGACCCCUGAUAUCAAGUCUAUCACUGGUCCGGAUUCGGCCGUCUUAAUAGGCUUGGCCUCUAUCCAUUUGGUGAAUUUGUCCACCAUGACAAGUAGGUAUUUUUGCUUGUGGGUUCCUCCUUUAAGGGGUCCAACCAUGUCAAGCCCCCAGACCGCGAAGGGCCAGGUGAUGGGUAUAGUUUGGAGGGCGGUAGGUGGCAUAUGGCUUUGGUUAGCAAAGAGUUGGUAACCGACGCAUCAUUGGACUAAGUCCUGAGCAUAUGCCCGGGCCGUCGGCCAAUAAAAUCCUGUACGGAAGGCCUUGCUAACAAGGGCCCGGGCUGCGGCGUGGUGCCCAUCGAGUCCGGCAUGAAUUUCAGCCAGAAGAUUCCGCCCCUCCUCUUCAGAGAUACACCUUUGAAGGACUCCGGUAGUGCUUUUCUUAUAAAGCUCCCCUUCAUGGACUUUAUAGGCUUUAGAUCGCUGCACUAUGCAGCGUGCCUCGUUUUGGUCCUCGGGAAGUUCCUGCCUAGUUAGAUAGGCUAGGAAUGGUUGUCCACAGGGCAAUGACUGCCAUUAUUACGUGGGCUGAGGAUGUUACUUCGUUGGCAUAGCCUCCCGCUGUGUCAGAAUGUUCGGUGUUGGGCGGUGCGGUUGGGUCCGGGCUGUUAUUUCAGGAUUCCCCUUCCCAUGAUACGGAUGGCUUGAAUAGCCUCUCCAAGAAAAUGUUGGGGGGGGGGCUGCAUCGUGCUUUGCGCCGAUGCAUGCCAAUAUGUCUGCUGCCUGAUUGUUUUCCCGUGCUAUAUGGUGAAAUUCGAGCCCCUCGAACCGAGCUGACAUUUUUAGGAGGCGUUGCGAUAAGCUGCCAUUUUCGGAUCCUUGGCAUCAAAGUCUCCAUUUAUUUGGGAUAUCGCAAGGUUCUAAUCCCCACGCACCUCUAGGCGUUGGAUGUCUAUGGAGACUGCUAUCCGGAGACCAUGUAGAAGGGCCUCGUAUUCGGCUGCGUUGUUAGAGUCUGUAUACAUUAUCUGGAGUACAUAUUGAACUGUAUCUCCUGUUGGGGACGUCAGAACGAUGCCAACCCCCAGACCCGCUAACAUUUUGGAGCCGUCGAAGUGCAUGAUCCAGUUGGAAUAUGUGCCAUACUCUUUAGGGAGUUCGGCUUCAGUCCAUUCGGCGACAAAGUUGGCCAAAACUUGCGACUUGAUAGCCCGCCGUGGCUUAUAGGUUAUGUCGAACGAGAGGAGCUCAAUGGCCCAUUUGGCAAUCCAGCCCGUCGUGUCGCGGUUGUUUAUAAUAUCGUUAAGUGGUACUUCGGAGGCUACUGUUAUCGAGCACUCUUGAAAGUAGUGUCGUAGCUUCCGGGAUGCCAUAAACACCGUGUACACUAUCUUUUGAUAAUGCGGGUACCGUGACUUGCAUGGAGUGAGGACAGUGGACACGUAGUAAACUGGUUUUUGAAUGGGGAAUUUGUGUCCGUCCGCUUCUCGUUCGACGACGAGCACUGCGCUUACAACUUGAUGGGUUGCCGCAAUGUAUAAUAGCAUUGGUUCGCCGAUGUUAGGCGCGGCCAAGACCGGGUUUGUUGCCAAUAUGGCUUUUAUUUCUUCUAGUCCCGCCAUGGCAGCAUUCGUCCACUCAAAGUGUUCGGUGCGCCGGAGGAGGCGAUAAAGGGGUAAUGCCUUUUCUCCCAAGCGGGAGAUGAAGCGGCUUAGAGCCGCCACACAUCCAGUCAAUUUUUGUAUUUGUUUGAGGUCCUUUGGAAUAUCCAAUUGUGACAGAGCUUAGAUCUUGGCUGGGUUUGCUUCAAUUCCUCUACCGGAUACAAUGAAGCCCAAGAGCUUUCCGGCUGGUACGCCAAAACACAUUUUUCCGGGUUGAGCUUAAUGUCAUAUGUUUGGAGGUUAUCAAAUGUGAUCCUUAAGUCGUCUACUAGAGUUUCGACAUGCUUGGUUUUGACGACCACGUCGUCUACGUAUGCUUCUACUGUUUUGCCGAUCUGGUUUGCCAGACAUGUCUGAAUCAUGCGCUGAUAUGUUGCGCCGGUGUUUUUGAGCCCCAAGGGCAUUGUGUUGAAGCAGAAUGGGCCAUAUGGGGUGAUGAAUGCCAUUGCGGCUUGGUCUGGCUCUGCCAUCUUAAUUUGAUGGUAGCCGGAGUAUGCGUCAAGGAAACAAAAUGAAUCGUGUCCUGCGGUAGCAUCGAUAAUUUGCUCGAUGCGAGGGAGGGGGAAGGGAUCCUUUGGGCAAGCCUUGUUGAGGUCCUUGAAAUCGACACAGUGGCGCCAGGAUUUGUCCUUCUUUGGUACCAUUACCAGGUUUGCUAGCCAGUCCGGAUGUUUUAUAUCUCUGAUGAAUCUGGCCUCCAGUAGUUUGGCUAGCUCCUCUCCCAUGGCUUGUUUCUUAGGUUCAGAGAAACGCCGGAGAGCCUGCUUGACAGGCUUGAAUCCUUUUAGGAUGUUUAGGCUGUGUUCGGCCAGCCUGCGUGGGAUUCCUGCAUGUCUGAAGGGUGCCAGGCAAAGAUGUCCCAAUUUUCGCGUAGGAAUUCUCAUACUGCGGCGUCUACAUCAGGGUUUAAGUACGCCCCGAUGGAGGCCGUUUUUGUAGGGUCCAUUGGAUGGACUUGGAAUUUGACUAUUUCGUCCGCCGGUUUAAAGGAGGUGGACUUGGAUCUUUUAUCGAGUAUCACGUCGUCCCUGUUCACCGUGGAGCGUAGCGCAGUCAGUUCUUCGGUCGCUAGGGCUUCGGAUAGUGCCUCAAGGGCCAGUGCGGCUGUCUUGUUUUCGGCGCGGAGUGCUAUGUCCGGGUCACUAGCAAGAGUGAUAAUUCCGUUGGGUCCGGGCAUUUUGAGUUUCCGUAAUGGGUAUAGCUUGAAAAAUUGUGAAUGCCUCUCGUCCUAAUAGAGCGUGGUACCCGCUGCUGAACGGGGCCACUUGAAACGUGACCUCCUCGGACCUGUAAUUAUCCGGCGUGCCGAACACCACAUCCAGUGUGAUUUUUCCCGUACAACACGCUUCCCGACUGGGGAUUAUUCCUCUAAAGGUUGUGUUGCUUCGCUCAAUACGGCUCCAGUCUAUUUCCAUUUUUUGAAGGGUUUCCUCAUAAAUGAGGUUCAAUCCGCUGCCACCGUCCAUGAGUACCUUGGUAAGGCGAAAGCCAUCCACUAUUGGACUGAGGACCAAUGCGGCUGGUGCUCGGGCUGUUCGGAAUUUAGGUUCAUCACUGGCAUUAAAGGUAAUAGCCGUGUCACUCCAUGGGUUUAUUGUUGCUACUUGGUAGACUUCGGCAAGGCUGCGGAGUGUUCGUUUCCGCAUAUUAUUUGAUGCGAAAGUCUCGAAGACUGUUAAUACCGUACUGGUAUCCCUGGGCUGGUGCUCUGUGAAUUCUGGAGUUAGAAGCUCCUCGCCACUCCUGGCCACCUGCCGGAGUAUCCAACAUGCUCUAAGGCUAUGAGUUGGUGUGGCACCCUCUAUACUAUGAAUUUUAUAGGGUCCAUUGAGCCAUCCCUCCAGUAUGGUUCCAUGCCCUAUAGACGGUUUUUGCUUUUUGGUGUUUAACCCAGGUGCCUGGUGAUAAUGCACCCUUUCAUUUCGGACUGUGGUUGUAUUCAGGGCCGUAUUGUCCCAAAAUUUUAUUUCGGUUUUCCAGGCACUUUCCAUCGCACAGUACUUUCGUACUAUGGAUGCCAAGUCGGCGAAGCGUGUAAUUUCACGGCGACUUAUGGCGUUGAGGAUUCCGUUGUCCGUGCAAUUAUUGCAGAAGAACGGAAUUGCAUCCUCCUCGCGGCAGUCCUUUAUCCUGUUCAUAACCAGGAGGGAUCUGGCCCAGUAAUGGUGUACUGUUUCUGCGGCCUCUUGCCGAAUUUGGGAUAGAUCCCUUAUAUUUGGGUGGGCGGGUGGAAUCAAAUCCGGAACCUCGCCCAAUCUGAGACUCGGGGGCCAAGGAGUUUCCGAACUCGGAAGCUCGGGUUCUUGGAUGUUGUCCAAUGAAUCUAGCCCGCUGCCUGACUUUAGGUUUAGUGCUUGAGUGACGUCCUCCCCUCCGUGGGUAUCCGGCUUGGAGGGGUCGGGAAUCCGGACAUAACUAGUCCUUAAGAUAGGUGAAGACUUACCGCAUUGUUCCUCCACCAUUGCGACGUGGUGGGUGACCUGGGGAGAGUUAAUCUCUCUCGGAUCGGGUUUAAGCCCAAUCUGAUCGUAGUCUGCAGCGACUCCCAGGGCAGCGAUGUGAUCCAAGAGCUCGUUUACGGAAGAGAGAUCCAUCGGAUCUAACUACUCGGCGAGUUCCGAGUUGACGUGGAGAUUGCUUUUGAUGACCCGAGAAGUCAUCGUCGGCGCGGCGGCCGAACAGGCGGUCAUAAGAAAACCGCCUAGCCGGAGAGUUUGGCCGAUAGCCAAAGCUCCUUUAGCGACAGCGCCGUCUUUAAAGACGGGAUGAGGCAUCCUUCCUGAUGGCGACAGCACAGCGGAACUCUCAAUGAAAGCACCAAUGUCGGUGUCAAAACCGGCGGAUCUCGGGUAGGGGGUCCCAAACUGUGCGUCUAGGCGGAUGGUAACAAGAGACAAGGGACACGAUGUUUUUACCCAGGUUCGGGCCCUCUCUAUGGAGGUAAAACCCUACUCCAGCUUGAUUAAUAUUGAUGAUAUGGGUACUACAAGAGUAGAUCUACCACGAGAUCAGAGAGGCUAAACCCUAGAAGCUAGCCUAUGGUAUGAUUGUUUUUCGUCCUACGGAUUAAAACCCUCUGGUUUAUAUAGACACCGGAGAGGGUUAGGGUUACACAGAGUCGGUUACAAUGGGAGGAGAUCUACAUAUCCGUAUCGCCAAGCUUGCCAUCCACGCCAAGGAAAGUCCCAUCCGGACACGGGACGAAGUCUUCAAUCUUGUAUCUUCAUAGUCCAGGAGCCCGCCAAAGGUCAUAGUCCGGCUAUCCGGACACCCCCUAAUCCGUGACUCCCUCAAUCGCGAAGAGCUCGGGAAUUGUCUUGUUCAUCCCUUGCAUAUUAUAGUUCAUCACGAAGCUCUUGUAGCUUGGUGAUAGUGAUUGAAGAAUUCUGUCAACGACACUAUCAUCCGGAAGAUUAACUCCCAAUUGAAUCAAGUGAUUGUUAUACCCAGACAUUUUGAGUAUAUGCUCACUGACAGAACUAUUCUCCUCCAUCUUGCAGCUGUAGAACUUAUUGGAGACUUCAUAUCUCUCAAUCCGGGCAUUUGCUUGAAAUAUUAACUUCAACUCAUAGAACAUCUCACAUGCUCCAUAAUGUUCAAAACGUCGUUGAAGUCCCGGUUCUAAGCCGUAAAGCAUGGCACACUGAACUAUCGAGUAGUCAUCAGCUUUGCUCUGCCAAAUGUUCACAACGUCCGGCGUUGCUCCUGCAGUGGGUCUUGCACCUAGUGGUGCUUCCAGGAUGCAACUCUUCUGUGCAGCAAUGAGGAUAAUCCUCAAGUUAUGGACCCAGCCCGUGUAGUUGCUACCAUCAUCUUUCAACUUAGCUUAAUCUAGGAACGCAUUAAAAUUCAACGGAACAACAACACGGGCCAUCUAUCUACAACAACAUAGACAUGCAAAAUACUAUCAGGUACUAAGUUCAUGAUAAAUUAAAGUUCAAUUAAUCAAAUUACUUAAGAACUCCCACUUAGAUAGACAUCCCUCUAAUCAUCUAAGUGAUCAUGUGAUCCAUAUCAACUAAACCAUGUCCGAUCAUCACGUGAGAUGGAGUAGUUUUCAAUGGUGAACAUCACUAUGUUGAUCAUAUCUACUAUAUGAUUUACGCUCGGCCUUUCGGUCUCAGUGUUCCGAGGCCAUAUCUGCAUAUGCUAGGCUCGUCAAGUUUAACCCGAGUAUUAUGCGUGUGCAAAACUGGCUUGCACCAGUUGUAUGUGAACGUAGAGCUUAUCACACCCGAUCAUCACAUGGUGUCUCGGCACGACGAACAUUCGCAACGGUGCAUACUCAUGGAGAACACUUAUACCUUGAAAUUUAGUGAGAGAUCAUCUUAUAAUGCUACCGUCGAUCUAAGCAAAAUAAGAUGCAUAAAGGAUAAACAUCACAUGCAAUCAAUAUAAGUGAUAUGAUAUGGCCAUCAUCAUCUUGUGCCUUUGAUCUCCAUCUCCAAAGCACCGUCAUGAUCACCAUCGUCACCGGCACGACACCUUGAUCUACAUCGUAGCAUCGUUGUCGUCUCGCCAACUAUUGCUUCUACGACUAUCGCUACCGCUUAGUGAUACAUACAAUAAAGCGACAACCAUAUGGCUCCUGCCAGUUGCCGAUAACUUUGUUACAAAACAUGAUCAUCUCAUACAAUAAAAUUUAGCAUCAUGUCUUUGACCAUAUCACAUCACAACAUGCCCUGCAAAAACAAUUUAGACGUCCUCUACUUUGUUGUUGCAAGUUUUAUGUGGUUGCUACGGGCUAAGCAAGAAGCGUUCUUACAUACGCAUCAAAACCACAACGAUAUUUCGUCAAGUUAGUGUUGUUUUAACCUUCAACAAGGACCGGGCGUAGCCACACUCGAUUCAACUAAAGUUGGAGAAACUGACACCCGCCAGCCACCUAUGUGCGAAGCACGUCGGUAGAACCAGUCUCGCGUAAGCGUACGCGUAAUGUCGGUCCUGGCCGCUUCAUCCAACAAUACUGUCAAAUCAAAGUAAGACAUGCUGGUAAGCAAUAUGACUUGUAUCGCCCACAACUCACUUGUGUUCUACUCGUGCAUAUAACAUUUAUGCAUAAACCUGGCUCGGAUGCCACUGUUGGGGAACGUAGUAAUUUCAAAAAAAUUCCUACGCACAUGCAAGAUCAUGGUGAUGCAUAGCAACGAGAGGGGGAGUGUAUCUUCAUACCCUUGAAGAUCACUAAGCGGAAGCAUUUAUACAAUGAGGUUGAUGUAGUCAUACACCUUCACGAUCCGCCCCGAUCAAGUAGCGAACCUACGACACCUUCGCGUUCAGCACACGUUGAGCUCAAUGACGUCCUCGCCUUCUUGAUCCAGCAAGACGGGCGAAGUAGUAGAUGAGUUCUAGCAGCACAACGGCGUGGUGACGGUGUUGGUGAACAACAAUCUCCACAGGGCUUUGCCUAAGAACUACAAAAACUAUGACGGAGGAUAAACUAGAGGGGACGGUGUUUCCGGCACACGGCUUGGUGUUUCUCGAUGUCUCGAGGCAUAAGCUAACAUACUUUCUCUUCUUGGAUUAUAUGCACUUAUGAUUGGAACUCUAGCAAGCAUUUGCAACUACUAAAGAUUCAUUAUAAAGGGACAAUUGCAUUUUUACCCCUAGUUGGUUCCUACCCACGGGUUUUGCCCUUACUUUUCGAGCUUGCUCAGUUUUGCCCUUACUUUUUCCAUCGAGGUCCCUCGAAUGCCCUUUGACCGUUUGACCAAAACUUUGAAAAUUCAUAACUAAUUCAUACGAACUCAAAAAAAUGCAAAUAAGAUAUCAAAAUGUUCAAAUAAAAAUUACCUUUAUGGGCAUAUCAUUUGCAUUCAGGACAAAAGCAUCAUUUAAACUACCCGAGGUAAUUAAUGUUAUUAACAUUAUUAUAAAUAAAUAGGUAUAAAUAAUAUUUUUUUCAUGAAUAAAAAUUACAUCAAAUGUAGGUGAUGUUUUCUGAACAUCCUGAUACCUUAUUUCCAUUUUUCUGAGUUUGUAUCAACUUGUUAUGAAUGUUCUAACGACUUUGACCAUUAUUUGGAAACUUCAUAACAAGUUGAUACGAAGUCAGGAAAAUGCAAAUAAGGUAUCAGGAUGUUCAGAAAACAUCACCUACGUUUGCAUACAAUUUUUAUUCACGAAGAAUAUAUUGUUUAUACCUAUUUAUUUUUAAUAAUGUUAAUAACAUUAAUUACCUCAGGUAGUUUAAACGAUGCUUUUGUCCUGAAUGCAAAUGAUAUGCCCAUAAAGGUAAUGUUUAUCUGAACAUUUUGAUAUCUUAUUUGUAUUUUUCUGAGUUCAUAUGAAUUAGUUAUGAAUUUUCAAAGUUUUGGUCAAACGGUCAAAGGGCAUUCGAGGGACCUUGAUGGAAAAAGUAAGGGCAAAACUGAGCAAGCUCGAAAAGUAAGGGCAAAACCCGUGGGUGGUAACCAACUAGGGGUAAAAAUGCAAUUGUCCCUAUGGUAAAACCCAACCAUAGCAUUAAAGUAUCAAGUCCCCUUUAUCCCAUUUGCAACGAUCUACUUACUCGGGUUUGUGUUUCAGUCACUCACGCAACCCACUAUACGCGAAUCAUGAACGCAUUGCAACACCCUACAGCGGGAAUCCCUCACGCUUGAGCGACACGGAGGGCACCAUAGGACAUCACCAAUAAUAAAAUAUGCAACUCAAACCAACCAUAGCAAUUCAUCAAUCACCGAUAGGACAACAAAAAUCUACUCAGACAUCAUAGGAUGGCAACACAUCAUUGGAAAAUAAUAUGAAGCAUAAAGCACCAUGUUCAAGUAGAGGGUACAACAGGAUGCGGGAGAGUGGACCGCUGGAUAUAGAUGGGGGAAGGUGAUGGAGAUGUUGGUGAAGAUGGCGGAGGUGUUGGUGAAGAUCGCGUUGAUAAUGAUGGCCCCCGGCAGCGCUCCGGCGCCACUGGAAGCAAGGGGGAGAGAGGGCCCCUUCUUCUUCUUCUUCCUUGACCUCCUCCCUAGAUGGGAGAAGGGUUUCCCCUCUGGUCCUUGGCUCCCAUGGCUUGGGAGGGGCGAGAGCCCCUCCGAGGUUGGAUCUAUCUCUCUGUUUUUGCGUCCUCUGUUUCUGCCCCUUCACUGUUUCCUUUAUAUUUGGAGAUCCGUAACUCCGAUUGGGGCGAAUCUUUCGCCCACAUUUUUCUUGUAAAAUUAGCUUUCUUGCGGAAAAAGAAGAGCGUCAACUGCCUUACGGGUAGCCCACGAGGGUCCAGGGCGCGCCCAGGGGGGUGGGCGCGCCCCCCAGUCUCGUGGUCACCUCGGACACUGUUUUGCGUUGAUUCUUCCUCCGGAAAAUCCCAAAUAUUCCAAAAUAAUUCUCCGUCCGUUUUUAUCCCGUUUGGAUUUCGUUUGAUAUGGGUUUCCUGCGAAACAUAAAACAUGCAACAGACAGGAACUGGCACUGGGCACUGGACCAAUAUGUUAGUCCCAAAAAUAGUAUAAAAAGUUGCCAAAAGUAUAUGAAAGUUGAAUAAUAUUGGCAUGGAACAAUCAAAAAUUAUAGAUACGACGGAGACGUAUCAACAUCCCCAAGCUUAAUUCCUGCUUGUCCUUGAGUAGGUAAAUGAUAAAAAAGAUAAUUUUUGAUGUGGAAUGCUACCUAGCAUAAUCUUGAUCAUAUGUCUAAUCAUGGCAUGAAUAUUAAGACACGAGUUAUUCAAAGCAAUAGUCUAUCAUUUGACAUAAAAAACGAUAAUACUUCGAGCAUACCAAUAAAGCAAUCAUGUCUUUUCAAAACAACAAGGCCAAAGCAAGCUUAUCCCUACAAAAUCAUACAGUUUGUCCAUGCUUCAUCUUCGUCACACAAAAUGCUCCCAUCAUGCACAACCCCGAUGACGAGCCGAGCAAUUGGUUCAUACUUUUUAACGCGCUUCAGCUUUUUCAACCCUCAUGCAAUACAUGAGCGCAAGCCAUGGAUAUAGCACUAUAGGUGGAAUAGAAUAUAAUGGUGGAGGUUUAUAUGGAGAAGACAAAAAAGGAGAAAGUCUCACAUCGACGCGGAUAAUCGACGGGCUAUGGAGAUGCCCAUCAAUUGAUGUCAAUGCGAGGAGUAGGGAUUGCCAUGCAAUGGAUGCACUAGAGCUAUAAGUGUAUGAAAGCUCAAACUGAAAACUAAGUGGGUGUGCAUCCAACUUGCUUUGCUCAUGAAGACCUAGGGCAUUUGAGGAAGCCCAUCGUUGGAAUAUACAAGCCAAGUUCUAUAAUGAAAAAUUCCCACUAGUAUAUGAAAGUGACAACAUAAGAGACUCUCUAUAUGAAGAACAUGGUGCUACUUUGAAGCACAAGUGUGGAAAAAGGAUAGUAACGUUGCCCCUUUUCUUUUUCUUUUAUUUCUUUUUUCUUUCGGUGGGCUUCUUUGGUCCCCUUUUUUAUUUAGGCUUCUUUGGCCUUUCCUUUUUUUCUUUUUUUUCUUUUUCUUUUUUAUGGGGCAAUGCUCUAUAAUGAUGAUCAUCACACUUUUAUUUACUUACAACUCGAUAUUACAACUCGAUACUAGAACAAAGAUAUGACUCUAUAUGAAUGCUUUCGGCAGUGUACCGGGAUGUGCAAUGAUCUAGCGGAGCAAUGACAUCAAAACGGACAAGCCAUGAAAACAUCAUGCUAGCUAUCUUACGAUCAUGCAAAGCAAUAUGACAAUAAAUGCUCAAGUCAUGUAUAUGAUCAUGAUGGAAGUUGCAUGGAAAUAUAUCUCGGAAUGGCUAUGGAAAUGCCAUAAUAGGUAGGUAUGGUGGCUGUUUUGAGGAAGAUAUAAUGAGGCUUAUGUGUGAUAGGGCGUAUCAUAUCACGGGGUUUGGAUGCACCGGCGAAGUUUGCACCAACUCUCGAGGUGAGAAAGGGCAAUGCACGGUACCGAAGAGGCUAGCAACGAUGGAAAGGUAAAAGUGCGUAUAAUCCAUGGACUCACAUUAGUCAUAAAGAACUCAUAUACUUAUUGCAAACAUUUAUUAGCCCUCGAAGCAAAGUACUACUAUGCAUGCACCUAGGGGGAUAGAUUGGUAGGAAAAGACCAUCGCUCGUCCCUGACUGCCACUCAUAAGGAAGACAAUCAAAGAAACACCCCAUGCUUCAAAUUUGUCACACAACGGUUACCAUAUGUGCAUGCUACGGGACUUGCAAACCUCAACACAAGUGUCUCUACAAUCCACAGCCACCCACUAGCAUGACUCUAAUAUCACCAUCUUUGUAUCGCAAAACUAUUGCAAGGAAUCAAACAUAUCAUAUUCAAUGAUCUACAAGUUUAUGUAGGAUUUUAUGACUAACCAUGUGAAUGACCAAUUCCUGUCAUCUCUCUAAAUAGAUAUAAAUGAAGCAAGAGAGUUUAAUUCUUUCUACAAAAGAUUUACCCACACUCUAACAAAUAUAACUGAAGAAAAAGAGCAUUCUACAAAUGGCGGUUUUCUAUAUGAAGAGAAACAUGCAAUCCAAACUUCAAAUGGUAUAAGUGAAGCACAUGAAGCAUUCUAUAAAGCCAUACUCAAAAGAUCUAAGUGAUGUGCAAUGAGCAUUAUAUAAAUCAACCAAGGACUAUCUCAUACUAGCAUAGUGCAUAAAAGAAAAGUGAAAACUAAAUGCAAAAGACGCUCCAAGACUUGCACAUAUCGCAUGAACGAAACGAAUACGAAAACAUACCGAUACUUAUUGAAGAAAGAGGGGAUGCCUUCUGGGGCAUCCCCAAGCUUAGAUGCUUGAGUAUCCUUGAAUAUUUACUUGGAGUGCCUCGGGCAUCCCCAAGCUUGAGCUCUUGCCUCUCUUCCUUUUCCUCAUAUCGAGACAUCCUCGCUUAGACACUUCAUCCACACAAAACUUCAACAGAAAACUCGGUAAGAUCCGUUAGUAUAAUAAAGAAAAUCACUACUCUAAAUACUGUUGCAAACCAAUUCAUAUUUUGUUUUUGCAUUAUGUCUACUGUAAUAUAACUUUUUCAUGGCUUAAUCCACUAAUAUAAAUUGAUAUUUUCAUCAAAACAAGAAAACUAUGCAUUAAAAAACAGAAUCUGUCAAAAACAGAACAGUCUGUACAAAUCUGAACAUCCACCAUACUUAUGGUACCCCAAAACUUCUACCAAAAUUAGGAACAAUAAACAAGUUGUAUAGAAAGACAGUGCAAAAGGAAUCUGAACCAAUUAACCUUCCAUUUAAAAAUGUAAAAUCGAGCACUACAGCCAAAGUUUCUGUCCUGCACCGUACAAACCAACAAGCAUUGUAAACAUCCUAAAGGCAAACCUUGGCACAUUAUUUUUAUAAUACAAUGGAAUUGUACAAGGGGAUAAUUAUUUUUGUUGAGAAGUUUCCGUAAUCAAGAUUCACAAAGUUUCCAUGAGCAUGAAGAAAGUCCAAGGCUAGCUCCCACUUCAACAAUGCUUGUCUUUCUCACUUUCACUUUCCUUUUUGAAAAGUUUUUAGGUUCCCCUCUUUAUUUUUUUUGUUUUUAAACUAUACAAAAGCACUCAGCAGAAAUAAAUGACUCUCUAAAACUUCCGGGUUAUCUCCCUGGCAGCGCUUUCUUUAAAGCCAUUAAGGUAGGCAUUUAGUGCUCAAGUAAUGAAUCCACCCGGAUCCCAAGGUAUAUCAAAGCCAAUUUUAAUUAACAAUGAUUUGUAAUUUAGUAGUGAGCACAAAGUAACAUAUAUCAUGCAACAAUGAACUCUAACUCUCUUCCUAUGCAUCAGCAUGUCAUAACAGAAUAAUUCAUGCACACCAAGUAAAGGCCAAUGCAUACUAUAAACAGUUUCUUGCAAUUCUAUCGUAUUGGAAACAUAGAGAGGUGGAGAUAAAGUUCCUCUCUCAUAAUAAUUGCAAGUAGGAACAGCAAGCACAUGCAUAUUAUAUUCAUCAAAAUCAUCAUGUGCAAUGGUAAAAGGCAACCCAUCAAUAUAAUCCUUAAUAAGCACAAACUUCUCCGAUAUAGUGUAGUAGGGAGAAUUCAAGAAGAUAAUAGGACUAUCAUGCGUGGGUGCAAUAGCAACAAUUUCAUGUUUAACAUAAGGAACUAUAGCAAGUUCAUCUUCAUAAGCAUAAUUCAUAUUGGCAUCUUGGCCACAAGCAUAGCAAGCAUCAUCAAAAAUGGAUAUUUCGAGAGAAUCAACGGGAUCAUAGUAAUCAUCAUAGCAACCAUCCUUCCGUAAGCACGAAGGGGAAUUAAACAAUGUAUGAGUUGAAGAGUUACUCUCAUUAGAAGGUGGGCACGGGUGAUCAAUCCGCUCUUCCUCCUUUUGUUCUUCGCUCUCCUCAUCAUCUUUUUCAUCCAAUGAGCUCACAGUUUCAUCAAUUUCUUCUUCCAUAGCUUCUUGCAAAAUAUUAUCUCUUCUUGGACAGCGGAGAAGACCUCAAUAUAUGGUUUAACAUAGGCAUUAGAAGCAUAAUUAUCAUAACAAUAUUCAAGUAUGGCAAAGUUUUCAGAUUUGUAGAGAGUAGCAUCAUACUUUUGAAUCAAAGAAGCAAUUUCAUAAGCACCCUUAAAGCAACAAAUUCUUCAGUUUGUUGAACAUCAUAGUAAUUAUAAACACCUUUAGCAUAUGAAGAUACAAUCCCAUUAUCAAACUCACAUUGGUAGGGAAGGUGUUUCUUAGGGUUUUCAGAACAACAAGUAAUAUCAUAUAUUUCACAUAAAUUCCAAGCAUAGCAUCGCAAACAUUGAAUUCGAUCCCAUAAUAGUUUCCCUUUUUCCAGAUAUACGGUGUCGCACAUAACAGGCAUGCUCAUCUAAAGAUUUGCCCUCAACUAAGCUAGUGGGGGUUUCAGCACGAGCACAUAGGGAUCGAAGAUGAUCAAAGUAAAAAGCUUUAGGAGUGCGAUAGAUUUUGAGUGGUUCUUCAACCAUUGGUGUAGUAGGUACAACUAACUUUUUUGGUAUUUUGCGUUUCCUACCCAUAACUAAAGAUAGAAAAUAACUAAGAACAGCAAAUAAAAAUUACUUAGUGAUAAAGCAAACAAGCACACACAAGAAUAUUCACCCCACGCUAUGACUCCCCGGCAACGGCGACAGAAAAAGGUCUUGAUAACCCACAUGUGUAGGGGGUCGCAACAGUUUUUGAUAAGUAAGAGUGUUGAACCCAACGAGGAGCUAAAGGUAGAAUAAAUAUUCCCUCAAGUUCUAUCGACCACCGAUACAACUCUGCACGCUUGACGUUUGCUUUACCUAGAACAAGUAUGAAACUAGAAGUACUUUAUAGGUGUGAUAGGAUAGGUUUGCAAGAGCAUAAAGAACACGUAAAUAAAAAGUAGGGGCUGUUUAGAUAAAGAUGCAAGAAAGUAAAUAUAGCGAGUGUGGAAAAGUGGUGGUAGGAGUUGUGAAAUUGUCCCUAAGCAAUUGACUAUGUUACUAGACCGGUAAUCACUAUCACAAUUCUAUUUGAGGGAGAUGCAUAAGCUAACAUACUUUCUCUUCUUGGAUCAUAUGCACUUAUGAUUGGAACUCUAGCAAGCAUCCGCAAAUACUAAAGAUUCAUUAAGCUAAAACCCAACCAUAGCAUUAAAGGUAUCAGGUCCCCUUUAUCCCAUACGCAACGAUCUACUUACUCGGGUUUGUGUUUUAGUCACUCACGCAACCCACUAUAAGCGAAUCAUGAACGCAUUGCAACACCCUACAACAGGAAUCCCUCACGCUUGCGCGACAUGGAGGGCACCAUAGGACAGAACCAAUAAUAAAAUAUGCAACUCAAACCAAUCAUAGCAAUUUAUCAAUCACCGAUAGGAUAACGAAAAUCUACUCAGACAUCAUAGGAUGGGAACACAUCAUUGGAAAAUAAUAUGAAGCAUAAAGCACCAUGUUCAAGUAGAGGGUACAGCGGUAUGCGGGAGAGUGGACCACUGGAUAUAGAUGGGGGAAGGUGAUGGAGAUGUUGGUGAAGAUGGCGGAGGUGUUGGUGAAGAUCGCGGUGAUGAUCUGGCUACCAUUCUACACUAUUAUGCAGCAGGCUCAUUUGGAUGAUCUGGCUGCCCAACAGGCUCAGAACGAGGAGGCUUGGAAUGCCCCUGUCCCUGCACAAGAGCAAAUUCAGGAAAAUGGUUGGAGGGCUUGUCCUGUGGUGCCCCCACCAUACACUGGUUUCAGCUUCAGGUCCUUUCUUUCAGUAUGAUGGCCCAUCUUUGAUGGAUGGAGUGGACCCUGAGAAAAAUGUGCAUGACAAUCUAUCUGACGUCUGGGCAUCUGAAGAUGAAGUUGCUGCAGUGGAGAGCCUGGCGGAUGGCUUUAUAAAUGGUAAUUUGGCUGCAAGGGAGGCUUUUGCUCGUGCUGGGGGUGACUCUGUUUAUGUCACCAUUACGCUGGAUCAUGAGCUGCUGCUGUGGAUGGGCUCGAUGCUCAAACGCAUCUACACGCGAGCCAUCACCAAUGGACACGCUGGGUCUAUUAUGCUUCCUCUUAACCCUUUCCAUCUGAUUCAAAAACAUUUGGAGGCAGCCUUGCUCUUUGGUUGCAGAAUCUGAAGCCUGAACCUGACCACAUAGCCAUCAUUUUCAGUGCUCGCUCUCUGUUGGGUGUUUGCAUUGGACCGCUGCAAUUAUCUGCUUCUUUUGGUGUCAUAACAGAGGUGACCCAGGUUUCUGAUGGUACCUUGUGUCUGUCACAGGAGAUCCCAAUUCCUAAUGUGCCAUCUCAUACUGCAAUCCAGGUUGAUCUGAAUGCCCCAACUACUGGCAUUGCUCUGCAAGUGUUGGCGUCCUCCUCUUCAUUUAAUUCUGCUGCAGGUCAUAAUGCCAAGGUACCUCUCGACACUACUGCUGUCCGGAGGAGUUCUAGAUGCAACAAAUAUGAUGGCUUCAAGGUUUCCAACGCUUCUGAGAUGAAACCCAGCUGCUCGAGGGUGAAGGCCAGGAUCGUCCCCACCGUCUCUGCUGUCUCCACGGCUGCUGCUCCAACUGCGUCGUGCCCUCCACCAACAACCAUCCUGGAGCUCCAGUAGGUGGGCGAUGGUUGCGGCAUUGAGCCUAAAGAUAUCUCUGAAGACAAGCUGCUGGCUACCCAGCAGAUUGCCUCUGAUGAGGCGGCCUGAUUUUCUUUCUGUUAAUGAAUAAAUCGUGGAACAUCUUGUCGUGCAACAUCAGAGGGAUUAACUCUGAUAGCAAACUUUUGGCUCUUAGGAAUGCUAUCGACUCUAGUGGUUGUUCUGUUAUAUGCAUUCAGGAAACCAAGCGGGAAUAUUUUGAUUUAGCGUUUAUUAAAUCUUUCUUCCCCAAGCGGUUUGAUAAAUUUGUUUUCGCGCCAUCAAUUGGGGCCUCGGGUGGAAUUAUCACUAUCUAGAACAGUUCUGUUUUUGUGGGCACACCUUGGCAUGUGGAAUCUUUUGCGGUGGGCGUUUCUUUUGUGGAUAAUCAGUCAAAUGAGUCAUGGAAUUUGGUCAAUGUUUACGGCCCAUGUACGGGUCAGAGACGGGUUGAUUUCACCUCCUGGCUAUUUGACCUCACCAUACCAGAUGAUAAAAAUUGAUUAUUUUUGGGUGACUUCAAUUACAUACGAUCCACUGAAAACAGAAAUAAGCCAGGGGGAGAUGCAUCUGAUAUGCUGUUGUUCAAUGAGCUUAUACGUGCACAAUCUUUAAUGGAAAUCCCAGUUAAGGGUAGAGCCUUCACGUGGAGUAAUAUGCAGGACGACACGCUCCUAGAACAGCUUGAUUGGUUCUUCUCAUCAUCAAAUUGGACCACAUCUUUCCCUAAUACGACGGUUCUACCUCUGGGAAAACCAGUCUCUGACCAUAUCCCAUGCGUGAUUUCAAUCGAAUCCAAAAUCCCAAAAUCAAACCUUUUUCGGUUUGAGAACUUCUGGAUCAAUCACCCUGGUUUCUCUGAUGUUGUGGCCAAUUCUUGGAGUAAACCAUGCCACGCCUCCAAUUCUGCUACUGUCGUUUGUAAGAAGCUCAAAACGCUUCGUUCUGAUCUCAAGCGUUGGAGUAGAGGUAUCUCCAAACUGAAGACCAUGAUUUAAAAUAGCAACAAUGCUCUAGCCAAUCUUGAUGCUUUAGAAGACAAGAGGGUUCUGUUUGUCUAGGAAGCAAACUUUAGAUGUAUCCUGAAAAGACACCCAACUGUCUCCUAAAGUAUCAGAAUGAAUAUUGGAGGAAAAGAUGCACCGUUAGAUAUUUCAGAUUUGCUGACGAGAACACUAAGCUGUUCCAAUCUCUUGCUACUGAACGCUUUAGGCAUAACUCAAUUGCCAGCUUGCAAGAUAGAGAUGUUGAGGUCACUGAUCAUGCUGGCAAGGAAGGGGUGUUGUUCAACACAUUCAAGGAACGUUUGGGGGCCUCUAAACCCACUAACAUGCGUUUUGAUCUGAACCGCAUCAUCAAAAAGGUGGAUGGCCUGGAUGUGCUCUCAGCCCCUUUUUCUAAUAGUGAGAUCGAUGCGGUGAUCAAAGAGAUGCCUACUGACAGGGCUCCAAGUCCCGAUGGUUUUAGUGGUUGCUUCCUCUAAACUGGCUGGCACAUUAUAAAGGAAGAUAUCUACAAAAUUUGUCAUGAUUUUCACGAAGGCAACCUUGACAUAUCCAGCAUCAAUGAGGGUUAUAUCACUCUCAUUCCAAAGAUCUCCUCUCCGCUUAUGGCUAAUUAUUUCAGGCCCUUAACAUUACUAAACUGCUGCCUGAAAAUUAUCACGAAAAUCCUAGCCAACCGCCUGCAAAAAGUCAUCCUGAAAAUCAUCCAUAGGAAUCAGUAUGGGUUCCUCAAGGGCCAUACCAUCCAGGACUGUUUGGCGUGGUCGUUCGAAUACAUCCACCAAUGUCAAACAUCUGCGAGAGAGAUAGUGUUACUGAAGCUUGACUUUGCCAAAGCAUUUGAUACAAUUGAACAUGAACCGAUGUUGUAGAUCAUGGAACACAUGGGCUUUGAUGAUAGGUGGCUCGGCUGGAUGAGGUCCAUUUUUUCUUCUGGGGUUUCUUCGGUUCUUUUGAAUGGGGUGCCUGGAAGAAAAUUUCUGUGCAAAUGUGGAGUGAGACAGGGCAACCCGCUGUCACCACUCAUCUUUGUUUUGGCGGCUGACCUACUUCAAGCGGGUAUUAAUGAUGCUUACACCCAAGGUUUAAUUGAGCUACCCUUUCCAUCCAACCGGAGAGGGGAUUACCCAGUGAUUCAAUACGCCGACGACACGAUCCUGGUCAUGCCUGCUUGCCCGGACCAAGCUGCCCGUAUGAAGUCCAUUCUGGUUGAUUAUGCUGAGUCAGUUGGCCUGAAAAUAAAUUUCCACAAAUCAACAUUGAUCCCAAUCAAUCUUGAUCUGCAACAGUCUCCUGUUUUGGCUUCUAUUUUUGGAUGCAACAUGGGGUCACUCCCUUUUACCUACCUGGGGAUUCCCAUGGGAACCACCAAACCAACGUUGCUUGAGCUAAUGCCUUUGGUGUGUGGGGUUGAGAGGAAGCUGUCCACGGCCCUGUCCCUGCUCUCAGCUGGCGCCAAACUCACAUUGGUCAACUCCACCAUCACUUCCAUGAUGAUAUAUGUGAAAGAUCGUGGAUGUCGCCUAGANNNNNNNNNNNNNNNNNNNNNNNNNNNNNNNNNNNNNNNNNNNNNNNNNNNNNNNNNNNNNNNNNNNNNNNNNNNNNNNNNNNNNNNNNNNNNNNNNNNNNNNNNNNNNNNNNNNNNNNNNNNNNNNNNNNNNNNNNNNNNNNNNNNNNNNNNNNNNNNNNNNNNNNNNNNNNNNNNNNNNNNNNNNNNNNNNNNNNNNNNNNNNNNNNNNNNNNNNNNNNNNNNNNNNNNNNNNNNNNNNNNNNNNNNNNNNNUUACGGUUGAGGCUUGAACAAAUGCGGAAUAAACCUAGCGGUUAAUUUGUCAAGCACAAAACCUACAACAACUAGGCUCACCUAUGUGCACCAACAACUUAUGCUAAGCAAGAAAAACUUCUUAGGUGAUAGCAAGAUAUAUGACAAGAAACAAUAUGGCUAUCACAAAGUAAAGUGCAUAAGUAAAGGGCUCGGGUAAGAGAUAACCGAGGCACGCGGAGACGAUGAUGUAUCUCGAAGUUCACACCCUUGCGGAUGCUAAUCUCCGUUUGGAGCGGUGUGGAGGCACAAUGCUCCCCAAGAAGCCACUAGGGCCAUCGUAAUCUCCUCAUGCCCUCGCACAAUGCAAGAUGCCGUGAUUCCACUAAGGGACCCUUGAGGGCGGUCACCGAACCCGUACAAAUGGCAACCCUUGGGGGCGGUCACCGAACCCGUACACUUUGGCAACCCUUGGGGGCGGUCACCGAAACCCGUCAAAUUGCUCGGGGCGAUCUCCACAACCUAAUUGGAGACCCCGACGCUUGCCCGGAGCUUUACACCACAAUGAUUGAGCUCCGAACACCACCAACUAUCUAGGGCGCCCAAGCACCCAAGAGGAACAAGCUCAAGGGUACCAAACACCCAAGAAUAAUAAGCUUCUCAACUUGUAACUUCCACGUAUUACGUGAAGAACUCAAACCGAUGCACCAAAUGCAAUGGCAAGGGCACACGGAGUGCCCAAGUCCUUCUCUCUCAAAUCCCACCGAAGCAACUAAUGCUAUGGAGGAAAAUGAGAGGAAGAACAAGAAGGAGAACACCGAGAACUCCAAGAUCAAGAUCUAAGGGGUUCCCCUCACAUAGAGGAGAAAGUGAUUGGUGGAAAUGUGGAUCUAGGUCUCCUCUCUCUUUUCCCUCAAAAACUAGCAAGAAUCCAUGGAGGGAUUGAGAGUUAGCAAGCUCGAAGAAGGUCAACAAUGGGGGAAGAACACGAGCUCAAAGAUAAGGUUCAUUGGGGAAGAAGACCCCCUUUUAUAGGACCUCCCGAAUCCAACCGUUAUGUGCUCAGGUCGUGCACAAGCUGUACUACCGCUUGGACGAGCGGUACUACCGCUUAGCACGGUCAAAACAGCCCAACGAGAGAGGAAACACGAGUUUUUGGUCCCGAGCGGAAGUAGCCAUGGAAGUAGCCGCGGUAGUACUGCUCCAAGCGGUAGUACCGCUCCCAAGAGCGGUAGUAAAAAAUUACUUCCGCUCCCGUCCGCGGUAGUACCGCUGCAGCCUUUUCAGAACACCAAAACUCACAACUUCUGCAAACGGACUCCGAAUUCAACGAAACCAAGUUUGUUGGAAAGCUAGCGACAAUGGCUAACACAAUCUUGAUAGAAAAAUCAAUAAGAAGCAAAUUAGAAAAGGCCCAAAAUAAAAUGGUGAGAACCCUUCCUCGGAUAAGACCGGUAAAACCUCCAACACCGAAAACAUCAUAGAAGACGCAUGCAAACUCCGUUUUCGAUGAACUCAAGCUUGUCAUCAAGAUGACCAUAAGCUCUAAGACUCACAAAGAGAACCAAACAAGAACCAAGAAACAUGAUGCAAGGAUGCAAUGGUUUGAGCUCUCGACGAACGAUACGAUCAAGCUACUCACUUGAGAGCCCCCCUUGAUAGUACAACUAUCGAUCCUAUAACCCGGUCUCCCAACUACCACCAUGAGACCGGUAAAAUAGAAAACCUAUGAAGGGAAAACCUUUGCCUUGCACAUGAUCCACUUGAGCUAGAUGAUGACGAUCUUGUCCUCCUCAAGAUGGACCACCUUUCUUGAUUGCGUUGGGUCGAUGGAGACUAGAUGAUUGCUCCCCCAUACUCCAGUAUGGGUGAGCCACUCUUCUGCACAUCUUCACAAGUCCAUUGACACCACAAUGGAUGGAAAGAUUCAAGCACUUGAUCUCUUCAUGAUGCUACACUUGAACUUGCACACGACAAUCUUGAUGACGAUCACUACUUGAUGUCAUCCUUUCCAUGGGUUAUAUGAUAUCUUCCUCUUGACGCAAGCCCAUGGACACGUACCUAACCCCACAUACAACUCUCACAUAGACCAUGGGUUAGUACAUAAAGUGUAAUGGACAAUGCUUACCAUACCAUGGGAUCACUUGAUCCCUCUCAGUACAUCUUCUAUGCUUUGUGAGUUGAUCAACUUGAUUCACUCUUGACUUAGUCUUGAUCAACCUUGAAUCUUUGCAACUCUCUUCAUUUGGAUGAUGUCUUGAAGGUAAACAUGAAUGAUCACACAACCUUCUUCUUCAAGACAUGCCUGCAAUAAGCUCAACACUCACAUGACCAAUCUUUGGAUAAUUCCUUAAUAGCACCUUGGUCAACACAUAAACUCCUUGAAACCAACACAUGGACUUCAAGAAAUGCCUAUGGACAAAUCCUUCAAAUAUAACUCAAUGCAACCAUUAGUCCAUAGAGAAUGUCAUCAAUUACCAAAACCACACAUGGGGGCACCGCAUGUCCUUUCAAUCUCCCCCAUUUUGGUAAUUGGUGACAAUCACUUUCAAGAGAGUUUAUACAAGGAAUUAUGCUUCCCUAGCAAUGCAACACCCAAUAGUGCAUGCGUAUGAGAUGCACAUGCUUCGGAACACAACCAAAGCAAGAGGAUAAAACUUUGAAACCUUCUCCACAAAACUCUCUGAAACUUCUCCCCCAUUGGCAUCGAUUGCCAAAAUGGGCGAAAAGCUUAGAAGGCCAAAAUAAAUUGUGGUCCUCCAUAAAUUGUGUAUUUCUCAACAAGAGAGUGGAAUGCAAUACACAUAUCCAACUGUCAAUACUUGGAGGAAGACAGACUAUAUUGAGGCCCAAAGAUUGCAACAAAGAGAUAUGCCACAAAGACAUAACAAAGAGAGACACAAGCAAUCAGAAGAUACCAAUUGAAGCAAGCAAUCAACGGAUAUCAAUUGAAUCAACUAGACCAAUGAUCCUACGUGUCACAUGAAUAAAGAUAUUAUGAUAUGAGCAGAGGAUUGUUCUAAAGAAACUAGAGAAUCCCCCCAUGAUUUGUGCACAUCAAGAAUUUUUGUAUUUGGAUACAAAGUGCACAAAAUAGGAUCAUAGCUCCCCCAAAAUCAAUAGAAACUCACAACCAGUGCAAGUGGGCAAAUAGGAGACAAAGCCUAGCACUUGUAAGAAGCACAUGGUUGAGCAACAUGUAACAGAGGCGACUAAGAAUAGGCUCAACCAACACCAAUGUGUGUGAGUCAAGGCAAUGCACUUGAGAAGACUAAUGUACGGAUAAGCAUUAAGCAUCAAUAUAGUCUUGAAAGAAUGAGAUACACGGUGCAAGGCAUUUCAUUCCCAUACACAAGAAGCAAACGGGUUCACAAGAUCACUAAUAAGCAUAUAAAGAACCUAUGCUUGUGACAACCCAUGGUGAAGAUAGAAGAUGAAAGCCUCAUCAAGACGAGGAAUACCAAGAUGGCAACCUCGUAAAGAUAAGCAUGAGGAAAUAAUCUUCACCACACAAGAGUGCAUCAAGAUGCAACGAUAUAAGACAUGCACUCAAGACAAAACCUUUCACGGAGCCACCAAAGAAAUAACAUAAGAAAGACAAGGUGGACGUGAAAGAAAGGAUAUCACCUAGAGAUGUAAUUUCUCUCAAGUGUAUAAGGGUCUAGGUAGAUGAAAUCAUGACGAUAUAUAUCUACAAAGAAGGAUGUACACCCGAAAUAGUUACAACAUGAAGGAACAAGAUAUCCAAAAGGAAGUCAUACAUAUACCAAUAAGAUAUGUGCUUGGAAGCAUAGCCCAAGGCUAGAUAUGGUCUUAUUGUAUAUAAAUGAAUUCCUACCACACAACCAUCAAAGACAUCACAACUAGCAACAAGAGAUCAUUGUUGGGAUGCUUUGAGAAAGGAAACAAGUAUCACAAGAAAGAAAGAAUAACAUGCCAUGAUACAACCCACACACGAUUGAUGCAAUAAUGUGUGCAUGUAGUAGAUGAUGAUACUUGUUACCGAGAUAACAUUGGAAGGAUGUAGUAGAUACCAAUUGAAGGUAGAAAGUAGUUCAUCGAUCAUCCUAGCUUGACUCCAAUAAGCACAUGGUGACAACACCUUCCUUUUGAAUGAGCCGAGUAUCCAAUGCAUCUCCAAUUGUUCCUAGAACAACAACACAAACAAAAUGGCACCCAAACUCAUUGGGACCAAAGAGUUAGAGAACCAACAAUACAUAGGACAAACUCCACAUAGAUAUAUGCAUAUAGAUAUGAAAAUGAAUCUCAUGCACAUCUCAUCCAAUUUGAGACUUGGUGGAGUUUCCCCUAUAUAUUGGGUCAAAGAAAGAAAACAUGCCAAAGGAACUACAUGAAAUUAAAAUGCAUGCUCAAGACUUCCAAGAAUCGAUACCAAAAUACAAGGAAAAACCAAGUGAAAAGGAUACCAAAUGGAGAAAUCAUCACUUGGAAGAUAUCAUUAAAAGAUACAUCAAGGAAUGAGAUAUCCAUUGGAACACACACAAAAAAAGAUGUCAAACUCCCAAAGGAGAGGAUGGUUCCAAACAAACCAAGCUGUCUACAAAGUUUCAUGUUGGCACAAAGUACCAAAAGAAACGACUUGCCAUCCACCCACACACACUUAAUAUGGAUCACAAUAUGAGUGUUUUAUAGAAAAUAGGAUAGCUCCCCCAAGACUAGUGCAUUAUAGAGAAUUUGCAUUUGAAUACAAAAUGCACAAGGUGGGAUCACCACUUUCACUAUAUCUAGAAAACACUAAACACGAGAAAUAUGUUGAAGCGAAGGCACUAUGCUGUGGCAAACAACAACUAUGCCUGUAUGCUCUGCCAGAAUCCUCCUGAGGAAAUAGUUGAUCACCUAUUUUUCACCUGCCCCUUUAGCCAACAUUGUUGGGACAAGGUUGGUCUGACAUGGCCGCAUAAUGGCAACAGGAUUUCCAUCUUGCAUGAGGGUAAAAAUCGCUAGAGGCAACCUUUGUUCAUGGAUAUUUUUUUGAUGGCCGCCUGGAGCAUAUGGAAGGAGAGGAACAAUGAGUUCUUCAGGGGUGUUCUGCACUCUUUCGCUGCAUGGCUUGAUAGAUUCAAACAUCUGUUGGGCCUCCUUGCUCAUAAUUGUAAAGAAGAGCUUCAUCCCUUCUUAAGCACUUUCACACAUAACUUGUAGGAGGCACACAUUGUUUCUUUUUCUUUGUACAUAUAGGGUGUAGGGGGACCCUGCAAAACCCCCAUGUAAACAUGUAACACCCAUCUGUGAGUAAUACAAAGUCAGUGGGAGCCUCUCCCACUGUCAUUCAUCGUAAAAAAAAGAUCGUGGUGAUGAUGAUGGCCCCCGGCAGCACUCCGGCGCCACCGGAAGCAAGGGGGAGAGAGGGCCCCUUCUUCUUCUUCUUCCUUGACCUCCUCCCUAGAUGGGAGAAGGGUUUCCCCUCUGGGCCUUGGCUCCCAUUGCUUGGGAGGGGCGAGAGCCCCUCCGAGAUUGGAUCUAUCUCUCUGUUUUUGUGUCCUCUGUUUCUGCCCGUUCACCGUUUCCUUUAUAUCUGGAGAUCCGUAACUCCGAUUGGGGUGAAUAUUUCGCCCAGAUUUUUCUUGUAAAAUUAGCUUUCUUGCGGAAAAAUAAGAGCGUCAACCGCCUUACUGGUGGCCCACGAGAGUCCAGGGCAUGCCUAGGGGGUGGGCACGCCCCUUGUCUCGUGGCCACCUCGGACACUGUUUCGCGUUGAUUCUUCCUCCGGAAAAUCCAAAAUAUUCCAAAAUAAUUCUCCGUCCAUUUUUAUCCCGUUUGGAUUCCGUUUGAUAUGGGUUUCCUGCGAAACAUCAAACAUGCAACAGACAGGAACUGGCACUGGGCACUGGAUCAAUAUGUUAGUCCCAAAAAUAGUAUAAAAAGUUGCCAAAAGUAUGUGAAAGUUGAAUAAUAUUGGCAUGGAACAAUCAAAAAUUAUAGAUACGGCGGAGACAUAUCACCAUCCCCAAGCUUAAUUCCUGCUCGUCCUCGAGUAGGUAAAUGAUAAAAAAGAUAAUUUUUGAUGUGGAAUGCUACCUAGCAUAAUCUUGAUCAUAUGUCUAAUCAUGGCAUGAAUAUUAAGACACGAGUGAUUCAAAGCAAUAGUCUAUCAUUUGACAUAAAAAACGAUAAUACUUCGAGCGUACCAAUAAAGCAAUCAUGUCUUUUCAAAACAACAAGGCCAAAGCAAGCUUAUCUCUACAAAAUCAUACAGUUUGGCCAUGCUUCAUCUUCGUCACACAAAAUGCUCCCAUCAUGCACAACCCCGAUGAUGAGCCGAGCAAUUGGUUCAUACCUUUUAAUGCGCUUCAGCUUUUUCAACCCUCACACAAUACAUGAGAGCAAGCCAUGGAUAUAGUACUAUAGGUGGAAUAGAAUAUAAUGGUGGAGGUUUAUAUGGAGAAGACAAAAACGGAGAAAGUCUCACAUCGACGCGGCUAAUCAACGGGCUAUGGAGAUGCCCAUCAAUUGAUGUCAAUGCGAGGAGUAGGGAUUGCCAUGCAAUUGAUGCACUACAGCUAUAAGUGUAUGAAAGCUCAAACUGAAAACUAAGUGGGUGUGCAUCCAACUUGCUUGCUCAUGAAGACCUAGGGCAUUUGAGGAAGCCCAUCGUUGGAAUAUACAAGACAAGUUCUAUAAUGAAAAAUUCCCACUAGUAUAUGAAAGUGACAACAUAAGAGACUCUCUAUAUGAAGAACAUGGUGCUACUUUGAAGCACAAGUGUGGAAAAAGGAUAGUAACAUUUCCCGUUUUCUUUUUCUUUUUUUUCUUUUUUAUCCUUCUUCUUUUUUCUUUCGUGGGCUUCUUUGGCCCCCUUUUUUAUUUAGGCUUCUUUGGCCUUUCCUUUUUUUUUUCCUUUUUUCCUUUUUCUUUUUUUAUGGGGCAAUGCUCUAUAAUGAUGAUCAUCACACUUUUAUUUACUUACAACUCGAUAUUACAACUCGAUACUAGAACAAAGAUAUGACUCUAUAUGAAUGCUUCCGGCAGUGUACCGGGAUGUGCAAUGAUCUAGCGUAGCAAUGACAUCAAAACGGACAAGCCAUGAAAACAUCAUGCUAGCUAUCUUACGAUCAUGCAAAGCAAUAUGACAAUAAAUGCUCAAGUCAUGUAUAUGAUGAUGAUGGAAGUUGCAUGGCAAUAUAUCUUGGAAUAGGUAUGGAAAUGCCAUAAUAGGUAGGUAUGGUGGCUAUUUUGAGGAAGAUAUAAUGAGGCUUAUGUGUGAUAGAGCGUAUCAUAUCACGGGGUUUGGAUGCACCGGCGAAGUUUGCACCAACUCUCGAGGUGAGAAAGGGCAAUGCACGGUACCGAAGAGGCUAGCAAUGAUAGAAAGGUAAAAGUGCGUAUAAUCCAUGGACUCACAUUAGUCAUAAAGAACUCAUAUACUUAUUGCAAACGUUUAUUAGCCCUCGAAUCAAAGUACUUCUACGCAUGCCCCUAGGGGGAUAGAUUGGUAGGAAAAGACCAUCGCUCGUCCCCGACUCCCACUCAUAAGGAAGACAAUGAAAGAAACACCGCAUGCUUCAAAUUUGUCACACAACGGUUACCAUACGUGCAUGCUACGGGACUUGCAAACCUCAACACAAGUGUCUCUACAAUCCACAACCACCCACUAGCAUGACUCUAAUAUAACCAUCUUUAUAUCGCAAAACUAUUGCAAGGAAUCAAACAUAUCAUAUUUAGCGAUCUACAAGUUUAUAUAGGAUUUUAUGACUAACCAUGUGAAUGACCAAUUCCUGUCAUCUCUCUAAAUAGAUAUAAAUGAAGCAAGAGAUUUUAAUUCUUUCUACAAAAGAUAUGCCCACGCUUUAACAAAUAUAAGUGAAGCAAAAGAACAUUCUACAAAUGGCGGUUUUCUAUGUGAAGAGAAACAGGCAAUCCAAACUUCCAAUGAUAUAAGUGAAGCACAUGAAGCAUUCUAUAAAGCCAUACUCAAAAGAUCUAAGUGAAGUGCAAUGAGCAUUCUAUAAAUCAACCAAGGACUAUCUCAUACCAGCAUGGUGCAUAAAAUAAAAGUGAAAACUAAAUGCAAAAGACGCUCCAAGACUUGCACAUAUCGCAUGAACGAAACGAAUACGAAAACAUAUCGAUAUUUGUUGAAGAAAGAAGCUUAGACGCUUGAGUAUACUUGAAUAUUUACUUGGAUUGCCUCGGGCAUCCCCAAGCUUGAGCUCUUGCCUCUCUUCCUUUUCCAAAUAUCGAGACAUCCUCGCUUAGACACUUCAUCCACACAAAACUUCAACAGAAAACUUGGUAAGAUCCGUUAGUAUAAUAAAGCAAAUAACCACUCUAAGUACUGUUGCAAACCAAUUCAUAUUUUGUUUUUGCAUUGCGUCUACUGUAAUAUAACUUUUUCAUGGCUUAAUCCACUAAUAUAAAUUGAUAGUUUCAUCAAAACAAGCAAACUAUGCAUCAAAAACAGAAUCUGUCAAAAACAGAACAGUCUGUAGCAAUCUGAACAUCCACCAUAUUUAUGGUACCCCAAAAAUUCUACCAAAAUUAGGAAAAAAAAGUUGUAUAGCAAGACAAUGCAAAAGGAAUCAAAACCAAUUGACCUUCCAGUUAAAAAUUUAAAAUCGAGCACUACAGCCAAAGUUUCUGUCCUGCACUGUACAAACCAACAAGCAUUGUCAAUAUCCUAAAGGCAAACCUUGGCACAUUAUUUUUAUAAUACAAUGGAAUUGUACAAGGGGAUAAUUAUUUUUGUUGAAAAGUUUCUGUAAUCAAGAUUCACAAAGUUUCCAUGAGCAUGAACAAAGUCCAAGGCUAGCUCCCACUUCAACAAUGCUUGUCUUUCUCACUUUCACUUUCCUUUUUGAAAAGUUUUUAGGUUCCCCUCUUUAUUUUUUUUGUUUUUAAACUAUAUAAAAUCACUCAAUAGAAAUAAAUGACUCUCUAAAACUUCUGGGUUGUCUCCCUGGCAGAGCUGUCUUUAAAGCCAUUAAGCUAGGCGUUUAGUGCUCAAGUAAUGAAUCCACCCGGAUCCCAAGGUAUAUCAAAGCCAAUUUUAAUUAACAAUGAUUUGUAAUUUAGUAGUGAGCACAAAGUAACAUAUAUCAUGCAACAACGAAGUCUAACUCUCUUCCUAUGCAUCGGCAUGUCAUAAUAGAACAAUUCAUGCACACCAAGUAAAGGCCAAUGCAUAGUAUAAACAGUUUCGUGCAAUUCUAUCGUAUUGGGGACAUAGAGAGGUGGAGAUAAAGUUCCUCUCUCAUAAUAAUUGCAAGUAGGAGCAGCAAGCACAUUCAUAUUAUAUUCAUCAAAAUCAUCAUGUGCAAUGGUAAAAGGCAAUCCAUCAAUAUAAUCCUUAAUAAGCACAAACUUCUCCGAUAUAGUGUAGUAGGGAGAAUUCAAAAAGAUAAUAGGACUAUCAUGUGUGGGUGCAAUAGAAACAAUUUCAUGUUUAACAUAAGGAACUAUAGCAAGUUCAUCUUCAUAAGCAUAAUUCAUAUUAGCAUCUUGGCCACGAGCAUAGCAAGCAUCAUCAAAAAGGGACAUUUCAAGAGAAUCAACGGGAUCAUAGCAAUCAUCAUAGCAACCAUCCUUCGGUAAGCACGAAGGGGAAUUAAACAAUGUAUGAGUUGAAGAGUUACUCUCAUUAGAAGGUGGGCAUGGGUGAUCAAUCCGCUCUUCCUCCUUUUGUUCUUCGCUCUCCUCAUCAUCUUUUUCAUCCAAUGAGCUCACAGUUUCAUCAAUUUCUUCUUCCAUAGCUUCCUGCAAAAUAUUAGUCUCUUCUUGGACAGUGGAGAAGACCUCAAUAUAUGGUUUAACAUAGGCAUUAGAAGCAUAAUUAUCAUAACAAUAUUCAAGUAUGGCAAAGUUUUCAGAUUUGUAGAGAGUAGCAUCAUACUUUUGAAUCAAAGAAGCAAUUUCAUAAGCACCCUUAAAAGCAACAAAUUCUUCAAUAUGUUGAACAUCAUAGUAAUUAUAAACACCUUUAGCAUAUGAAGAUACAAUCCCAUUAUCAAACUCACAUUGGUAGGGAAGGUGUUUCUUAGGGUUUUCAGAACAACAAGUAAUAUCAUAUAUUUCACAUAAAUUCCAAGCAUAGCAUUGCAAACGUUGAAUUUGAUCCCAUAAUAGUUUCCCUUUUUUAGAUAUAUGGUGUCGCACAUAACAUGCAUGCUCAUCUAAAGAUUUGCCCUCAACUAAGCUAGUGGGGGUUUCAGCACGAGCACAUAGGGAUCAAAGACGAUCCAAGUAAAAAGCUUCAGGAGUGCGAUAGAUUUUGAGUGGUUCUUCAACCAUUGGUGCAGUAGGUACAACUAACUUUUUUGGUAUUUUGCGUUUCCUAGAAAACAACUAAGAACAGAAAGUAAAAAUUACUUAGUGAUAAAGCAAACAAGCACACACAAGAAUAUUCUCCCCACGCUAUGAUUCCCCGGCAACGGUGCCAGAAAAAGGUCUUGAUAACCCACAAGUGUAGGGGAUCGCAACAGUUUUUGAUAAGUAAGAGUGUCGAACCCAAUGAGGAGCUAAAGGUAGAAUAAAUGUUCCCUCAAGUUCUAUCGACCACCGAUACAACUCUAUGGACGCUUGACGUUCGCUUUACCUAGAACAAGUAUGAAACUAGAAGUACUUUGUAGGUGUGAUAGGAUAGGUUUGCAAGAGCAUAAAGAACACGUAAAUAAAAAUUAGGGGCUGUUUAGAUAAAGAUGCAAGAAAUUAAAUAUAGUGAGUUUGGAAAAGUGGUGGUAGGAGUUGUGAAAUUGUCCCUAAGAAAUUGACUAUGUUACUAGACCGGUAAUCACUAUCGAAAUUCUAUUUGAGGGUACAGCGGGAUGCGGGAGAGUGGACCGCUGGAUAUAUGCACUUAUGAUUGGAACUCUAGCAAGCAUCCGCAACUACUAAAGAUUCAUUAAGGUAAAACCCAACCAUAGCAUUAAAGUAUCAAGUCCCCUUUAUCCCAUACGCAAUGAUCUACAUACUCGGGUUUGUGUUUCAGUCACUCACGCAACCCACUAUAAGUGAAUCAUGAACGCAUUGCAACACCCUACAGCGGGAAUCCCUCAUGCUUGUGCGACACGGAGGGCACCAUAGGACAUCACCAAUAAUAAAAUAUGCAACUCAAACCAAUCAUAGCAAUUCAUCAAUCACCGAUAGGACAAUGAAAAUCUACUCAGACAUCAUAGGAUGGCGACACAUCAUUGGAAAACAAUAUGAAGCAUAAAGCACCAUGUUCAAGUAGAGGGUACAGCGGGAUGCAGGAGAGUGGACCGCUGGAUAUAGAUGGGGGAAGGUGAUGGAGAUGUUGGUGAAGAUGGCGGAGGUGUUGGUGAAGAUCGCGGUGAUGAUGAUGGCCCCCGACAGCGCUCCGGCGCCACCGGAAGCAAGGGGGAGAGAGGGCCCCUUCUUCUUCUUCUUCCUUGACCUCCUCCCUAGAUGGGAGAAGGGUUUCCCCUCUGGUCCUUGGCUCCCAUGGCUUGGGAGGGGCGAGAGCCCCUCCGAGAUUGGAUCUAUCUCUCUGUUUUUGCGUCCUCUGAUUCUGCCCCUUCACGGUUUCCUUUAUAUCUGGAGAUCCGUAACUCCGAUUGAGGUGAAUCUUUCGAGAUUUUUCUUGUAAAAUUAGCUUUCUUGCGGCAAAAGAAGAGUGUCAACCGCCUUAUAGGUGGCCCACNNNNNNNNNNNNNNNNNNNNNNNNNNNNNNNNNNNNNNNNNNNNNNNNNNNNNNNNNNNNNNNNNNNNNNNNNNNNNNNNNNNNNNNNNNNNNNNNNNNNNNNNNNNNNNNNNNNNNNNNNNNNNNNNNNNNNNNNNNNNNNNNNNNNNNNNNNNNNNNNNNNNNNNNNNNNNNNNNNNNNNNNNNNNNNNNNNNNNNNNNNNNNNNNNNNNNNNNNNNNNNNNNNNNNNNNNNNNNNNNNNNNNNNNNNNNNNNNNNNNNNNNNNNNNNNNNNNNNNNNNNNNNNNNNNNNNNNNNNNNNNNNNNNNNNNNNUGGCCACCUCGGACACUGUUUCGCGUUGAUUCUUCCUCGAGAAAAUCCCAAAUAUUCCAAAAUAAUUCUCCGUCCGUUUUUAUCCUGUUUGGAUUCCGUUUGAUAUGUUUCCUACGAAACAUAAAACAUGCAACAGACAGGAACUGACACUGGGCACUGGAUCAAUAUGUUAGUCCCAAAAAUAGUAUAAAAAGUUGCCAAAAGUAUAUGAAAGUUGAAUAAUAUUGGCAUGGAACAAUAAAAAAUUAUAGAUACAACGGAGCCGUAUCAGGGUCAUCUUCACACAAUCCCAUGUAAUGAACAAGAAAGGGAUAAAGAGUUGGCUUACAAUUGCCACUUCACACAAGUACUUAAAUAAAUCAUACAUCAUUCAUAGUACACAAUAGUCCAACUACGGACAAAUCCAAAUGAAAAGAAGAUAACCCCAAAUGAUAGAUCCCCAAUUGUCCCAACUGGGCUGCACUACUGAUCAACAUGAAAUGAAACAUAACAACGACCAAGAUCUUCGUUGAGCUCCCAACUGAGCUCGGUUGCAUCACCAGCACUGGUAUCAUCGGCACCUGCAACUGUUGUGAUAGGAUCUGGUGAGUCACGAGGACUCAACAAUCUCAAAACCCGUGAGAUCAAGACUAUUUAAGCUUAUGGGUAGGAAGUGGGAAUGAGGUGGAGUUGCAGCAAACACUAAGCAAAUAUGGUGGCUAACAUACGCAAAUAAGAGCGAGAAGAGAAGCAACCCAACGGUCGAGAAGCUAGAAGUGAUCAAGAAGUGAUCCUGAAACUACUUACGCACAAUCAUAACAUAAAAACCGUGUUCACUUCUCGGACUCCGCUGAAAAGAGUCCAUCACGGCUACACACGCGGUUGAUGCAUUUUAGUUAAGUCAAGUGUCAAGUUCUCUACAACCAGAUAUUAACAAAUUCACUUCUGCCACAUAACCGCGAGCACGACUUUUAAAAGUUUAUACCCUGCAGGGGUGUCCCAACUUAGCCCAUCACAAGCUCUCACGAUCAGCAAAGGAUAUUCCUUCUCCCGGGAAAACCCGAUCAGCCUCGGAAUCCCGGUUACAAGACAUUUCGACAAUGGUAAAACAAGACCAGCAAGACCGCUCGACUGUGCCGACAAAUCCCAAUAGGAGCUGCACAUAUCUCGUUCUCAGGGCACACCGGAUGAACACUAUGUACAACUAAAACCAACCCUUAAGUUUCCCCGAGGUGGCGCUACAAGUGGCUCUAGUUCGGACCAACACUUAGAGAAGCACUAGCCCGGGGGGGGGGGGGUUAAAAUAAAGAUGACCCUCGGGGCUGCAGACCCCAAGGGAGGGUUAUAGGUUGUUAGGCAAAUGGAAAACCAAUGUUGGGCCUUGCUGGAGGAGUUUUAUUCAAGAGUGGAACAAAACACCAGGCAUAAGGCCGAGCCUUCCACCCUUUACCAAAUAUAUAGAUGCAUUAAUUAAAAUAAGAGAUAUUGUGAUAUCCCAACAUAACCAUGGUCCAAGAUGGAGCAAUCUUCAACUUCACCUGCAACUAGCAACGCUAUAAGAGGGGCUGAGCAAAAAUGGUAACAUAGCCAAACAACGGUUUGCUAGGAAGGGUGAAAAAGUUAGAGGCUGACGUGGCAAUAUGGGAGGCAUGGUAAACAAGUGAAAGGUAGCGCAACAUAGUGAUUGAACGAAGCAACUAGCAAGCAAAUAUAGAAAGUAUAUCGAGGGUAAUGGUCAUCUUGCCUAAGAUCCCGCAAGGAAAAAGAAUGAGUCCAUGAAGAAGACAAAUGGACGUAGUCGAACAAAUCCUCACAAAGGCAACAUUACCGGAACUAUCGAGGGGAAGUGCAACCGGAAAGAAGCAAACAACAUGGUAAACAACCAUUACAUAAACAUGGCAUGAUGCACAAGUAUGAUGCAUGUCCUGUUUAAAGAGGCAUGGCAUGGCAAAGUGCAACAAACAAUACUACACAUUAAGUGGAGCUCAAUAUGCAACGAGUUGCAUAUUGACGAAACACCACAUCAAUUAUUUAGUUCUCUCUCAGUUAUGUACCCAACAAUAUUAAAUGUCAUUAAACAUGGCAAGAUGUGAAACAUAGUAAAACUAUCUAGCUAGGCAAGUUUAGAUGAGGCCGGAAAUAACAAACAACAAUUCCGGAAAAUCCUCAUGUGCAUAUUUCGAAUUCGGUACUGUUCUGCCCUAAACCAUAUUUUAAUGUUGUUAAGCAGUAAAACAAAGUGCACCAUGUUAAACUAUGCAUUUUUCCACCCCAUUUACAUAUAAAGUUUAUUAAAAUUGGAGCUACGGUUAUUUAGUUAUGAAAUAAAUCAUUUUAGCAUGGCAUUUGAGCAAAUUUAAUCAAACAACAUUUUAAACAUUUCAAACAUGGAUGAAAGUUGCAUAUUAUUAAACUAGAUGAAAUUCUAAGCAUUUUACAUGUUUAAAUCAUUUUAAUCCAAUGCACCAUUUGUGAGUUAUUAAAUGCAUGAUCUAGAGGUACUUUUCUGCAAAUCUGCACUCUCUGGAUAAAUACUAAAAUCUCUGGAGAGGAAAAAAACAUAACGUGCUGAAUCAAGUUGGCCUAACAGGAGGAAAAACAGAGGAGGGGGCGCUGCUCACGUUGGGCCUUGAGGCCGAAUCUGGAGCUGGGCCAGGGGCGCUGGGAUGAGGCAGCCCACGCAGCAGGACGACGCGUCCACGACGCGGGCGAACGGGCGGUCAACGCGGGGCGGGGCGCUCGUCUUCGAAACAGAGGAAGCAGGGCCAGUGGACUUGGCAAAGGGCGGUGCGACGGACAACGACGAUGGACUAAGGCAAAGCAGGGGUCUCGGGAAUGGCGGGAAUUGAGCACGGAGGAGGCCAGGAGGCGCGGGGACGGCGGAUCCAGGCGACGGCGCGCCCGGCAAGAACUUGGCAACGAUGGUUCCUUGCUGCGGCAAGAGCAGAGAGAAAGAUGUGAGAGAGAGUGUUAGGAAAGGGAGAGAGACAGGGAAAGAGAGGAGCGGGAUGAGGCCGGUCUUGGUCGUGGUCGCCGGAGGGCACGGCCUGCGGUGUUGGCGAGGAGGCAGUCGGGAACGCCGGGGUGAGGUACGAGGCGACGAGGAGGAGGCAGGGCCUCGGGUGCUCGUGGACGAGGGACUUGUGGAGGUGGCUAUGGAGCUCAGUGAUCAACGCAGAGGAGGAGGUGCUUGGGAAGCACGGGAGCACGGCGAUGAGGGUCGGCGUGGAGUGGAUCGAGGGGGGCUGCUGGCAUCUGGAUCGAGGAGAAGCAGUGGAGAGCGAUGGUUGGGGAGGGAUGGAUCUCGAGGGGGAUUUGGUGAGUGGGUGGCGGCGGCUAAUCCAAGGAGGGGAUGGGACAAGAGGGCUAGGAUCUAGGGUUUUGAUUGAUUUAGUAAGUAGGUGGCCUAUAUAUAUACGAAAGGGGGAUGAUUUGGAUCUUGCAAUCGCGAUCGGGCGGUCCGUAAUAAAUAGGUAGGGAGUCCUAAUAAGAAAACCAAGAUAUUUUAGGGAUGUUAGGGGAUGAUUCGAAUCCAAUGGAGAUGACUGAGCGGGUCAGGUUCAGGGCAGGUUUCAGACAUGCGCAAGAGGGGGUCGGUGGUUGUGUAGAGAGGUUAGGUGGUCAGACAAGAGGGACUCUAAAAACCCGGUUGGUCUCGGAAUGGUCAAAGGAGGCAAGGGGAAUGCGGCAACUACGAAUAGGUGUGAGUUUUAUGAAAACAUGCAGAUGCAAUGCACAUGAUGCCAUGAGAUGAGAUGCAUGACAUGAACAAAAUGCAAAACAAAAGACAAAAACCCAACCACCGAGAAAAUAAUAUAUCACAUAGCCGAAAAUGGCAAGAGUUGGAGUUUCAAUUAUGGAAAGUUAUAUCCGGGGUGUUACAACACUCCACCACUACAAGAGGACCUCGUCCCGUGAUCUAGGAUGGCACCGGGAAGAAACGGAAGAGGAGGAGAAGAGGUAAAACUAAGUUUCUUCUUUGAUGAAUGAGUGAAACCAUGAACCUUGAGAGGUUGAGCAAUUUAAAAGAAAGAGUACAACAGAGAUGAACUAGAUUGCAAACAAUCCAUUAGAAAAGAGUAACAAGGAACAUUACGAGAACUUGAAGGUUGCAAAGACAUGAAUCAAGAGUUAAUGGACAAGAUAGAAUUCGAAACCACUCCAGUUAAAACAAGAUGAGAGAGGAAGAAUUCGGGCAGCACUCCGGUUGAACAUGGAAGGAAUAGAACAUGAACUUGAGAAGAUGGGAUGAUACUUGAUGAAAACAACAACACACUGCCUCCGGAACUAUUGAAAGAAUGGCACAAUGGCUAAGAAGGAUUUCAGACAGCACUCAGGUUGAAAAGAGAGGCAAAACUUGAUAAGAUGAAAGAAGUUGAAUGAGAACACAACACUUCGGUUAAAUGGAUAAGCAAGAAAAUAACAUGAUCUUGACAAAACAAGGUGAUGGGUGAAGAGAGAAACAUCACAAUGCCUCCGGAAGAAAUAAUAGAAGAUAGAUCAUUGGAAUAAAAGAAUGGAGAAGAAAAUGCCAACUUCUGCCACAAAUGAACUUGGAAAGCACCCUUCCAAGAAGGUUACAACGGGGUUGUUGGAAAAACCAACAAUGAAACGAAUAAGUUUGUAGUGGGCUUAUGGAAAACUUCUCAAAAUUUGAGGUUAAAUUCUGCCACUAACGAAUCAAUGAUAGGUUGAGAUCAACGAAGGGAUGAAAACUUGUUUCGCCGAGAGGAUAGGAGAAAACUUGGAUCAUUAAUAAGCACCAUAAAUAGCUACAUUCCUUAGGGAAGGCUGCAGGUGAGAUAUAACGCAAUAUAACUCCAACAAAAGAUUGAUUGGUUGAAAAGAUCUCUUGAACGAACAGAAAAUGAUGGAUUUAAAUAUGUCAGUCUUGAAAACUUGUGAAUCAUGAAACACGAAGGAAAAUUAUCAAGAAUGACAUAACACUGCCUCAAAAGAUAAGGUAGGAAGAAUUGCACUUCGGAUGCAAGAUGAAGAAUGCUUGAACUACUCAAAACAAAACAUGUGUUGGGCACCAUGUUUAUUUUAGAGUAUAGCUUGGCGGAUCUUAGCUUCGAGAGAAAUCUUGAAGAACAACUGAAGAAUGAAAAGAAUUCUUGACGAACCACGAUGUAGAGCCUCCGUGAAAAACUCCAGUAAUAAAAGGAUGAUAGAAAGAAAGAGAAGUUGAAAACACAAGGUGAAGCCUUGCGAUGAUUUAGAAGGAGCUUCACGACGAGAUAACUGAGAACUUGGAACUCCAAAAACAAAAGAUGAAGCAUCUCGAACCGAGAAUGUGAUAUGAUGAACAACUCCGAAAAUAAGAAAUUUAUCACUUGGAUGAAACAAGAAUAAUAAUUAUGUUAUGCGUAUCCUUCACCAAUUUAAAUUGAUGACAAGCAACGGAUUUAGCAUGCCACUUAUUCUCGUAGAAAGGAUUAAGAGAGAUAUAGCGUAAACUAGAGAAAAGUCUUCAACGAUCUACCGGUAGGAUUUAAACAACGAAUAAAUUAAUAUGAGAACAUAGGAAGAGGAAUCUUGAACAAACCACCAGUAGGAUUCAAAAAGAACGAAUUAAUUGAUAUGAUAACAAAGGAAGAGGAAUGUUGACCACCAUAAAAAUUGAAAAUGAAAGUAGCAAAGGCACAAUUCACGGGGAAGAAUUGGAAAACGAAUGAAGAUACUUGAGGGGAUUUAGAUACAUGAGAACGAAGAGAUCAUGAACUGAUUAGAGGGUAUUUGAACGAUGCACCGGUAAGAUUUGGAGAACGAUAGCUACACGCUAAGAAUGAAGAAUUAUGACAUGAUGGCCUUCGGAGGAAAUAAAUGGAAACAACUCAUGAAAUGCUCUGGAUGGGUGAAAAGAAUUCUCACAAUUGAAAACAAUUAUGAAAGGAUGGCAUCAAGCUUGAACUACACAUCUUUGGAAGAACGGGUAAGGAUUUAAGAGGAACUCUUUUUCGGUCUUCAAAGCUGAGAAUGACGAGGAGAAACACCACCCAAUUGUUGAGACACUCCGGAAGGAUUAAAAGAGGAAAGGUUGAGCCAAAGCUGAAAAGAAUUUGAAAGCGACCUUGGAGAAGGCAUGUGACUGAUGAAAAUUCAUUCUUACGUCAAACUUGGAAAUGAAUUUGAGAAUGGCUCUGGGAAAAUUAGAAGAGUCAGGUAAUUUCUUGGGAAAAGACCUGUGGGUUAGGGCCCACAGAAAAUAAACAUCGUUGAAGGAUUGCUUGAAAUAGAGAUUGCCCCGGUUGAAUUAAAUCGCUUGAAUGAGAGAAAACCUUGAAGUAACUCGAACGGAUUAAGAAUGGAAACAUGAUUCUUCUAAGAUAUUUUGAGCACUUCGGAUAUGAACUGGGAGAGGUGAAUAAAUAAGAGAGCCUUGGAUAAGAAAUUCACAUGGGAAGAGAUGUGACACAAAAGGAAGAGAUAUAAUCAACACCAAAGCUUGAAAUUAAUCCACCAGAGAAGAAAAGAGACAAAGAAUAAUAGACUUGAAGCUCUGUUAGUAUCUUCCUAAAAAACACCGGAUAAGAACAUUGAUUGAAAAGAGUGAAGAAACUUCACAUCAAUAAAAGGAUACUUGAUUAAGAAAUCUAGGUUCUUGAAGAAAAAAGUGUGGGAGGGCAGGAAACAAAGGCAACUUGGGACGGAUGGAAGAAACACUGUUGAGAAAACUUAGAAAUGAUCUUGCGGAUGGGAAAAAUGAUAGGAUCCACUUGAAGAGAAGCACGCCGGUUGGAAAAGAAUUAACAUGAUGACCUCGAUGAUCAAGAAGGAUUAGUAUUCACAUAGCAAUAUGAGAACACCGUUUGGGAAAGGUAUGGAUUCAACAUUUGACUUCGAAGCAACUCGAAUACCACAAAUAAAACAAAACUAAGGAUUUGGCUUGCAGAAUAAGCCGGGACAAAUACAUAUGAUAGAGAUUUACCCAAUCCCAUAUCAUGUAUCUGUCGGAAAGAUAUUCUAGGAGCUACUUGAAUUCCCACCUAUAAAACUCCCGAAACUUUCUGGUUAUGCAAUCUGGUGUUGGGGAUACAGGGGAAGCAAUAUAUAUCUGACCCAAAACUAACAAUCCCUACAUCCAGCUGUAUCCAUCCGUCAACACAUAACCAAGAAACUUUCAGAAAUCGUGUACCUCAACCUUGAAAAAGCAUCCGUUAUACUAGCUAUGGCAAUACUCCCGAACUCCCCAGUACUGGGUGGUGUCGAGGUUAUCUUACCACUUGCUGCAUAAAAGAGAUUUUCGAUGUCGGCGAAACUCAGGUAUUCUAGAACUGCAAUGAUAAAAUUGUGACGACAACACCUCGGAGCUCAACUCCCCGGGACACUGCCAUAACCCCUAAAUGUCAGGAGGCACCAAGAACAAUGUUCUCGUCAUAAGACUAUCGGAACGAUCCCAAGAUACCCGCGUGAUCCUAAAUUUUUUUAGUGAAAUUUGAGGAGAGGGAAGACAAAACAUCUACGUGAGGAGGCCUCACCAGAGCGACGAAGGGACUGAGGAGUAAAAAGAAUCCUACUCUCCGAUAUAUAUAAUCCAAGACUCAAAACAUUUUUGUUCUAGACUCAACAACGUCAACGAUUCGAUCAAGCAGGGGGCUCCUAAGUCGGGGAUGGCUCUGAUUACCAACUUGUAACAUCCACGAUGAGGCUAUAUCUCCCACAUGUCGAAGCACGACUUAGAGGCAUAACUGCAUUGUGGUUUUAUAGCAAGAAGGGUCAUCUUCACACAAUCCCAUGUAAUGAACAAGAAAGGGAUAAAGAGUUGGCUUAUAAUCGCCACUUCACACAAGUACUUAAAUAAAUCAUACAUCAUUCAGAGUACACACAUAGUCCGACUACGGACAAAUCCAAAUGAAAAGAAGAUAACCCCAAAUGCUAGAUCCCUGAUCAUCCCAGCUGGGCUGCACUACUGAUCAACAUGUAACAAAACAUAGCAAUGACCAAGAUCUUCGUUGAGCUCCCAACUAAGCUCGGUUGCAUCACCAGCACUGGUAUCAUCGACACCUGCAACUUUUGUGAUAGGAUCUGGUGAGUCACGAGGACUCAGCAAUCUCAAAACCCGCGAGAUCAAGAAUAUUUAAGCUUAUGGGUAGGAAGUGGGAAUGAGGUGGAGUUGCAGCAAGCACUAAGCAAAUAUGGUGGCUAACAUAUGCAAAUAAGAGCGAGAAGAGAAGCAAUGCAACGGUCGAGAAGCUAGAAGUGAUCAAGAAGUGAUCCUAAAACUACUUACGCACAAUCAUAACACAAAGACCGUGUUCACUUCCCGGGCUCCACUGAAAAUAUACCAUCAGGACUACACACACGGUUGAUGCAUUUUAGUUAAGUCAAGUGUCAAGUUCUCUACAACCGGAUAUUUACAAAUUCACAUCUACCACAUAACCGCGGGCACGGCUCUCGAAAGUUUAUACCCUGCAGGGGUGUCCCAACUUAGCCCAUCACAAUCUCUGACGAUCAGCGAAGGAUAUUCCUUCUCCCGGGAAGACCCGAUAAGCCUCGGAAUCCCGGUUACAAGACAUUUCAACAAUGGUAAAACAAGACCAGCAAGACCGCCCGACUGUGCCGACAAAUCCCGAUAGGAGCUGCACAUAUCUCGUUCUUAGGGCACACCGGAUGAACACUAUGUACAGCUAAAACCAACCCUCAAGUUUCCCCGAGGUGGUGCUGCAAGUGGCUCUAGUUCGGACCAACACUUAGAGAAGCACUGGCCCCGGGGGGGUUAAUAUAAAGAUGACCCUCGGGGCUGCAGACCCCAAGGGAGGGUUAUAGGUUGUUAGGCAAAUGGAAAACCAAUGUUGGGCCUUGCUGGAGGAGUUUUAUUCAAGGCGAACUGUCAAGGGGUUCCCAUGAACCCGACCGCGUGAGGAACGCAAAAUCAAGGAACAUAACACCGGUAUGACAGAAACUGAGGCGGCAAGAGUGGAACAAAAUAGCAGGCAUAAGGCCGAGCCUUCCACCCUUUACCAAAUAUAUAGAUGCAUUAAUUAAAAUAAGAGAUAUUGUGAUAUCCCAACAUAACCAUGGUCCAACACGGAGCAAUCUUCAACUUCACCUGCAACUAGCAACACUAUAAGAGGGGCUGAGCAAAAGCGGUAACAUAGCCAAACAACGAUUUGCUAGGAAGGGUGAAAAAGUUAGAGGCUGACAUGGCAAUACGGGAGGCAUGGUAAAGAAUUGAAAGGUAGCGCAACAUAGUGAUAGAACGAAGCAACUAGCAAGCAAAUAUAGAAGUGAUAUCGAGGGUAAUGGUCAUCUUGCCUGAGAUCCCGCAAGGAAGAAGAAUGAGUCCAUGAAGAAGACAAAUGGACAUAGUCGAACAAAUCGUCACAAACGCAACGUUACCGGAACUAUCAAGGGGAAGCACAACCGGAAAGAAGCAAACAACAUGGUAAACAACCAUCACAUAAACAUGGCAUGAUGCACAAGUAUGAUGCAUGUCCGGUUUAAAGAGGCAUGGCAUGGCAAUGCGCAACAAACAAUACUACACAUUAAGUGGAGCUCAAUAUGCAACCAGUUGCAUAUUGACGAAACACCACAUCAAUUAUUUAGUUCUCUCUAAGUUAUGUACCCAACAAUAUUAAAUGUUAUUAAACAUGGCAAGAGGUGAAACAUAGUAAAACUAUCUAGCUAGGAAAGUUUAAAUGAGGCCGGAAACAACAAACAACAAUUCUGGAAAAUCCUCAUGUGCAUAUUUCGAAUUCGGUACUGUUCUGCCCUAAACCAUAUUUUAAUGUUGUUAAGCAGUAAAACAAAGUGCACCAUGUUAAACUAUGCAUUUUUCCACCCCAUUAACAUAUAAAGUUUAUUAAAAUUUGAGCAACGGUUAUUUAGUUAUGAAAUAAAUCAUUUUAGCAUGGCAUUUGAGCAAAUUUAAUCAAACAACAUUUUAAACAUUUCAAACAUGGAUGAAAGUUGCAUAUUAUUAAACUAGAUAAAUUCUAAGCAUUUUACAUGUUUAAAUCAUUUUAAUCCGAUGCACCAUUUGUGAGGUAUUAAAUGCAUGACCUAGAGGUACUUUUCCACAAAUAUGCACUCUCUGGAUAAAUACUAAAAUUGCUGGACAGGAAAAAAACAUAACGGGCUGAAUCAAGUUGGCCUAACAGGAGGAAAAAAAUCAGAGGAGGGGGCGCUGCUCACAUUUGGCCUUGAGGCCGAAUCUGGAGCUGGGCCAGGGGCGCUGGGAUGAGGUAGCCCACGCAGCAGGACGAUGCGUCCACGGCGCGGGCGAGCGGGCGGUCAACGUGGGGUGGGGCGCUCGUCUUUGAUACAGAGGAAGCAGGGCCAGUGUACUUGGUGAAGGGCAGCGCAACGGACAACGGCAGCGGACCAAGGCGAAGCAGAGGUCUCGUGAAUGGUCGGAAUCGAGCGCGGAGGAGGCCAGGAGGCGCGGGGACGGCGGAUCCAGGCGAUGGCGCGCCCGACAAGAACUUGGCGAUGACGGUUCCUUGCUGCGGCAAGAGCAGAGAGAAAGAUGUGAGAGAGAGUGUUAGGGAAGGGAGAGAGACAGGGAAAGAGAGGAGCGGGAUGAGGCCAGUCUUGGUCGUGGUCGCCAGAGGGCGUGGCCUGCGGUGUUGGCGAGGAGGCAGUCGGGAACACCGGGGUGAGGUACGAGGCGACGAGGAGGAGGCAGGGCCUUGGGUGCUCGCGGACGAGGGACUUGUGGAGGUGGCUAUGGAGCACAGUUAUCGACGCAGAGGAGGAGGCGCUCGGGAAGCACGGGAGCACGGCGAUGAGGGUCAGCGUGGAGUGGAUCGAGGGGGGCUACUGGCAUCUGGAUCGAGGAGAAGCAGUGGAGAGCGAUGGUUGGGGAGGGAUGGAUCCCGAGGGGGAUUUGGUGAGUGGGUGGCGGCGGCUGAUCCGAGGAGGAGAUGGGACAAGAGGGCUAGGAUCUAGGGUUUGGACUGAUUUAGUAAGUAGGUGGCCUAUACAUAUACGAAAGGGGGAUGAUUUGGAUCCUUCGAUCGUGAUCGGGCGGUCCGGAAUAAAUAGGUAGGGAGUCCAAAUAAGAAAAUGAAGAUAUUUUAGGGAUGUUAGGGGAUGAUUCGAAUCCAAUAGAGAUGACUGAGCGGGUCAGGUUCAGGGCAGGUUUUAGACAUGCGCAAGAGGGGGUCGGUGGUUGUGCAGAGAGGUUAGGUGGUCAGACAAGAGGGACUCUAAAAACCUGGUUGGUCUCGGAACGGUCAAAGGAGGCAAGGGGAAUGCGGCAACUACGAACGGGUGCGAGUUUUAUGAAAACAUGCGGAUGCAAUGCACAUGAUGCCAUGAGAUGAGAUGCAUGACAUGAAUAAAAUGCAAAACGAAAGGCAAAAACCCAACCACGGAGAAAAUAAUAUAUCACAUAGCCGAAAAUGGCAAGAGUUGGAGUUUCAAUUAUGGAAAGUUACAUCCGGAGUGUUACACCUGGACUCUGCAAAACUUUCUUUUGCACUUUCCAAAAACCUUGUGGGCUUUCCCCUUUGGCCCAAAUAAAGUGUUCUCGUACCCAACCAUUUCGCGAAACAUCAGGAACCCCUUCCGGAGAGCAAACACUAUUAUCCCAUAUAUCAAUCUUUAUCUCCGGACCAUUCCGGAGUUCCUCGUCAUGUCCGUGAUCAUAUCCGGGACUCCGAACAAGAUUCGGUCACCAACAUACAUAACUCAUAUAAUACUAUAUCAUCAAUAAACGUUAAGCGUGAGGAGCCUAUGGGUUCGAGAACUAUGUAUACAUGACCGAGACACCUCUCUGGUCAAUAACCAAUAGCGGAACCUGGAUGCCCAUAUUGGCUCCUACAUAUUCUACGAAGAUCUUUAUCAGUCGAACCGCAUAACAACAUACGUUGUUCCCUUUGUCAUCGGUAUGUUACUUGCCCGAGAUUCGAUCAUCGGUAUCUCAAUACCUAGUUCAAUCUCGUUACCGACAAGUCUCUUUACUCGUUCCGUAAUACAUCAUCCCGCAACUAACUCAUUAGUCACAUUUCUUGCAAGGCUUAUAGUGAUGUGCAUUACCGAGAGGGCCCAAAGAUACCUCUCCGACAAUCGAAGUGACAAAUCCUAAUCUUGAUCUAUGCCAACUCAACAAGUACCAUCGGAUACACCUAUAGAGCACCUUUAUAAUCACCUAGUUACGUUGUGACGUUUGGUAGCACACAAAGUGUUCCUCCGGUAUUCAGGAGUUGCAUAAUCUCAUAGUCAUAGGGACAUGUAUAAGUCAUGAAGAAAGAAAUAGCAACAUACUAAAUGAUUAAGUGCUAAUCUAACAGAAUGGGUCAAGUCAAUCACAUCAUUCUCUAAUGAUGUAAUCCCGUUAAUCAAAUGACAUCUCAUGUCUACGGCUAGGAAAUUAACCAUCUUUGAUUCAACGGGCUAGUCAAGUAGAGGCAUACUAGUGACAUUCUAUUUGUCUAUAUAUUCACAGAUGUUCUAAGUUUCCGGUUAAUACAGUUCUAGCUUGAAUAAUAAACAUUCAUCAUGAUAUAAGGAAAUAUAAACAACAACUUUAUUAUUGCCUCUAGGGCAUAUUUCCUUCACCUAUAGGGCAAGGAGGAAGGCUGUUGGUGUGGUGCAGGGUGACCACAAGUAGCAGUACUUGAGGCUAAGGGAUUACCUUCAAGCUGUUCUUGAUACAAACUCUGGGAGCAGGUGUAUUGUAACAACAUUUGUUGACCCAGAAAACCCUGCACCCACUCCUAGAUUCAAGUACAUGUUCUACUGUUUGACAGCUUCAAAGGAAGGGUUUCUUAAUGGUUGUAGACCAUUUAUAGGUAAAUAUUUCCUAAUUGUGUUGUACAUAUUUGUGUGUCAAUUUUCUUCUAUAGCUAAUGUGUGACUCCAUCCAGGGCUUGAUGGAUGUUUCAUCAAGUUAACCACUGGACAACAAAUUCUUGCUGCCAUAGGAAGGGAUGGCAACCACAACAUCUACCCUAUAGCUUUUGGUGUGGUUGACAAGGAAGAUGGAGACAGUUGGACUUGGUUUUUAACUCAGUUGAGAUGUUGCAUUGGUAGUGGCAACAAAUUUGGAACAUACACAAUAAUAUCUGACAUGUAAAAGGUUAGAAACUAAAUCAUUGAUCAUAGUUGCUAUAGUAAUUCAUUGAAUUAUGUGAGUGUGUUCAUAUGUAGAUCUAUUUUGUGAAUGUAAAGGGUUUACUUAAGGCAAUAAAUGAAGUGUUCCCUGAUUCACCUCAAAGAUUCUGUCUUAGGCACAUAUAUGCCAACUUCCAAUCAGCUGGUUACAGAAGCAAAGAACUACAGAAGUGUGUUGACAAGGCUAGCUACUCUUAUACCAGACAUGGGCAUGAAUUAGGGACGGCAGAGCGGAAAGCACAGUGUGAGGAUGCUUGGAAAUGGCUUAAAAAUAUAUAAGUCUCUGCUUGGGCUAGGUAUGCUGUGGACCAUACUUGCAAAACAGAUCUAGUUGUGAACAACCUUAGUGAAGUCUUCAACAAGAUGAUACUUGAUGUUAGAUCCAAACCAAUAAGGACAAUGUUUGAAGGGAUCAGGACAAAGCAGAUGAUCAAGAGGCAACAGACUAGGGAGAAGUUACAGACUUGCAGGUGGACAAUCACACCAAAUUACUCAGAGAUUCUAGAGGAGAAUAAAAAAUAUGCCAAGUACUGCCAGGCUAACAGAGCUGGUGAAAUAAUUUGGCAAGUAACAAGCAAAGAAAAUCAAUAUUGUGUGGACAUAGCAACCUGCACAUGUGACUGCAAGAGACGGAACAUGACAGGUGUACCUUGCAGUCAUGGCAUAUCUGCAAUGACAAAGCAAAAGCUGCAUCUUGAGGAUUAUGUGUCUGAAUUCUUCAAGAAGCCAUUGUACAUGGAGACAUGGAAAGCAAUUAUUUACCCUGUCCCUGGUCCAGAUUGCUGGCCUAAUAUAAACACUCAAGACAUUCAUCCUCCUGCGUUUAAAGAAAAGGCAGGCAAAAAGCAGACAACAAGGAGGAAGGGAGAGUUUGAGGUUCUAGCUCCAAGAGACACAAGUAGGAUGGGCACUAUCACAUGUGGAAACUGUGGUUUGGAAGGACACAGGUAUUCAACAUGCAACAAGACUCUGAAGCCUAGUCUUCAGAUGAGGAAAAACAAACACGAGGUAAUUAUCAAGCUUGGGAAAAAUCUCAGACACUUCUGAAUGAGUACACUUUUAGAAAUAAAAGUUAUGUUUGACAUGCAUGAAAACAUGGCAGUUUACUCUGAUAUACCUACUGCAAGAACCACAUCAGUCCCUGUUACAAGAGGUAGAAGAGGAGCACAAGCAUCAUGUAGGCCUACUACAUCUCAACCAGGUCCUUCUACUUCUGCACCAGGCCCUACACCAAGAGCUAAAAUAGGUAGGACGGCAGGUGGAGGGAGGACUCAUGGAUUCACUGCACCAAGAGCUUCAACCACUUCAGAUAUUCAAGAGGAAGAGGAACGCAAGCUCAAAAUUGGCAGGCUACUUCUACUGCAGUGGUAACUACUGAAACCUGUCAGCACUGUUGUUGGUUUUAUGUGCACUUUCUAGAUUUGUUGUGCACUUUUUGAAUUUGUUGUGAACUUUUGUGAACCUGUCGUGCACUUUUCUGAACCUGUUGUGCACUAUCUGAACCUGUCGUUGAAAGUGCAACUAUCCCUAGGUGGUUUUGGUAAUUCCUAACAACAUAUAGCUCAUUGAGCUAACAUCUUUCCAAGACAAACAUUUCAGGAAAAUCUCAAUGAAUGGCAUGGCAUAGAUGAGGAUAAAAGGAUUGGCUCAAGCUCAAAAGCUCAAGACUCUACAUUUUACAUUUUAGUGGUCCAAGAUCACAUUGAGUCUAUAGGAAAAGACAAUACUAUGAAGGAGGGAUGAGGUGUUGCUUGAUGAAUUAUUGCUUCAAGUGCUUAGUGAUAUGCUCCAAAAACCCUCAACUACUUUCUCAUAUCCACAUAUGACCUAAACCUAUAGUCAAACUCACCCCCACCGAUUCUUUCUAUCCGGCGCCACUGAGUUCAGAUGUCAUAGCCACUGCCACAAACCCUAGGCAAAUCGGUCUCACCGAUUGGGAUCUCGGUCCACCGAGAUGGGAUUGUAAUCUCUUUUUUUCCCUUCGUAACGUUUCGGUCUAACCGAAGUGAGCGAUCGGUCCCACCGAGAUUGCAAUGUAAACUCUCUGUUUCCUUUUCAUAACAUUUUGGUCAAACCGAAAAGAGCGAAUCGGUCCCACCGAAUUUACCUGACCAACUCUCUGGUUUGCUUAUUACUAAAAUCGGUCUCACCGAGUUGUGUAAUCGGUCUCUCCGAGAUUACAUUAUUCCCUAACCCUAACCACAUCGGUCCUACCGAGUUGCAUGUCGGUCCCACGGAAAACCCUAACGGUCACUAGGUUUACUAAAUCGGUCUGACCGAGUUUGUUGAUUCGGUCCCACCGAGAUUGGUAAAUUGUGUGUAACGGUUAGAUUUUGUGUGGAGGCUAUAUAUACCCCUCCAACUCCUCUUCAUUCAUGGAGAGAGCCAUCAGAACAAACUUACACUUCCAACUUACCAUUUCUGAGAGAGAACCACCUACUCAUGUGUUGAGGCCAAGAUAUUCCAUUCGUACCAUAUGAAUCUUGAUCUCUAGCCUUCCCCAAGUUUCUUUCCACUCAAAUCUUCUUUCCACCAGAUCCAAAUCUUGUGAGAGCGAGUUGAGUGUUGGGGAGACUAUCAUUUGAAGCACAAGAGCAAGGAGUUCAUCAUCAACACACCAUUUGUUACUUCUUGGAGAGUGGUGUCUCCUAGAUUGGCUAGGUGUCACUUGGGAGCCUCCGACAAGAUUGUGGAGUUGAACCAAGGAGUUUGUAAGGGCAAGGAGAUCGCCUACUUCGUGAAGAUCUACCGCUAGUGAGGCAAGUCCUUCGUGGGCGACGGCCAUGGUGGGAUAGACAAGGUUGCUUCUUCGUGGACCCUUCAUCGGUGGAGCCCUCCAUGGACUCGCGCAACCGUUACCCUUCGUGGGUUGAAGUCUCCAUCAACAUGGAUGUACGAUAGCACCACCUAGCGGAACCACGGCUCAAAAAUCACCGUGUCUCCAAAUUGCAUUUGAAAUCUCCAAACCCUUCCCUUUACAUUCUUGCAAGUUGCAUGCUUUACUUUCCGCUGCUCAUAUACUCUUUGCAUGCUUGCUUGAAUUGUGUGAAUAUUGCUUGACUUGUGCUAAGAUAGCUAAAAUCUGCCAAAGACUAAAAUUGGGAAAAGGUUAAGUUUUUAAUUGGUCAAGUAGUCUAAUCACCCCCCUCUAGACAUACUUCCGAUCCUACAAGUGGUAUCAGAGCUUUGGUCUCCAUUUGCUUUGAUUUCCAUAGCUUUUGGUGGUCAUAGCCUUGGUUUCACAACCUAGGAGAGAGUAUGGCGUCUAGCGAGGGAAAUUAUCACCGUAGAGGUCCUUACUCCUUACUUUGAUGGUACUAAUUUUGCAUGUUGGAAGCAUAAGAUGAAAUUGCAUAUUCUCGGACAUAACCCCGCCAUUUGGGCUAUUGUGUGUAUUGGCUUGCAAGGUGAAUUCUUUGAUGGGAGGGAACCAAACCAUGAAGCUAGCACGGAAGAAUUGAAGAUGCUGCAAUACAACGCUCAAGCUUGUGAUAUCCUCUUCAACGGAUUGUGCCCCGAAGAAUUCAACAAAAUCAGCCGUCUUGAGAAUGCAAAGGAAAUUUGAGAUACUUUGAUUAAUAUGCAUGAAGGAACUGACUCCGUCAAGGAAUCCAACUUGGAUGUGCUCCAAAGUCAACUUGACAAGUUCAAAAUGAAGGAUGGUGAAGGUGUCGCUGAAAUGUACUCUAGGCUUGCUCUUAUCACAAAUGAGAUUGCGGGCUUAGGAAGUGAAGAGAUGACGGACAAAUUCAUCAUCAAGAAGAUCCUAAGAGCAUUGGAUGGAAAAUAUGAUACCGUGUGCACAUUGAUCCAAAUGAUGCCCAAUUACAAGAAUCUCAAGCCAACGGAGGUCAUUGGAAGGAUUGUUGCUCAUGAGAUGUCACUCAAGGAUAAGGAGGAACUUCACAACAAGUCAAGUGGUGCUAACAAAGCCUCAUGUGAAGCUCCUACAUCAUCAAGUGAGAAACAAACCUUCAAUGAAGAAUUGAGCUUACUGUGAAGAAAUUCAACAAAUUCUACAAGAGUAGAAGCAAAGAGAGAAGCUCCAAGUCAAGGUCCUACAAUGACAAAAGAUCUUCCAGUCGAGAGCGCAAUUGCUACAAUUGUGGGAGACCCGGACACUACUCCAAUGAGUGUACGACUGCCUACAAAAGAAGAGAAGAUUCUCCCAAGAGAAGAAUUAGAAGAGAAGAAUCACCGCCAAGAGAGAGAAGGAGUAGAGAUGAUCGUUAUGAACGAAGAACAUCCUGGAGAAGCAAGGAUUCGGAAAGGAAGGAUAGGUCACCAAAGAGCUACACAAAACGAAGACAUCAAGCUCAUGUUGGUGAAUGGGUAUCCGGUUUCGACUCUGAACAUCACUCCGAGAGAAGCUAUCACUUUGACUCCGAACAUAAUCAAGAUGAAGGUGUUGCCGGUCUAGCAUUUGUCUCAACCAACUCCUACGACAUAUUUGAUUCACCAAAUGAAGGAAUUGGAAGAUGCUUCAUGGCUAAAGGCCCAAAGGUAACACACCCCGAGUAUGUUGAUUUCAAUAGUGAUGAAGAUGACUUGUUAGGUGAUGAUGAUUUACUUAUUGACAACUCUAGUGAUGAAUACUAUGAUGAAACGUCAAUUAAUCAUGCUAAUCAAGAUAAAACGAAUGACAAUGAUAAGGAGAAAAUUGAGCUCCUAACUAAAGAACUAAACACUCUUAAGUUACCUCAUGAAACUAUCUUGGAAGAUCAUCAAGAACUUUUGAGGACUCAUGAGAAGUUACGCUUUGAAAAGCUCAAUCUUGAGCAAGAGCAUGAGUUCUUAAAGGCAAUCAAUGAUGAUCUUUGUAAGAAAAGUUCUUCUUACAUUGCCAAGCGUUUACUCUUAUCUACUUACAUGACUCAAGUCAAGUCUAGUAACAAAAACAAGACGGAUUCUUCCUCUAGUAGUAACAAUAAUCAUGCUAAAUCCAAUAUUGUUGCUUCUAGUAGUUCUCUUGAUUCCACUAAUGAUUCUCUUAGCCAAGUUACACUUGAGCAAUAAAAUAGCUUAUUGAAGGGAAUCAUAGAGAAAGGUGUUUACAAGAGCCUUGCCGGGAGUAAGAAAUUCGAGGAAAUUGUACGCAAGCAAGGAAGUCACCGGAAGAAUCAAGGUGUUGGUUUUGAACGAAAGUUCAAUGCCAAUGGACACUACAAGAAUCAUGUUAAUACGUGACGAUAUAAAUCCGUCAUGGACCAGUGUUAAACCGUCAAGGAAGGGCAGGCAUGACGAAUUUGAAAUCCGUCAUGUAUAUCGUGUCAUAAUUUGACCAUAAUGAUAUCCUUGACGGAUGUGUGAAACCGUCACGGAUUCAUGACAGUUUUUGUCCGUCAUGGAUGGCACUUAACUUACAUGCUCAUAACGGCGUUAAGUUGUCCGCCGUGUCAUCAUUUGACGUGGAUCUGAUGUGGCAGCCCAUGAACUAAGCGACCCAAUUAAUAUUCCGGCCCAUCAUUUUUCAUCUCAAUGCAAGACCUACCAACCAUGUAGUAGUCGGCCUAAUUGGAAUUUCAGCCCAUUAAAUUUCAGAUCGGUGCAAGGCAAACAAUUUUUAGCCCUAUAAGCCAGACCAUCUCACAUUUCUCUUGGUCCAUGAUUUUUUUUAUUUUAAGCCAAUAAUUAUUUAUAGAAAAUACAUGGUAUGUAAUUAAAGAAAAGGAAAUCACCAAAAAAUAACAAUUUGUGCAAAAGGAAAAACACCACAAAAACAUAAAUUACAGACAUUUCUAGAUGAUACCAUGUAGAGGAGCAAAAACACAAGAAACUUCAAUCUAUAAACAAGUGCUAGAGAACACCCCAUGCUGCUUGGCAGCCACUGCCGCCCAGCGCUCAACAGACGACAACCGGGGGUAAUUCACAUGCCUUCCUGGACACAGAUCCAGCCAUCCCCACCAACAUCAUCGAAGGAAGCAACCAUAUCACCUCAACCCAUGCUCCUAAGGACCCGCGGGACGUUGCCUGCACAUAGACAACCCGUAAGACUGACUCAAAAAAUGAAAAGUAUGGGUUUAAGCAUGUGUUUUCAUCCAUACACAAAACUAUACCAAAGGUAAAGUGAACCGUGCAUGUCAACUUCAAAUAAUGGUAUUUUUACUAUGACGCCAAUGCAGCACAAGCUAGCAACCAACAACGAUUUCAGGAUAACAUAAAAUCACAUUUGAAAUAUCAAACAGGAAAAGAAACAGAAGCAUGGAAAUUGAUGAUAAAGAUCCUGGUACAUAUAUUCUUUCCAUUUCUUAAUUUCACAAUGCACACAUACAGUUGCAAUAAAAAGUAUUAUGAGAUCUGAGAUGUUCAUGAAAACAACACAAAAUGAUAAAAUUGGACCAGAUUAAGAGCAUAGUGAAAUCCAAUGAUGGACAAAAAAAGCCUAAUAGUGAGUUCCCUAUUGAGUUGAGAUGGUUACGUAGAAACAAAUCAUGUCGCUGGUGGCCAGAUCAAACAUUUACGGAUAAGGGGAAAGUGGUAGCUUUGGUGCAGCUACUGUACCUUGGAUGCGUAGCAUUGGAUGGGGAUCACGAGCACGCAGCCGCACCUGUACCCAGUUCCCUAGGACCUUGAGAACCUGUACCUUUGAUGUGUAGCAUUGGAUACAGAAUCAAGGAGGUGUGAGAUUGCUGCGAGGGAAAGAUCAUCCUGGCUGCAACCACAGCAAGCAACAGCAGCCUCACUCCGCCAACGGUUAUUUCUUUUCAGAUGAAUGUGGAGAUUUGGUGAUGUUUAAACAAAAGAGCUUCCCUAUGAAUAUUUCUUUUCAAAGUUGUAACGGGGGAUGAUUCUAUGUGAGAGAUAAGUAGCUAACAGCAUAUACUUGGAAGGGAUGAUAAACGUACUGAAUUUAGGAUACAGUGCCAUCUUUUACUCUCAAGUAAUGAUAGCAAAUGUUGUUUGCAGAUUUGUUUCUACAGAAUGUUGUGUGGAUAUUCUUAUGGGACAAUUGCAUUUUUACCCCUAGUUGGUUCCUACCCACGGGUUUUGCCCUUACUUUUCGAGCUUGCUUAGUUUUGCCCUUACUUUUUCCAUCGAGGUCCCUCGAAUGCCCCUUGACCGUUUAACCAAAACUUUGAAAAAUCAUAACUAAUUCAUACGAACUUAGAAAAAUGCAAAUAAGAUAUCAAACUGUUCAGAUAAACAUUACCUUUAUGGGCAUAUCAUUUGCAUUCCGGACAAAAGCAUCGUUUAAACUACCCAAGGUAAUUAAUGUUAUUAACAUUAUUAAAAAUAAAUAGGUAUAAACAAUAUUUUUUUCAUGAAUAAAAAUUACAUGCAAAUGUAGGUGAUGUUUUCUGAACAUCCUGAUAACUUAUAUGCAUUUUUUGAGUUUGUAUCAACUUGUUAUGAAUGUUCUAACGACUUUUACCAUUAUUUGGAAACUUCAUAACAAGUUGAUACGAACUCAGGAAAAUGCAAAUAAGGUAUCAGAAUGUUCAGAAAACAUCACCUACAUUUGCAUAUAAUUUUUAUUCAUGAUUUUUUUUUAUACCUAUUUAUUUUUAAUAAUGUUAAUAACAUUAAUUACCUCGGGUAGUUUAAACAAUGAUUUUGUCCUCAAUGCAAAUGAUAUGCCCAUAAAGGUAAUCUUUAUAUGAACAUUUUGAUAUCUUAUUUGCAUUUUUCUGAGUUCAUAUGAAUUAGUUAUGAAUUUUCAAAGUUUUUGUCAAACGGUCAAAGGGCAUUCGAGGGACCUCGAUGGAAAAAGUAAGGGCAAAACCGAGCAAGCUCGAAAAGUAAGGGCAAAACCCGUGGGUAGGAACCAACUAGGGGUAAAAAUGCAAUUGUCCCUAUUCUUAUUGCUGCAGAUGAAUCCUAUAUAUUAUUUUACAUAUACUCUCUAAGUUACAGUAGUUCUGGUGCAGUGUGCAGGUUUUGUUAGAAGAUGCCACGUGCAAAUUCUCAUCUCUGUAGGUGAUUCUCAAUAAUUAUAACAAAGAAAGGUUAGUAAGAGUUUAUCUCCAUCUCCAAUUUAUCUAUUGGAUUUUAAUUCUAAUCUUUUCCUAGGUGGCAAUCAUGUUAACAUAUUACCUGGAGGUCGUCAAUUUUCUACUUCCAUAAUUUUGUCCUUGCGUGCAUUUUUCGGAGACACAGGGAAAGAUUAGCAUGGCUCCAACCAUGGCAAGGCACCCAGCAUGCAUGUCCCUUACAAGUGGCAGCACCUUUACUAACAAGUAUGAAAUUGAUACCCAGCGGCAAGCAUUGCUCAUCCCUGCCCAACAGAAUUAACUUUUAAAUGGAUAACAGUGUUUAUUUCUUUCCACAUGAUUGUGGAGAUAUGAAUUUAGGAAAAUGAUAGAAUUACAUGUGAAAGCUAACAGAUUAUCCUUUGAGGCAAUGCUUAAGGUCCUGAAUUUAGGAUACGGUGCAUCACAUAUUAUCAAAGUUUUGGAUAGCAUUCUGUCUCAGCGCUAUAGCAGCACUAUACUAUUCAGAGGGGCAUCAUGCUAAGCCACUUAGCGCAAAUAUAGCACGCUAUUGCUUCUGCCGCUAUCUGCCGUAGCCCUCUAUUUAAAACUUUGCAUGUUAUAUCAGGUAAUAGUAGUUGAUGUUGUGUGCAGAUUUCUCUUCUAAAUGCAGUCUGUACACAUUUCUUGCACCUGUCAAAUGAGUGAUGAAUGAAUUAUUUUUGCAGCACAACAAGCAAACACUCCAUUCACAAGAGAAGAAAGUCCGAUUUUACACAAGCAAUGGUUAAAGGUUGAAUGUUCAGUGGCACACAUAAUAUAACAGUAAAAAAGAUGCCAAUUGUGGCAUCAGAUUGGGAGCAAGAUUUUUUUCAUGCUGUGGGCAUGGAGAACUCUAUAUAAAUUGAACCAAGCCAAUGAAUCAAUAUUCCCUAAGCAGAACCAACUGAAAACCAUGGUAAAAAAAGAGUUGAAAGUAACACAGAACAUAGGGCCUGGACCAUCCAUCCAUCUCUCUCUCUCUCUCUCUCUCUCUCUCUCUGGAAGCAACCAUCCAUGCAUGUACAAAGUAAACUGGAACCAAAUCCAAGCUGCUCCAUGGAUAUGAUAGGAUCAGAUUGGAGCAAAGGAAACUAGUUUGCUAGCUAGGCAGGGCGGAGGUAAACUAAAACGCUGCAAAUAGGAAGGAAGGGUCGUGGUCUUACCACCGCGGUGGUGCAGGGGCGCUGGAUAUGGCUGGCCAGGCCGGAUCUGAAGAAAUAGUGGGAGAAGCGAGACCUUACUUGCUCCAUUGCGACGUCCCUGCAUCUAUUGAGCUGUAGCUGCGUGGGGAAGGAAAUCAGGGAAGGAGAUCAAAUCAAACCGAAUAGAUAAGAUGGGUAAUGGCUGACCUUGAGGCGCAGCCAUGUGUGUGCUCAUGCAGCUCUUAUGGCCUCCAUCGAUGGACGGUCAAUCUCCGUCAUCGGAUCCUUGACGAAGCCCUCUUCUCGGUUGUGGGAGGAAGCCGGAUAGGGAGGGAGAGGACGCUGGUUGUGUCCCUGGCAGAUCUGACCGCCGCCCGACCCGCAUUAAUGGCACCGGCAGCGCAUGCACUAGGUUCGCUCUCAGGGGCAUCCACGCCUCCGGGAACGAGGCUACCGUCGCGGCGUUUUCGGGAAGCAAAGGGGCAGAUGGACGUGGUUGGGGAGGUGGCGGCGGCCGUGGUUGGGUAGGUGGCGGCGGCCGCGGAUGGCGAGGGUGGGGGAUCUGGAAGAUGGGGAUAGUGAGAUCUACAGGGAGUCGGGGAGGAUGGAGUUGAUUGCUUGCCGUUGGAUCACACAAGAGGAGACGGUCUGGAUUUGCGAUCCGUGGGAUUGUUAGCUCAACCAAUCAGAACGCGAGUUUUCCCUCAUGCUGGAUUGCCACAUCAGCACCAUCCAUCCAUGACGGUCUAAAUGUUGUAUAAGAAUAAAAAAUAAAUGCCCAGUUAGUUGACCCAUGACGGUUUCUGUGACAGCCUCUCUUUAUCUGUCAUAAUGGGGCUACCGGUUUAGGGGGCCAUCGUUAAGUUGCUGAUAUAUGACGGAUUUUGUGACGAACCUAAUAAACUCCGUCAUAAUUUGUGACAGUUUUCGAGAACGUCACCAGAAAACUGUCAUGGAUUAACAGGUUUUUUGUAGUGGGAGUUGAGUGGGAAGAAGAUCAAUACCCCAAGACGAAGUUUGUUCCUCAACAAGAGAAGUAUGAUCCUACUUCCUUCAAGGGGACACAAGCUCAAGAUGAUCUUCCACCACAAGACCACAAGAAAAAAGGCAAUGACAAGCUUCAAUAGGAGAUUGAUGCAUUUGAAGAAGCUCCUAAGGCCUUGGUCAAGUGGGUUCCCAAGACUACAUCAAGUUCUACUUCAUCAAGUACGACUACAACUCCAUGGAUUCCCAUCAAGAUGAUGUGGAUCCCGAAGAAGAAGAACUAGAGAGUUCUUGACGGUGACUCCACCAACAUACUUCGCCCAUAUCUUUUUGGCAACAACAAGUGCAAUCAACUUCCACAUCUUGCACUAGUUCAAGGAGUCACAAACCCUCAUGUUGGUAAGGCAAGGGACAAGGUAACCUAAUGCUUUCAUGGACAUCAUCUUGUGUGUGCAUCACUCUAUGUCUAUGGAUAUACUUGUUUGUUCCUUGUGGGACUAACCCAUGUAGGUAUUGAAAGUGCAACUCACUCGAAAGGAUUGCUCCAAAUGAUCUUCAUCAACAUUGAGCAUCCACAUCUUCAACACCUACAUGAAGUCAUCAUCGACAAAACCCAAGGUUAGUUCAUCUCGCUUAGGGGGGAUCUCACAUCUAGGGGGAGCUUAACUCUAAGAAAUGAGUCGAAGCAACUCUAAUGAUGUGAACACAUCAAUGCAUUAUGUAAAAGUGGUAACCCCACUUGAGCUUAAACGAUGAGUAUGACCUAUGAUCAAAUGUUCUCAUUUGGCUCCUAAGUCAAUAUACUCAUAUAUAGAUGACCUAGUCAUCGCCAAUUGCUUGAUAGAUGCUAGAAUUGGUUGUGCAUGCUUUGCCACAUAUUUCAUUUGCCAUUUUACUGUGUGAGCAUGUUGGUUGCAUAUUUAACUCAUUCAAGGACAUCCACUUGUUGCUUUGAUUGAUUGGCUUCUUUUUCUUUUGCCAAGUGGAUGAACAAGAAUCCCUAAGAACCUUCUCUAGCUAUCUAUGUUUUUCUUGUCUCAAACUCUAUUCAUGCCACAUCACAAAAUUUGAUCAAGUCAGAUUCGAACCACUCUGUGUGAGGAGCACUCGGAGUCCCCGAUUUUUCAUAGACUUAAACUUACAAAACUUGUUUGUGCGUUUCGGUCUGACUGAUUCUUCCAUUUCGGUCAUACCGAGAUCACUAAGUCGAUCUAGGUUUUCAAUCUCGAUGCAACCGAUUUGAACUUUUCGGUCUCACCGAGUUGCUGUAACUGUCAACAGUUAUGCAUCUUGGUGCCACCGAGUUGUUCCAUUCGGUCACACCGACAGGGUCAGGCUAUAUAUACUCAUGGGCAAAAAUUUGGAAACUUUCUCCAAACCCCUUCGCUCGCGCAUAGCUUGCUCUGCCUCUAGGGUCUCCGGAUCGUCGACUUCGUCACCAGCCGCCUCCAGUCGCUGGUCUCCGCCGCCGUUAACGGAAUUCAACCCCGCCGUUGCCCCGUAGCGAGUUCAUCGCCAAACUAGGGUAUGGACUCGAUCACAGUGCUAUCCCCGUCCAAUUCCUAGCACAUUGUGUUCAUCAUGAUUCUUGCCACGAUUGAAAUGAAUCUAUCCAGUCAAAACAAUCCUUAGAUUAGAUGUGAAUUGAAAAUUUAGGGUCAGGUGUCCGCCGAAACCAUCUCAGACCCAUCGAGUUGAAAAACUCGGUUCCACCGAUUCGGCUAAGGCCAUUGCACAAGUCAUUCUCGGUCUGACCAAGAAUUGCAAAUCGGUGUGACCGAGUUUAGAACUCUGUGAAACCCUAGCAGUUUCGGUGCCACCGAACUGUGACUCGGUAUGACCGAGUUUACUAGUUUAGGUUCCAAAAGCUGCUUUGGUAUCACCGAGUUUGCAAAUUGGUUGAUCCGAAAUGCUUUCUAUGGAAAACUAAAACUAAGUUCUUGAAUCAUUCUUUUGCAAAAAUCUCUGCAUUUUGUGAUGCUCAUCCAUUCUAUCUCAUCUAUAUCUAUUCACAGGGUCAGCAGUCAGUGUUUGCAGCAUGUGAAACGAAAGUGACAGCCAGAACAGGGAAGAGGAGCAGGUUCAUAUGAGUGAGGGCACUAGUCCCUCUAGCACCUCAGAUGAGGGCAGCAGAAGCACCCCAAGCAACUUGCCCAAAGCUGCCACCAGGGCCAGAAGGAAGAGAACCUCAGACUCUGAGGAUGAAGACUAUGUGGCAGCUGAAGAUGAGGCCACUUCCAAGAAGAUAGUGCUCAAGAAGGAGUAUGGCUCAGCUGCAGCCACAAAGCCAGGACUAAAAAGGAAGGUCCCUGCCAAGAGGACACCUAUGCUGAAAGUCAGAGGAUCAACUCAAGAACCUGAGAAAUCUGAUCCCAAAGAGGCUGCUGCAGAAGGGAAGAAGAGGAAGGAAAGGGUCAAAAAGACCAUGGCCAGAGUUGUUGGACAUCCUUCCAUGAUGGAAGAGGAAGAGGAAGAAGAGGCUGCUGCUCUAGCACCCAAGGCACAAAAGCUUAUGGGUGAUGCUAUAAAGUCAGGGGCUGCAUCAUCAAUUCCCAAAGAAGCACCCAAAGCUGCCUCCAAGCCCAAGACUGCACCUAAAAGGAAUACUAGGAGUAUACCAGUUGCUGAGAAGAACAAGGCCCCAGUGCCUGAAGUUGCUGAAGAAGAAGAAGAUGAAGGACAAGUUCCGAGGAAGCUAAAACCUAAGAUUCCAGACCACAAUGAUGCCCAUCCAGUGGCUGAGAACAUGAAGCCGAGGAAGGAUGCAGGGCUCAGACAGUGGAGAUUGUCUGAUCCUUAUGCAAUCAGGAGAAGGACUGCUGUUGACUACAGGUUCCACACUAAGGAACAACAGGAUUUCUAUGAGACUGUGCUGCUGGAUAAGAAACCCAUAGUUUGUGACAUGAGGUGGGUGGACUGGAAAUACAUGAAGGCAAAUGAGGAACACUACCCAGGUGUGUUUGACAGCUUCAAGGGUUGUGGAGUUGAUGACUUUGUUGGACAGAAGUUCACCAACUCGAAUGAUGAGCUUGUAAUGCAAUUCUACUCCAUAGCUCACUUUUAUCCUGAUGGCAGAAUAGUCUAGAUGUCUGAAGGUACAAGGUACCAGUCCACAAUUGAAGAAUGGGCAAGCCUGAUCAAUGCACCAGAGGAGGAAGCUGAUGAAUUGGACGUCUAUUCCAAGAAGAAAAUGGAUCACAACUCAAUGUCGCACAUGUACAAGGAGAUACCAGAUAAAGCUCUUGAGACUUUCAAGCUUGGGUCUAUCCAUUUCCUUCUGUCAGGACUGCCAACGAUCAACUGGAUCCUAAGGCACACUCUCUUGCCCAAGUCAGGUGACCACAACAUGAUCAGAGGGCAUGCAAUAAACUUUCUACACAUAUUUGAUGUGCCUCAGAAGUUCAAGGUCAUGAGCCUCAUAGUUGAGACUCUCAAGAGGACAGCAGCAGACCAGUAGAGAAGCUGUGGGUAUGCCCCACAAAUCCAGGAGCUGAUCAACUCCAAGAUGGGCACAUGCAAAUACUGGUUGGAUAAGGAACACUUUGCUAUCUAUCCAGACUUUGAGGACAACCAAGUAGUCAUGAAUGAGAAUGAACCAUCUUUAGUGCAAGCACAAGAGAAGAAGGAGAAGGCACAGAAGGAGAAGGCUGCCAUGAUGCCAACAAUUGAUGAGGCAUCUGAGUACUUUUUGAAGAGCAAGCAGGACAAGCUUGGUUACUUAAUAGCAUCAACUCUGAGGAUUGAGAAAGGGUUGGCCACCCUAACUCAAAACCAGGAGAGCCUGGAAAGAACCAAAAAGUUCUAUGACUUAGAUGUGAAAGUAACUGAGAUCCAGUCUAUUGUGGAGUAGCUUCAAGAUGAUAUGCAGGAGAGGAAGGGCAAGACAAUCACUGAUGCAUUUGCUAGAGUGCCUCGAGCUCAGAGAUCAGUUGCAGAGCUAGUGUCAGACAACAGAGCCACUUCAUCUUCACCAUCUACAGCUCCAGUGCAACUAGCUCCAGCACCAACUCCUCCAGCUCCAUCCACAUCAACUGAAGCCUUCGUCCUUGGAGUCAUAUCUACACCACCACAUCAAGACCAUGCCUGGGAGACGAAAUAGCUAUGCAUUUUCUAGGAACUUUUUGGUAACUUGUUGGCAAAGGGGGAGAAAAAUGUAUAGAUCAUAGGCUUCGAGAGAGAGAGAGAGAGUUUGAUUUUGUUCUCUCUUGUCUUUGUGGUUGAACUUUAUUUGCUUUUGCUUGCUUGAGAUACUUUAUUGUCUGUGUGAUACAAUGAUGAUCAUGUGUUUGAUCAUAUGCUACCUUAAUGCUUGUUAGAUGACUAUAUCCCAUUUAUCUUUAUAUGAUCAUUCACUUUGCUUGGUGAAGAGUGCAUGUAUUCAAUCCUUAAUAUUUUGAGCGCUCCACCAAGAUGUAUGUGACAUGGAAGAGUAACCCAUGAGCCUAACUCCUUGUGCAUUUGCAGUCCAAAGCAAAUCUUAAACUAUGCACAAAUUUAGGGGGAGCUCUUUCUUAUCACAUACUUCUCAAAGCGACGAUGUUUUUCAAUCUUAUUAUCAUUUGUCGAAGCUUUGAUCUAUAUGUUGUCAUCAAUUACCAAAAAAGGUGGAGAUUGAAAGUGCAACUAUCCCUAGGUGGUUUUGGUAAUUCCUUACAACAUAUAGCUCAUUGAGCUAACAUCUUUCCAAGAAAAACAUUUCAGGAAAAGAUCAAUGAAUGGCAUGACAUAGAUGAGGAAAGUGGAUCCCUCAAAAUUCUAAGGAUAAAAGGAUUGGCUCAAGCUCAAAAGCUCAAGACUCUACAUUUUACAUUUUAGUGAUCCAAGAUCACAUUGAGUCUAUAGGAAAAGCCAAUACUAUCAAGGAGGGAUGAGGUGUUGCUUGAUGAGUUUCUUGCUUCAAGUGCUUAUUGAUAUGCUCCAAAAACCCUCAACUACUUUCUCAUGUCCACAUAUGACCUAAACCUAUAGUCAAACUUGGCCCCAUCGAUUGUUUCUAUCCAGCGCCACCGAGUUCAGAUGUCAUAGCCACUGCCACAAACCCUAGGAAAAUCGAUCUCACCGAGAUGGGAUUGUAAUCUCUCCGUUUCCCUUCGUAACGUUUCGGUCUAACCGAAGUGAGCGAUCGGUCCCUGUCGGUGUCAAAACUGACGGAUCUCGGGUAGGGGUCCCGAACUGUGCGUCUAGGCGGAUGGUAACAAGAGACAAGGGACACGAUGUUUUUACCCAGGUUCGGGCCCUCUCGAUGGAGGUAAAACCCUACUCCUGCUUGAUUAAUAUUGAUGAUAUGGGUAGUACAAGAGUAGAUCUACCACGAGAUCAGAGAGGCUAAACCCUAGAAGCUAGCCUAUGGUAUGAUUGUUGUUCGUCCUAUGGACUAAAACCCUCCAGUUUAUAUAGACACCGGAGAGGGCUAGGUUUACACAGAGUCGGUUACAAUGGGAGGAGAUCUACAUGUCCGUAUCGCCAAGCUUGCCUUCCACGCCAAGGAAAGUCCCAUCCGGACACGGGACGAAGUCUUCAAUCUUGUAUCUUCAUAGUCCAGGAGUCCGUCCAAUGGGCAUAGUCCGGUCAUCCGGACACCCCCUAAUCCAGGUCUCCCUCAGUAGCCCCUGAACCAGGCUUCCAUGACGACGAGUCUGGCGCGCAGAUUGUCUUCGGCAUUGCAAGGCGGGUUCCUCCUUCGAAUACUUCAUAGAAGAUUUUGAACACAAGGAUAGUGUCCGGCUCUGCAAAAUAAGUUCCACAUACCACCGUAGAGAGAAUAAUAUUUGUACAAAUCUAAUCUGAUGACGUAUUCCGCAGCGUGACAUCAUGCUACGGCCAAGCCUUUAUUCGAAUCAUUUUACUGUCCCACCUCAGCGCGUUUAGCGAGGUGGUUUCCUUGGCACGUCUUGUCGAAGCAGAGAUCGUGUCCCCUUAUUCCGGGAUUCUCAUCAAUACGGGUGUGGGUAACCCAACCAUGCCAUUAAUCACGGUGCUUGGGAGAUAAGCAAGUUUUACCAGGCUGGUGGGGGUACAUAGUUUCGUCCGCCCAUAUAAGGGGAUAAGGAGCCACCCUUUCGAUAUACGCCUUCUUCCUCCUUCGCUUCUCCAUUUCCGCGCACUCGAGCUCCAGCGCCCAAGUCCGCACUUCCCACCUCAACCUUCUCCAGCCAUGUCUUAGCGGGAGGCAGGUGGAUGGCCUCCUCCAUCACGGAGGGGCACAUCAAAAAGUUGAGGAAGGCCGGAUACUUGUCCAACAACAUUGCGCACCGGCUUCCAGGCGAGGGGCAGCUCAUCUCCACCCCCACGCCCCAUGAGAGGGUGGUGUUCCUCCCCCAUUUCCUCCGUGGACUGGGCUUCCCACUCCACCCAUUUGUCCGUGGGCUCAUGUUCUACUACGGCCUGGAUUUCCAUGAUCUGGCCCCGAACUUCAUCCUCAACAUCUCGGUGUUUAUCAUCGUGUGCGAGGUCUUCCUCCGCAUCAAGCCCCACUACGGCUUAUGGCUGAAGACCUUCAAUGUCAAGCCGAAGGUAGUGGGUGGCCCGCAAGCGGAGUGCGGAGGCUCCAUGGUGGGCAAGAUGCCCAACGUCACAUGGCUCGAGGGCUCCUUUGUGGAAACCAUCAAAGGGUGGCAAUCGAGGUGGCUCUACAUCACCGAGCCGCGUGACCCUGAAUGGGCCGCGGCCCCCGAAUUCCAAUACGGCAUCCCCACACGGCUCACCUCCUGGAAAGAGAUGGGCCUGUCGUGGGGUAAUUCGGAAGAGGUGACUGGACUCCAAACCUGCGUCCAAAACCUAGUGGACAAGAAGGUUAAACUUGUCAACGUAGUCCAGGUCAUGCUCUUCCGCCGGAUCCUCCCGUGUCAACGACGGGCUUUUAACUUGUGGGAGUUCGACCCGGCCCAGCACCAAACUUUGUCCAGGCUCUUUGACACAACGCACAAGGAUGUCUGGAAGGUGCUAUUCAAGGGCUCCGAGGUUCCCCCUCCCAUUACCGAGGAUCGCGGAUUCUGCGCAAAGCGCCAAGCCAGCGCAGUAAACUUGUUUUUCAUAGUUUGACUCUAUGCGGGAUCUAAGCUCCCAUUCCUUUGACAUGACUGGCAGAAGACGUCCGGAUAGAUCGACUGUCCGGCUCCUUUGCCCGAAGGCCCAGCAGAUGCCCGCUUGUCGAAGCUGCUGGUUCCAGCACCUCAUGUGGUGCUGGAGAAGAAGGCCAAGAAGAAGGCCAUGGGAACUUGAAAGAGUUCCCGGCGCCUGGUGGUGUCGGAUUCAUCGCCCGACGACCCAGAAGCGCACUCCUCCCACGAAGACGAGGAGGAGGAAGAAGAAGCCCCUCCCCCUCCAACGGGGGGAGGAAAGAAAAGGAAGGCUGCCCCAACUGGGGAGACCGGAGGGUCCAAGAAGGGAAAGACCCUUGUUCCGGACUACUCCAGCAACGCCGACGACGGCAGAGAGGAGUGGCCAUCCAGGGCCAAGCCCCUGGCAAAAUUGUAAGUAUACGGAUACCAGAAUAACUCAUGGCGCUCCUUUAUUGCACAAUAUCUUCUGACGCCGAAUAUAAUCAUGCAGUCCGCCCCUGGCCCAGCUCGAUGCCUCAUCGAGCGGCUCCCUGGACUCGUCGGAUGUGAAUAGUCUUUCACUCCCGACUGCUACCUCCCCUCGCCCUACGGACGAUGCCGAGGUGGAGUCCCAAAAGGGGCCAAGUCAGGAGGAGGUGGUCCUGGAGGCACCGCAAGGCGACCUCCCGGACUCCAGGCGCAAAGGGAUAAAACCCCAAAGGGCUCUAAGUCCGGCCCUGGGCCGGACACCGCACUGGAACCUUCAGUGGUUCCGGAGUCCGGCAGGCAGCCCCUCGUAAGAAGGGCAAGCUACGACGCCGGUGGCCUCCGUCCAACCGGAGGCACCGGACAAUUUGCUGGAGGUGCUUAACGGCGCCUCCAUCGACGAGGAGCACCGCACUAUUAUGAGUGCGGUGAACCAGAAGGUUCAGUCCGCCAAGAACGGCCUGACAGAAGCCUGUGCCAGACUUCUAACAGGCUUUGAGGUAUGUAUUUAAGACAUGUAAAAAUAUAACCGCAUAGACAGUAGCCCCUGAUGCUCAGUUUGGUGUUCAGAAAGAAAAGCCGGACUGAGGAUCUAAAAAGAUAUACACAUGAGUCUAACAUAAAUAUGUCAGUAUGGGAAUGCAGGCUGCGCUGCUGACCUUUGCCGCACUGACUGCGAAGGUUGGUGCAUUGAAGCAGAGCCUCAAGCGGUCCGAGAACGAGCUCAGCCUUGCCAAGAAGCAGCUCGAGGACAAGGAAGGUAAGUAGUACCUUAUGUAAGUAUAUAAAAAUACCUGGUUGCAAAUAGUGACAGGACCAACGUGAGUGUUACAGGGGCCACAACCAAGGUGGCGACCCUGAAGGAACCGCUGUCCAAGGCCGAAGACAAUGCGGCCGUGGAGCGCACCGAGCGAGAAAAGCAGGAGGCGCGUGCGGAGGAGGUGCGGCAAGAGCUCCACGCUCUUGUGAAAAAACACGAGAGUUUGGAGCUUGACUCAAAGACUCGAGAGUCCGAGCUUGCCCUGGCCCUUGAGAGCGCCAAAUCUGCCAAGGCCGAAGCCCAAAAAGCCCUCCAGGAAAUUGAGGCGAUGAAGAAGAUAGCGGCGGGUAAGGCAUUCUUUAUGCAAAGCAAUCACGUGAAAGUGAAUUACUUGUUACUUACCCGAGUCCGGUGCUCUCCAGGAGCAUUCGCAGAUCUGCCCCGCAGUCUGUUCGACGCCGCCGCAUUCUACCGAGCCAAGGAAGGGAGCUCGACGGAGAAGGUGUUCUGGUCCCAGUAUGUUGAGGCCGGACACCCGAUGCCCUUGAGCGACCAGCUGAAGCAGCUGGUUGAGCUCCAUAAGGCAGCCAAACAGGCCAUGAAGGGCCUUAUAGGUCGGCUAUGGCCUGGGGAGGCCAUGCCUGGGAGCUACUUUGGGCUGGUGAGGCGGCUGGUUGAUGCCUGUCCAUGGCUUGAAAUCAUCAAGCGCUCCGUAUGCAUCGAAGGCGCCCGUAGGGCCCUUGCCCGUGUUAAAGUGCAAUGGGGCAAGAUAGAUGCUGAGAAGCUGGUGACAGAUGGGCCACCGGAGGGGAAGGAGCAUCGCAAGCCCGAGUUGAUUAUGAGGGCAUCCUGAAGGGUGCCUGCCUUGUGGCGGAUGAGUGUUCCAAGGAUGUAAUUUUUGAGUAAACUCGCUCGUGUUAUCGUGUGCGCUGAAAACUUGUCCAUAUGCGCUAAGCAACGCUUUUUUGAAUUUAAAAUAUUACCUUCUGUGCGGCCGUUUAUUAAAUCUGAGAGAUGCGAGUCAUCGGCUUCUACCCCCAUGCCACGAGUGCUGGGGUGUGUUGAAAAUAUGCCCUAGAGGCAAUAAUAAAUUAGUUAUUAUUAUUAUAUUUCCUUAUUCAUGAUAAACGUUUAUUAUCCAUGCUAUAAUUGUAUUGAUAGGAAACUCAGAUACAUGUGUGGGUACAUAGACAACACCAAGUCCCUAGUAAGCCUCUAGAUGACUAGCUUGUUGAUCAAUAGAUGGUUACGGUUUCCUGACCAUGGACAUUGGAUGUCGUUGAUAACGGGAUCACAUCAUUAGGAGAAUGAUGUGAUGGACAAGACCCAAUCCUAAGCCUAGCACAAAGAUCGUGUAGUUCGUAUGCUAAAGCGUUUCUAAUGUCAAGUAUCAUUUCCUUAGACCAUGAGAUUAUGCAACUCCCGGAUGCCGUAGGAAUGCUUUGGGUGUACCAAACGUCACAAUGUAACUGGGUGGCUAUAAAGGUGCACUACAUGUAUCUCCGAAAGUGUCUGUUGGGUUGGCACGAAUCGAGACUGGGAUUUGUCACUCCGGUUGACGGAGAGAUAUCUCUGGGCCCACUCGGUAGGACAUCAUCAUAAUGUGCACAGUGUGACCAAGGGGUUGAUCACGGGAUGAUGUGUUACGGAACGAGUAAAAAGACUUGCUGGUAACGAGAUUGAACAAGGUAUCGGCAUACCGACGAUCGAAUCUCGGGCAAGUACAAUACCGCUAGACAAAGGGAAUUGUAUACGGGAUCGAUUGAGUUCUUGACAUCAUGGUUCAUCCGAUGAGAUCAUCGUGGAACAUGUGGGAGCCAACAUGGGUAUCCAGAUCCCGCUGUUGGUUAUUGACCGGAGAACGUCUCGGUCAUGUCUGCAUGGUUCCCGAACCCGUAGGGUCUACACACUUAAGGUUCGAUGAUGCUAGGGUUAUAAAGGAAGUUUGUAUGUGGUUACCGAAUGUUGUUCAGAGUCCCGGAUGAGAUCCCGAACAUCACAAGGAGUUCCGGAAUGGUCCGGAGGUAAAGAUUUGUAUAUGGGAAGUCCUUUUUUGGUCACCGGAAAAGUUUUGGGUUUUAUCGGUAACGUACCGGGACCACCGGGAGGGUCCCGGGGGUCCACCAAGUGGGGCCACCAUCCCUGGAGGGCUGCAUGGGCCAAGUGUGAGAGGGGACCAGCCCCAGGUGGGCUGAUGCGCCCCCCCCCACAAGGGCCCAAGGCGCCUAGGGUUUGGGGAGGGGAGCGCACCCACCUAACUUGGGGGGCAAGUUUCCCCUCUUCCCCCCCUUGGCCGCACCCUAGAUGGGUUGUGGGCUGCCGCCACCCCUAGGGAGGGAACCCUAGAGGGGGUGCAGCCCCCUCCCUCUCCCCUAUAUAUACUUGAGGACUUUGGGGCUGCCAAUAGAUGAGUUUGACCUCUCCCUGGCGCAGCCCUACCUCUCUCCCUCCUCCUCUCCCGCGGUGCUUGGUGAAGCCCUGCAGGAUUGCCACGCUCCUCCAUCACCACCAUGCCGUUGUGCUGCUGCUGCACGGAGUCUUCCUCAACCUCUCCCUCUCUCCAUGCUGGAUCAAGGCAUGGGAGACUUCACCGGGCUGUACGUGUGUUGAACGCGGAGGUGCCGUCCGUUCGGCAAUAGGAUCUCCGGUAAUUUGGAUCACGACGAGUACGACUCCUUCAACCCCGUUCUCUUGAAUGCUUCCGCUUAGCGAUCUACAAGGGUAUGUAGAUGCACUCUCCUUCCCCUCGUUCCUGGUUUCUCCAUAGAUAGAUCUUGGUGACACGUAGGAAAAUUUUGAAUUUCUGCUACGUUCACCAACAGUGGCAUCAGAGCUAGGUCUAUUGCGUAGAUUCUUUGCACGAGUAGAACACAAAGUAGUUGUGGGUGUUGAUUUUGUUCAAUAUGCUUACCGUUACUAGUCCAAUCUUGUUUCGACAAUAUUGUGGGAUGAAGCGGCCCGGACCGACCUUACACAUACACUUACGUGAGACAGGUUCCACUGACUGACAUGCACUUGGUGCAUAAGGUGGCUAGCGGGUGCCAGUCUCUCCCACUUUAGUCGGAAUGGAUUCGAUGAAAAGGGUCCUUAUGAAGGGUAAAUAGCAAUUGGCAUAUCAUGUUGUGGUUUUGCGUAGGUAAGAAACGUUCUUGCUAGAAACCCACAGCAGCCACGUAAAACAUGCAAACAACAAUUAGAGGACGUCUAACUUGUUUUUGCAGGGUAUGCUAUGUGAUGUGAUAUGGCCAAGAAGAAUGUGAUGUAUGAGAUUGAUCAUGUUCUUGUAAUAGGAAUCACGACUUGCAUGUCGAUGAGUAUGACAACCGGUUGCGUAUAUCAUGUUCGCCAUCCGCACUUGUGGGGGAAAGCCUUUCUGUCCCCUAUUGUUCGGCGGUCAGGGCUCCUCCUCGUCAUCGCUAUGCAGCCCCUUGUCUCUGUUUUUGCCACUUAACUUGCCUGCCUGCUUGAACACCCAACAAUCCCUGUUGGUGUGAUUGACUGGUAUUUCGGGGGUGCCGUGUAUCUGGCAUGAGCGAUCGAGUAUUCGGUCCAAACUGGAUGGGCCCGGAGUAUUUCUUUUGAAAGGCUUUUUCCACUGACCGGGUUUAGAGCUUCUGAAUCCGGCAUUAACUGCCGUAUCCUCAGCAUUGUCGCCAUUAAUGCGGCGCUUGUGCUUGUUGCGACGCGACCUGCCAUUGUUGUCCUUGGUAUCCGAAUUACCAGGGCUCUUGGUCAUGUUAUUACUACGAGCUAGCCAGCUGUCUUCUUCCGCGCAAAAGCGGGUCAUGAGUGUUGUGAGGGCUUCCAUGGAUUUCGGAUUUUCCUGUCCUAGGUGCCGGGCAAGCCAUUCGUCUCGGAUGUUAUGUUUGAAGGCUGAAAGGGCCUCUGCGUCCGGACAGUCGACUAUUUGAUUUUUCUUGGUUAGGAACCGUGUCCAGAAUUGUCUGGCCGAUUCCUCUGGCUGCUGAAUUAUGUGGCUUAGGUCAUCGGCGUCUGGUGGUCGCACAUAGGUGCCCUAGAAAUUGUUGAGGAAUGCGGCUUCCAAGUCCUCCCAGCAACCAAUUGACUCUGCUGGCAAGCUGUUAAGCUAAUGCCGAGCUAGUCCUUUAAGCUUGAGUGGGAGGUAUUUGAUAGCGUGUAUAUCAUCACCGCGGGCCAUGUGGAUAUGAAGGAGAUAAUCCUCGAUCCAUACCGCAGGAUCUAUUGUGCCAUCGUAUGAUUCGAUGUUUACGGGCUUAAAACCCUCAGGGAUUUGAUGAUCCAUUACUUCAUCUGUGAAGCAUAGUGGGUGUGCGGCGCCUCUGUACUAGGCUAUAUCACGACGUAGCCCAAAUGAGCUUUGUCUGUUGUGUUCGGCCUGGCCGUAUUUGCCAUACCCGGCAUGACGAUUAUCGUCACGUGCCGUGGGGCACCCACGCGAUCCAUAGAUCGAUCUUGUUUGCCUUGCCUUGUCCCCCAAUAUGUCUCGCAGGUCUGGCGCAUUUCCCCGUGUCUUGGUAUUUUUUUGAGCGAUGCCGGGGUGCGGCUUGAGUGGAUGGCCGAGAGGCCUCUCUGUCGCGGCCACGAGGUGGCCGGUCGGCCGUGUCGUGUGCUGGUGAUGUAGGUUUAGGUGCUUCCUCCUCUAAUCGGGGUAGCAGCCUGCGCUUUGGGUAGCUCUUGGAGGGGCGUUCGGGUUCGUACUCUUCGGCCGCAAGGACUUCAGUCCAUCUGUCGGCUAGCAAGUCUUGGUCAGCUCUAAGCUGCUGCUGUUUUUUCUUGAGGCUGCUCACCGUGGCCAUAAGCCUGCGUUUGAAACGCUCUUGUUCGACGGGAUCCUCAGGCAUGACAAAUUCGUCGUCGUCGAGGCUUGCCUCGUCUUUGGAGGGAGGCAUGUAAUUAUCGUCCUCUACCUCUCUGUCUGCCGCUCUCUCAUGAGGGCUGGCUUCUCCAUCCUCCUGUGCUAAAUCUUGAUGGAGGGGGUUGUCUUCGGCACUGUGUGGGGUGUUAUUAUCUCCCGUGCCGGAAUCGCCGUUUUUGCUUUGGCGGGAUUUAGAGCGGCGCCGCUGACACCGGCGCUUGGGCUACUUCUUGGAGGGGUCAUCCUCCGUUGUUCCAUCACCAUUCCCUUCUUUUGGGGUGUCCACCAUGUAUAUGUCGUAUGACGAGGUGGCUUUCCAGUGCCCUAUAGGCGCUGGUUCUUGGUCGUCUCCCGCAUCGGCGUCCAUACCGUCGAUGUCUUCGGAGUCGAAGUCGAGCAUGUCGGUUAAAUCAUCGACAGUGGCUAUGAAGUGGGUGGUGGGUGGGCUUUCAAUUUCUUCAUUGUCCGCAUCCCAACCUUGCUGACCAUAGUCCGGCCAGGGCUCUCCUGACCAAGAGAAAGACUUUAGUGAAUUCAGAAUGUCGCCGAAGGGCGAGUGCUGAAAGAUGUCCGCGGUGGCGAACUGCAUGAUCGGCGCCCAAUCGGGAUCGAUCGGUAGGGGCGCGGAAGGUUCGGAGUCCAGAAAGGAGUCCGGCACCUUGGAGUCACGAGCUUCGCAAAGGACAAGGCUGGUGUUCGGCUCGAUCAUCGUAGAGAUUGCAGCCCCCGAGGCGGUGUCUAGCCACCUGUCCUCGAUUGGCGUAGUCGGCUCCGAGCUAAGGGUCGGAGCGGACACUAGGGCGGCCUCCUGGGCACUGUUCAGCGGCAGAGCUAGAUCAUGCCCGUCGUGACAGUGCGGCGCGCUCGGCUGUGGCUCCAACCUGUCGAAGAUCAAGUCUCCGCGGAUGUCAGCCGUGUAGUUCAAACUUCCAAACCUGACCAGAUGGCCAGGGGCGUAGCUUUCGAUCUGCUCCAGAUGGCCAAGCGAAUUGGCCCGCAGUGCAAAGCCGCUGUAUACGAAGAUCUGCCCGAGGUGAAAAGUCUCACCCUGGACCGCAUCGUUGUUGAUGAUCGGAGGAGCCAUUGGGCCUAAAGAUGAUGACACAGAGGAACUCUCAAUGAAAGCACCAAUGUCGGUGUCAAAACCGGCGGAUCUCGGGUAGGGGGUCCCGAACUGUGCGUCUAGGCGGAUGGUAACAGGAGACAAGGGACACGAUGUUUUUACCCAGGUUCGGGCCCUCUCGAUGGAGGUAAAACCCUACUCAUGCUUGAUUAAUAUUGAUGAUAUGGGUAGUACAAGAGUAGAUCUACCACAAGAUCAGAGAGGCUAAACCCUAGAAGCUAGCCUAUGGCAUGAUUGUUGUUCGUCCUAUGGACUAAAACCCUCCGGUUUAUAUAGACACCGAAGAGGGCUAGGGUUACACAGGGUCGGUUACAAUGGGAGGAGAUCUACAUAUCCGCAUUGCCAAGCUUGCCUUCCACGCCAAGGAAAGUCCCAUCCGGACACGGGAUGAAGUAUUCAAUCUUGUAUCUUCAUAGUCCAGGAGUCCGGCCAAAGGUCAUAGUCCGGUCAUCCGGACACCCCCUAAUCCAGGACUCCCUCAGUCCCACCGAGAUUGCAAUGUAAACUCUCUGUUUCCUUUUCGUGACAUUUUGGUCAAACCGAAAAGAGAGCUCUCUGGUUAUCUUAUUACCAAAAUUGGUCUCACCGAGUUUGUGUAAUCGGUCUCACCGAGAUUACGUUAUGCCCUAACCCUAACCACAUCGGUCCUACCGAGUUGCAUGUCGGUCCCACUGAAAACCCAAACGGUCACUAGGUUUACUAAAUCGGUCUGACUGAGUUUUUUGAUUCGGUCCCACCGAGAUUGGUAAAUUGUGUGUAACGGUUAGAUUUUGUGUGGAGGCCAUAUAUACCCCUCCACCUCCUCUUCAUUCGUGGAGAGAUCCAUCAGAACAAACCUACACUUCCAACUUGCCAUUUCUGAGAGAGAACCACCUACUCAUGUGUUGAGGCCAAGAUAUUCCAUUCCUACCAUAUGAAUCUUGAUCCCUAGCCUUCCCCAAGUUUCUUUCCACUCAAAUCUUCUUUCCACCAGAUCCAAAUCCUGUGAGAGAGAGUUGAGUGUUGGGGAGACUAUCAUUUGAAGCACAAGAGCAAGGAGUUCAUCAUCAACACACCAUUUGUUACUUCUUGGAGAGUGGUGUCUCCUAGAUUGGCAAGGUGUCACUUGGGAGCCUCUGACAAGAUUGUGGAGUUGAACCAAGGAGUUUGUAAGGACAAGGAGAUCGCCUACUUCAUUAAGAUCUACUGCUAGUGAGGCAAGUCCUUCAUGGGCGACGGCCAUGGUGGGAUAGACAAGGUUGCUUCUUCGUGGACCCUUCGUGGGUGGAGCCCUCCGUGGACUCGCGCAACUGUUACCCUUCUUGGGUUGAAGUCUCCAUCAACAUGGAUGUACGAUAGCACCACCUAUCAGAACCACGGCUCAAAAAUCACCGUGUCUCCAAAUUGCAUUUGAAAUCUCCAAACCCUUCCCUUUACAUUCUUGCAAGUUGCAUGCUUUACUUUCCGCUGCUCAUAUACUCUUUGCAUGCUUGCUUGAAUUGUGUGAAGAUUGCUUGACUUGUGCUAAGAUAGCUAAAAUCUGCCAAAGACUAAAAUUGGGAAAAGGUUAAGUUUUUAUUUGGUCAAAUAGUCUAAUCACCGCCCCUCUAGACAUACUUCCGAUCCUACAGUCGUGCACUUUUCUGAACCUGUUGUGCACUUUGUGCAUUUGUUUGAAAGUGUUUUGUUCACAUAACUGUGGAAAUGGGGCUCACACUGGGCUCUCAUAUUGGACCACAGUCCACAAGCUUGCGUAGGUGUCUAUAAAAAGACCCUAACAUGUCCCUUUCCCAUACCACUAAAACCCUAUCUGCCAACAUCACUACAACCCUUGCCUAGCCAAAAAGAUGGAUCCAAGCAUAGGAGAGGUUGUCGACGACCAGAAAGAGAGUUCUAGAGCAGCAAGAAGGGCCGCAGGAGCAGAAAGGAGGGGUCGUAGGGCUCAGGCACGUGAGCAACGCCAGAGGCUAGCUGCCACGAUUAUGGCAGCCUGCAACUCCUCAAUGUGAUGCAGUUCAAGGAGGUGUUCCCAGAUGGAACAAUCAUCACCAAUGGUUUGAUCAUUUGGUGGGCUAGAGAUAGGACAACCUUCCAUCGCUACCAAGUCACAAGGGCUAGGUGGAGCAGAAUCCUUGAUUCUGCGUCUUGAAACAGUUCAAGGUUCAAUACUUCAAUGUUAUCUGAAUUCUCCAAGUCUCUUGUUCUAUGUAUGUGAUGAUGUGUCUGAAAUUUCUCUGAAUGUAUGCGCACUUGUAUGCGUAGAUUUGCUGAAUUUUCUAAAAUUGUGCUCUGAAUGUAUGCGCACUUGUAUGCGUGGAUUUUCUGAAUAUUCUGAAUUUGUGCUACUGAAUGUAUGUGAAUUUGUGUGAUUUUCUCUAGAACAGCUUGAUUUUAACAGUACCUCAGUCAACAAAAUAUGUUUUCACCACGAAAUAACUAUUGCACAACUUUCAACUAACAUCACUUAACCAGCACAAGUUUCACCACACAAUAACUACUGCACAACUACCACCCUGUCAACUACUACUUCACAAGUUUUACUUCUCCACUGCCUCACUCCACCUCUCUUUAACUCCCCCCUCUUUCUUCAGCUACUCUACUCACAUCACUCUACCUCACCACAACUUCACCUCGCUCAACACCACUGCACUCACCACUUCCUGCUCCAACCAUGGCUGCUUCUUCCUCUUCUCCGGACCCAUUUCUUUGUUGGGGAACGUAGUAAUUUCAAAAAAAUUCCUACACACACACAAGAUCAUGGUGAUGCAUAGCAACGAGAGGGGAGAGUGUUAUCCACAAACCCUCAUAGACCGAAAGCCGAAGCGUUAGCACAACACGGUUGAUGUAGUCGUACGUCUUCACGAUCCGACCGAUCCAAGUAUCGAACGUACGGCACCUCCGAGUUCAGCACACGUUCAGCUCGAUGAGGUCCCACGAACUCUGAUCCAGCUGAGCUUUGAGGAAGAGUUCUGUCAGCACGACGGUGUGGUGACGAUGAUGAUGUUCUACCGACGCAGGGCUUCGCCUAAGCAUCACUACGAUAUUAUCAAGGUGGAAUAUGGUGGAGGGGGGCACCGCACAUGGCUAAGAGAUCAAUGAUCAAUUGUUGUUCACUAGAGGUGCCCCCCUGCCCCCGUAUAUAAAGGAGCAAGGGGGAAGGGGGCGGCCGGCUAGGAGGGGCGCGCCAGGAGGAGUCCUACUCCCACCGGGAGUAGAACUCCCUCCUUUCCUUGUCCAAGUAGAUGGGGAAGGAAGGGAGAGAGGGGAGGAAGGAAAGGGGGGCGCCGCCCUCCCCAUCCUUGUCCUAUUCGGACUAGAGGGGGAGGGGGCGCGCGGCCUGCCCUGGCCGCCCCUCCUCUUCUCCACUUUGGGCCCAUGAGGCCCAUUAACCCCCGGGGGGUUCCCGUAACUCCCCGGUACUCCGGUAUAUAUCCGAUAACCCCCGGAACUACCGGUGUCCAAAUAUAGUCGUUCAAUAUAUUAAUCUUCAUGUCUCGACCAUUUCGAGACUCCUCGUCAUGUCCGUGAUUGCAUCCGGGACUCCGAACUAUCUUCGGUACAUCAAAACACAUAAACUCAUAAUAUAACCGUCAUCUAACUUUAAGCGUGCGAACCCUACGGGUUCGAGGACUAUGUAGACAUGACCGAGACAUGUUUCCGGUCAAUAACCAAUAGCAUAGCCUUGAUGCUCAUAUUGGAUCCUACAUAUUCUAUGAAGAUCUUUAUCGGUCAAACCGCAUAACAACAUACGUUGUUCGCUUUGUCAUUCGUAUGUUACUUGCCCGAGAUUCGAUCGUCGGUAUCUCAAUACCUAGUUCAAUCUCGUUACCGGCAAGUCUCUUUACUCGUUAUGUAAUGCAUCAUCCCGCAACUAACUCAUUAGUAACAUUGCUUGCAAGGCUUAUAGUGAUGUGCAUUACCGAGAGGACCCAGAGAUACCUCUCCGACAAUCGGAGUGACAAAUCCUAAUCUCGAAAUACGCCAACUCAACAUGUACCUUCGGAGACACCUGUAGAGCUCCUUUAUAAUCACCUAGUUACGUUGUGACGUUUGGUAGCACACAAAGUGUUCCUCCGGUAAACGGGAGUUGCAUAAUCUCAUAGUCAUAGGAACAUGUAUAAGUCAUGAAGAAAGCUAUAACAACAUACUAAACGAUCAAGUGCUAAGCUAACGGAAUGGGUCAAGUCAAUUACAUCAUUCUCCUAAUGAUGUAAUCCCAUUAAUCAAAUGAUAACUCAUGUCUAUGGUUAGGAAACAUAACCAUCUUUGAUUAAUGAGCUAGUCAAGUAGAGGCAUACUAGUGACAUUAUGUUUGUCUAUGUAUUCACACAUGUAUUAUGUUUCCGGUUAAUACAAUUCUAGCAUGAAUAAUAAACAUUUAUCAUGAUAUAAGGAAAUAAAUAAUAACUUUAUUAUUGCCUCUAGGGCAUAUUUCUUUCAGUCUCCCACUUGCACUAGAGUCAAUAAUCUAGAUUACACAGUAAUGAUUCUAACACCCAUGGAGCCUUGGUGCUGAUCAUGUUUUGCUCGUGGAAGAGGCUUAGUCAAUGGGUCUGCAACAUUCAGAUCUGUAUGUAUCUUGCAAAUCUCUAUGUCUCCCACUUGGACUUGGUCCCGGAUGGAAUUGAAGCGUCUCUUGAUGUGCUUGGUCCUCUUGUGAAAUCUGGAUUCCUUUGCCAAGGCAAUUGCACCAGUAUUGUCACAGAAGAUCUUCAUUGGUCCCAAUGCACUAGGUAUGACACCUAGAUCGGAUAUGAACUUCUUCAUCCAGACUCCUUCAUUUGCUGCUUUCGAAGCAACUAUGUACUCCGCUUCGCAUGUAGAUCCCGCCACGACGCUUUGUUUAGAACUGCACCAACCGACAGCUCUACUGUUCAAUAUAAACACGUAUCCGGUUUGCGAUUUAGAAUUGUCUGGAUAAGUGUUAAAGCUUGCAUCGACGUAACCAUUUACGACUAGCUCUUUGUCACCUCCAUAAACGAGAAACAUAUCCUUAGUCCUUUUCAGGUAUUUCAGGAUAUUCUUGACCGCUGUCCAGUGAUCCACUCCUGGAUUACUUUGGUACCUCCCUGCUAAACUUAUUGCUAAGCACACAUCAGAUCUGGUACAUAGCAUUGCAUACAUGAUAGAGUCUAUGGCUGAAGCAUAGGGAACAUCUUUCAUUUUCUCUCUAUCUUCUGCUGUGGUCGGGCAUUGAGUCUGACUCAACUUCACACCUUGUAAUACAGGCAAGAAACAUUUCUUUGCUUGAUCCAUUUUGAACUUCUUCAAAACUUUAUCAAGGUAUGUGCUUUGUGAAAGUCCAAUUAAGCGUCUUGAUCUAUCUCUAUAUAGAUCUUGAUGCCUAAUAUAUAAGCAGCUUCACCGAGGUCUUUCAUUGAAAAACUUUUAUUCAAGUAUCCUUUUAUGCUAUCUAGAAAUUCUAUAUCAUUUCCAGUCAACAAUAUGUCAUCUACAUAUAAUAUCAAAAAUGCUACGGAGCUCCCACUCACUUUCUUGUAAAUACAGGCUUCUCCAAAAGUUUGUAUAAAACCAUAUGCUUUGUUCACACUAUCAAAGCAUUUAUUCCAACUCUGAGAGGCUUGCACUAGUCCAUAAAUGGAUCGUUGGAGCUUUCACACUUUGUUAGUACUUUUGGAUCGACAAAACCUUCUGGUUGCAUCAUAUACAACUCUUCUUCCAGAAAUCCAUUCAGGAAUGCAGUUUUGACAUCCAUUUGCCAUAUUUCAUAAUCAUAAAAUGCGGCAAUUGCUAACAUGAUUUGGACAGACUUAAACAUCGCUACGGGUGAGAAAGUUUCAUCGUAGUCAACCCCUUGAAUUUGUCGAAAACCUUUUGCAACAAGUCGAGCUUUAUAGACAGUUACAUUACCAUCAACGUCAGUCUUCUUCUUGAAGAUCCAUUUAUUCUCGAUGGCUUGCCGAUCAUCGGGCAAGUCAACCAAAGUCCAUACUUUGUUCUCAUACAUGGAUCCCAUCUCAGAUUUCAUGGCCUCAAGUCAUUUUGCGGAAUCUGGGCUCAUCAUCGCUUCCUCAUAGUUCGUAGGUUCGUCAUGGUCAAGUAACAUGACCUCCAGAAUAGGAUUACCAUACCACUCUGGUGCGGAUCAUACUCUGGUUGACCUACGAGGCUCGGUAGUAACUUGAUCUGAAGUUUCAUGAUCAAUAUCAUUAGCUUCCUCACUAAUUGGUGUAGUUGUCACAGGAACCGGUUUCUGUGAUGAACUACUUUCCAAUAAGGGAGCAGGUACAGUUACCUCAUCAAGUUCUACUUUCCUCCCACUCACUUCUUUCGAGAGAAAUUCCUUCUCUAGAAAGGAUCCGAAUUUAGCAACAAAAGUCUUGCCUUCGGAUCUGUGAUAGAAGGUGUACCCAAUAGUCUCAUUUGGAUAUCCUAUGAAGACACAUUUCUCCGAUUUGGGUUCGAGCUUAUCUGGUUGAAGUUUCUUUACAUAAGCAUCGCAGCCCCAAACUUUAAGAAAUGACAACUUUGGUUUCUUGCCAAACCACAGUUCAUAAGGUGUCGUCUCAGCGGAUUUUGAUGGUGCCGUAUUUAACAUGAAUGCGGCCGUCUCUAAAGCAUAACCCCAAAACGAUAGCGGUAAAUCAGUAAGAGACAUCAUAGAUCACACCAUAUCUAGUAAAGUACGAUUACGAUGUUCAGACACACCAUUACGUUGUGGUGUUCCGGGUGGCGUGAGUUGCGAAACUAUUCUGCAUUGUUUCAAAUGUAAGCCAAACUCAUAACUCAAAUAUUCUCCUCCACGAUCAGAUCGUAGAAACUUUAUUUUCUUGUUACGAUGAUUUUCCACUUCACUCUGAAAUUCUUUGAACUUUUCAAAUGUUUCAGACUUAUGUUUCAUUAAGUAGAUAUACCCAUAUCUGCUUAAAUCAUCUAUGAAGGUGAGAAAAUAACGAUACCCGCCGCGAGCCUCAAUGUUCAUUGGACCACAUACAUAAGUAUGUAUGAUUUCCACCAAAUCUGUUGCUCGCUCCAUAGUUCCGGAGAAUGGCGUUUUAGUCAUCUUGCCCAUGAGGCACGGUUCGCAAGUACCAAGUGAUUCAUAAUCAAGUGAUUCCAAAAGUCCAUCAGUAUGGAGUUUCUUCAUGCGCUUUACACCAAUAUGACCCAAACGGAAGUGCCACAAAUAAGUUGCACUAUCAUUAUCAACUCUGCAUCUUUUGGCUUCAACAUUAUGAAUAUGUGUAUCACUACUAUCGAGAUUUAAUAAAAAUAGACCACUCUUCAAGGGUGCAUGACCAUAAAAGAUAUUACUCAUAUAAAUAGAACAACCAUUAUUCUCGGAUUUAAAUGAAUAACCGUCUCGCAUCAAACAAGAUCCAGAUAUAAUGUUCAUGCUUAACGCUGGCACCAAAUAACAAUUAUUCAGGUCUAAAACUAAUCCCCAAGGUAGAUGUAGAGGUAGCGUGCCGACCGCGAUCACAUCGAAUUUGGAAGCAUUUCCCACGUGCAUCGUCACCUCGUCCUUAGCCAAUAUUCGCUUAAUCCGUAGUCACUGUUUCGAGUUGCAAAUAUUAGUAACAGAACCAGUAUCAAAUACCCAGGUGCUAUUGCGAGCAUUAGUAAGGUACACAUCAAUAACAUGUAUAUCACAUAUACCUUUGUUCACCUUGCCAUCCUUCUUAUCCGCCAACUACUUGGGGCAGUUCCGCUUCCAGUGACCAGUCUGCUUGCAGUAGAAGCACUCAGUCUCAGGCUUAGGUCCAGACUUGGGUUUCUUCUCUUGAGCAUCAACUUGUUUGCCUUUCUUCUUGAAGUUCCCCUUCUUCUUCCCUUUACUCUUUUUCUUGAAACUGGCGGUCUUUUUGACCAUCAACACUUGAUGCUCCUUUUUGAUUUCUACCUCCGCAGCUUUUAGCAUUGCGAAGAGCUCGGGAAUAGUCUUGUCCAUCCCUUGCAUAUUAUAGUCCAUCACGAAGCUCUUGUAGCUUGGUGGCAGUGAUUGAAGAAUUCUGUCAAUGACACCAUCAUCAGGAAGAUUAAUUCCCAAUUGAAUCAACUGAUUAUUAUACCCAGACAUUUUGAGUAUAUGUUCACUGACAGAACUAUUCUCUUCCAUCUUGCAGCUAUAGAACUUAUUGGAGACUUCAUAUCUCUCAAUCCGGGCAUUUUCUUGAAAUAUUAACUUCAACUCCUGGAACAUCUCAUAUGCUCCAUGAUGUUCGAAACGUCAUUGAAGUCCCGGUUCUAAGCCGUAAAGCAUGGCACACUGAACUAUCAAGUAGUCAUCAGCUUUGCUCUGCCAGACGUUCUUAACAUCGUAAGUUGCAUCUGCAGCAGGCCUGGCACCCAGCGGUGCUUCCAGGAUGUAAUUCUUCUGUGCAGCAAUGAGGAUAAUCCUCAAGUUACGGACCCAGUCCGUGUAAUUGCUACCAUCAUCUUUCAACUUAGAUUUCUCAAGGAACGCAUUAAAAUUCAAUGGAACAACAGACGAGCCAUCUAUCUACAACAAACAUAGACAAGCAAAAUACUAUCAGGUACUAAGUUCAUGAUAAAUUUAAGUUCAUUUAAUCAUAUUACUUAAGAACUCACACUUAGAUAGACAUCCCUCUAAUCAUCCAAGUGACCACGUGAUCCAAAUCAACUAAACCAUGUCCGAUCAUCACGUGAGAUGGAGUAGUUUUCAAUGGUGAACAUCACUAUGUUGAUCAUAUCUACUAUAUGACUCACGCUCGACCUUUCGGUCUUAGUGUUCCGAGGCCAUAUCCGUAUAUGCUAGGCUCGUCAAGUUUAACCUGAGUAUCCGCGUGUGCAAUUGUUUUGCACCCGUUGUAUUUGAACGUAGAGCCUAUCACACCCGAUCAUCACGUGGUGUCUCAGCACGAAGAACUUUCGCAGCGGUGCAUACUCAGGGAGAACACUUAUACCUUGAAAUUUAGUGAGAGAUUAUCUUAUAAUGCUACCGUCAAUCAAAACAAAAUAAGAUGCAUAAAGGAUAAACAUCACAUGAAAUCAAUAUAAGUGAUAUGAUAUGGCCAUCAUCAUCUUGUGCUUGUGAUCUUCAUCUCCGAAGCACCGUCAUGAUCACCAUCGUCACCGGCGCGACACCUUGAUCUCCAUCGUAGCAUCAUUGUCGUUUCACCACCUAUUGCUUCCACGACUAUCGCUACCGCUUAGGGAUAAAGUAAAGCAAUUACAGGGAAAUUGCAUUGCAUACAAUAAAGUGACAACCAUAUGGCUCCUGCUAGUUGCCGAUAACUCGGUUACAAAACAUGAUCAUCUCAUACAAUAAAAUAUAGCAUCACGUCUUGACCAUAUCACAUCACAACAUGCCCUGCAAAAACAAGUUAGACGUCCUCUACUAUGUUGUUGGAAGUUUUACGUGGCUGCUACGGGCUGAGCAAGAACCGUUCUUACCUACGCUUCAAAACCACAAUGAUAGUUCAUCAAGUUAGUGCUGUUUUAACCUUCUCAAGGACCAGGCGUAGGCACACUUCGUUCAGCUAGAGUUGGAGAAACUGACACCCGCCAGCCACCUAUGUGCAAAGCACGUCAGUGGAACCAGUCUCGCGUAAGCGUACGCGUAAUGUCGGUCCGGGCCGCUUCAUCCAACAAUACCACUGAACCAAAGUAUGACAUGCUGGUAAGCAGUAUGACUUGUAUCGCCCACAACUCACUUGUGUUCUACUCGUGCAUAUAACAUCUACACAUAAAACCUGGCUCUGAUGCCACUGUUGGGGAACGUAGUAAUUUCAAAAAACUUCCUACACACAUGCAAGAUCAUGGUGAUGCAUAGCAACGAGAGGGGAGAGUGUUGUCCAUGUACCCUCGUAGACCGAAAGCAGAAGCGUUAGCACAACGCGGUUGAUGUAGUCGUACGUCUUCACGAUCCGACCGAUUCAAGUACCGAACGUACGGCACCUCCGAGUUCAGCACACGUUCAGCUCGAUGACGUCCCUCGAACUCCGAUCCAACCGAGCUUUGAGGGAGAGUUCCGUCAUCAUGACGACGUGGUGAUGAUGAUGAUGUUCUACCAACGCAAGGCUUCGCCUAAGCACCGCUAUGAUAUUAUCGAGGCGGAAUAUGGUGGAGGGGGGCACCGCACACGACUAAGAGAUCAAUGAUCAAUUGUUGUUCUCUAGAGGUGCCCCCUGCCCCCGUAUAUAAAGGAGCAAGGGGGGAGGGGGCGGCCAGCCAGGAGGGGCGCGCCAGGAGGAGUUCUACUCCCACCUGGAGUAGGACUCCCUCCUUUCCUUGUCCAAGUAGGAGAGGGGGAAGGAAGGGAGAGAGGGGAGGAAGGAAAGGGGGGUGCCGCCCCCCCCCAUCCUUGUCCUAUUCGGACUAGAGGGGGAGGGGGGCGCGGCCUGCCCUGGCCGCCCCUCCUCUUCUCCACUUUGGGCCCAUGAGGCCCAUUAACCCCCCGGGGGGUUUCGGCAACUCCCCGGUACUCCGGUAUAUAUCCGAUAACCCCCGGAACUAUUCCGGUGUCCGAAUAUAGCCAAUAUAUCAAUCUUCAUGUCUCGACCAUUUCGAGACUCCUCGUCAUGUCCGUGAUCACACCCGACACUCCGAACUAUCUUUGGUACAUCAAAACACAUAAACUCAUAAUAUAAUCGUCAUCUAACUUUAAGCGUGCGGACCCUAUGGGUUCGAGAACUAUGUAGACAUGACCGAGACAUGUUUCCGGUCAAUAACCAAUAGCGGAACCUGGAUGCUCAUAUUGGCUCCUACAUAUUCUACGAAGAUCUUUAUCGGUCAAACCGCAUAACAACAUACGUUGUUCCCUUUGUCAUCGGUAUGUUACUUGCCCAAGAUUCGAUCGUUGGUACCUCAAUACCUAGUUCAAUCUCGUUACCGGCAAGUCUCUUUACUCGUUAUGUAAUGUGUCAUCCCGCAACUAGUCAUCAUCGGUGAAUAUCUUCAUGUUGAUCGUAUCUUCUAUACGACUCAUGCUCGACCUUUCGGUCUCUUGUGUUCCGAGGCCAUGUCUGUACAUGCUAGGCUCGUCAAGUCAACCUAAGUAUUUUGCAUGUGUAAAUCUAGCUUACACCCAUUGUAUGUGAACAUUAGGAUCUAUCACACCCGAUCAUCACAUGGUGCUUCGAAACAACGAACUUUCACAACGGCGCACAGUUAGGGGAAACACUUUCUUGAAAUUGUUAUGAGGGAUCAUCUUAUUUACUACCGUCGUUCUAAGCAAAUAAGAUGCAAAAACAUGAUAAAGAUCACAUGCAAUCAAAUAGUGACAUGAUAUGGCCAAUAUCAUUUUGCUCCUUUGACCUCCAUCUUUGGGGCGCCAUGAUCAUCAUCGUCACCGACAUGACAUCAUGAUCUCCAUCAUCUUGUCUCCAUGAAGUUGUCUCGCCAACUAUUACUUCUACUACUAUGGCUAACGAUUUAGCAAAGAAGUAAAGUAAUUACAUGGCGUUAUUCAGUGACACGCAGGUCAUACAAUAAAUAAAGACAACUCCUAUGGAUCCUGCCGGUUGUCAUACUCAUCGACAUGCAAGUCGUGAUUCUUAUUACAAGAACAUGAUCAAUCUCAUACAUCACAUAUAUUUUAUUCAUCACAUCCUUUUUGGCCAUAUCACAUCACAAGGCAUAUGCUGCAAAAACAAUUUAGACAUCCUCUAAUUGUUGUUGCAUGUUUUUACGUGGCUGCUAUAGGGUUCUAGGAAGAACGUUUCUUACCUAUGCCAAAACCACAACAUGAUAUGCCAAUUUCUAUUUACCCUUCAUAAGGACCCUUUUCAUCGAAUCCGAUCCGACUAAGGUGGGAGAGACAGACACCCGCUAGCCAACUUAUGCAACUAGUGCAUGUCAGUCAGUGGAACCUGUCUCACGUAAGUGUAUGUGUAAGGUCGGUCCGGGCCGCUUCAUCCCACGAUACCGCCGAAACAAGAUAAGACUAGUAGUGGCAAGUAAAUUUACAAAAUCUACGACCACAACAAAAUUUUGUUCUACUCGUGCAUAGAAACUACGCAUAGACCUAGCUCAUGAUGCCAGUGUUGGAGAUCGUUGCAGAAAAUAAUAAUUUUCUACGCAUCACCAAGAUCAAUCUAUCGAUAAACUAGCAAUGAGAGAGAGGGGAGUGCAUCUUCAUACCCUUGAAGACAGCAAGACGGAAGCGUUGCAAGAACGCGGAUGAGGGAGUCAUACUCGAAGCGAUUCACAUCGCAGUGGAUUCCGAUCUUAGCGUCGAACAACGGCACCUCCGCGUUUAACACACGUGCAGCCCGGUGACGUCUCCCGCGCCUUGAUCCAGCAAGGAGGAGGGAGAGGUUGAGGAAGAGGGACUCUAACAGUAGCACGACAGCGUGGUGGUGAUGGAGCGGCAGUACUCCGGCAGGGCAUCGCCAAGCUCUUGCGGAGGAGGAGAGGUGUUGGGGAGGGGAGGUGCUGCGCCUUGGAUGUGGUGCUAUAGCCCUCCCCUCGCCCCUCUAUUUAUAGGAGGAGGGGUGCUACCUCUUGAGCACUGCGUUGGAUUUCCCCGAAGAGGAGAGGAUGAUGCAGUAAAGUAGCGUAAGUAUUUCCCUCAGUUUUUGAGAACCAAGGUAUCAAUCCAGUAGGAGAUCACGCACAAGUCCCUCGUACCUACACAAAACGAUAGCAACUCGCAACAACGCUUAGGGGUUGUCAAUCCCUUCACGGUCACAUACGAGAGUGAGAUCUCAUAGAGAUAAUAGUUUUGGUUUUUUUGAUAGAUAGAUGCAAAGUAAAAAGUAAAAGGCAAAGUAAAACCAAGCAAGUAAAUAAAGUAAUAUAGAUUGAUAUGAUGAGAAUAGACCCAUGGGCCAUAGGUUUCACUAGUGGCUUCUCUCAAGAGCAUAAUUAUUCUACGGUGGGUGAACAAAUUACAGUUGAGCAAUUGAUAGAAAAGAGAAUAAUUAUGAGAUUAUCUAAGUAUGAUCAUGUAUAUAGGCAUCACGUCCAAAACAAGUAGAUCGAAACGAUUCUGCAUCCACUACUAUUACUCAACUCAUCGACCGCUAUCCAGCAUGCAUCUAGAGUAUUAAGUAAAACAGAGUAACGCUUUAAGUAAGAUGACAUGAUGUAGAGGGAUAAAUUCAUGCAAUAUGAUAAAAACCCCAUCUUGUUAUCCUCGAUGGCAACAAUACAAUACGUGCCUUGCAACUCUUUCUGUCACUGAGUAAGGACACCGCAAGAUUGAACCCAAAGCUAAACACUUCUCCCAUGGCAAGAACUACCAACCUAGUUGGCCAAACCAAACGGAUAAUUCGAAGAGACUUGCAAAGAUAACUCAAUCAUACAUAAAAGAAUUCAGAGAAGAAUCAAAUAUUGUUCAUAGAUAAGCUGGAUCAUAAACCCACAAUUCAUCGGUCUCAACAAACACACCGCAAAAAGAAUAUUACAUCGAAUAGAUCUCCACAAGAGAGGGGGAGAACAUUGUAUUGAGAUCCAAAAAGAGAGAAGAAGCCAUCUAGCUAAUAACUAUGGACCCGAAGGUCUGAAGUAAACUACUCACACUUCAUUGGAGAGGCUAUGGUGUUGAUGUAGAAGCCCUCCGUGGUAGAUGCCCUCUCCAGCGGAGCUCCGGAACAGGCUCCAAGAUGAGAUCUCGUGGAUACAGAAGGUUGCGGCGGUGGAAUUAGGUUUUUCGCUCCGUAUCUGAUCUAACGGGGGUACGUAGGUAUAUAUAGGAGGAAGGAGUACGUCGGUGGAGCUCCAAGGGGCCCAUGAGGCAGGGGGGCGUGCCCAGGGGGGCGCCCUCCACCCUCGUGACCGCCUCUGGCACUUCUUGGAGUAGGGUCCAAGUCUCCUGGAUCACGUUCGGUGAGAAAAUCACGUUCCCGAAGGUUUUAUUCCGUUUGGACUCUGUUUGAUAUUCUGUUUCUUCGAAAUACUGAAAUAGGCAAAAAAACAACAAUUUUGGGCUUGGCCUCCGGUUAAUAGGUUAGUCCCAAAAAUAAUAUGAAAGUGGAAAAUAAAGCCCAAUAUAGUCCAAAACAGUAGACAAAGUAGCAUGGAGUAAUCAAAAAUUAUAGAUACGUUGGAGACGUAUCAAGCAUCCCCAAGCUUAAUUCUAGCUCGUCCUCGAGUAGGUAAAUGAUAAAAAAGAAUUUUUGAUGCGGAGUGAUACUUUGGCAUAAUUUCAAUGUAAAUCUUCUUAAUUGUGACAUGAAUAUUCAGAUCCGGAAGAUUCAAGACAAAAGUUUAUAUUAACAUAAAAGUAAUAAUACUUCAAGCAUACUAAUCAAAGCAAUCAUGUCUUCUCAAAAUAGCAUGGUUAAAGAAAGUUAUCCCUACAAAAUCAUAUAGUCUGGCUAUGCUCUACCUUCAUCACACAAAGUAUUUAAUCAUGCACAACCCCGAUGAUGAGCCAAGCAAUUGUUUCAUACUUUAGAAAUCUCAAACUUUUUCAACUUUCACGCAAUACAUGAGCGUGAGCCAUGGACAUAGCACUAUAGGUGGAAUAGAAAGGUGGUUGUGGAGAAGACAAAAAGGAGAAGAUAGUCUCACAUCAACUAGGCAUAUCAACGGGCUAUGGAGAUGCCCAUCAAUAGAUAUCAAUGUGAGUGAGCAGGGAUUGCCAUGCAACGGAUGCACUAGAGCUAUAAGUAUAUGAAAUCUCAACAAAAGAAACUAAGUGGGGGUGCAUCCAACUUGCUUGCUCAAGAAGACCUAGGGCACUUUUGAGGAAGCCCAUCAUUGGAAUAUACAAGACAAGUUUUAUAAUGAAAAAUUCCCACUAGUAUAUGAAAGUGAUAACAUAUGAGACUCUCUAUCAUGAAGAUCAUGGUGCUUAAUUUUGAAGCACAAGUGUGGAAAAAGGAUAGUAGCAUUGUCCCCUCUCUCUUUUUCUCUCAUUUUUUUAUUUUUUAUUUGGCCUUUCUCUUUUUUUUUCUUUUUUUUGGCCACUCCUUUUUUUUAUAUUUUUUUUCAUAAAGUCCGGAGUCUCAUCCCGACUUAUGGGGGAAUCAUAGUCUCCAUCAUCCUUUCCUCACUGGGACAAUGCUCUAAUAAUGAUAAUCAUCACACUUUUAUUUUUCUUACAACUCAUCAAUUACAACUCAAUACUUAGAACAAGAUAUUCGAUAUGAAUGCCUCCGGCGGUGUACCGGGAUAUGCAAUGAAUCAAGAGCGACAUGUAUGAAAAUUAUGAAGGUGGCCUUGCCACAAAUACAAUGUCAACUACAUGUUCAUGCAAAAAGCAAUAUGACAAAAGUAAUGUGUGUCAUAUGAACGGAACGGUGGAGAGUUGCAUGGCAAUAUAUCUCAGAAUGGCUAUGGAAAUGCCAUAAUAGGUAGGUAUGGUGGCUGUUUUGAGGAAGGUAUAUGGUGGGUGUAUGAUACCGGCGAAAAGUGUGCGGUAUUAGAGAGGUUAGCAAUGGCGAAAAGGUAAGAGUGUGUAUAAUCCAUGGACUCAACAUUAAUCAAAAUAACUCAUGCACUUAUUGCAAAAAUUUAGAAGUCAUCAAAAACCAAAGCAUUAAACGCAUACUCCUAGGGGGAUAGAUUGGUAGGAAGAGACCAUCGCUCGUCCCCGACUUCCACUCAUAAGGAAGACAAUAAAUAAAUAAAAUUGUGCUCCGACUUCAUCACAAGCGGUUCACCAUACGUGCAUGCUACAGGAAUCACAAACUUCAACGCAAGCAUUCUUUAAAUUCAUAAUUACCCCUACUAGCAUUGCUUUAAUAUUAUCACCUCCAUAUCUCAAAACAAUUAUCAAGCAUCAAACUUAUCUUAGUAUUCAACGCACUCAAAAGAAAGUUUCACAAAUCUUGAAUACCAAGUAUAUUAACUUUGAGCAAUUUACCAUGCUAUUAACAACUCUCAAAAUAAUCUAAGUGAAGCAUGAGAGAUCAAUAGUUUCUUUAAAAUAAAUCCACCACCGUGCUCUUAAAGAUCUAAGUGAAGAACUAGAGCAAAAAUUAUUACUCUCAAAAGAUAUAAGUGAAGCACUAUGAGCAAAACUAUCAAGCUCAAAAGAUAUAAGUGAAGCACUAUGAGCAAAACUAUCAAGCUCAAAAGAUAUAAGUGAAGUACAUAGAGUAUUCUAGCAAAUUCCACAUCAGGUAUGGCUCUCUCAAAAGGUGUGUACAGCAAGGAUGAUUGUGGCAAACUAACAAGCAAAGACACAAAUAAUAAAGAUGCUCCAAGCAAAGCACAUAUCAUGUAGUGAAUAAAAAUAUAGCUCCAAGUAAAUUACCGAUGGAAGUAGACGAAAGAGGGGAUGCCUUCCGGGGCAUCCCCUUGCUUUGACUUUUUGGUGUCCUUGGAUUAUCUUGGGGAUGCCAUGGGAAUCCCCAAUCUUAGGCUCUUCCCACUCUUUGUUCCAUAAUCCAUCAAAAGAAUUCACCCAAAACUUGAAAACUUCACAACACAAAAUUCAAUAGAAAUCUCGUGAGCUCCGUUAGUGAAAGAAAACAAAACACUACUUCAAGGUACUGUAAUGAACUCAUUCUUUAUUUAUAUUGGUAUUAAACCUACUGUAUUCCAACUUCCUUAUGGUUUAUAAACUAAUUUAUUAGCCAUAGAUUCAUCAAAAUAAGCAAACAACACACGAAAAACAGAAUCUGUCAAAAACAGAACAGUCUGUAGCAAUCUGUAACUAACGCAAACUUCUGGAACUCUAAAAAAUCCUACCAAAAUAGUACGCACUAGAAAUUUUUUUUAUUGAUCAGAAGCAAAAAGAAUCAAUGCAAAAUCUCGUUCCUUUGAUUUAUUGAAUUUUUUCUCGUGAGCGCAAAGUUUCUGUUUUUCAGCAGAAUCAAAUAAACUAUCACCAUAGCUUAUCCUAUAGGUUCUACUUGGCACAAACACUAAUUAAAACACAAAACCACAUCUAAACAGAAAGUAGAAACAAAAUUUAGCACUAAACAAGAACACAAAAUAAAAUUGGGUUGCCUCCCAACAAGCGCUAUCGUUUAACGCCCCUAGCUAGGCAUAAAAGCAAAGAUAGAUCUAAGUUUUGCCAUCUUUGGUAGGCAAUUCCUCAAAGAGGCAUCUACCUCCUUCAGAAUUUCCUUUAUUUCUAGUAAUUAUCAAAUUUUCAGGCAAAAGAUCAAAAAAUUCAUUCAUAGCAAAAGGUUCCUUAAUGAUAGUAAAAAGAUUGGGAUGAACACUUAUAGAUUUAAGAUUCGCAGUUUCCUUACUAGAUAAUUCACCCUUAUUCCUAGGAACAUAAAUUAGCUUAGUAUUUUUAGUAGAAGAACUUGGAGUGUUUUGUACGGAAGAAAAAGCGGUUCCCAAAUUGGUAAUGAUACCCUCAAGUUUAUCGUUUCUUGUGGAAUCUAGAUUUAUUUUAUCAUUAACUAUGGGUUCUUUUUCUUUAAUAUUCUUCAAAGUCAUUCCUACCUUAGAUCCAUAUUGGGUAAUUUGAUUGUGGAUCUUUUUAUAAAGAUUUUCAAUUGAUUCAAUGGUAGCAACUUCAUUAUCAAUAAUUUCAAGUAUUUGCAUAACAUGCUCCAAAGUUAAUGUAGUUCCAUUAAUCAAAAGAGGUGGGGUGCCGAAUAAAUCUAUUAAAGCAUUAUAGGAAUCAAAAGUGUGGCUACCCAAGAAAUUCCCUCCAGUAAUGGUAUCAAGGAUAUAUCUAUACCAAGGAUUAGCAACUACGUAAAAAUUACGACGAAGAACUGAAGUAGAUUGCUUCCUGGUAGAUCUAUUUUGAGCAUUGCAAAUUCUAUACCAAGCGUCUUUCAGAUUUUCUCCCUCCCUUUGUUUAAAAUUUAGAACUUCAUUCUCGAGAGAUAAUGGAGAAGAUAAAGAAUUAGACAUGACGACAAGCAAGCAAGCAAGCACACAGACAGGCAGGAGGACAAGCGAAGAAAGCAAAAGAGAAAGAGAGGAGGAGAUUGGGAAAGAGAGGGCGAAUAAAACGGCAAGGGUGAAGUGGGGGAGAGGAAAACGAGAGGCAAAUAAUGUAAUGCGAGAGAUAGGGAUUGUGAUGGGUACUUGGUAUAGUUGACUUUUGCGCGAACUCCCCGGUAACGGCGCCAGAAAUUCUUCUUGCUACCUCUUGAGCACUGCGUUGGAUUUCCCCGAAGAGGAGAUGAUGAUGCAGUAAAGUAGCGUAUGUAUUUCCCUCAGUUUUUGAGAACCAAGGUAUCAAUCCAGUAGGAGAUCACGCACAAGUCCCUCGUACCUACACAAAACGAUAGCAAUUCGCAACCAACGCUUAGGGGUUGUCAAUCCCUUCAUGGUCACUUACGAGAGUGAGAUCUGAUAGAGAUAAUAUUUUUGGUAUUUUUGAUAGAUAGAUGCAAAGUAAAAAGUAAAAGUCAAAGUAAAACAAAGCAAGUAAAUAAAGUAAUAUAGAUUGAUAUCAUGAGAAUAGACCCGGGGGCCAUAGGUUUCACUAGUGGCUUCUCUCAAGAGCAUAAGUAUUCUACGGUGGGUGAAAAAAUUACUGUUGAGCAAUUGAUAGAAAAGCGAAUAAUUAUGAGAUUAUCUAAGUAUGAUCAUGUAUAUAGGCAUCACGUCCAAAACAAGUAGAUCAAAACCAUUAUGCAUCCACUACUAUUACUCCACUCAUCGACCGCUAUCCAGCAUGCAUCUAGAGUAUUAAGUAAAACAGAGUAACGCUUUAAGUAAGAUGGCAUGAUGUAGAGGGAUAAAUUCAUGCAAUAUGAUAAAAAUCCCAUCUUGUUAUCCUCGAUGGCAACAAUACAAUACGUGCCUUGCAACUCUUUCUGUCACUGAGUAAGGACACCGCAAGAUUGAACCCAAAGCUAAACACUUCUCCCAUGGCAAGAACUACCAAUCUAGUUGGCCAAACGAAACGUAUAAUUCGAAGAGACUUGCAAAGAUAGCUCAAUCAUACAUAAAAGAAUUCAGAAAAGAAUCAAAUAUUGUUCAUAGAUAAGCUGGAUCAUAAACCCAAAAUUCAUCGAUCUCAACAAACACACCGCAAAAAGAAGAUUACAUCGAAUAGAUCUCCACAAGAGAGGGGGGGAACAUUGUAUUGAGAUCCAAAAAGAGAGAAGAAGCCAUCUAGCUAAUAACUAUGGACCCGUAGGUCUGAAGUAAACUACUCACACUUCAUUGGAGAGGCUAUGGUGUUGAUGUAGAAGCCCUCCAUGGUAGAUGCCCUCUCCGGCGGAGCUCCGGAACAGGCUCCAAGAUGGGAUCUCGUGGAUACAGAAGGUUGCGGCGGUGGAAUUAGGUUUUUGGCUCCGUAUCUGAUCUGACGGGGGUAUGUAGGUAUAUAUAGGAGGAAGGAGUAUGUCGGUGGAGCUCCGAGGGGCCCAUGAGGCAGGGGGCGCGCCUAGGGGGGCGCCCUCCACCCUCGUGACCGCCUCUGGCACUUCUUGGAGUAGGGUCCAAGUCUCCUGGAUCACGUUCGGUGAGAAAAUCACGUUCCCGAAGGUUUUAUUCCGUUUGGACUCCUUUUGAUAUCAUGUUUCUUAAAAAUACUGAAAUAGGCAAAAAAACAACAAUUCUGGGCUGGGCCUCCGGUUAAUAGGUUAGUCCCAAAAAUAAUAUGAAAGUGGAAAAUAAAGCCCAAUAUAGUCCAAAACAGUAGACAAAGUAGCAUGGAGUAAUCAAAAAUUAUAGAUACGUUGGAGACGUAUCAAGGGGUAAGGGGGCCAGCCCCCUCUAGAUGAGAUCUAGAGGGGGGCGGCGGCCAAGGGGGGGGGACUUGCGCCCCAAGCAAGGGGGCGCCCCCUUUAGGGUUUCCCCCCCAACCCUAGGCGCAUGGGCCCAAGGGGGGUUGGCACCCAGCCCUCUAUGGGCUGGUUCCCUUCCCUCUACAGCCCACGUGGCCCUCCGGGGGAGGUGGCCCCUCCCGGUGGACCCCCGGAACCCUUCCGAUGGCCCCGGUACAAUACCGGUAUGCCCCCGAACUUCUUCGGUGACCGUAUUACAAUUUCCCAUAUAUAAAUCUUCACCUCUGAACCAUUCCAGAACUCCGCAGGACGUUUGGGAUCUCAUCCAGGACUUCGAACAACAUUCGGUAAUCACAUACAAGUCUUCCUAAUAACCCUAGCAUCAUCGAAUACCUUAAGUGUGUAGACCCUACGGGUUCGGGAAUCACGCAGACAUGACCGAGACAGCUCUCCGGCCAAUAACCAAUAGUGGGAUAUGGAUACCCAUGUUGGCUCCCACAUGUUCCAUGAUGAUCUCAUCGGAUGAACCACGAUGUCGAGGAUUCAAGUAAUCCCAUAUACAAUUCCCUUUGUCAAUCGGUACGUUACUUGCCCAAGAUUCGAUCAUCGGUAUCCCAAUACCUUGUUCAAUCUCGUUACCGGCAAGUCACUUUACUCGUUACAUAAUGCAUGAUCAUGUGACUAACCUCUUAGUCACAUUGAGAUCAUUAUGAUGAUGCAUUACCGAGUGGGCCCAGAGAUAUCUCUCCGUCAUACGUAGUGACAAAUUCCAGUCUUGAUUCGUGCCAACCCAACAGACACUUUUGAAGAUACCUAUAGUGCACCUUUAUAGUCACCCAGUUACGUUGUGACGUUUGGUACACCCAAAGACCUUCUACGGUAUCCGGGAGUUACACAAUCUCAUGGUCUAAGGAACUGAUACUUGACAUUAGAAAAGCUUUAGCAAAUGAACUACACGAUCUGGUGCUAUGCUUAGGAUUUGGUCUUGUCCAUCACAUCAUUCUCCUAAUGAUGUGACCCUGUUAUCAAUGACAUUCAAUGUCCAUAGUCAGAAAACCAUGACCAUCUGUUGAUCAACGAGCUAGUCAACUAGAGGCUUACUAGGGACAUGUUGUGGUCUAUGUAUUCACACAUGUAUCACAGUUUUCGGUUAAUACAAUUAUAGCAUGAAUAGUAGACAAUUAUCAUGAACAAGGAAAUAUAAUAAUAAUCAUUUUAUUAUUGCCUCUAGGGAAUAUUUCCAACAGUCUCCCACUUGCACUAGAGUCAAUAAUCUAGUUACACUGUGAUGAAUCGAACACCCAUAGAGUUCUGGUGUUGAUCAUGUUUUGCUCGUGGAAGAGGUUUAGUCAACAGAUCUGCGACAUUCAGAUCCGUAUGCACUUUGCACUACAAAAAAAGGACACGUCCAUGACAUUUUGGGCCGAACGAAUUUUUUUCUGUCAUACAUAUGACACUUCUAUGACGAUAAUUGUGACAAAACCCGGUAUCACCAUAGAUGUGGUGGGCUCCUACUUCUAUGACAAAAAAUCAUGACAGAAAAUGGGCUUUUCGUCCUGGGCGGGCCGGAGACGCAGCUACAUUACAUUCUUUGGGCCAUCCAUGACGGAAAAAACCAUGGUAGAAGCGAGGGUGAGGAAAAUUUCGGGGAGUUGCCGGUUACGAUGGGAGGUCGGGGGCCGAGCGAUGCACGUUUCUCUCGUACACGUACGCGCGUGUGUGCGAGGCGUUGGCUCUAACUGAACCCGAGAGAGGUGUUGGCCUCUAACUGAACCCGAGCGAUUGCACUGCAGGCUACGCGUUACUGAACCCGAGCGAUCGAUCGAUGGCUGUUAACUGAACCUGAUCGAGCGAUUCGUUCGCUACUGCUGCUAACUGAAGCCGAUCGAUGCCGCCUCUCUGGAUGAACAGUGAGCGUUGCGGUGGGGUUUGGAUGAAUAGUGAGCUGUGGGAGUGGACAAACACGACCCGUGGUGUUGCCUCUGGAUGAACAGGACCCCGUGGUGUGGAGGGCUGGAUGAACAGGACGACCCCGUGGAGGGCUGGAUGAACAGUAGACGGUGGAGGGGUUGCCCGUGGAGGGGUGGAUGAACAGGACCCCGUGGUGUGGAGGGCUGGAUGAACAGUAGACGGUGGAGGGGUGCCCGUGGAGGGGUAGUUGAACAGUAGCCGCUGGAGUAGCGCGCGGUGGAGGCUGGAUGAACAGGAGCCCGUGGAGGCUGGAGGAGGUCGACGGUAGCCCGUGGAGGCUGGAGGAGGUCGACGGUCGAGAUGAACAGUAUCCCGUGGAGUCCUGUUUUGCAGUACGCCACACCCCUCCCGAUGAACAGGACCCCCGUUUCGACCUAGCGCUCCAACACAAGUCCGUUUCGUCCAUUUUGCGGUACACCACACCCUCCCGAUCAACAGGUCCCCCGUUUCGACCGUAGGAGGUCCGUUUCCUCCGUCUUGCGGUAUGCCACACCCCUCCCGAUCAACAGGACCCCCGUUUCGACCGUAGGAGGUCCAUUUCCUCCGUUUUGCGGUACGCCAGACCCCUCCCGAUGAACACGACCCCCGUUUCGAACGUGGCCGGUCGAACACAAGGCCGUUUCCUCCGUUCUGCGGUACGCCAGGCCUCGUUUCCAUCGCCUGUUCCAUCCAAGCCCUUCCGAUGAACACGACCACGCAUUCCAUUCCGACCCAGCCGGUUGGCUCCCCAUGAACACGAUGACGACGCUAUUUCUCCGUUCCGACCCAGCCAAUGUACACGAGCCCUGGCCAUACGCAUAUAUGCACGAGUAGGCGUUUGAGACCCCGCCCGUAUGUACACAUACGUGGCCGUAUUUUCUUUCUUGCACCCUGGCCGUUGUACGUACGUGUACAUGCUAUGUGCGCGCCUCUACUACGACACGUGCGCGCCUCUACAUCCACCAGUAUAUAUGUACGUACACGUUCGCGACCAGAAUGACAACACUACGUACGCUUCGACCAGGUGGGUCCCGACUGUCAGACACUUCCUUGCGUGUGAAGAUGUAGCUGGUGGGUCCCAGCAGUUAGGGGGGUGAAUCAUUUUUUUUUCGGACGCACUUCCUUGCAUGCGAAGAUGUAGCUGGUGGGUCCCAGCAGUUAGGGGGGUGAAUCGUGUUUUUUUUGCCCGGACACACUUCCUUGCGUAAGAAGAUGUAGAUGGUGGGUCCCGGCAAUCAGGGGGCGAAUCGUCUUUUNNNNNNNNNNNNNNNNNNNNNNNNNNNNNNNNNNNNNNNNNNNNNNNNNNNNNNNNNNNNNNNNNNNNNNNNNNNNNNNNNNNNNNNNNNNNNNNNNNNNNNNNNNNNNNNNNNNNNNNNNNNNNNNNNNNNNNNNNNNNNNNNNNNNNNNNNNNNNNNNNNNNNNNNNNNNNNNNNNNNNNNNNNNNNNNNNNNNNNNNNNNNNNNNNNNNNNNNNNNNNNUUUUUUUGCCCGGACGCACUUCCUUGGGUGCGAAGAUGUAGCUGGUGGGUCCCAGCAGUCAGGGGGCGAAUCUUUUUUUUUUGCCCGGACGCACUUCCUUGCGUCCAAAGAUGUAGCUGGUGGGUCCCAGCAGUCAGGGGGCGAAUCGUUUUUUUGCCUGGACGCACUUCCUUGCGUGAGAAGAUGUAGCUGGUGGGUCCCAGCAGUCAGGGGGAAACGUUUUUUUCGCGAAAUACAGUGGCCCGUCCGGUGGGUCCCAGCUGUCAGGUGGAGGAAUAAUUAUUUUUCGCGUAAUAAGGAGGCACUUCCUUGCUGCAGCCAUGGACCCAGCUGUCAGCCUCUCCACGUACAGUCCACGUCCGAUGGAAGUCGUUCCUUGACCAUGUUGACCAUGCCGCGCCGAGAGCACCAGGGCGGUGGACGACGGCGAGGCCUAGGAAGGGGACGACGGGGAGCCGAGGAAGACGCGGCAGUGGAAGCCCGCGCGGAGAGGAGUACUAGGGUUCACUGGUUCGGCUGCGGUGUGAGGCUGCCGUCGCCGCAGGGCCUGGCCAGCGGUGGGAAUAGUAGGGGGCGGUGAGGCCUCCGCGUCAGCAUAGCCGGCCACAGAAGGCAGGAGCAUGCGGCACGACCGGCGCUGCUUUGGGCGACUGGAGCAAGAAGACCAGAGGUUGAAGAAGCACUACGACCGUUGGAUGGACAUCGUACGGUCACUGGAGCUAGAAUCGUUCAUAUUGAAGAAGCAGCACCGCCGUUGGAUUAACAUCCAAUGGUCACUGCUGCUAGGAUCGUUUGUGGACUAAGUUGACAAAGCCAAAGUACACGUCAACCUAGUAGACCCACAAGUCAGCCUCCAAACCUGUCCCAAACAGCAUACAACCCGAAAUUUCUAGCCAGAUUCAAAUUAAUUUUAAAUCUAAAUAUACCUUAUUUUAAAUUCAAUGAAAUAUUACCCGCACAAAAAUAAUGAAAUUUUAAAUAUCAAAAUCUGAAAGAAAACAUUAUUUUGGAACUAAUUGCCUGUUUGCUGUAUUUUUUUCAUUUUAUAGCCCAUUUAUUUUUACUUAUAGCCCAUUUCUUAUUACUUAUAGCCCAUUUUCUGGGCAAAAUGCAUCCCUCCUCGUCUUGAAAGAUUUCCGGCCCAGCAGGGCGUAGAAAAGCAAGUAGGCCUAUGUUGGUUAUUCUGCAAAAAACAAAAUAGCUGGCUAGCCAUUUUUCAGAAUGGAAAAAAACAAAUUGGGCUGGUCAUGUGCUAAACAUAUGAAAUAAAAGCCUGGGCUAGAUGGGCCACGGGUCCCGCACAACCCAGUUGAUACCCUUCUCCGUCCCGAAAAAACAAAAUUACUAUGCGCGCUGCUGGGUCCCUACUGUCAUCCUCACCAUGUACAGUCAUCUCCUUAUUCCUCUUGGUUGUUGACCAUGUUGACAACACCGGAGGGCGUCGCCGCAGCGAGCGAACCAAGGCGGAGGACGAUGGUGAGGCCUCAGACGGGAAAGAACAGGAGCCGGGGAAGAUCACAGAUAGCCGUGGGAGGCGAGAGCAGGCGGUCCCGCCGGCGCUGGUUUGGCUUUGGCGGCUCGAGGAAGAAGAGACUGAAGAAACGCGACAGACGUUGAAUGUAAAUCCAACGGUCAAGGUUGGCACAAUCGUUUGCUGACUAAGUGGACACCAAGUAGCAUACUUUUUUAUAUAUAGGAAGAAAACUGCGAGGAAAAUGCGUUUGUCUACCGUCCUCCUCACAGGGAACGUUCGCCACAUAAGUGACUAGCACCCAUGGUUUUCAACCGAGAGGUCUUGGGUUCGAGUCCCAGGAAAUCUCAAUUUUGUCCUCCUUCCUUCCUUGCAAAAAAAAGGGAAAGAAAAUCAAAGACUUGGGAAGGCGUACAGAACAAGCUAGUGUACCAGUAAAGAGACAUUGCCGAGUUUUAGAAAAAAGAGAGACGUGCUCAUGUAACUGGUUCGAAUCCAAACCUAGACUAUGACUAUAUAUGGUGCUAUGCUACUCUGCAAGUAAUGAAACUGAAAUAUCCAAUGUUCGCUUCUCCUCUUCUCUACUUACUCUGCCUAGCAUCAGAAGCUCUGGGCGCAGCAACCAUGUCCACUGGCUGCUCGUCCACCUGCUCUUCAGCAGGCAACAACCAAAUAUGGGCCAAGUCACCACCCGUACCAUCGCCUGUGGGUCUCAUCACACCCCCGCCCGCAGUGCACCGCAGCCGAUUGCUCAUCGCAACCCGCUGCCGUUGGUGUGGUGCCAUUGCUGCAAAUCACGCAGAGUCAUCCAUCGCGUCUCAACCACAAUCCUCAACCCUGGCCGAGUCUUCUACAAAUGCCCGAAUCAUGGGGUAAUAAUAUGUUAAAGUGUUGUUCUGCUACUUUCAGUUGCUAAUUUUUUUAAUAGUUUGGUUGAUGAUCUUCCAAUUUGAUUCGUGCAGAAAAGGGAAGAUUCAUGUGAUUUGUAUUUCUGGGAAGUUGCUGAUGUGGGGGAAUGCAACUACGCUGAUUAUUUGGUUAGCCGAGGAAUCCCAAUACCAGCAGGUUGGGGUGUUGGACAAGUAACUAAAGGAUUGACAGAAGAGGAAGAUGCAGAGCAGAAGGUUAAAGAGGCAGUUCCUCUGAUCAUGGCCAAGCAACAGCUGCUGAACAGCCUUGACAGCAAUGAGGAGAUGAAAGAGCUUGUGAAGAUAAUGGGAAAAUCGAUGUGCUCUGUAGGAUGAUUGUCUCUUUAUCUACAGUGUAUGUAGCACUCGUGAUGUAUUCAGUGACUACGACAUGAGCACUUUGCUGAAACUAGUAAUGAAUGAAACCUGUGUAGCAGGCUGGGCGUAGUGUUGUGAACAUCUAAUGAUUUCUAUUAACGGAAAUCAGGGGGUAUCCCCUUUUUCUCAUAAAUAAAUAAAUAAUAGAGGCCCUGUCGAGUCAGCUUUGUUCUCAUUCGAAGACGUCGAGCAAAUUGCAGUCCAACAGCAAACUAUGUCAUCAAAUUCAAGUUUCACAGCCAAAUAUGAGUACAACUAAACAACAAUUUCAUCAUGUUUUAGUUGUCAUACAAUCACCAAACACAAAUCAGCAUACAUAACAAGUAAUGUUCUCACAACAAAAUACUAAACAACUUGUUCAUCAGGUUUCAGUUGUCAUAGCAAACACAAUUUCACAUAGUAGAUAAAAAACGUCUUCUAACAGGCAAAUACGACAAAAGUAAUGUAAUCAUCAUCCGCAGCAGCAGCGUCAACAUAUUCGCCAUGUGUAUCAGUCUGAAUCGUAAUUCCCCACGGUGUCAUCUUCUUCUUCGUCCUCAACGUCCUCGAAUGUUGGCUUCUUCUUGAUCAACUCUUGUAUGUCCACAGCACGACAGGCAAUCUUUUCGCCGGCGUCAUUGAUGUGAUGGUUCUCGAAGAUAUUAGGAACAUUUGUGUUAUCUUGUACAUCAGGAGCAGUGUAAGCAUCAUCUUGUUGUGCAACUUCAUUAAACGAAUUCCUCUGCUCAAACCUUUGCAAUACUCUCCAGUCAUCGCUACGUGCAAAUGUGUCUUCCAAGAAAAAUAUUUGUGUUGCUUGAUUUGCCAAAAUAAAAGGCUCGUUGGUCUGGUACACCGCCUUGACAUUGAUGGAUUUGAAUUAAUCAUCAGCUCUGGGUUUUGCGAUCCUGGAAAAUAGGUUAUACCAACGACAUCACAACAGAACCACACACCGAUGAUCCUUGAAACUGUAGAUAUACUACAACUGAACAAUGUUUGUUAUGUUAGCAUACAUUUCAGUUGUCUCUUUGUCAUACGUAUCCGUGCUCAUGAUGUCACUGUUUUGUGUCUUCCUACCUUCGUCUCAUGCAAGGGUGUUGUAGCGCACAUCUCCAAUAACGCAAGAUUCAUAAUGUCUUACCCGAGUAUCAAGACCCAUUGCUAGUGAGUAAAGGGCAUCAUCAACUGCCUGCCCAUCCUCCCGCAUCUUCUUAACCUAUGGUUAGAAAAUAGACAAGCUGAUCAUCUUAUUUACUCAAUAUAUUAAAAAAACUGACAGUGCACUUCAAAAGCUUACAUGGUUCUUGAACCAUUUCGCAAAUCCUGCCAUAACCAGUUUGUCGAUGUUUCUUGGAUUUUGCAGUAACUCCUCUUUGUAGAUGCUGCACAACAUAGUGAUCGCGUCAAACAUCUAAAUAUAUAAGAAUGUGCUGCAAGUUUAGUAGAUUACGAUGUAUAAGCUGCAGUACUGCACUUACUUGAUAUAAGGUAGUAUCUGAGGACAGUUAUUCAACACAUACCAAAACAUUUUGUCCAAAUCUUUAGGUUUGUCCUCUUGUCGACUCUUCCCUGUAACUCGAACAGAAUAAUCGAAAACAUUGAGCCCGGGAUUGUCUUCACCCACGUCUUUGCUAAGCUGAUCAGCUGUUUCAAUGUAUUUUGAGCAGAAUGUCAACACUUCUGUAGCAAUGUAGGCCUCUGCAAUGGAACUCUCGGGUCUAGCUCUAUUCCUAACAUAGCCCUUGAAAGUGCCUAGCCGCCUUUCAAUAGGGUACAUCCAGCCAUACUAUACUGGACCUCUAAGUAGUGCCUCAUCAGGUAGAUGAAUAGCCAAAUGCACCAUCACAUCAAAGAAGGCUGGAGGAUAUAUCUUCUCAAGGUCGCAUAGGAUAGUUGGUAUCUUGUCUCUAAAACGCUCCAAAGCAUCUAUCCUGAUAUUUCUACUGCAGAGUUCCCUGAAGAAUUGUCCCAACUCUGCAACUGCUCUGUAUAAGUCAGGGCGGCCCAAUCCUCUAAGGAUAACAUGUAAAACCCUUUGAAGUAGGACGUGGCAGUUAUGAGUUUUCAACCCUUGUACCUUGUUUCCAUCUGCACUGACUCUCCUUUCAGGGUUGGAAGCAAAUCCAUGUGGGAAUCCCACACAUGAUAGGACCUCGCAGAAUUCUUUUCUUCUUACCUUGUCCAAGACAUACACAGCUGGUGCCAUAUACCGUGGUUUACCUUCAUCUUGCACCUGCAAAUCCUUUCUGAUACCCAGGUGUGUCAAAUCAAUCCUAGAUUUUAAGGUAUCUUUCGUCUUGCCUUCAAUAUUAAGAAGUGUGCCGAUAAUGUUGUCACAUAUAUUUUUCUCGAUUUGCAUCACAUCAAGAUUAUGCCACAGAUCUAAAUCUUUCCAAUACUCCAAGUCCCACAAAGUGGACCUGCGGGUAAACAAUAAUCUCUCUUCUGCCCUGCCACGCUUCCUUUUCCUGCUAGCAUUACCAGGAUGGUUUCUUGGUGUAAUAUGCCUGACCUUCUCUAAUUCCACUUGCAACUCAUCGGCGGUGAGCCUCUUUGGCCCAUCACAGUUUUCAUGCUUUGCAUUGAACACAUGUCUUCGCUAUUUUCUAGGAUGCGGCUUGUCCUUGGCAAGGAAACGGUGGUGUCCAAUGUAAAAGAUCUUGCUAAGUAUUGUGUAUGACAGCGGAUUCUUGUCACAGCGAACACAUGCAUUGUAACCAUGUGUCGUUCGCCCUGACAUAGUGCCCCAAGCCGGAUAAUCAUGGAUGCACCAAAUUAUAAUAGCACGUAGAAAGAAAUCAGCUGGUGGGCUGCUAUAUAGGUCUCGAGUGAGAACACCCUUCCAUAGCUGUUGAAGUUCCUCCACAAGAGGCUCCAUGAACAAAUCAAAAUCCUUUCCCAGACUUUUUGGACCUGGGAUGAGCAAGGCCAUCAUGUAGUUUGAUUCUUUGGUGCAGACAUUUGGAGGCAUGUUGUAAGGGAUAACAAGCACUGGACACAUGCUAUAUGUGGUGCUCUGGUGGCCAAAUGGGUUAAAUCCAUCUGAAGCUAAGCCAAGUCUAAUGUUUCUCGGGUCAGCAGCAAACUUUUUGUGUUUAUCAUUGAAGCUUUUCCACUCACUACCAUGAGAUGGAUGGCUCAUUACAAUCUGAUCUCUGUACUCCUAGUUCCUAGAAUGCCACAGUACAUCCUCUCUUGUUUCAGCAUCAUGAACCAACCUCUGCAAUCUUGGUGUAAUUGGAAAAUGUCUCAGAACAUUAUGAGGAAUCCUCUUCACAUCAUCGCCAUCUUUCCAUCUUGAUGAUUUGCAUUUCAGGCAUUCACUUAAGUUGGCAUAAUCCUUCUGGAACAGAACACAAUUAUUCUUUCAAACAUGGAUCAUAUCAUAUCCAAUUGCAACAGCACGAAGGAAAUUCUUCAUUUUACUGUAGGUGUGUGGCAGCUCAGACGCAUCUGGGAAAGAUUUGCGGAAAGCACCCAACAUCGCAUCGAAUGAUUUGUUGAUCAUUCGCUCAGAUGUCUUCACCUGAAGAAAGGUGACCAUAGCUGAAAAUACUGAAAGCUUAUUUCCUGGGGUGACAACAACGUUGCUUUGUUCCAACAUGCAGGCCCACCAUUUUUCUUCUGCAGGUGAAAGUUCACGGAAUGCAUGAGCAUUUUGUAGCAUUGUUUCAAUGUUGGUCAAACUCACUGGCUCUGCCACCUCCUCCUCCUCCUCCUCUUCCACCUGAGCAUCAGGUAGAUCAAGAUGGUGAUCUGCUUCUUCCACGUAGUCAAUAACAUUGACGUUCACAGCUUCACCAUGAUGAACCCACCUAGUAUAUGUGACCGACAUCCCAUACAAGUGUUGAUGAUUUUGCACAGUUGACUGGGGUCUUGUAACUGAAUUCAUACAACUGCUACAUGGGCAGAGCACAUCUGAUUUCGGACCACCGUACUCAGCUCUGAUAAAGAUCAUGAAGUUUUCAACCCUCUCGACAUAUGCAGCGGAGAAUCUUCGAGCAGAAGUUAUUUCAAGUCCUGUCCAUCUGUUAGACAUACAAAUUAGUUCUUCUACUAGAUACUACAGGAAAAACAUAUAUGCUUUUUUAUGAAGUCUAGAAAAAAUACCUAGGUCGAUGUCUAAAGCUAUGGCAAGAUAUUUGGACGAGCAGAUCUAAGUAACGAAAUAUAUGUAAAGCUAAUUUAGCAAACAGAUUUGAGUGCUAAAUUAUGGCAGGCUGUUUCAGUAGUCAAUGAGGCCGAGCACACAGCCAUCAAACUAUCGAAGGCCAUCGCAGCAACAAAGAUCGAGUAUAAAACGGUGUAGAGCUAUUUCACCUAACAGAUUGGCUACUAGACCAUGGCAAUCUACGUCAAAAUAAAUAUAUGGCAGGAUAUUUUUGCAACUAAUCGGCCUUGGCAUGCCAUCUCAGCUAAGCAGAUUGAGUGCAGAACAGGGCAAGGAAGCUUCUUAAGUAGAGCAUAUUCACAAUAAACCACUUCAGCAAACAGUGAGAUUACCAGCGUCUAUCAGCUAACAUUCAGCGCUACACCGACAUGAAUGGGGCCUCAGUCUAGAAUGCGCGUACCGUGGGAGAAGCUGACCGCCGUGCGUAUCCACAUGAACGUCUCCAGCGGUGGCGGCGCUGACCGCGGUGCGCCUCCACAAGAACAUAGCCAGAGGUGGCGGCGCGGCUAGAGGACGGCAGUCUAUGAUAUCAUACUAUGGGAGCGAGAGGAUCAUCGUGCGUCCCCUCGAUGAACCGCGGUGCCGACGUAUCAGCGCGGCAGGGAGGGCGGGUUUGGCGGAGCGAAUGGAGUGGAGUGGGACGGUGGGGGGGGAGGGGGUUUGGGNNNNNNNNNNNNNNNNNNNNNNNNNNNNNNNNNNNNNNNNNNNNNNNNNNNNNNNNNNNNNNNNNNNNNNNNNNNNNNNNNNNNNNNNNNNNNNNNNNNNNNNNNNNNNNNNNNNNNNNNNNNNNNNNNNNNNNNNNNNNNNNNNNNNNNNNNNNNNNNNNNNNNNNNNNNNNNNNNNNNNNNNNNNNNNNNNNNNNNNNNNNNNNNNNNNNNNNNNNNNNNNNNNNNNNNNNNNNNNNNNNNNNNNNNNNNNNNNNNNNNNNNNNNNNNNNNNNNNNNNNNNNNNNNNNNNNNNNNNNNNNNNNNNNNNNNNNGGGGGAAGGAUUUUCGCGCGGUGGGCGAGGGGAGUUUGGCGCAUGGUCGGUUUCUCCAAGUGCAGUCCCACGUGUCAGUGAAGAGGCAAGCCGAAGCGCGUGAGUGCGACAGGAGUGCUGUGAGUGUACCGCCUUUUUUCCUCAAAAAAAAUUAGGUGCUUUGCCCCCUCAAAAAAAAAAUUGUUGCUUCACGCGAUCCAUUGAUACUACUACUAAAACGGCGCAGCCGGGUCUUCUCCCGCGCGAUAUGCUGGGAGGUUGGCUUAGUUGGGUUUUUUAGGAUGAGUAAUGUUACACCUAGUAAUCCCAGUUAUGUAAUUAACGUAAUGUGAAACGUGUGAGCUGUUGAUUGUAGAUUGGGGGGAGGGAGGGGCCCACCACCAUGAAAAUCAGGGGAGGAGAGAGAGAGAGGCAAUUUACGUUAACCCUUUCGUAGGUUCCCGUAGAUGUAGAAAGAUGUGAAAUGCGUGAAUGUGUAGUGAACGUACUAUUGGAGUGCCUAAGAUAAUUUGUGUAUGUAUAGACCCUAUGUGUUUAUUUUACUUCGCAUGUUAGAUUUGUAUCGGUUCAAUAAAAAGCAGAGUUAGUGAUGAUGGUGUGCCUGUCAUCCUGCAAUAUCGGCCGUCCGAUCUAUAUCUAAUGGAUAGGAAGGAAACUAUGACAAUUUACCCACACUCCACUCCACAUUUGAAGAUAAGGCUUUCCCUCGUUCAUCCUUUUCUCCCACAAGAUCUUGAUCUUCCAUGCAACGCACGGGCAUCUUGCUAGUACUCCUACAAUAUGUAUAUUAUUGUGAAAGUUCAUAUACACCAGCCAAGAUUAAUGCAAGCACGGCAUAUUUUCAUUACAUUUCGAACUUCUAUAUGACAGAAAAAUAAAAGAAACCCGACCCCAAACCUGUUCUACGGCCGUACAGCGGCGACCGACGUCCUCCAUCUGCGAUCUCUAUGUACAGGGGCGAGGUUCAAGACCCGUAAAGUGAAGGUGCAGUCUCCGGCGAGGAAAAGUAGAACACGGGAGACGGACCGACCAGUUGGCACACCAUGCCCUGCUGCCUCCCAUGCCCUACUCAUCCUCGGAGGAGUCCCUGACCUCGGCGGUGCCGGACGUUGGACGGGGGCAAGAAGGACGCGUGGCUGACGGUGCUCCUGUCGUCGGCCGCCAGCGUGGCCACCGCUUGUGCGGUCGCGUCCGCGUCCGGCUACGCCGCUAUUGCGUCGCGAGAGGCGACUUGAGCGAGGGCGGCGACCUCGACCUUCAUCCCCGAAGAUAAGCUCUCCCACAGAGUGUUCGCACUUGCGGUCAUGGCAGAUGUGGUGCCAGGUAGGAGGACGAUGCGCUAUGGUGUGGAGGUUAGCUGGGCGUUGUCGCUUUAAGUAGCGCAUUCCGGUGAGGCCAAGUGUCCGGGUGAGUCAUUAAGUUGCCGGAGUUGGUUCCUCGGGCACCGAGCCUCUUAACGACGACAUACGAACGGACGGCAUGAAUGCGGGCAGCUGGCGCCGGCUGGGAACGCACCACGCGACGGCGCGAGGGACGAGGGUUUUGGUGUGCCAGGGUAGUCAGCUGCGGUCAUGGCAACGUUGGAGAUGCCCUUUGCUCACAUGUGAUCCCCGCAUGUCAUUGAAAAAGCAAGAUGACCCGGCAUGGUCUAAGGUCCAGAGGAUGCAGUUGGCCGCGCUACACCACUCCGCGGACGCGUCACGGUGGCCCGUGCAUACUCGAUGAGCCGGGUGUUGGGGUGUGUUUGGAUUGUGGCCAAAGUGCACCUUACCAAAAUUUUGGUCAUGACCCAAAGAUUCGUCUUUGUUUGGAUGGUUGCCAUUUUUUUUGGCAUGCCAAUGAACUCUAGCCAACUCUAUUUCAUUUUUCUUGCCAAUGUCGGCCAAAUCAUGGGCAACCAAUACCUGAACCAAAAUUUUGGUCAUAACACAAAGAUUGUUCUUUGUUUGGAUGGUUGCCAUUUGUUUGGCAUGCCAAUGAACUCUAGCCAACUCUAGUUCAUUUUUCUAGCCAAUGUCGGCCAAAUCAUGGGCAACCAAUAGCUCAACCAAAAUUUUGGCUACCCAAUGCUUUGAUGCGGCAACCUUGGGCACAAACAAAACAUACUGUUGGUCGUGCCACAACACUAACGCCACCCUCGGCACACUGAAACCGACCGUGUCUAGCGACGAUAUGAGUGUGUCGCUCACCGCGGUCGCCGUGUCCAGAGGCGGUGCUGGAGCUGCGCCCCGUUGUUGGCCCCAACAACCCACAUGAACGGUUGUCGGUGGCGAGGAGGUCAUGGGCCAGCUCCUCCAUUGGACUAGUCUGCGCUAUGUCGUCCCGACGGGUGUGCCCCACAUGUCGGUUUCCUUGUUUUCCCGGCCAUAUUCGAGCGUCAGUGCUCCGCGUUGCGCAUUAGGCCUUUCACUAUGUAGGCCAAGCGAGACAACUUAUUAUUUAUUUGAGCAGUUCAAGUAUAAUCACGUGGCGUCUGCUUAUUUCUCAUUCCUCUCCAACCCUCUUCUCCAUUGAUCAUGUCGCCCUCCAGUCGAGUCCAUCCUCCCGCAUGCCUCAUUUGAACAUUCCGCCGAGUAUCAUUAGCAUGUACCCACCCUAGUCCUCUUUCAAUAGAUCUUCGGGCCCCGAGAUGAGAUCGAGAGGGAACGAGUGCGGGCACGUGAUACCCAAGGCGGAUUCAAAAUUUUGAACCGGUGAUCAUAGCAUCCGCAAAUCAUAUAUAAAGGGUAUUCAAUGUUCAUUUCGUUUUGAACGUACAAUAUACUCCCUCAUAUCCUUUCUAGUUUACAUAUAGGUUUUAUGUGUAGUCAAAGUAUCUCUACUUUGAUCAAGAAGGUAUCAACAUUCAACAGCGCCCAAUCAAUAUUGUUAGAUUCGUACGUACUCCUAGAUUUGUACUCGAGAUGGUUUCCAAUUUGACCAUUGACAAGAUUAAUAGUACAUGAGAUGUAUAAUGUUUAAAUUAUAUCAUUGGAAACUCCUUUCACAUACGAAUUUGACCGUAUGCUUUGUGUAAGUUGCAUGUCAUAUAUUAUUACUCUAACAUUUGGUCAAAGUUAGCCUUGAAAAACGCAUUAGACCCUGUAUGUUUUGUGUAAGUUGCAUGUCAUGUAUUAUUACUCUAACAUUUGUGUAAGUUGCAUGUCAUAUAUUAUUACUCUAACAUUUGGUCAAAGUAGUAUAGUGGAAGUGGAUCCUCUCACGUAGGUAUCCCUGCCUUACCCUCCCUUUCGGUCACUUACUGGCAGACCCCAUGCUUGCUAGGCCCCGCAUGUCAGUCACUCAAUGGGUUCGACCACGUCAGGGGAUCCUCAUCCGUAGUAUACUCCCUUUGUUUUUAUUUACUCCGCAUAAAACGGAGGGAGUGGUGGUAUAAUAAAUGACGUGGGCGGGGGAGGGGGAGGGACGUCGGUUUGCUCUCAAUUGCGGUCCCACAAGACAAAGCGUGUUCCAUUCGGUGAGCAACGUGGAGGGUCCAGCGUGCCGGGCUGCAACGUGAACGCGACAAGAGUGAUGUACAGUCAAAACCGAUUGACCGGUCGUCACCGGAAUAACUAUUCACACCAGAACCUUCGCUGCUCAGCCUACGCCAGCCACUGCCCUAAAACCACACCAAAUCUCCAGCCCAUGCCCCCACCUUUUGAUCCCCUAGCCCGCAUCAAGCGUCCCCUAGUUCACCGGAAAGCCAUGGUGCGCCGCAAGAUCACUUACUACAAGAUGCUGACGCCGGAGCACUGCGCAGAAAUCGCUGCGGCGGUCGGCGCCACAGACUUCCAUUCCCAAGCUCGCUUUGCGGCAGGCCAAUCCCCGAGUUCUUUAGAGCCAAGCUACGAGGAGGAGGAAACCGAUCCAAUGUUCAUGGCGGAGGUCGCGGUGCAGAAGGCCCCCGAUGGGUAUGAAACGAUGGACGUCGACUUCGUGCCGGUGUCCGAGUCCCCCAUGGUGCAGGCGGACCAGCGGUUCAACAUGGCGAUACUAAAGGAGGACGGGGAGGCAGAGGCUCGAUUCGACAUGGAGCGCACGCAUGCCGCUGCCAUCGAGGCUCUCCUGCAGGCAGAACCGGAUGUCGUGGAUGUGAACCGGGUGGCGGAGGCACAACUUGAGGCGGAGUGCGCGGAUGCCGCUGCCAUCGAGGCCCUCUUGCAGGCGGAACCGGACGUCUUGUACUUGAACCGGGCGGCAGAGGCUCGACUCAACGCAGAGCGCGCGGAUGCCGCUCUCAUUGACGCCCUCCUGCAGGCAGAACCGGAAGUCCUGGACUUGAACCGGGCGGCGGAGGCUCGACUUGACGUGGAGCGCGCGGAUGCCGUUGCCAGCGAGGCCCUCCUGCAGGCGGAACCGGACAUCCUCGACUUGAACCGGGCUGUGCUCUUGUCCGUGCAGAGUGCCUGCACGCUCCGCUUGAACGAGUAUCUGGAGGCCGAGGACAACCACGGUGCGGAGACACACGUCGACAGCUACGGCUGGUUCGCGCCGGCAGCCAAAGACGACGAGGCCGUCUCUUUCCGCGAGCAAUGCUAGUUUUUCUUUAUGUUGUUGUUUUUAUGGAUCUUUUGCUGUGUGAAAACUUAUAUUUGUUAUGAAAGUCGCCUGACUUGGGUCAGUCUACCAUUUCAGGCGGUUGGAUGAAUAUCCUACGUCUCCUAACCCUUCUUUCCUUCUUCCUCACCUCUUCUUAUUCCCCAACAUACCACCACACGGGCUGUAUGGAUACUCCCCAACAUGCGGUUGGAUAAACAUACUCUAUGAACCAAAAUUAUGUGUCAGCGAUAGGAUGGCUGAGUUUGGUUUGUUCACAUGCGACAACACGUGUCAGUGAGGGUGUGUUCCCUUGGUUGGGUUUGCAGCGUGCAGGAGCGACUGUGUGAGGGUGCGGUGCGACCGCGACGUGCAGGAGUGACCGUGUGAGGGUGCGGUGCGACUGUGACAGCCAUGCGCAAGUGUACCUCCUUCUCAUUUUGAAAACUUUAGGCAAGCUUGGCAAAAAUGUGUGGAGAAGUUUGGCAAUGCAAGGCCUAGACCAAAAUAGGAUAAGUACGUACGUACUAGGAGUACUAGUGUUAAAAAAGAAAGGCGGGGUUUUCCUUCGCGGGAUUUAAUCGAUACAAAUCCUCGUUUCACAUGUCAAUUAAUGCGUAUUUUUUCUCCAAAGACCAAAGAACUAAUCAUCUCACUCCUCAUCGCUUGAUCAAUGCAGCGCCAUGCAAACUAACCUUCUCACUUCUACAUGCAUGCAGGGGAUAUUAAUGUCCUUGGUUGCUAACCCCAUCAAUUUUGUCUCGAUUAGUGUUAGUGGCCCUUUGCAAAUUAUAAUUUUGAUAUAUUGGCCUUGUGUACAAAAAAUGGAGGUACUAAUAACUAUAUUGGACUUCCUUCCCCAUUGCGAUGCUGUCGAUGAUAUCUCUUUUUUUGUGGUUUGGCGAAGUGCUUUCAAUGGAGAACACCAUUGAGGAAGACCACGGUAAGUCGUUCGCAAGUGCCGUCUGCAAGCUGAGACAACCACCUUAUUUGCAUCCAAGAAGUCCGUUGAACCAAAGAACUAGUACUACUAGGAGUACUAGUGUGGUGAUCAGCGAAGCGGAGUCAGCGAAGAGUGAAAUGAUGGUUGCUUCGUCCGUGCUUUUGUGAUUUGACGCCUUGCUGCUUUGUGAUUUGUGAUAGAAGGGAUAGGCGAGUAGACUCUGUGCUCUAUACUGUACUACUAGUACAUGCGUCCAAGCAUGGGAGAAAGAGGAGAGACGUUGCAUUUUUCUAUUCCUUCAAUCAAUCAAUCAGGGAGCUUCGGUUCCAUCUUUUUGGCUUUGGCAACACCGUCCACAAUGGUUCCCACGAUGCCAAAAGCUAUUUUCACAUUUGGCUACACAUUGUGGAUGCCCUUAACCGUACCACUUGGUUUUGCUCCUAUGUGGUAUCUAUACAAAUCUCAAUUAUAUUGAUCUAAAAAAUUAUAGAAUCAAGAUUAGUAAAAAGGAGGUGAUUUUGCCACGCGGAUGGCGGGGGAGGUUUCUUAUUUUCAAAGGACGUUGUCCUGGUGGUUUGCUAACAUGCGGUCCCACGUGUCAGUGCUUUACCAAGCCGAUCCGCGUCCCACAUGAGGCAGAAUAACGGCAGAAGCAACACGUGGUUAAGUUGAAGAAGAUGAGGGAGAAGCGGAUUCAGCAACGAGUGAAAUGAUGGUUGCUUCGUCCCUCCAACUUUUUUUAGCAUUAUUACUUCGUCCCUCCAACUUAACUGUGGGAAAGGUGCAGCUUUGUGAUUUGACGCCUCAUUGCUCAUUACUACACCGGCACCAUGACUGGGGUGCUUCACCCCGGCUGCUCUGCUCUAUAUUCCGGUAUAGCACGUGGACCUGGUAGCUUGAUGUCCCACAUGUCGGUGAAAGGGACUAGAAGAUUUAUGAAAGGGAGCGAUCCACUCUUACGACGGAGGAGUAGACGACACGACGGCCCAGUGAACUGUCACUUGUACUGUAUAGUACUAUAGUUUUGCUGUGUGGCACGAUCCAUUGAUACAAACCCGAUUAAACAGGAAAGGGCGGGAUUUUUCCCGCGCGGUAGAUGAUACAGGCCAUACAUUUCAAAGGCAAUUUUAAUGUAUGCAAACUGAAUAAUUAUAAGUAACAAUAUGAUAUCUAGUAAAACUAAAAACACAUAUGAUUUAUUGUGUUAGAGUGUAGUAGUAGUGCUGUAACAUGCGAGAACAUGUAGAGAUGUAGUUUUGGAGGGCCUACAGAGAGAAAAGUGUAAUACGGUCACCGAACUUUAGAAUAAGCUGAUUACGGUCACCAUAUACAUUUUGCGGUGAUUAUACGGUCGCUUGCUCACGGUUCAGCAUUGGAUUGCACUCUGUUGACUGGCCAAAUAGUCUGCGUGGCGCCAUGUUGACUAGUUAAACUGACCAUGUUCCUUGUGGGUCCCACUUGUCAGUUCGCAUAGGGAAAGGUCAGAUAAACACAAAUUUACGCAGGCGCGACAAGGCUCCAACCCGUGCGCGGGAAUCACCUGGUUGUGUAUGUGUCUCUCAUGUCCUGAUGUGUGCGCAUACACGUGUAGGUUGAGCACUUGAGCGUGAGAGUGUGUGUUGGUCGUGUGGUGUACUGGUGUGUGCAUGCGUGCAUGCGUGUGAGUGUUGCGUGCGUGUGUGGCUGCGUGUGUACGUGUGAGUGUUGCGUGCGUGCGUGGGUGCAUGUGUUUGUGAGAGUGUUGCAUGGAUGCAAUUCGUGUGCAUGCGUGCGUGUGUGUUAAAACAGACGACUCAGCAUACCAAUACAAGGCCACCUUGUCCGUUGUGCCCGCGGUCAUGACUUCUAACCACCGUCCAAAUAUUUUUUUGUCGUUUGUUUUCAUUCUUACUAGCAAGAUGCCCGUGCGUUGCACGUAACAUCAAGAUGCAUUUGUAUGACUUGUUUAUCUUGUGAGAGAAAAGGAUGAACAAGGGAAGGCCUUAUUUUCAAAUGUGGAGAGGUGUGUGGGUACCUUUUUGCAAAAUUGCCAUAGUAUCCUUCCUAUCCAUCAGAUAUAAAUCGGACGGCCUAUAUUGCAGGAUGGCAGGCACACCAUCAUCACCAACUCUGUUUUUUAUAAGAGUGUGUAUUUUAUGUAUUUUAUAAGAGUGUAGAUGUAGAGUAGAUACAAGUCGACAGGUGGGGCAUGAUGGUAGUGAGAUAAUGUGAUGCAACACUAGAGGUGCCAUGUGGAGCGUUUAAUUGGUCAACUAGUCAUGUCAUGAGCAAAUACUGAGUUGUACGGUGAGCCUGUGACUGUAUAAUAACCACUAAACGUAAAUGGUGACCGUAAUGAGUGGAUUCUGAAGUCCAAUGUGCGUAUCGUGUUUUCGCUUCAAAUACAAUGAUUGUCAUUGCAUAUAUCGUGAGAGAAAGAUGAAACAUGCNNNNNNNNNNNNNNNNNNNNNNNNNNNNNNNNNNNNNNNNNNNNNNNNNNNNNNNNNNNNNNNNNNNNNNNNNNNNNNNNNNNNNNNNNNNNNNNNNNNNNNNNNNNNNNNNNNNNNNNNNNNNNNNNNNNNNNNNNNNNNNNNNNNNNNNNNNNNNNNNNNNNNNNNNNNNNNNNNNNNNNNNNNNNNNNNNNNNNNNNNNNNNNNNNGGGUAUGCGAUAGAGAGAGAUGCUCUUCGUUUCUCUUUAUUAUGACUAACUUUGUAUAUAGUAUAAAAAUAUACAAAUUCAUAGUGCGGAAUAAAUAUCAUUGUGGGCACCAUGCAAUGCAAAUUAGUGUUCGUACUCCUCCAUAUAACUUUGUAAUGUUGUAUAUAUGUAGAAACUCUAAAAUAAUUUUUUGGCCACACUUUAUUCAAAAGGAACGUUGUAUGUGAAAUAAACGUGAAGAGAAGGCUUUUUAGAUCAAUGGGGUACGUGAUGUAACAUGUGUGAAUGUGUAGUUGAUGCAUUUGGCGGGGCCUAGAGAGGUAUGUGUGUGUAUUACGAGUGGUCUAGGGAGAGAGAGAGAGACGAAUAUGAUGUCACGACAAGAGAUUCCAUUCCCUUGAGUGUGUAUAUGCAAGGGGGGAGGGAAUAGAGGCACCAAGAGAAAUUUUCUGCGUGUGUGGUGUUUGUGUUGGUAUGUGUGGGUGUGACAAGAUAAUGAGACAUGGGGGCAGAGGGUGUGUCACCGCGUGAGGUCCGGUGGGUCAAGGUGAGGCCCUUCGUUCGGUUCCGUCCUGCGCCGCAUUGUUCGGCCCAUGACGCAUUUAGCAAGACCCAUGGAUGACUAGUCGUACAAGAGAAAGAUAGCAGAAUUGUGAAGGACUCUGGGUCCACUGACAAAGUCAGCUAGGAUUUGUAACCCUAGGUUCUCGGACUAAGGUAACCCCUUUAUCUCUGAUAUUACUAUUCAUCCAACCUAGCUUUAAGGGGCAUCCUACAGAAUGCUCUACUAGAAUCAUACUCGUCGAUUAGGAAGAGAGGUGUGAGACAAUGCGUGAGAGACAUGCCUAAAGAUAAUGUGCGUACAUGAGACACGUAGGCAGGUCCAUGUAUAUAGAAAGGGUCGAUGGGGAUUACGCGUGUGUAUGUUUGCGAGAGGAAGAGUGCUUGUGAUAAAGGUUAGUGAAAACAGUUGUAAAUGGUUACGAGAGGGAGGGAGGGUAAUAUCUAGAGCAUGUGUGCGAGAAAGACACCUCGGGAGAGAGUGUGUGAGCAUGUGUGAGAGACCACCGAUGGAGAGUGAAACUACACGUAAAAGACUGCUAUACACAUUGAUUAAAGAUAUAAAUUGUAUCCAAAUAUUAGGAUGGGAUCAUGAUAUUUGCAGUUCGCGUAAGGAGUGGUCAUUGAUCCAUCAGACAUCUAGAUUCUAUCGAAUUUGAGCAUGUCUAUGUUAUUAGUCGACACAAUUGAUCCACAUAGUUAGUAUUUUGAACUCCAGACAAUGCAUCGCUUUAGCAAUCGAAUACAAACAUGAGUAUAGUUCAUGUUGUGUGUGUAAAGCACAUUAUACAUACGAAAGUUACACAAUAAACAUUAUAAAUAGCUACCUAUGAACUAGCAUACAUUUGAAUUCAACUUAAGGUGGUUUAAAAAUAUCGAUUCAACAUGAAGUCCAUUCAAUUAUUUGAAUUUGAUAUCAUGGCAUUUGUAAACCAUACCUAAAUUAUGGGGGCACCAAUCUUUGCUCUGAUUUUGUACAUAAUAGCAUAUGUAGUCAUGUACAAAAUAGAUUCAAAUUUAGCUCCUCCAUUCCAAAAUAAUCGUAGUUAUAGGAUUUUCAAGUGUCAAAAUUUCAAAAAGAAGCGGAUAAUUUAAUGAGGCUUUCAAACAUACAAGGUCAAAUAUAACGUUGUCUGUUUAGGUCAAUCCUCAUAGUUCAAGAGUACUCUAAACGUGAAUGCUUGUGUUUCAAAAUUUCGAACGAAGCGCCAAAAGAGCCUCUACUUGCCCGAAACCGCAUGAGACCAAUGUUUGGUAGUACAAGGGAAUUACUUUUCUAAUAACUCCGACCCAAACUUAAAAAAAAUAACUCCGAACCGUGAAACCUACCGGCCCGACGUCCAAAGGUCUAAACCGGGGUAGGUUUGUAGCUUCAUCUAGACGCCAUGCAACCGCCUCCGAAAAACAUACAUACACAAUGGCCGCCUAAGCACACAUGCGCGCGGCCGAAAUCGCUCCCGCCCACUAUUUGGGACACCCGGGAUUACCAUCCUAGCCCCGACCCGCAGUAGAUCCGAAAUUUAAGAGGGGGGCAAAGUUUGUACUUUCCCCAAAUUUCAAACAAGCGUGUCCCAUCUUCUGUUCAAAAAAGCCAAAGACAAGCGCAUCCCAGACCGAAACAUGGUCCCCCCCCACCCGUCCGAUUCCCCAUUCGUACUCAGUGGGCGCCAAAACUACCUCUCCACCAGCCGCGAAACCCCGGCAUCCUUCGUCCGCCACCCCAUCCCACCCAUCAACAGCCGCCCUCCUCCAUCACGCCGGAGCCAAUACCCCGACGUCGGCGUCCACCGCAACCUCAACCAUAAUGCCCUCCCCAGCUAGUAGUUGAAGCCGAGGCCGAGUAGUCCGUAACCGAGCCAGUUCAACCAUGCCGUCCUGCACCUCACCGCUGCCGCUCCAACUUCACCACCGUCCAUCGCACCGGAGCUGUUCCUGCUACGCCGUCCUUCGCCGCCUCGGAUUUGCUUCCCCUCCAUCGAUAUACGGCCACGGCAACACAGUCAACAAUUUGGCCAUGGGUUUGUCCAAGGAACAACGGCUCUCCAAAACAUCGGUUCCCCCGGGAAAAACAAGAAGAUCACUGCGACAUAUCGACACCACACUAGCAACCGAUACAGGUACUCCUCUUCCCUUAUUCGUGCAAAUCUUAUGUGUCUGCUUGCACGGUAUUCAUCCCACAGAAGACACUAGUUGACCGCUUCUUCUUCAUACUAGAUGUUCCUAGUAACUCGCGAUGCACAAGGUUUCUCCUCAUAUACUAUUUCACCUUAGCUAGAGGUCCGUUGCCCCCUUGAAUUUCAAUUUCUGGCCAGUUGAUUCCCAAUUAACGGAAGCAUUCCCCAGCGUAACAGGCGCUAGUACACCUAUUACACCGGGGAAGCGCCUUGGUGUUUAUCUUAGGGGCGUGUGCGGCCUAGAUCUACUGGCGCCCGAUCUGGAGACUGGAGGUCGGCCGGGAUUAAAGGGAUGGCCUAGGGCGCUGCCAAGCACGGCGGUGGUGUGAGGUCGAGGGGAGGGCAGGGCGGCGGAGGCAGGGGUCUGGGACGGUGGUCGCUGGCGGUUCGAGAAAGAUCGUCAACAGUGACUGGCGGGAGGUAGACGAAGGCCAUCUGCCCGUUCCUUAUAGAUCGGAUAGUUCAUUAAAAAAUCGACUGACCUAUUUAUUUUCAGUCGACUGUUAUCUUAGAUAUGACCACAUGUGGUGGUGUGCUAGAGGAGUACCUGCAUUUCCUGUGCUCAUAUAUUACAAAAUCAUAUGGAGUAGAAUCUAAUUUUGUUUGCCAUGCAAUGUUGUAGAUCUAUCAUAUGUCUCCUGUUGUUUAUAUUUCACCCAACCUACUAUCUGCUACUUUUACAGUGCACUAGUUCUGCACACACUUCCGCCCAUACUCUCACUAUUGUGUUUUUAUGCAAGGGUAUUUCAGAGUCUGCCUCGAGGGAAGCAGAAAAGAAAAGAGAGAAGUUGCUCCAGCUUGCUACGCGGGUAGGCACGACACGUUACAGUGCUAUAAAGGGUGCAGUGUCAGCAGAUGGAAACGGUAAACGUAGCUCUGGAGUUGAUGACCUCACUCGUAAUGAACCACCAUCCCAGGUGCUUGCUUUAACUUCGUGGUGUCAUAUGUGGUUGCAUGUUCCAUAUGGUGUCUAGCUUGUAUUCGAAAGGCCUAAGUCGGUCUUUAUUAAGAUAAGGAAAUAUAUUUUUUACAUGAACCACCAUCCCGUGAGCACCAGAAGACAAAUAGCUAGUCAGGGCACUGGCCGAGCCAGUGACAAGCCUAGCAAAGAUAGGCACCACCUGGAAGACAACUACUUCCUCUGUUCCUAAAUAUAAGUCUUUGGAGGGAUUUCACUAUGAACCACAUACGGAUGUAUGUAGAUGCAUUUAGAGUGUAGAUUCAUUCAUUUUGCUCCGUAUGUAGUCUAUAGUGAAAUCUCUACAAAGACUUAUAUUUAGGAACGGAGGGAGUAAAAAGCUGCGAUGGUGGCGAAGCAGCCCGCUUCCCACCAGGCUCUCAGGUCCUAGAUGAUCAUGCUCACCACUCCAGCCGGAUGUCUAGCUUGUAUUGCUUCCAAUUUGGUUAAAUUGCAUCUGCUUAGCUUACACAUUAUACCUUUGAAUAUGACAUGCCUUUCUGUUUUUGGUACAUACUAGUACAUCUGUGUAUUAACCAUGCUCUUACAUCAAACUAAUGUUCUUGUGUAUCCCUCAUCAAUCACUUAUGACAAGGCAGGCAUGCAAGGGGACUACUCCUCAUUUAAAGAAUGCAGCGUCGGCCUCCCGACAUGAUUCUCAAGAAAUAGAAAUGCUAGAUGAAGAUAGUGAACGUAGCUUUGUAGUUGAUUACAACAUUUCCCCUACACUAGCAUCGCAGGUGCUUGCUCUAACUUGGCAGCGUAAUAUGUGGUUGCAUGUUGCAUAUGGUGUCUAGAUUGUAAUUCUUCCAAUCUGGUUAAACUUCAUGUGCUAGUCUGCUUAGCUUAUACAUUAUACCUGUUAAUGUGACAUGCCUUCCUGUAUUUAGUACAUAGUACAUCUGUCUAUUAAGCAUGUCCUUACAUAAAACUAUUGCUUUUUUUUGUAUCUCGCAUCAAUCAAUAUGACGAGACACCUUUAGUAUAUGUAGUGCGAUAUUAGUUGAAUCUUUCAUAUGAUUUAUAGCAUGCGCUCCUUCUAAUUUGUUGAAAUUCCAUUUAUGAUGGGACGCUUUUAACUUGGCAGAGUCAUAUUGGUUGCAUCUUUCAUGUGGUUUCUAGCUUGCAUUGCUUCUUAUUUGCUGGAAUGGUUUCUUCUUAGUUUACACAAACAGUUGUGAACGUGCCAUGCCGUCCUGUUUUUCGUACAUAUUCAAUCCUGGUAUCAUGUGUUUGCCUUACAUCAAAGUAGUGAUUGUCAGUAUCAUGCAUGAAUGAGUUCUGAAGAGAGAAUUUUAUUGCUUUUUCUUGUUGGUUUUACUUGACAAUUCAAAAUCAAUAAAGCGGAAGGAAGUUAGCAAGGAAGCGGAUAAAGGUGCUCCUUCCGAACGGAGGGUCUCUACAGUUUCUACUCCUCCACACCCCCAAGAUGAUUUCCAAGACAACACAUGCAUAGACACUCAACAAAGCUGUGUUUAUGAUGAGCACGUCUCCCCUAGUGCAGCAUCACUGGUGCUCCCUCUAACUUAGCAUUGUUAUACGUGGUUGCAUGUUAUGUGUGAUGUCUAGCUUGUAUUGCUUCUAAUUUUGUUGAAUUCCAUCUGCUUACUUUACACAUUAUACUUGAAUAAGACACGUGUUCCUGUUUCUAGAACAUACAAUAUCUGUCUAUCACACCAUGUUAUUACAUCAAAUUACUAUUGUUGUGUAACCUGCAACAAUCACUUAUCAUAAGACACAUUUGACUUCGGAGUGUGAUAUAGGUUACAUCUCACAUUCUUUUCUAGCUUGUACUACUAAUUUGUUGAAAUGGCACUUAUGACGAGACAAUUUUAACUUGGUAGAGUGAUAUUCGUUGCAUCUUUCAUAUGGUGUCUAGCUUUCAUUACUUCUAAUUUGUUGAAAUGCCUUCUCCUUAGUUUACACAUCAUAAGUUGUGAAUAUGCAAUGUUGUGAAUAUGCAAUGGCACUAAUGACGAGAGACCUCUAACAUGGUAGUGUGAUGUUGUUUGCAUCUUGCAUAUGAUUUAUUUCUUGUACUGCUUCACAUUUGUUUAAACGCCAUUUAUGAUGAGACACUGUUAACUUGGCAGACCGAUAUUUGUAGCAUCUUUCAUAUGGUGUCUACCUUCCAUUCCAUUGCUUCUAAUUUGGUGAAAUAUCUUCUUCUUAGUUUACACAUCAUAGUUCUGGUUAUCUCUUCCGUCCUGUUUUUCAUACAUAUUACAUCCUCCUAUCAUGUGGUUGUCUAACAUCAAAGUUCAGUCCGUCUGCAUCACGCAUCAAUUUGUUCUGAAGAACUAAAUUGUUAUUCGUUUUUCUUGUCGGCUUGACUUAAAAUGGCAUAGAGAAAGAGGAAGAAACACAGAAUGGCAGGGAAUGAGAAGUGGAUGAAUCCUGCAGAUUCUGCUGGUACUGAUGGUGCAAUAGAAGGUCAAAGUCCAGCGGAAAAUUCUACAAACACGCCAUCCCAUGCUACACGAGCUGCAAAAAAAGCCAAACAGAAACAAAUAGCUACCACCAAACAAGCAGAGACAGCCCUAGUUCUUGCAACACCUACCACAGUACUACUGGGUGCACGACUUACUCGUGCGUCAACUGAGCUAGCAGCAUGUUCCCAAGCUCCCUUGCCACCUGACACUACUUCCCAAGCACUCUUGACACAAGACGAGUUGGCAAUAUCAGAUGAACCUUGUGAGCUUCAACAACAAGAAGGUAGUUGCUGGAGUCAAGUUACAGUUGCAUGCUUCUUUAUAUGUAGUCUCACAGUUUGAUGUACACUAACACUUCCUAUGUUCGUUGUUGGACUAGCACCUAGGCGCAAGAGGAAACAAACAUCAGGGAUAAUGCUCAAUAGGUUAACUAAAUCUAGAGGAGGAAGAAUGGAGAUCCGUUUUGAGGUUUAAAAAGGCCACGUGAUGCUACAGAGUCAGCCAAGUUAGUAUCAGAGGCAGCGGUUGCCGUUAGGUGUCAUGUACGUAUCCUCCCAACAUGGAUUCAGUACAGGAAUGACAAAGACGAAACCCAGUUCAACACCUUCCUCGACCAUUUAUCUGUAAGUAUGGUUAUGUAUGGAAACUAGUAAUAUCGUCUUGCUCUGUCCCAUACUUUCUAGGUUGCUGAUAAUGAGACUCCCAUAAUUUUCAACAGAUGAGGUUCAAGUUGGAUAGCCAAGAUGAUGCAACCAUACAAGCUUGCACCCAUGUUUUCAAGUCUUCUCUGCGAUAGUAUCGGUAUAACUUGAGGAAAACUCACUUUGAAGGCAAGGCUAAGAGUGAACUUUCCCAAACAUCUCCAGUGGAAAAUAUAUCGGAUGAAGACUGGAGGGGCCUUGUUAAACACUGGUCAGAUCCAAAGUAUUAGGUACAUUAUAUAUAUGUGAUCAGAUCACAUGUUGAAGUCCUAUUUACGCAUGUGCCACACAAAUCUAUCUUCUUGUAGGUGAACUGUUCAAAGAACAAGGCCAACCGUACAAAAGUGAAAUUCCAACAGACGACAGGAUCUCGUAGCUAUAUUGCACACUACGAGGCUCUUGUAAUUAGCUGUUGUUUCACUCUUUUCGUUGUACCAUAUUAUCAUAUCUAUAUUGACUUGUUCGAAAUGCAGAGGAAAGCCCACAAGGACCAAAAAGUACCUGAACCAAAUGUUGUGGAAAUCUUCAAGGACUGUCACACCAGCAAGAAGAACGGCAUGACUACACCAGUCAAAGCCGCUGUUGUAAGUCCUUAAUCCUCAUGCCUUUUAACUCACUACUAGGAAAAGGCCUACUAAUGGCGCACCUAAUUUGGCCAUUAAUGGCGCAUUAGUGGUGCGCCAUUAGUGCCACGCCAUUAGUAUAUUUUACUAAUGGCGCACCACGGGUGCGCCAUUAGUAUCUGGUAUACUAAUGGCGCACCUCAGAUGCGCCAUUAGUAUAUACAACAAUGCGCCAUUAGUAUGCCUCCCAGGGGGCCAUGUAUACCCAGGUGCUUUGGCAUACUAAUGGCGCACAACAACAAGAUGCGCCAUUAGUAACUUCGGCAUACUAAUGGCGCACUGUUUAAUGAUGCGCCAUUAGUAUCCUUUGGCAUACUAAUGGCGCACUGUGAUGUGAUGCGCCAAUAGUAUGAAUAUUAGGUUUUUUUUAUUUUUUUAUUUUCUGUUUUUUGCACAGGUUACAAAAUGUAUAAUUGGACAAAAUAUAGACAGCACACAUCAACAACAGAUUCAUCGAAUACAAUAGAAGAUUAGUCUCUGAAUACAAUUCAUCAUAUUAGUCUCCGAAUACAAUUCAUCAUAUUAGCGGGCGUAUCUACAAAAAGUCCUAAACUAAACCUAUACUAAACUAUCUAGUUCUUCAUCUUCUGCUUCUUUCUUCCAGUUCAUCAACCUGCAAAACAAGAAACAACAAACAUGAAAAACUUGAUCAAGGUUUAAAUGUAGCAUUCCCCUUAGCAAAAUGCCUUUGCUGUAGGAGCUAGCACUUACGAGUUUGGAAACAUUAGUCAAACCCCAAUCAGAUUAAGUUGAUCAAAGAAACAAUAGAAGAGAGCCAACACUGCAUAAAUGGAGCCAAUAACCCAAAAGACAGAAGUAGAGCCAGCAAAGUAUAGAUCAAAGCAAAACCCAAAGAUCAACUCAAACUAGAACUAACUCCAUGAUUAGGGGAUCCCUCAAUUAAGCUUGGGUUAGUUUUCAGAUGAAAUCCAACAAACCCACUACUAAUCAACUAGCCCAGAGGUAGGGUUUGAAGUAGGGAUUGUCCUCAGGCAGCCUAGUAGUGCUAGGACUAUUGCAUCAUUGGAUCAAGUAGUGCAACAUCUUUAAGUAACAAUGAGAGCCUCAGGACACCAUCACUGGCAUGGCAAGAUUAAGGAGCACCUGUUCUUAUCAGUGAGAGUAGGAGAGAAAGAAAGAAAGUGAACAGACCAGUGCAGCAUAUGUUCAAAUCAGAUUUAAGAGAGAGGGAAUUGGCAAGGAAAGAUAUAGUCCAUAACCUGCAAGAAGAAAUAGGCCAUUGAUAGCACAUUUACUAAACAUCUGCUAUAAGCAGAACACAUACACUCACUUACACAUGGGUACUAUUCUGUAUAUAGGUACACAAGCACAACACAUGCACCUGGUAUAGAUAGGAGUAUAAGCAUGCAUCUAAAUUAUCUGAAACAUAUGAAAUAGCUAAUGCAAAGAAACAUAUGAUAAUAAAGAAAACAGAGCACAAGUAAAUAGGAAUGAUCCAUCCAUCCAUCCCCUAACUAAUGUAUUGAUCCAUCCAUCCAUGACCUAACUAAUGUUGUUGUAUCUCUAGACUAAGUGCAGCAACACAAGGACUAAAACUACAGAGCACAUGUGUACGUAACUACUAUACUCAUCCAUGGCAAAUUGUACCAAACCAUCCAUACAUAGCCAGAUUGCAAUGGAGUGGAUUUAACACAAGACAUGAAAAAUUGAUGAGCCAAAUGAUUUUUAGUAUUACUAACUUGAAAGGAAGCUCACUGUUUCCAUCUUCUAUCUAUCCAUGAUUUUAUUUUUCUGAAGCAAGCAUCAAAAAGCACAAUGACAAUCGAAUUUCACACAAAAACUGAACCAAUACUUGCUGUUAUGUAGUGUCCAUGACAAUUGCAAUUCAUGUCCACUCCAGAUCAGAUUUGCAAGGGCUAGAAAGAGAGGUUGUAGCUCACCAUGUAUGGGGGUAGGAGGUGGAUGCAGGGGAGGGGUGGAGGGUGUCCUGCAGAAGAAGCUUCGCCAUUAGAGCAACCUGCACAAAACAGAGGAAGGGGAGAUGAAUAAAUCAUGGUGAGGAGGAGAAACAACAACAAAAAUACCAAAAAAAUCCCUUCCAUGGAGUGUUGUACUAGGAGCAGCUCCUCUCUCUCCGCUAGGGUUUGGGGCGCUGGGAGGCUCCAUGGUGCCACUGCGUGGUGCCGGACAAGGGAAUCCAUCUCCAUGGCGGCGUCCCGCCCCACGGAGGUGCGCCCCUCCCGCCGUCGUCAUCGGCACGCCCAUGGCGACCUGCAGAGAAGGAAGAGAAGAUGAGGUGAGGUGAGGAGGAGAUGGUGGGCGAAGAAGGAGGGGGAGGGGCUUACUAGUGCUGGAUCCGGUCACCUAUGGCCUCGCCGUGUCCUGCCAUGGCGGAUCCCGGCGAACAAAAGGGGAUGCAAAAUCCUAGCCAGUGGGGCAGCCGCGGAUCUGCAUGGAGGUAAGCCAGAUGCGGACCAAGGGGAUCUCGCCGGCAUGCUGCACGCGGCCGGAGCUCGCUGGAACCAGGCGGCAUGGGUGGCGACGGCGGUGAGGGAGAGAGGGGUUCGGGGGGAAGAGAGGAGGCGACGAGGGUUUGGGUGGGUUCGAGCGAGAGAGAGAGUGUGUGUGUGUUGGUGCGUUGGGUCGGAUGGAUGGAUUGAUGUCCAAAAUAUCCAGGUUACUAAUGGCGCACCUUCUGGUGGUGCGCCAUUAGUAGUUUUGCAAAAAAAAACAAAAAAAAACAUACUAAUGGCGCACUAUUCCACAGUGCGCCAUUACUAGUUUAAACUAGUAAUGGCGCACGGUCGAACAGUGCGCCAUUAGUAGUUUUGCAAAAAAAAGGAAUAAAAAUAUAAUAAAAAAACAACAUUAGUGGCGCACUUUCCGACAGGUGCGCAUUACUAGUUACAACUAGUAAUGGCGCACUGUGUCUGGAUGCGCCAUUAGUAUGUUUGGACAGGCGCACUAGUUCAAAAAAAAUGAUACUAAUGGCGCACCCUGGGCCAGGUGCGCCAUUAGUAGUUUCAGCUCUAAUGGCGUAUCAGAAGGUGGUGCGCCAUUAGUAUAUACUAAUGGCGCACCGCUUGUCUGGUACGCCAUUAGUGUCAAUCCCAUCUAUAGCCCUUUUUCUAGUAGUGACUAGUACUUACUCUAACUUGUGCCUUGAACUGCAUGGUUUGCAGCCAAUGUCUAUUACUUUUUUCAAUUGUAUACACAAUUGUCUUAGAGUAUCAUUGCACCUUACAAGGUUUAAAAGAGAGGAGUGAUGUUCCUUUGAUCUUGACCCGUAAUCUAGUUUCGUGCUGGACUUGCCCAUACAACGUUACAAUUUCCUGUUUGUCUGUUCUUAGUUGUUUUGUGAUAUGAAUGAUGUCAUACUAUGCUUACCGUAUUAUAAACUUUGUCUCUUUAUCCUUAGCCCUCAAUACAAUGUGAAGAAAUAGACAAUACAUUAGCGAUGCUACAUGGCCAUAUGUUUGGAACCUGGUUUUUUUAUGUACUUUGCAAUAAAAUACAACUAAUAUUUUACAUGGGUUCACCAGAAUAAGUUCUGUAUAUAGGCCAAAGCUAUUUUGUUUGGUUUUGCUGCCUCCUUAAUAUCUUCUGUUUGGGUACUAAUAAUGUAAAACCUCAACUUUUCAGCAAGCUAUGGAAAAAAUGGUGGAACGGCCACCUUCUGAAGGUGGCGAGGCAACUAUAACCGCAAUGUCAGCUCUUGCUGCAGUGGGUCAGUACCUGUCCACUAACAGUGCCAAAAGCACGUUCCUGCGUAAUACUAGGUUGGUUGUUAAGGCAAUAUCGUCCAAACUGCCUCAUGAUCAAGAUAUGCAAGAUCAAGGCAAUGUUGUAUUUGCGCUCCAGACACAAGUCCAUUCCCUAAUAGAGACCCUUUGUGAAACAAGGAGAGACAUUGUUCAAUGUCUUCAAGAUAUGCAUGGUUUUGAAACCAGACUAUCAGACAUUUGCUAUGUUGUUCAGGAGCCUAGGCGAAAUGAAGGCGAGGGUUAUGGUGCUCCAUCGGACAAUACAACAUGAAAAUGUAAUAGUCAGGUCAAAUGAACUGAGCUUCUGAACUUCUGGUGGUGCAUUUAUCUGCUAGACUGUUAAGUUUUAUGCCAACCUUCCUUUUGGUAUAUAGUUGUAAUUUGUUUUGGUGCGAUACAAAAUUUAUUCUUAACGUGCAGCCACCGACUGAAGAAAACAGCAAGCCAUUUUUGUAUAGUGUAGGGUGUUCCAUAUAUUUGCACUGGUGGCGAUCUUUGAUGCCGAGUGGAUGUAAUCUGUGCAAUCGCCUUAAUAGCCUAGCGUUAGUUUCGGCCUUAUUUAUUUCCUAGUCUUCUUUUUCCCUGGUUUUCUAGUGGCCGCAACUACCAUGGGCCAUAUAAGGGCCGUAGGAUCCAUGGGUCUCCUACAGGCCGUCGAUAAAUGGGCCUCCAAUAGGGCCGUAGAAGAACUGGUCGGCCUCGGGCCAUCGGAUAAAUGGGUCUACAUGGGCCGUCAACGGGUGUAAUUGGUAUCAGCCCAGCACGGUAAUGGGCCGUAGGACAGCAAAGGCUUAAUUCUGUCACAGGCAUAACGGGUCAUUAAUGGGCCAGAAUAUAGGACGGGCUAGAAACGGCGCAAUGGGUUAAUAGGCCAGAAACGGGCCGAAUCUUGCCAUGGGUCGAAUUUGUCCCAUUAGGGUAACAGGCCAGUAACGGGUCGACUCUUGCCAUGGGCCGAAUUUGACCCAUUAGGGGAACAGGCCAGAAACGGGCCGACUCUUGCCAUGGGCCGAAUUCGGUCCAUUAGGGUAACAGGCCAGUAACGGGCCGACUCUUGCCAUGGGCCGAAUUUGGCCCGUUAGGGGAAUAGGCCAGUAACGGGCCGAAAGUAAUCGAGGACCGAAAAGGAUCCCAAGAACGUAUGGGCCGUCAAUAGGCCGAAAGCUAACACGGGCUGGAAACGGCCCAUGUAAAUCACGGGCCGUUAACGGGUACAAAGAAAAUUACUGUUCAUUAUGGGCUAGAGUCACCGUGGGCCUGUAAAGGGCCGAAAGAUACGAAGGCCUCAUAUGGGCCGAAAGACGUCAUGGGCCAUACAUGGGCCGAAAGUGAAAUGGGCGGGUGUUAUAUUCGACGGCCCACAAGACGUUGUUGGGGCAAUUUCCUUCAGGGACUAACGGGCCGUGAGUUAACGGACCGUAAAAUGGGCUAUUUGUGAAGAGACCGUUAACAGGCUUUUCAUGGGCCAGCCUGUUAACUUUUGACCAAGUCAAACAGCCCGGCUUUGUAAGCUAAAUGGGCAAGUGGUGGGCCGUGGCACGUGUCCACAUAUCAUAGGCGCCUAUCUGACCCACUGACGAGCUGACACGUGUUUCGUCCGGCCAAUAAGAAUUUUACACAUGGAAAUUUCCCAUUGGUCGGGGCUGUUAACGGGUUAUCGGAUCCAAAACCCGACCCGAUAGUUUAACGGCGUUCCGUUACGGUGGAUGCCACAUGUCGGUCACCCUUGACGAAAGCACUUCUGUGACGCGCGAUUUAUCAUCAUGGAAGUGGACACUUCCGUGAUGAUAAUUUUGGUAAUGUCAUGCAACACUUCUACGAUAGCACACGUAUGACUAUCUUGAUUCUGUCAUAAAUUUGUCAUGGAUGUACAUGCAUGACAAAAAACGCGACCUAAUGUGACAAACACGUAUCAUCACGGAAGUGUAUUUUUUUGUAGUGUUGCAAAUAUCUAUGUUCCUAUCUUGAACAUUUUCACGAAUGGAGUUGAAGCGACGCUUGAUGUGCCUGGUCUUCUUAUGAAACCUAGGCUCCUUGGCAAGGGCAAUAGCUCCAGUGUUGUCAUAGAAGAGAGUGAUCGGCCCCGACACAUUGGGAAUAACUCCUAGGUCGAUGAUGAACUCCUUCAUCCAGAUUGCUUCAUGCGCUGCCUCCGAGGCUGCCAUGUACUCCGCUUCACAUGUAGAUCCCGCCAUGACACUCUGCUUGCUGCUGCACCAGCUUACUGCCCCAUCAUUCAAAAUAUACACGUAUCCGGUUUGUGACUUGGAGUCAUCCAGAUCUAUGUCGAAGCUAGCAUCGACGUAACCCUUUAUGACGAGCUCUUUGUGACCUCCAUAAAUGAGAAACAUAUCCUUAGUCUUUUUCAGGUACUUCAGGAUAUUCUUGACCACUGUCCAGUGUUCCAUGCCGGGAUUACUUUGGUGCCUAGCUACCAAACUUGCGGCAAGGUUUACAUCAGGUCCGGUACACAGCAUGGCAUACAUAAUAGACCCUAUGGCCGAGGCAUAGGGGAUGACACUCAUCUUUUCUCUAUCUUCUGACGUGGUCGGGGAUUGAGCCAAGCUCAGUUUCAUACCUUGCAACACAGGCAAGAACCCCUUCUUGGACUGAUCCAUAUUGAACUUCUUCAAUAUCUUAUCAAGGUAUGUGCUUUGUGAAAGACCUAUGAGGCGUCUCGAUCUAUCUCUAUAGAUCUUGAUGCCUAAUAUAUAAGCAGCUUCUCCAAGGUCCUUCAUUGAACACUUGUUCAAGUAGGCCUUUAUGCUGUCCAAAAGUUCUAUAUCAUUUCCCAUCAAAAGUAUGUCAUCUACAUAUAAUAUGAGAAACGCUACAGAGCUCCCACUCACUUUCUUGUAAACGCAGGCUUCUCCAUAAGUCUGCAUAAAACCAAACGCUUUGAUCAUCUCAUCAAAGCGAAUGUUCCAACUCCAAGAUGCUUGCACCAGCCCAUAAAUGGAUCGCUGGAGCUUGCAUACCUUGUUAGCAUUCUUAGGAUCGACAAAACCUUCCGGCUGCAUCAUAUACAAUUCUUACUUACCAUUAAGGAAUGCCGUCUUGACAUCCAUUUGCCAUAUCUCAUAAUCAUAGUAUGCGGCAAUUGCUAACAUGAUCCGGACAGACUUCAGCUUCGCUACGGGAGAGAAAGUCUCAUCAUAGUCAACCCCUUGAACUUGCCAAUAACCCUUAGCGACAAGUCGAGCUUUAUAGAUGGUAACAUUACCAUCCGCGUCCGUCUUCUUCUUAAAGAUCCAUUUAUUUUCUAUCACUCGCCGAUCAUCGGGCAAGUCUGUCAAAGUCCAUACUUUGUUUUCAUACAUGGAUACUAUCUCGGAUUGCAUGGAUUCAAGCCAUUUGUUGGAAUCUGGGCCUGCCAUCGCUUCUUCAUAGUUCGAAGGUUAACCAUUGUCUAACAACAUGAUUUCUAGGACAGGGUUGCCAUACCAUUCUGGUGUGGAACAUGUCCUUGUGGACCUACGAAGUUCAGUAGUAACUUGUUCUGAACUACCUUGAUCAUCAUCAUUAACUUCCUCUCUAGUCGGUGCAGGCACCACAGGAACAUCUUCCUGAGCUGCACUACUUACUGGUUCAAGAGGUAGUACUUCAUCAAGUUCCACUUUCCUCCUACUUACUUCUCUCGAGAGAAACUCCUUCUCCAGAAAGGACCCAUUCUUGGCAACGAAAAUCUUGACUUCGGAUCUGAGGUAGAAGAUAUACCCAAUGGUUUCCUUAGGGUAUCCUAUGAAGACGCAUUUUUCCGACUUGGGUUCGAGCUUUUCAGGUUGAAGUCUCUUGACAUAAGCAUCGCAUCCCAAAACUUUUAGAAACGACAGCUUAGGUUUCUUUCCAAACCAUAAUUCAUAAGGUGUCCUCUCAACGGAUUUAGACGGUGCCCUAUUUAAAGUGAAUGUAACUAUCUCUAAAGCGCAUCCCCAAAAUGAUAGCGGUAAAUUGGUAAGAGACAUCAUAGACCGCACCAUAUCCAAUAGAGUGCGAUUACGACGUUCGGACACACCGUUACGCUGAGGUAUUCCAGGCGGCGUGAGUUGUGAAACAAUUCCACAUUUCCUUAAGUGCAUACCAAACUCGUGACUUCAAUAUUCUCCCCACGAUCUGAUCGUAAGAACUUUAUUUUUCUAUCACGUUGAUUCUCUAGCUCAUUCUGAAAUUCCUUGAACUUUUCAAAGGUCUCAGACUUGUGUUUUAUUAACUAGACAUACCCAUAUCUACUUAAGUCAUCAGUGAGGGUGAGAACAUAAUGAUAGCCACCGCGAGCCUCAAUGCUCAUUGGACCGCACACAUUAGUAUGUAUAAUUUCCAAUAAGUUGGUUGCUCACUCCAUUGUUCCGGAGAACAGAGUCUUGGUCAUUUUGCCCAUGAGGCAUGGUUCACAUGUGUCAAAUGAUUCGAAAUCAAGAGACUCCAAAAUUCCAUCUGCAUUGAGCUUCUUCAUGCGUUUGACACCAAUGUGACCAAUGCGGCAGUGCCACAGAUAUGUGGGACUAUCAUUAUCAAUCUUACAUCUUUUGGUAUUCACACUAUGAAUAUGUGUAACAUCAUGUUCGAGAUUCAUUAAGAAUAAACCAUUGACCAGCGGGGCAUGACCAUAAAACAUAUCUCUCAUAUAAAUAGAACAACCAUUAUUCUCGGAUUUAAAUGAGUACCCAUCUCGUAUCAAACGAGAUCCAGAUACAAUGUCCAUGCUCAAAGCUGACACUAAAUAACAAUUAUUAAGGUUUAAAACUAAUCCCGUAGGUAAAUGUAGAGGUAGCGUGCCGACGGCGAUCACAUCGACCUUGGAACCAUUCCCGACGCGCAUCGUCACCUCGUCCUUCGCCCGUCUCCACUUAUUCCGCAGCUCAUGUUUUGAGUUACAAAUAUGAGCAACCGCACCGGUAUCAAAUACCCAGGAGCUACUAUGAGUACUGGUAAGGUACACAUCAAUAACAUGUAUAUCACAUAUACCUUUGGUGUUGACGGUCUUCUUAUGAGCUAAGUACUUGGGGCAGUUCCGCUUCCAGUGAUCGUUCCCCUUGCAAUAAAAGCACUUAGUCUCAGGUUUGGGUCCAUGCUUUGGCUUCUUCCUGACAACUGGCUUACCGGGCGCGGCAACUCCCUUGCCUUCCUUCUUGAAGUUCUUCUUACCCUUGCCUUUCUUGAAACUAGUGGUUUUAUUGACCAUCAACACUUGAUGUUCCUUUUUGAUUUCUACCUCCGCUGAUUUCAGCAUUGAAAAUACCUCAGGAAUGGUUUUCACCAUCCCCUGCAUAUUGUAGUUCAUCACAAAGCUCUUGUAGCUAGGUGGGAGCGACUGAAGGAUUCUGUCAAUGACCGCCUCAUCCGGGAGGUUAAUGUCCAGCUGGGACAAGCGGUUGUGCAACCCAGACAUUUUGAGUAUGUGCUCGCUGACAGAACUAUUUUCCUCCAUCUUACAACUGUAGAACUUGUCGGAGACUUCAUAUCUCUCGACCCGGGCAUGAGCUUGGAAAACCAUUUUCAGCUCUUGGAACAUCGCAUAUGCUCCAUGCUGCUCGAAACGCUUUUGGAGCCCCGUUUAUAAGUUGUAAAGCAUGCCGCACUGAACGAGGGAGUAAUCAUCAACACGCGACUGCCAAGCAUUCAUAACGUCUUGGUUCGCUGGGACGGGUGCUUCACCUAGCGGUGCUUCUAGGACAUAUGCUUUCUUGGCAGCUAUGAGGAUGAUCCUCAUGUUCUGGAUCCAGUCCGUAUAGUUGCUACCAUCGUCUUUCAGCUUGGUUUUCUCUAGGAACGCGUUGAAGUUGAGGUUGACAUGAGCGUGGGCCAUUUGAUCUACAAGAUAUUUUGCAAAAGUUUUUAUACUAAGUUCAUGAUAAUUAAGUUCAUCUAAUCAAAUUAUUUAAUGAACUCCCACUUAGAUAGACAUCCCUCUAGUCAUCUAAGUGAUACACGAUCCGAGUCAACUAGGCCGUGUCCGAUCAUCCCGUGAGACGGACUAGUCAUCAUCGGCGAACAUCUUCAUGUUGAUCGUAUCUUCUAUACGACUCAUGCUAGACCUUUCGGUCUCUUGUGUUCUGAGGCCAUGUCUGUACAUGCUAGGCUCGUCAAGUCAACCUAAGUGUUUUGCAUGUGUAAAUCUGGCUUACACCCGUUGUAUGUGAACGUUAGCAUCUAUCACACCUGAUCAUCACGUGGUGCUUCGAAACAAUGAACUUUCGCAAGGGCGCAUGUCGGCAUUCUAGGAACAGGGGUCCCCAGACUUGCCUGCCUGUGGCCUGCAGCAUGGCUCAAGUGGUGGCCCAGUGCGGCCCAUCUUCAUCGACUCAAGCUCAAGACCCUCGCGAGGGGCCAAGCCUCGCGGGGAGGACGACAGGAAGCUUCCUCGGGAGGGGCCUCGCCAGGAAGGCUCGCGAGGAGGCGGAGACAUCAAGGUGAGGGUACCUCGCGAGGUGCACAUGACGCAAGCCAUGACGAUCGAGACCAGGCGGGCGCCAGCCUGCGCAGUGUCCUUGUUUCCUCUUUGGUGCAAAGGAGCAAGCUCAGACCAAGGCAUCAGGCAAAGGAUACCGUUUCGGUGCAACAAGACCAAGACCAGCAGAGCGGCAGGAUGGAGGUCACCAUGGAGCCCAAGACAGCGUCAUCGUUAGGGCCCUUGGCAGUCGAAGACCAACUUUAGUUAGGAUAAGCUGUACUAGAUGUUCCCCUUCAAAAUGGCCGUUGUUGGCGCCCUUCCCGCUCAAUAUUUGGGAAGAGGACCAAGGCCUCUAUAAAUAGGACUAGCCAUUCUCAAGGCAGGGGAUCGAGCAAUCAAACCUUAGCCAGAACCACCCACACCAGCACAAGAACACCCCUCGCGAGGCUGUUCCUCCCUUGUAUUGUUCAUCAUCAGCCCCUGAGGCAAUGCACACACCACACACUGGAGUAGGGUAUUACACCACAAUGGUGGCCUGAACCAGUAUAAACUCUGUGUCCCUUGUGUUGAUUAUCUUGCUAGCCUAGAUUCUUAGCGAGGCUGUGGGACGUAGGUUGCUAGGGGAGAGAUCUCCGCGCGCACCCUAGAGUUCGAACCUCAAGGGUCUGCCGGAACCCGAAAUCCGACAUUUUGCACGCCAGGUAGGGGUGCGACGGGAUCCUUCUUCCACCGCCUCGCGCUCCAUCGCGACCCGACGGCCAAUGCCGACCGCUGGGCGGCAUGGCCUAUCCAUGCCGUGCCGCCUGCCCAGGGUGACCUCAACCCCGCACCUCAGGCAGCCCACGCCCCGCAGAGCGCUGCGGGGCGCGGGCAACGUGGUCAGUCGUCGCCUGCCCUCACCCCGCGGCAGGUACGGUCGGCAGCAAGGGCCUUGAGGCAUGCUGCGGCCACGGCACCGCACACCCGACGGGAGGAGGCGAACAUGAAGGCCACGCUCAUGGUGGCGCGAGAACUGCUGCGGUGCAAACUGCAAGAAAGUAGCCACGACGUGCUACUGGAGUGCAUCGCCGAGCUCCUGGAUGCUGCUACGUCAGGGGCCCCCCCCAUUCUGCGUCCAGCUUCCACCCCAGGCUCCGAGCGGAUCCCAAGGUGGACCAAUCCGCACCCACGCGCCCCUGGGCGUACCUCAAGGCUUCAUCAACACCGGCCUGGCCAUCAGCGCCGGGCAGCAAGUUGCGUUGGCACCGCCCCUGGUAAGCGAGGGCAUGCGCAUCACUGCCUAUGGUCCUAGCGGGCCGCUGCCCUAUCAUCCCCAAGAUGGAGCUUCGAGUCGAACUGCAUGGCACACGGAGCACUACGGCAAGGCCUUCGGGGUGACCGCCCCGGAGGCCUAUGUGCCCCACAUGGUGGAUCGAGGGUACGCCCUGGAAGAAGACCACGGCUCGUUCCUCGGGCCAGGCUGGGAGGAAGAGGCGCCAGAAGCCGAGCUCUUUCAGGAGCCUCACGAAAGCCUCGACAGCCGCGCCGGCGGCAGCAACUACCGGGUACAAGGAGCAAGCUUAUGCUAACCAUGGGUCGCAGGAGGUUCAGGUCAUGGCAGCGAAUGGCUGCCCAGUGCGGCAACCUCCCUCCCCUCGGGGGGAGGGCACUGGGGGUAGCAGGAGAGGGGCCAGGAGCCAGGCUCCCCCCCCCCGCGACAUGCGGAGCAAGGCAUUCUCAAGAGGUAGGCCCUCUGCCGGGGAGGUGCCCCAGGGCCUGCCCUCGGCAGAGGACCCGUGGUCGUCGGGGGAAUCGCUCGCGACCACUUUACCCCAUUGGCGUCGUCCUUGGUUUCCGGUCGCCGUAUGUGGUGGUAGAGUGUGGCGCAAGGCGGGGCCCUCGUCUGGUCAUAUGAAGCAAGGCCGGUACCAGUGAAGAAGGCCUAGUGCCUGUGAAGCUCGCCGCCCGUGACACUCUCACGUAAUAACGACUUGGGGUUGUACACGCCCCGGAGUCUCCGAAGAGCCGCCCUCGGGCCUCGGGGGCUCUUGCCCACGCCCAGUGGCAGCACUUAGCUCCGCGCUGGUGAGAAGACGUCGAACACUAGACUAGGUGUGGGACGCGUCUUUUGUCUUUUUUACCUCUUUCUUCGUUGUCGAGCUUCCUUGCUUUGAAUUUGAGUUGGAUUUGAGCUUAAGACUUGCGUGUGUUCGGGGAAGGGGUGUUUAGUCUCGUUCGAGCAAUUUCUCGUGUUUUGAUUUCGGCUUUGCAUCCAAAGUUAGCACCAGCUACUCCCCCCUCGCGGCCCCUCGCGAGCCAGGCCGGGCCAAGCGCGCAAACACUCCGGACCACCGUCGCCGCUCACUCUCAGGGGGCUCUCAUCGCGAGACCAAAGGGUUCGCCCAUAGGACACUCAAAACACUACGGCCCCCGCAUGUUUGCUCGGGGCCAGCCGGGGUCAAAGGUAAAUCAGGUCGGUUGACCCGGCGCGAGGUCGGCAACCCAGCGUGGGCACAUGUAUGGUGUUAUAUCUACAAGCGUACCAAUUACAACCUUUACACGAGGGGGCUCCCCCUCCCAAAAUGCUCUCAUAACCUCCAGGGCCAUGCCCGAACUUUUCUGUGCAGGGUAAGCAGUUGAGGCGGCGUGCAAUCAGUUGGACAUGUCGCUCAUCGCGUCCUCUAGGAUGCCUCCGGAGGCAUCACUGGCGUCACUGGCAUCGUCACCAUCAUCACCAUCACCGUCAUCAGCGCCAUGCUCAUUCACAACACCACCUUCAUCAGCAGCCACGAUCACGCCCUCGUCAUCAGAGGCGAAGGCCCUAACGAGGGCGUCCACGUUGUCCUCCACCCACUGCGCCAGAUCGCCCCGGAUGGCUAUGGGCACCGGUGCGAUGGAAGCGUCGAAAUCAAAGUGGGGAUCUUUGUCCUGAAGAUAACUGAAGACACAGGAGAAGGCACGCCCAAGCAGGGCUCGGCUCCUCUCCUCAACAAGCCAGCGGGCCCUGUCAGAGCGGGUCUCCAGCUGUGUUACCACAUCCGUCAAGAACCAGAGAUUGCCAGCAUAGUUGAUUACACGAGGCUCCGUAACAGCUGCCUCGCAGAUGUUGCCCAGGGCCGCAUUGGCCAUUUCCCUGAGCGUUCGGAGCAUGGGGCCAUGCACAUGCUCCAGUGUCUGCCGCUGAUGGAUCUCAUCCUCGUUCCGCCGCGCAACGGCCUCGGCGCCAUCAACCCUCUAUUGAAGAAGAAGCAGCUCGGCGCGAGAAGAGGCCAGCUCCACCUGUGCUGCACCAAGGGUGGCUGUGGAGGAAUCUGCAUGCCGCGUCACUUCAGUCAGCUUGGCCCUGAGGGCAGUGGUCCUGCCCUCAGCUUCGGCCCUGACCAGCUCCAACCUCUCUUCGUACUCGCGCUCAAGACCCAAGCGAGCUUCCGCCACACGGCGGUCGAUCUCCCCUUGGACUCGGGCCACCCGCGCGCCGACAUCAUCCUCCGCCUGGGUCACUAGGCGCUCCCUCGUCUCCAACCGCUCAAGGUCAAGGUUGCGUUCAGCAGCCUCCAGCAUCAGCGCCUCCUCGCACCUCAGGAGCUCUGCCUCAUCGACGGGUGCCCCCUUCAGCGACACAAGGGCAGCCUGGCGCAGCUCCACUUGCAGCUCCAGAGAGUUGCUCCAGGCUUGGAGCUCCCACACGCGCUCCUCCGCAGCCUCGCAUCGUCGGUCGGCCUCCCGGGCCUCUUCGACGGCUUGGGAGCAGGCCUUCCACGAGGCCGCCAGCGACGCUUCGGCCUUCGCGUUGUCGAGGUCACGUUGGUGACGCGCAAGACUGACGGCCACCUUCAGCCUGCGCCUUUCCUCGGUGAGGUGCAGACCUUCGGCUUCAAGGCGCGCAUCCUCGCCCGCGAGAUCCAUGCCAAGCUGACCCACUGCAUUUGCCGCCUUCUGAAAAAACUCUCGGCGGAGGGUGCUGCACUCUCGAGCAUGCCUGAGCAUGUCCUCCACGUCCUCCUCCGCCAUAGGCGGAGGCAGAGGGACCCGAGGCGGCACGCCCCCUCUCGGCAGGGGGCUGGGGGCUGGCGCCCCAGCGAUCGUCGGAUGGGCCCCGCCAGGGACCCAGGCCGGCGCUGGUCCAUCUCCUGAAGUGGGGCCCAAGAUCGAUCAGCCAGUCGCCAUCCACAAUCGGAGGAGGAGCACGGAGCAAGCUGGUUAUGCCCCAGGAGAGCUCGCGAAGGGGGGACAGCAGGCGCGCAGGCUCAAGGUACCCAGCGGGAUGGCCCGCCUCUCUAGUCGGCCCCGCGGCAGGGAUGGUGCUCGAGCUCGGGACGCUCAAGGUCAGCGAUGAAGGUGAGGCUUGGGGGAUGGCUCCUCGACCGUCUCCGCAAACUCGGCAGGAAGGGCCCUGAAAGGCUACAAUCAGCUGAAGGAACGGUAAAAUAAGGAACUGAGAGAGAAAAAGUACUUACUCAUCGAUGGCAAAAUACUUACAGCACUUCAACGGGCGACAGGGGCGGUCAUUGCCACCCGAGGCCUCCUCCCUCUUGCGGAGGGCCUCGAAGUCUAUGCGAAACCGGCCUAGGCCCCUGAUGCGAGGGCCAUCGCGUGGUGUAGAAGGAAGAUCAGGAUGACUUGCGCCAAGGGCGACAGACUGGGAGGCGUCGUAGGGCGCCGCCGCGUGAAGAUCAGUCUGGGCCUCAGGAGUCCCGACCUCGGGAGCCUCAGGUCGCGACUCCUCAUCCGCCACCACCCCAGGACACACUUCGGAAGAUGAUGCCUCAGGAGCCCCUCGUGGCGUCAGCAUCUCAACAUCAGACCCCUCGGCUCCCGGCGGUUCUCGCCUCCUUGCUUCAUCACCUGAGGCAGGACCGCCGUGAGCAACCGGAAGAGCGACCACAACAAUUGGGUUCUCGUGGGGCCCCAUGAGGCCGACCGGGCGCAGCUCCCAUUCGUCGAAGCUGGGCAUCUGCCUCACAAAGUCGGCCCUGCCCGAGCAAAGAUACAAGAGGGAGGCCCCAUGACGGAUGCUGCAUGGAGAAGGGUCGCCAGUCAAGACCCUCAGCACCGUCCUCAGCGCUUCGGGCACCAGAUCCUCCUCCUAGAGCCUCAUGCGGUCUUCGUGCACCGCGAAGGUCCACAUCCGACGGGAGUGGCGCUGGAGAGGAGCGAUGCGACAUUGAACGAACUCCUUCACCACCUUGGGCGCCGUCACACCGAGCUCCCUCAAACUCUCGAAGCGGCGCCAGAAGAAAGCAAGCCGGGGGCUCGUGUGCUUCUCAUGAUCCUAGCCUGAGUUGGGAAUAGCAGGCAAUGUUGGGUGCGAGAGCAGGGGGCUAGGCACCCCAACAUCCACGUACAACCACCGCUCUCAGAACCCGGUCACAAGAGGAGGAAGGCCGAAAUCGAUCCCUGAGGCAGCCGUCUCCGGCACGGAGAGGAAGCUCACGCACCCCGAGCAUUGAGUUGGGUCACUCGGGCGCAAGGAGAAGAAGUGGCGCAGGAGGGCAACGGAGGGAGGAAUGCCUACCAUGGCCUCGCAAACAAAGGCGAAGACAGCAAGGAGAGUAAUGGACUCAGGACCAAGGUGCAUCAUGUGGAUCUGGUAAUGGGAGAGCACCGCAUUGAAGAAAGCAGAAAAGGGGGGAACCAGACCCGCCCACAAGGUGUCGGCGAGAAAUCAGACCACCAUGACGACCCUGUCGAAGGAGGCGUGGGACGUGGGCCAAACCGUCGUCCUCCCGCACUCGUUGAAGAUGGAAGCAAGGGCGGAGCGGACCUUGUCCACGGCUUCGAUGUUGAGUAAGAUUGACUGAUCGACGGCGGGGGCGACUGCCGGGGGCGAGCGAGGCGAAGGCGCGGGCUUCUUCCCCUUUCCCUUCUUCGUUGGCGCCAUGGCAAUGGGAAGAGGGGGAGAGCUCGAGCUGGAUUGGAGGCGGAGGCUGGAGCUCUAGGAAGAAGGAAGGGCAGGGAGCGCGUGAACGGCGAAAGAGGAAUAACUGUGUGCAACCACGGGUCCGCCUAGUCGAGCGCGUAAUGAGGGGCGUGGGGAAACGGAGACGCCCACGUCCAAUCAACCGCCACGCGGCGCCCAAGGCCGCAGGCUUUUGGGGCCCGCGGCAAUUCACACUUGCCCCUUCUCUUCUCCGCUAAGCCAAGUCCAGGCGCGCCUUGGGCCUGGGGGCUACUGUCGGCGUUCUGGGAACGGGGGUCCCCAGACUUGCCUGCCUGCGGCCUGCGGCGUGGCUCAAGUGGUGGCAGAGUGCGGCCCAUAUUCAUCGACUCAAGCUCAAGACCCUCGCGAGGGGCUAAGCCUCGCAGGGAGGACGACAGGAAGCUUCCUCAGGAGGGGCCUCGCUAGGAAGGCUCGCGAGGAGGCGAAGAGAUCAAGGCGAGGGUACCUCGCGAGGUGCACAUGACGCAAGCCAUGACAAUCGAGACCAGGCGGGUGCCAGGCAGGCGCCAGGCGGGCGCCGGCCUGCGCAGUGUCCUUUUUUCCUCUUUGGUGCAAAGGGAGCAAGCUCAGACAAAGGCAUCAGACAAAGGCAACAAGCCAAGACCAGUAGAGCGGCAGGAUGGAGGUCACCGUGGAGCCCAAGACGGCAUCAUCGUCAGGGCCUUUGGUAGUCGAAGACCAACUUUAGUCAGGAUAAGUUGUACUAGAUGUUCCCCUUCAAAAUGGCCGUUGUUGGCGCCUUUCCCGCUCAAUAUUUGGGAAGAGGACCAAGGCCUCUAUAAAUAGGACUAGCCAUUCUCAAGGCAUGGGAUCGAGCAAUCGAACCUUAGCCAGAACCACCCACACCAGCACAAGAACACCCUCGCGAGGCUGUUCCUCCCUUGUAUUGUUCAUCAUCAGCCCGUGAGGCAAUCCACACACCACACACUGGAGUAGGGUAUUACACCACAAUGGUGGCCUGAACCAGUAUAAACUUCGUGUCCCUUGUGUUGAUUAUCUUGCUAGUCUAGAUUCUUAGCGAGGCUUUGGGACGUAGGUUUGUAGGGGAGAGAUCUCCGCGCGCACCCCAGAGUUCGAACCUCAAGGGUCUGCCGAAACACGAAAUCCGACAGCGCACAGUUAGGGGAAACACUUUCUUGAAAUUGUUAUUAGGGAUCAUCUUAUUUACUACCGUCGUUCUAAGAAAAUAAGAUGGAAAAACAUGAUAAACAUCACAUGCAAUCAAAUAGUGACAUGAUAUGGCCAAUAUCAUUUUGCUCCUUUGAUCUCCAUCUUUGGGGCGCCAUGAUCAUCAUCGUCACCAGCAUGACACCAUGAUCUCCAUCAUCAUGAUCUCCAUCAUCAUGUCUCCAUGAAGUUGUCUGGCCAACUAUUACUUCUACUACUAUGGCUAACGGUUUAGCGAAGAAGUAAAGUAAUUACAUAGUGUUAUUCAGUGACACGUAGGUCAUACAAUAAAUAAAGACAACUCCUAUGGCUCCUGCCGGUUGUCAUACUCAUCGACAUGCAAGUCGUGAUUCCUAUUACAAGAACAUGAUCAAUCUCAUAUAUCACAUAUAUUUCAUUCAUCACAUCCUUUUUGGCCAUAUCACAUCACAAGGCAUAUGCUGCAAAAACAAGUUAGACGUCCUCUAAUUGUUGUUACAUGUUUUUACGUGGCUGCUAUAGGGUUCUAGCAAGAACGUUUCUUACCUAUGCCAAAACCACAACGUGAUAUGCCAAUUUCUAUUUACCCUUCAUAAGGACCCUUUUCAUCGAAUCCGAUCCGACUAAGGUGGGAGAGACAGACACCCGCUAGCCACCUUAUGCAACUAGUGCAUGUCAGUCGGUGGAACCUGUCUCACGUAAGUGUACGUGUAAGGUCGGUCUGGGCCGCUUCAUCCCACAAUACCGCCGAAACAAGAUAAGACUAGUAGUGGCAAGUAAAUUGACAAAAUCUACGCCCACAACAAAAUUGUGUUCUACUCGUCCAUAGAAAGUACGCAUAGACCUAGCUCAUGAAGCCACUGUUGAGAUCGUUGCAAAAAAUAAAAAAUUUCUACGCAUCACCAAGAUCAAUCUAUGGAGCAACUAGCAACGAGAGAGAGGGGAGUGCAUCUUCAUACCCUUGAAGACCGCGAGAUGGAAGCGUUGCAAGAACGCGGAUGAGGGAGUCGUACUCGAAGCGAUUCAGAUCGUGGUGGAUUAUGAUCUUAGCGCUGAACAACGGCACCUCCGCGUUCAACACACGUGCAGCUCGGUGACGUCUCCCGCGCCUUGAUCCAGCAAGGAGGAGGGAUAGGUUGAGGAAGAGGGACACCAACAGCAGCACAACGGCGUGGUGGUGAUGGAGCGACAGUACUCUGGUAGGGCUUCGCCAAGCUCUUGCGGAGGAGGAGAGGUGUUGGGGAGGGGAGGGGCUGCGCCUUGGAUGUGGUGCUGCAGCCCUCCCCUCGCCCCUCUAUUUAUAGGAGGAGGGGGAAGGGGCCGGCACCCUCUAGAUGAGAUCUAGAGGGGGGCGGUGGCCAAGGGAGGGACUUGCCCCCCAAGCAAGGGGGCGCCCUCUUUAGGGUUUCCCCCCCCAACCCUAGGCGCAUGGGCCCAAGGGGGGGCUGGCGCCCAGACCUCUAAGGGCUGGUUCCCUUCCCUCUAUAGCCCACGAGGCCCUCCGGGAGAGGUGGACCCCCGGAAUCCUUCCGGUGGCCCCGGUACAAUACCGGUAUGCCACCGAACUUUUCCGGUGACCGUAUUACAACUUCCCAUAUAUAUAUCUUCACCUCCGGACCAUUCCGGAACUCCUCGUGACGUCCGGGAUCUCAUCCAGGACUCCAAACAACAUUCGGUAAUCACAUACAAGUCUUCCUAAUAACCCUAGCGUCAUCGAACCUUAAGUGUGUAGACCCUGCGGGUUCGGGAAUCACGCAGACAUGACAGAGACAACUCUCCGGCCAAUAACCAACAGCGGGAUCUGGAUACCCAUGUUGGCUCCCACAUGUUCCACGAUGAUCUCAUCGGAUGAACCACGACGUCGAGGAUUCAAGUAAUCCCAUAUACAAUUCCCUUUGUCAAUCGGUACGUUACUUGCCCGAGAUUCGAUUGUCAGUAUACCAAUACCUCGUUCAAUCUUGUUACCGGCAAGUCACUUUACUCAUUAUAUAAUGUGUGAUCCCGUGACUAACCUAUUAGUAACAUUGAGCUCAUUAUGAUGAUGCAUUACUGAGUGGGCCCAGAGAUACCUCUCCGUCAUACGGAGUGACAAAUUCUAGUCUCGAUUCGUGCCAACCCAAUAGACACUUUCGGGGAUACCUAUAGUGCACCUUUAUAGUCACCCAGUUACGUUGUGAUGUUUGGUACACCUAAAGCACUCCUAUGGUAUCUGGGAGUUACACAAUCUCAUGGUCUAAGGAACUGAUACUUGACAUUAGAAAAUCUUUAGCAAACGAACUACACGAUCUUAUGCUAUGCUUAGGAUUGGGUCUUGUCCAUCACAUCAUUCUCCUAAUGAUGUGAUCCUGUUAUCAAUGACAUCCAAUGUCCAUAGUCUGAAAACCAUGACCAUAUGUUGAUCAACAAGCUAGUCAACUAGAGGCUUACUACGGACAUGUUGUGGUCUAUGUAUUCACACAUGUAUCAUGGUUUUCGGUUAAUACAAUUAUAGCAUGAAUAAUAGACAAUUAUCAUGAACAAGGAAAUAUAAUAAUAAUCAUUUUAUUAUUGUCUCUAGGGCAUAUUUCCAACAAUUAUUACCUCUAGGGCAUAUUUCCUUCAGUAUCAACCCAUUCCCAGCUGGCAAGGGAUGGGUUGCCAUGCUUUAUGGUUCAGCGCGCGGUGACAAAGACCUCUUCGUGGACUACAUGAAGGUCGCCACAAGGUACACUAGCGUUCAAGGACUGGUGGAUGAAGCAGACGAAGUGAGGAAGAAGGCGACGAGUGAGGAGAAGCAAUGCAUGGACCAGUAGUAUGGAAACCGAGGUAAGGGGAUCCUACUCAUAGAUAUACUGCUAUGGGCAAUGAAAGAGGCGGGCUCCGCCAAUGUUGGGCAGAGGCAGCGGUGGGCAGACCACCACUACAUCACUCCAGCACAAUCUACGGCUGAAGCAAGCGCAAACAAGCACCAAGACAAGGACGACAACCUCCAGAUCAUCACACCACCAGCACUGCAGGCUCGCCGCUGCCCUCCUCCCAUCAUCUUCAUCGAUGAAGACGAAGAUGAAGAAGAACAGGAGGUGCAGAUGCUGCCAAAUCAUCCUACCGAAGUUAAGCAGGAGGUACAAUGCUCGAGCCGCUUACCAGGGUAGGCGCCUAACUGAAACUGAAUGUGAAACUAUUCAGUUUCACAAUCAGUUUCGUCAGUCUUAUUCAGUGUUGGCUAGUUUCAGUUAUCCCCAAACUAUUUGGUGCUAUCUAUCUAUGUAAUGCUAUCUAUGUUGCAUCCUCAGACAAUUUGUGUUAUCUAUGCUACCUCCUAUGUAAUGCAAGUUUCAGUUUCAUUUUCAGUUUCAGUGUUGUUUGGUGUUACCAGAUUCAAGUGUAAGUAUUAGCAACAACUAGGUAGCAGCAAAAAAUUGCAGAUGGAGAUAUAACAACAUCUGGAUAAUAUGGUUCAGGGGCAUUACAAAUAGGAUUAUCUUAGAGCAUUACAGAUCAGGGGCAUUAUAGCACCCAACGACAUAAGCAAAAUGAUCUGAAACCAUAGGCAGUUAAUAGGGAGUUCAUAUUAAUACUAAGAUGCAUAUCUGCAUCAGAUUCUAGUACUAGGCCAGUUAUAUAUAUAGGCAUCAUAUUCACUUACCAACCAUAGGUACCACUUCACUCCUCCAUGACCAGCCUUCAAGAUCUCAUCAAUGAUAUGCUCCAGCUUCUUCUUCUCUUCUUUAAGGAGGUCUCUCUCCACUAGUAUCUCCUUCAUGGCUUUCCUGGUGUUUUGAAUGAUAUCAGCUUGACUCUGUAGGAUGCACCUUUGUUCUUUCUUGAGCUUAAGCUUCUCCAUUUGAACCUCAAUCUUUGCCUGCUCCUCAAGCUGACGCUUCUUCUCCUUAAGUUCAUUGAUUGCCUGGCUUGUGUAAUCCAUGUCAUGGGAUUUCUACCCAUCCUGGUAAUCAAACAGCUUGGAUACAUCAUCCACAAGCUGACUGUACUGAUUGCCAAGAGAAUCCAGCUCCUUGUUCAGUUUCUCAACCUCUAUCUCAUGAGCCUCUUUGUCUUGGACUCUACCAAGGUUGUCCUUAUCAUACAUAUCCCAGAGCUUGGUUAAGCACCUUUGCAAAAUUACAGGCCAAGGGGCAUCUACCCACUCUAAAGCACCACAGUUCACACCAUCUUGAAAAUUCAGUUAAAUUUAUAGUGAGCUUUAUUCUUCAUUAACAAACAUAUUCACAAUAACAAAUCAUAAACAAUAGUCAUAUAUGUAGCUACACUACACUAGCUAACUCCAUACUACAAAAUAUAAAUCAGUGCUAUGUUUCCAUUGCUCUUUGCUGCUCUUUGCUACAAGUACAUAAUUUGGACAUAGCAAUGUUCUUAUAGUUAAGCAAAAAUGAGAAAAGCAGCAGCAUUAUUCAGAAAAGCACAAAAUGAAUCAAUCACAGCCAUGAAAACUUGGUUCAUUACCUCAGUUGCACAUCCUAUGAAUCUCCUGCCAGUGUCAGUGCCUUCAAAUGCCACAAAUUUGCCUGCCCUCUGCCUGUGCAGGAUGCACCCACGGUCAGAUUCAAUCACAAGCCCAGAAAAGAUUGGAUCUAUCACAGUAUUUGGUGUUUGCUGUAGUAGGAAACACAUAUAUAUCAACUACAGCUCACAUAUAUGAACUUAAAUGGAGAAAUCCCAAUCCUUCUUCAAAUCCUAACCCUAACCCUAGCUGAUGGGAGGAGAGAUUGAGCUGACUUACAAAAUACUCCAUCUACAUGCUAUUGAAGUCGCUCAUGUACUUGUCAUCGUCAGAGGUCUCGUUGCUGUUAGGCCACGCAUGGUCGCGGCGUCGCCGAAGUGCGAGAAGAAGAAGAGAAGCAGUGGAGAGCAGAGGAGAAGAGUGAGUGAGCGAGUGAGCUCGGUGGAGAGUGAGGUGGGGAGGACGAUGAGCUAGCCAGUUGGCCAGGUUAGUCCUGGUCCGACUGGGCCCGACCGACGCGCGCGGCUAACGGGUGGCAGGCGAGCGCCGUUAGUUGUUAGCACGGCCGCCGUCCUGACCGGUGGGCCAGAUCUGUCAAAAAGUCAUUUAAAACACUUCAAUCUGUCAUCAACUCGAUCUGGUAGUUUUUUGUCAUGAAAUCAGCGCUAAACUGGAGUUUUUGGUCAGUUUUCAAAAUGUGGUAGUUCUGUGGGACGAUUACGUGAAAUGUGGUAGUUUUUUGUCAAUUACUAUGGCAUGGCGGGCGCCGCACCGUGCGCUCUUGGAUGGAGCCGCGCUGCUAGGCAAAGGGAUCCAACGCGUAGGAAGGGGCGAGCGCGGCGGCCUGAGCUGUCCGGCCAGGGUUAAUCAAAUAUUUCCCGGGCUUGGUAGGUAGGCAUAGUAGUGCCGCUGCUCAUGCUGCUCGGACCCCAAACGAACAAAAUCCGGACCAAAUGGUAUGUCUGUUUGGGGUCGUGCGCUGGAGUUCUCCUAAGAAGUAUUCCUUGCAAAGAUCACUCACACCUUCUCAGGUUUGCGAUAAGUGGACAAGUGGCGUGUUGCAUGUGCGCCACUUGUCGCAACCGGGGAGGUUUCCCCCUUUUUGUAGAUUCAUUUAUUCAAAAUGUUUUAUCUCUUAAACUGUGCGUCCAAAUCUCGAACCGUUUUCACCGUUGUACUCCUCGCGUUGAGAUCUUCAAAACUAGAUCCCAUGUUGAUAGGUUUUGACGAAAAAAAUUCACUUAAAAAACUGAUGAAAAAACCGAACCGGGAGCACGGGGUUUUUCCCUUUCUGAAAGAGGCACGCCGGUGCCUCCCACAAAAUCACAACCGUGCCUCUCGCAGAAGCAAAACCGUGCCUCUCGCAGAAGCAAAAAAAAAAGAGAAAACACGUUUUUUUGUUUCCGAGGAGGCACUGUCGUGCCUCUGGCGAAAGCAUAACCAUGCCUCUCGCAGAAGCAAAACCGCGUCUCUCGUGAAAGAAAAAAACAGAAAACACGUUUUUUCCGUUUUCGAGAGGCACGGUCGUGCCUCUCGGGAAAGCACAACGGUGCCUCUCACGGAAGCAAAACCGUGCCUCUCUCGGAACAAAAAAAACAGAAAACCCGACUUUUUUCCGUUUCCGAGAGGCACGGCCGUGCCUCUCGCGAAAGCACAACCGUGCCUCUCGCGAAAGGAAAAAAACAGAAAACAUGUUUUCUUUUUGUUUCUGAGAGUCAUGGCCGUGACUCUCGCGGAAGCAAAACUAUGCCUCUCGCGGAAGCAAAACCAUGACUCUCGUGAAAUUAAAGAAAACACAUUUUUUCACACAAAAAUGUUUUUUUAAUCCAAAAGUUAAGGAAGAACGGCGGAAAACCGAAACGUCGAAAAAAUGUUUCAAAAGCCGAAAACGCGUGCAGAAAAAUAAAAUAAAAAAUCCAGAGGGAGCACCCAGAGCGCGACAGGUGGUGGGAGGCUGAGAGCACGCCAAGUGGACCUCAUCGUUGUGAGCCUCCCGAAGGAGCGCUCAUUAACUAGUUGCUCUCUUGGAUGCCACGCGCCCCACGUGACGCAAUGGGCUUGAUUCCCCACAAUCCCUCCUUUCUGCAACAAGUCUUUUGUUGCAAAAAAAGUUAAGUAUAUAAGGACUUCAGUUACAAAAAUAAUUAAAUUGCGGCAAGGCCUUUGUUCAAAAAAAAAAUUGUAACAAGAUCUCUAUUGCAAAAAAAUGCAACAUGACCUCUAUUGCAAAAAAAAAGUAACGUUACCUAUAUUUUUGCAAAUUUUCUGCAAUACAAGCCAUGUUGCAGAAAAUUACCGCAACACAACCUUUGUUGCAACGCUAGAGGAUGACGCUCGCCCACUCAGUUCGUCAAGUCCAUGUCUCGUGAUGUGGCGGAUCUUUUUAUAAGAUCCGCCGGCUGACGCGUAGCAGCGCCAUUUCCCAACACAUAGUAAUAUUUAUUUAUUUCUAAUGUCAGGCGCGGACGCACUGACCACCGUAUAAAUCGUUGCACGAAUCUCUGAAUAGCCUAAACUUCCACGUCGGCUCGGAUGGCGAACACUCCACCCACUAGCCUACUCCGCCCUGUUUUCUCCCGUACUAAUCACUCCCACACAUAAUUUCUAACCAGUAUGGCUAGAUCUCAGUCAAGUGACAUAUAUAUAAAAAGAAAAAAGAAAAAAAAUUCUAUGAAUCUUCAUCCAAGAUCAAAGGAAUAUAGCAUUUCUCACAAAAAAGGAAUAUAGCACUGACUAAGACAUCUCAGUUUAGCAAAAAAAUUUCUCGCCAUUAGUCUAAUUUGAUGGUGGUUGUGACAUGGUGCUUGGGUAACAUUGCGGUUCUUGGUGUCGCCGGCACACAGGCAGCAAAUAUCAUAGCGUUUGUGAGCUAGGGGUUUUGAUGAUCACAUUCGCCGUGGUGGGGGACUGCCGCCAUAGGUUGUUAGGUUUUUCUGUUGAUACGGGUGAGCACCAUCACCCACAUUGGAGAUCAACAUUCAGGGCAUCUUGGCAGCGAUGGAAAAUAUGCCUUCAUUAGGGGCCCACUAAUACAUCUCCAACGUAUCUAUAAUUUUUUAUUGUUCCAUGAUGUUAUAUUAUCAUUCUUGGAUAUUUUACAAUCAUUUUAUAGUCAUUUUAUAUCAUUUUUUGGUACUAACCUAUUGACAUAGUGCCCAGUGUUAGUUGUUGUUUUCUGCAUGUUUUUACAUCGCAGGAAAUCAAUAUCAAAAAGAGUCCAAACGCAGCGAAACUCUUGGAGGAUUUUUUUGGGCCAGAAGAAAUCCAGUGGGCCAAGAAAGCACUUGAGAGGUGGCUCGAGGGGAGCAACACUCACCAAGGCGCGCCAGGAGGCCCAGGCGCACCCUGGUGGGUUGUGCCCACCUCGAGUGCCCCCUAAACCACCUCUUUGCUCUAUAAAUACCCCAAUAUUCCAGAAACCCUAAGGAAGUCGACGAAAAUCAAUUACAGCUGACGCAAAGUCUAGAACCACCAGAUCCAAUCUAGACACCAUCAUGGAGGGGUUCACCACUUCCAUCGGUGCCUCUCCGAUGAUGCGUGAGUAGUUCUUUGUAGACCUACGGGUCUGUAGUUAGUAGCUAGAUAGCUUCCUCUCUCUCACUUGAUUAUCAAUAUAAUGGUCUCUUGGAGAUCCAUAUGAUGUAAGCCUUUUUGCGGUGUGUUUGUUGGGAUCCGAUGAACUUUGAGUUUAUGAUCAGAUCUAUGUUUUUAUCCAUGAAGUCUAUUUGAGUCUUUUUUUAUCUCUUAUAUGCAUGAUUGCCUAUAGCUCGUAUUUCUUCUCCGAUAUUUGGGUUUUGUUUUGCCAACUUGAUCUAUUUAUCUUGCAAUGGGAAGAGGAGCUUUGUAGUGGGUUUGAUCUUACGAUGCUUGAUCCCAGUGACAGAAGGGGAACCGACACGUAUGUAUCGUUGCUACUAAGGAUAACAAGAUGGGAUCUAUAUCUUGAUAAUAGAUAAAUGGAUCUUGUCUACAUCAUGUCAUCGUUCUUAUUGCAUUACUCCGUUUUCCAUGAACUUAAUACACUAGAUGCAUGCUGGAUAGCGGUCGAUGUGUGGAGUAAUAGUAGUAAAUGCAGGCAGGAGUCGGUCUACUAAUCUUGAACGUGAUGCUUAUAUAAUGAUCAUUGCCUAGAUAUUGUCAUGAUUAUUUGAAGUUCUAUCAAUUGCCCAACAGUAAUUGUUUUCCCACCAUUUGCUAUUUUUCUCAAGAGAAGCCACUAGUGAAACCUACGGCCCUCGAGUCUAUUUUCAUCAUAUUUGCCUUUGAGAUCUUUUUUCCUUUGCAUUUAUUUUCAAAUCUAUUAAACCAAAAAUACAAAAAUACCUUUCUGCAAUUUAUUUGUUCCGCGAUCUAUUUAUCCUAUCUACCACUUUUACCUCAUGUUUUUUGCCUAUCUUGAGAUGCCGUAGACGAAAGGGAUUGACAACCCCUUUAACACGUCGGGUUGCAAGUAUUUGUUAUUUGUGUGCAGGUGUUGUUUACGUGGUAUGAGGAGGUUCUCCUACUGGUUCGAUAACCUUGGUAUCAUCACUGAGGGAAAUACCUACUGUCGCUAUAAUGCAUCAUCCCUUCCUCUUUGGGGGGAUACCGACAUAGUUCUAGCAGACAUCAAAAGGAAUUUCUGGCGCCGUUGCUGGGGAACAUCUUUAACAUCAACCAGGUUCCUAAUCACAAAUCUCAUCUCCUCGCAAUUUACAUUAUUUCCCAUUUGCCUCUUGUGUUCCUCUCCCCCAGUUCACAAAAAAUGGCCAUUUUAUUCGCCCUAUUUUUCGUUCGUCGUUUUUUCGUCAGAUCUCAUGUUUGCUUGUGUUGCCAUGCGCCUUCUAUUUUCUUGCAUCUGUGCUUGCUAAAAAUAUUUUGAUAUGGAUCCUCAUCCCCUUACUAAUGUUUUCAAAAUAUCCAGUUAUGAUGAACCAAUUGCUAGUGAUUCUAGUGCCCUAGAUUAUCUAUAUGAAGUUUUGCUUGAGAUUCGAGAUCUGAAAAUUGUGAUGAAGAAAUUUAUGAAGUGAUUCAUGAUAGCUCCUUGAAUGAAAAGCAUGAUUGCAAUUAUUUUAUUAUAAAUUCUAUUAAUUUCAAUUGUGUUAGUAAUAUGCGAAACGCCAAGCUUCGGGAUGCUAGUUUUGCUAUGUACGCUACUUAUUGCAAUGCUCAUGAUUGGGGUGAUAGUGUUUCUUAUGAUCUUGAAAAUUCAUUUAAGCCUCAUGAUGAAUAUGUUUGUGAUAAUAUUGAAAGUGGGUUUGGAAGAGUGUAAACUUUAGGUAAUAGUGAUCCCACUACCUUGGAGAAUGAUCAAUCUUAUGAAAUUUUUGGUAAAAGUGGGUUUGGAGAGGUCGUGACUUUAGUUGAUGGUAAUCCCACUAUUUUGAAGAGUUCAACUUUGCAUGCAUGUGGAUCAUGUCGAGAAUAUUUUAUGUGAUAGCUAUAUUGUCGAAUUUGAUUAUGAUCCUACAUGUAAUUAUUAUGAGAGAGUAAAAUAUGGUUGUAGAAUUUUUCAUGUUACUAAAUUACCUCUCUUCAUGUUGAGAUUGUUAUUGUUUCUUGAUUCUUCCUUGCAUAUGCUAGAUUUUGCUUGCCUUCAUAAUUUGUUUUCCUAUAAAAUGCCUAUGCAUAGGAAGUAUGUUAGACUUAAAUGUGGUUGUCACGUGUUUUAUGAUGCUCUCUUUUGCUUCAACUCUUAUCUUUCAUGUGAGCAUCGAUAAAUCUUAUGCCUAGCUAGGGGCGUAAAACGAUAGGGCUUGUUGGGAGGCAACCCAAUGAAUAAAAUUUAUUUUUGCUUUUUGAUUUCUGUUCUUGUGUGUUAGAACAAUUAUACUACUGUUAUGAUUGUGUUUUUUGUGUUUUAAUAAGUGUUUGUGCCAACCAAGGCCUUUGGGAUGAUUUGGGUGAAAGUUGAUUUGAUCUUGCUGAAAGGCUGGAUUAGUAAUUUGAUCUGCGGGGCACAACUUCUUUGACCCAAUCCUGGAUAUGGAAGAGGUACUGGAGUUUGUUUCUCCUAGUCAUUCUGCGAUAGAAUGGCUUGACGGACCACAAGAGUAUUAGGCAUCGAUAAACGAACGCACGCAUACUCUUGACUAUCAAUUGAUAGACGAGGGUCAGAAUGCAACUAAAGAGAUCAACUCAAAGGAUCAUAUAAUUUUCUGAGUUGUGGACGCAUAGAUUAGUAUGUCGAACCAAGUUCAACAUGUUUCUUCCGGAUAACCCAUGCAGAAAGGUAGAACUGGCAGAGUCACGAUUUAUGAAUGGAGAACUCCUCAAGAGUACUCUAAUUGUGAUCUUUUGAUCCAAUAAACAUCUGCCAUAAGCGGUUCAUAGUAUUUGGAAGAAGGAAAUACCACGGACCUCGAGGACUAUCGCAAAGUUACUAAUAUCCUGAAGGAACUAGCAAACACUAUCAACAUGAAGUAAGUAGAGUGAAUCUCGGGUUCAAAGCUCAAGGAGUAGAAUACCUACUACUAAGUAGCAUCACGGAAUGCUUUCGAGAAUGAUGGCCAGAAUCCUCACACUGGGAGCACAAAUCAUGGCUAAAUUACUAGAUGAUCCCCUAAGACACCUAGGGUCAUAAUAAUAUCUCCAACAUAUAUGUCAAGGUAACGGAGUACCUCAACUUACUGAUUAGUGUGGUUAAUCUGGCCCAUGGGAACAUUGAAACGGGAAGAAAGGAUUUGCAAAUGCAUCAGACUACUUAGAAACAUGGGAUGACUCGGACAGCAUAACGGCUGUAAAUGCUCAGAAAAGAUUUGAGACAUUCACAAAAAUGGUGGCAUAACCACUCAGAAGCACAAUAUCAAGGUUUCGAGAUCAACAAUUAACAUACAGAGGUAGAAACUGAACUGAGGCUUAAAUCCAACAAACUUAUAAGUCUACUGAUUAGUAACACGUGAUCCUAAUAGAAAGAAGAGAUAGCCUAGUUCUUAAUCCCCGUAGAAGAGAAGAUGACUCAGAUCAGAAGGGCAUAAGGUAUAAGGAAUAAAAAGAGCCUUACGUUCCAUCCCACAAUCAAUUCCCUUAUAUAACUAAAGAAUUUCUAGACUCAACUUCGACCAGUUUGGCUUGGUAAUCCUACAGGCAGUCAAGCUCUGAUACCAACGCUGUCAGGACCCCGACUCAAUGCCACAUCGAUCUAGCAUGUAACACCUCAUAUCACUUUGCGGCCUCACGCACGGUAUUCCCACGGGUGUCGCCUUACCUUAGCCCGGGACCGUUUGCGCCUUUUGGCACACGUAUAUGACGGUGUCGCUAGCAUCCAUAUGAUAAGGAGCCCAGGCUGACAUGGCUAGUCGUAAACCCAAAGUGGCACAGACUUACAGGGACAGGCAUCCAUGACCCAACAUCGAACGUGUCGGUCAUCAGCGAGUGAAUCCAGGCUGUAGCACUGGGCUAGCAGGACUCCGGUGAACCGGGCUGUAGCGGGCUAACAGGACUCCAGUAUUCAUCGCGUGACAUUUCCCCGAAGGGACAGACACAGGAACGAAGAAGGACACAUGCCGGCCAGCCUAAGUGUUCCGGAGCAGUAGCAAGCUACCAUGGCUCAGUGGAAACACUAGGAGACAUUUCCCGGUAAGAGAGGCUACUAAAGAUAAACAACUAGAUGGUCAGAUCCCACACAUACCAAGCAUUUCAAUAACACACACACAAUAUGCUCGAUAUGUGCAAAUACAACAUGGCAUCACAACAUGACUCUACGACUCAAGUAAUUUAUUCAAUAGGCUCCGAGGAGCGAGGUAUUACAAACAGGGGUCUCACGACCCAACAUUCAGAGCAUACAAGUCAAAACACAAGCGGAAGCUAUCAUGUCUGAGUACAGACAUCUAGAAAUGAAAAAGGCUGAGAAGCUUGACUAUCUACCAGAUCCUGUCGAGGCACAAGAUCGUAGCUGAGGUAACAAGCUAAACGUCGAAGACCACGCGGAAAUACUAGUGAGACUGAAGUCUCUCUGCAAAAACACAAAAUAGGCAAACAUGAGUACAAAUGUACCCAGCAAGACUUACAUCAGAACUAUCUACAUAUGCAUCAUUAUCAACAAAGGGAUGGUGGGGUUUAACUGCAGCAAGCCAGCUUUGACUCGGUGGCUAUCCUGAACUACGACUGCGAGUAACUUUUUUGAGGUGGCGCACACGAGUCCACAUAUUCACCAUAUCAAUACACCACUAUGGAUCCGCUCCCGUCUCCCUACGAGAACGCCAUCCAUAGCACUCACGCUUAUCUUGCGUAUUUUAAAGUAUCCACUUUCACUUGUCUAUGAACUGAUAUAAGCAACCCAGAAGUCCUUUUCCGCGGACACGGCUAUUCGAAUAGAUGAUGUUAACCCUGCAGGGGUGUACUUCUUCAUACAUGUUUCCACCACUUAGCGUCUGCACACGACAUGUGCUCGGCAGACUUCAAGCGAAAGCCGACGUGGGUGUAGACCACGGCCUACCUAAACACUCAAGUCUCUAGUCCAGGUUUAUCGCCUAUUUGGGUUCCAUCCAUGAGGAGAUCCGGCCGGAGUUUCGCUCACAGCCCCAAACGAUGUGAACAGGGUUCCCGAGAUACCAAACGGGCAUCCGGUACACCGUGCCACGUACCUACCGCAUCACAGCCCACCCCUACGGUCAGCGCUGUCCACGGCCUCCAGUAAGCUACAAACACCAGAAACUACUUGCAACUCCUGGACAGAGGACUAGGGUGAAUAAGAAGUCGAGCGGGGUCAUAUUUCAAGGCCCAAUGUAUGGUAGUAGCUGAAUCAUGGAUCACAAACGCAGAACUCAGUUCCUGAGGACGGCUGCAAUGAGACAACCCACCAUGUACUCCUACAUGGCCUCUCACCGCUACCUUUACCAAAUCGUGUUCACAUACUUAGCUCACACACAGUAGGACAUGUUCACACACCUCUAAUUCAUCCUCGAUGAAUCAGACCUGACUCAACUCUAAGCAGUAGCAGGCAUGACAAACAAACAUGAAUGAGUAGGCACAACAGGGCUCAAACAACUCCUACUCAUGCUAGUGGGUUUCAUCUAUUUACUGUGGCAAUGACAGGUCAUGCAAAGGAUAAAGGGGUUCAGCUACCGCAGCAUGUAACAGUUGAAUCGGUGUUGUCCUAAUGCAGUAAAAGAGAGCAGGAGCGAGAGAGUGGGAUUGUAUCGGAAUGAACAAGGGGGUUUUGCUUGCCUGGCACUUCUGAAGAUAACAUUGAGUCUUCAUCAGUGUCAGCGAUCACAUCAUCGGGUAUCACGUCUAUCGAGAGGGGACAAAUACCGGCAACACAAAAGGGAACACAAUCAAUGCAAUGCACAAUAUGAUGCAUGAUCAUGACAUGGCAAAAUGAAUGUGUUUGAGCUAAUGCAACUAGCAACAGAUUAAAUGAAGUUGGUUCGAAUACAAGAUUCAAAUUCAAACUCCAUAUGUGAUUAUUCAAAUGCCAUUUACUUCAUUUGCCCUAAACAGUAGUGAUAAGUUGUUCUAACAUGCAUGAAAAUGGUACAGAUGCAUUCCUUGAAUUUUUCUGAUAAUUUUUCAUAUAUAAAUUAUUUAAUUUGGAGUUAUGGUUAAUUUUCUAUGAUUUUUAGAAGUUUUAGGCAUUUUCUGGAAUUUCCUGGAUAUUAAUAAAUCCAGUAAUUGAAUUAAUGCGCCAGCCUGACGUCAUCAUGACGUCAGCAGGUCAACUGGGCGCCUCCAGGUCAAACCUGACACUGGGACCCACAUGUCAGUGUGAUUAGCUUAACUAAAAUUAAUUAAAACUAAUCCUAAUAGUCAACAGGGCUGGGCCCCACCUGUCAUUGACUCAGGAGAGUCAACCGGGGCCCACCCGUGGUCAAAGUCAAAGUCGGCUGCCGGCGUUUAGCCGCCGGCGAGCCCGACGCGGCGGCGAGAGUGGUUUUGGCCACUCCGGCGACCAAAUGGGCCGCAGAGGGCAUCUAGGAGGAUCUGGGGACGAGCCGAAGCUCCUGGUGGAGUCAGUUGCGCUCGGGGCGGCUGGAAUCGGUGCCGACGGCGAGCGAGGCGGCGCCGGAGCUCGGGUGUGCUCGGUUUCGGUGUUACACGGCACGGCGGGCGCGGCCGAUGGGCUCUACGGGAUGCUGGGGUCACCAGGAAUACCCGGAGGCAACGAGCGCAGGCGGAGAAGCUCGGGAGCACGGAGCUCACCGGCCAUGGCGGACGGCGGCUUCGGGUGCUCGUGGGGCGAUGGCUACAGGGCGCAAUCGAAGGGGGAAAGAGGGAGGGGAGGCGUAGGAGCUCACAGCGGUGCCGCAGGGAUGGUUGGCCGGCUCGGGGGCGCGCCAGAGUGGCCGAAUCGACGGAGAAGCUCCUCGGCGGCCGGCGAGGGGAAAACGUCGGGGGUGGCGUUCCGGGGCUCUUCUGGUCGCGUGACACGACGAGGAGGUCGAGGGAGGACCGGCGGAGCUUCCUGGGGCGUCGGCGAGGCUAGGGGUGGCCGGUGGCCAUGGGUACGGCGACNNNNNNNNNNGAAAUAAAUAUGGGUGCUUUCUGAAUUAUUCCAGUGACCCUUAUCAAUUUCCAACAUUUAUUUGAGCAUUUAAAAUAUUUAUAGUAUUUAAAUGCCCAAAGUCAAAUACAAUAUGAUUUAAUUCAAAAAUCCAAAAAUGACCUAAGGAUAUAUUCAUCAUUUUUGGCAGAGGUUUCCACCUUAACCAGAAAUCAUGAACUUUUCUUAGGGGCCUUUUGGGUUUAUUGAAAAGAUUUUAACUUACCCUAGUUGAGUUGAUUUAAUGCUAGGGUUUGAACAUCCCCAUUUCAAUUUUAGGCAAAAUUUAAACAUGAUGCAACACAUGACUAGCUAGCUCAGAGCAUUACCAGAAGCUAGGGAUGUGACAACUCACCCCCACUAAACAAGAAUCUCGUCUCGAGAUUCAAGCGUAGGGUAAGGUGAAAGGUAAGCGCAACUAGUAUAAUCUUCACGAUCCAGGGUGCACUUCAAAUGAACGUUGAUUUGAACCCAUCAUUGUCUUGUCGUCUUGCUCUGAGAACUUCAGCUAAUCAUGACAAGAAGAGGAAAGGAAAACUCUAGAACAAUCGAUCUUCGAGAAGACCGAACAACUUAGGAUCAACUCAUGGGAUGAGAUAUAGCAACAUCUCUUGAGCUGAGAGACGAAGCACAGAUCCGAAGAAAUGGAGUAAGACAAAUGACGAGGGUUCGCUAAGUAGACAACAAUUCCAGACUUAAGAAUGUGGUGAUCGGUUGUCAACGUAGCGAGGAGUUGAGUUGACAUGGCACCAUAAUGAUGCACCUUAGGGAAGGUGACUCGAAGAUAAAUCCCCUUAAGUGGCAAGAAGAAUUACUUUUGAUACCGAGAUCAUUGAAACUCUUUAUACCAGCCUAAGGCAAUUCUUGAGUGACCGUUUGGAGGGGUUCGGUAGAAUGGCAUACUCGGACUUGGAUGAUGUGGAUUACCUUGUUGAAGACAACGCAAUGGAUGAAUUUGCUUAUCACCGGAAAUGGAAGAGACCCAUGGUAGAAUGACACAUUGACGGUGCAAGCUGGGAACAAAAUGCAAAUGCUGGGAAUGAUUCUGGUAACUGGGGAAGAACCCAACAAUAGAGAAUGAAUUCACUGUGGAAGUGGUUAUAGCAUAACCGACGAGACUAGGAGCAAUCCCGGUUAGUGCCGGCGAUAAUACCUAGCGCUUGUGCGUGCUCUCAAGAACUUGAGCAUUUCCAUAUUCAUCAAGGUUUUACCAACAUCCGUGUCAAGGAUCCUGGCAACACAACUUGCUACCAUGAUGAAUGGUGAUGGAGGAUGCAGAUGCAAAGGAAGAUAACACCUUCUCAGAUUUCACCCUUGGCGGGGCCAAGGAAAUAAAAUCUGGAUGAUCGACCGAGAGACAUUUAGCACUCCGCUUCUAAUGUUCUCCUUGACGUGCUAGUGUAUCCCAUUCAUAGAUAUGGUUUGAUAACUAGAACAUCAAGUAACAGGUCGGACUUCGGGAACACAAAAAUCCAUAGGGGCAACUAGGAAGUAAACCCUACGAAAUCCUUAUGGGGAGGUGGCCAACUUCAUCAAUCAAGAUAUUAUAAUAAUAGGUCUACCGGAUGGGUGUGUUGGCCACGACAUCCACCUUGCCGGUUAUUGAGAGACCAAUAUUAUAAUUCUUGGGAAAUGUUCCAACCAUCACAUCUGCCUGAGAUUCAGAUCUGGUUGGUGUCAGGAUAUCCCAGACUCAUCAAGUCUAGAAAGAAAAAUGAAAGUUUGCAACACAAAUCGACGAGAUGACGUUGCGAGAUUCUCGGGAAAUGAACUACGAUAGUAAGCUCCAAAACAUGAGCUGGUUCUGCUACAAACAUGUGAACACGUUGUCCCAGACAAGCAUGACCACAAAGUAGUCUUAUAAUAAAACACUACCGAGUUCAGGAGGGGGAACCAUCAGCGAGGAUAUCGAAGUUUUGUACAAAUCCGUCCGGUACCUUCGGGACUAGCACUUAGAACUUAUUAAUCUUGAACAAAUCAAUCAGUGGCUUGGUGUGCUAGGGACCCAUAUAGAAUGGAGGUUGCAAGUCUCCGAACCACAGAAUACUUCGCACGUAUGCAUGACUGAUUUGGGAUGAUUCCAAAGGAAACAACAUUGACUUUCUCGAAUCCACGGCGGCAACUUGCAUCAAAUGCACAUGGACUGGAGGAAGUCACUUCUUACAUUCGAACAUAUGCUUCAUGAACUAGCAUGAAGAAAUGCUUUCAAAAGUUUCCAACACUAACUUAAUGUUCAACAAAUCAUGGAGGGAAUAAGGAUGUUGUCAAUGGGCUCAACAACAAUUCAUCUAGGUUUCCUUUUAAAAGGAAUUCCAUAGUUGAGUGAACACGGUGAUAGCAUUGGUCAGACCAAAGAUGUAAUGGUGUAUGCUCGAGGGAUCAACCACGAAUAAGACAACAUUACGAGCAUCGUUGGUACUGAUUUGAUUUGACGAUAGCCCACACUCAAAUCAAAGGAUUGAUAAGACAAUAGGUCCAACAACUGAUCACAAGGACCAAUCGAUGAAGAUAUCAUCUUUCUUCAACACACACUACACAAGAAUAUCCCUUUGGAACGAACUAAGUCAGGCAAGCUUUUAUCUUCCAACUCUCCAAGUUGUUGUCUAGCUUAACCAACUAGCUCAGGGAUAUCCAACACAGAUUCUUGGAGAAAGGGUGGUUCACAAGAAACCAACUUGAUCACGAGCUCAACAUAACGGUCAGGUGACGACCUGGUAAUACUUCCGAGAAGAUCUUCAGAAAUCACGAACCACCGAUAUGUUACUAAGCUCGAGAACAAUCUUGCUUUUCAGGGCAAGAUGAUAUAAUCAAAUGAGCGAGGACUUGACAAAAUCCUAACUCAUCAAUCAAAGAGUGCACCAGGAAAUAAGGACUAGGUAGCACGAUCAAUCUUAGAAUGGUGAUUCAAUAACCAACAUACUAAGAAUAAGAUUAUUGUCCAUUAACUACCAAGCAAUGGGGUUGCUAGGAGUAUUGAGUUCACACAUCAUGAUUCACUUGUCGGCACUCCGGCUGCAACAACACGGAACCGAGGAAUGAACAAUGAUGGCAAGAAGUAUCACUGUACCAAGAGUUCAUAGGAUGGUGUGCAAUUCCUAUAACAAUCCCGAUAUAAAGAUGGUAAUACUUUAGGGUAGAACAGGAUCAAAGGCUGGAUUAGUAAUUUGAUCUGCGGGGCACAACUUCUUUGACCCAAUCCUGGAUAUGGAAGAGGUACUGGAGUUUGUUUCUCCUAGUCAUUCUGCGAUAGAAUGGCUUGACGGACCACAAGAGUAUUAGGCAUCGAUAAACGAACGCACGCAUACUCUUGACUAUCAAUUGAUAGACGAGGGUCAGAAUGCAACUAAAGAGAUCAACUCAAAGGAUCAUAUAAUUUUCUGAGUUGUGGACGCAUAGAUUAGUAUGUCGAACCAAGUUCAACAUGUUUCUUCCGGAUAACCCAUGCAGAAAGGUAGAACUGGCAGAGUCAUGAUUUAUGAAUGGAGAACUCCUCAAGAGUACUCUAAUUGUGAUCUUUUGAUCCAAUAAACAUCUGCCAUAAGCGGUUCAUAGUAUUUGGAAGAAGGAAAUACCACGGACCUCGAGGACUAUCGCAAAGUUACUAAUAUCCUGAAGGAACUAGCAAACACUAUCAACAUGAAGUAAGUAGAGUGAAUCUCGGGUUCAAAGCUCAAGGAGUAGAAUACCUACUACUAAGUAGCAUCACGGAAUGCUUUCGAGAAUGAUGGCCAGAAUCCUCACACUGGGAGCACAAAUCAUGGCUAAAUUACUAGAUGAUCCCCUAAGACACCUAGGGUCAUAAUAAUAUCUCCAACAUAUAUGUCAAGGUAACGGAGUACCUCAACUUACUGAUUAGUGUGGUUAAUCUGGCCCAUGGGAACAUUGAAACGGGAAGAAAGGAUUUGCAAAUGCAUCAGACUACUUAGAAACCUGGGAUGACUCGGACAGCAUAACGGCUGUAAAUGCUCAGAAAAGAUUUGAGACAUUCACAAAAAUGGUGGCAUAACCACUCAGAAGCACAAUAUCAAGGUUUCGAGAUCAACAAUUAACAUACAGAGGUAGAAACUGAACUGAGGCUUAAAUCCAACAAACUUAUAAGUCUACUGAUUAGUAACACAUGAUCCUAAUAGAAAGAAGAGAUAGCCUAGUUCUUAAUCCCCGUAGAAGAGAAGAUGACUCAGAUCAGAAGGGCAUAAGGUAUAAGGAAUAAAAAGAGCCUUACGUUCCAUCCCACAAUCAAUUCCCUUAUAUAGCUAAAGAAUUUCUAGACUCAACUUCGACCAGUUUGGCUUGGUAAUCCUACAGGCAGUCAAGCUCUGAUACCAACGCUGUCAGGACCCCGACUCAAUGCCACAUCGAUCUAGCAUGUAACACCUCAUAUCACUUUGCGGCCUCACGCACGGUAUUCCCACGGGUGUCGCCUUACCUUUGCCCGGGACCGUUUGCGCCUUUUGGCACACGUAUAUGACAGUGUCGCUAGCAUCCAUAUGAUAAGGAGCCCGGGCUGACAUGGCUAGUCGUAAACCCAAAGUGGCACAGACUUACAGGGACAGGCAUCCAUGACCCAACAUCGAACGUGUCGGUCAUCAGCGAGUGAAUCCAGGCUGUAGCACUGGGCUAGCAGGACUCCGGUGAACCGGGCUGUAGCGGGCUAACAGGACUCCAGUAUUCAUCGCGUGACAUUUCCCCGAAGGGACAGACACAGGAACGAAGAAGGACACAUGCCGGCCAGCCUAAGUGUUCCGGAGCAGUAGCAAGCUACCAUGGCUCAGUGGAAACACUAGGAGACAUUUCCCGGUAAGAGAGGCUACUAAAGAUAAACAACUAGAUGGUCAGAUCCCACACAUACCAAGCAUUUCAAUAACACACACACAAUAUGCUCGAUAUGUGCAAAUACAACAUGGCAUCACAACAUGACUCUACGACUCAAGUAAUUUAUUCAAUAGGCUCCGAGGAGCGAGGUAUUACAAACAGGGGUCUCACGACCCAACAUUCAGAGCAUACAAGUCAAAACACAAGCGGAAGCUAUCAUGUCUGAGUACAGACAUCUAGAAAUGAAAAAGGCUGAGAAGCUUGACUAUCUACCAGAUCCUGUCGGGGCACAAGAUCGUAGCUGAGGUAACAAGCUAAACGUCGAAGACCACGCGGAAAUACUAGUGAGACUGAAGUCUCUCUGCAAAAACACAAAAUAGGCAAACAUGAGUACAAAUGUACCCAGCAAGACUUACAUCAGAACUAUCUACAUAUGCAUCAUUAUCAACAAAGGGGUGGUGGGGUUUAACUGCAGCAAGCCAGCUUUGACUCGGUGGCUAUCCUGAACUAUGACUGCGAGUAACUUUUUUGAGGUGGCGCACACGAGUCCACAUAUUCACCAUAUCAAUACACCACUAUGGAUCCGCUCCCGUCUCCCUACGAGAACGCCAUCCAUAGCACUCACGCUUAUCUUGCGUAUUUUAAAGUAUCCACUUUCACUUGUCUAUGAACUGAUAUAAGCAACCCAGAAGUCCUUUUCCGCGGACACGGCUAUUCGAAUAGAUGAUGUUAACCCUGCAGGGGUGUACUUCUUCAUACAUGUUUCCACCACUUAGCGUCUGCACACGACAUGUGCUCGGCAGACUUCAAGCGAAAGCCGACGUGGGUGUAGACCACGGCCUACCUAAACACUCAAGUCUCUAGUCCAGGUUUAUCGCCUAUUCGGGUUCCAUCCAUGAGGAGAUCCGGCCGGAGUUUCGCUCACAGCCCCAAACGAUGUGAACAGGGUUCCCGAGAUACCAAACGGGCAUCCGGUACACCGUGCCACGUACCUACCGCAUCACAGCCCACCCCUACGGUCAGCGCUGUCCACGGCCUCCAGUAAGCUACAAACACCAGAAACUACUUGCAACUCCUGGACAGAGGACUAGGGUGAAUAAGAAGUCGAGCGGGGUCAUAUUUCAGGGCCCAAUGUAUGGUAGUAGCUGAAUCAUGGAUCACAAACGCAGAACUCAGUUCCUGAGGACGGCUGCAAUGAGACAACCCACCAUGUACUCCUACAUGGCCUCUCACCGCUACCUUUACCAAAUCGUGUUCACAUACUUAGCUCACACACAGUAGGACAUGUUCACACACCUCUAAUUCAUCCCCGAUGAAUCAGACCUGACUCAACUCUAAGCAGUAGCAAGCAUGACAAACAAACAUGAAUGAGUAGGCACAACAGGGCUCAAACAACUCCUACUCAUGCUAGUGGGUUUCAUCUAUUUACUGUGGCAAUGACAGGUCAUGCAAAGGAUAAAGGGGUUCAGCUACCGCAGCAUGUAACAGUUGAAUCGGUGUUGUCCUAAUGCAGUAAAAGAGAGCAGGAGCGAGAGAGUGGGAUUGUAUCGGAAUGAACAAGGGGGUUUUGCUUGCCUGGCACUUCUGAAGAUAACAUUGAGUCUUCAUCAGUGUCAGCGAUCACAUCAUCGGGUAUCACGUCUAUCGAGAGGGGACAAAUACCGGCAACCCAAAAGGGAACACAAUCAAUGCAAUGCACAAUAUGAUGCAUGAUCAUGACAUGGCAAAAUGAAUGUGUUUGAGCUAAUGCAACUAGCAACAGAUUAAAUGAAGUUGGUUCGAAUACAAGAUUCAAAUUCAAACUCCAUAUGUGAUUAUUCAAAUGCCAUUUACUUCAUUUGCCCUAAACAGUAGUGAUAAGUUGUUCUAACAUGCAUGAAAAUGGUACAGAUGCAUUCCUUGAAUUUUUCUGAUAAUUUUUCAUAUAUAAAUUAUUUAAUUUGGAGUUAUGGUUAAUUUUCUAUGAUUUUUAGAAGUUUUAGGCAUUUUCUGGAAUUUCCUGGAUAUUAAUAAAUCCAGUAAUUGAAUUAAUGCGCCAGCCUGACGUCAUCAUGACGUCAGCAGGUCAACUGGGCGCCUCCAGGUCAAACCUGACACUGGGACCCACAUGUCAGUGCGAUUAGCUUAACUAAAAUUAAUUAAAACUAAUCCUAAUAGUCAACAGGGCUGGGCCCCACCUGUCAUUGACUCAGGAGAGUCAACCGGGGCCCACCCGUGGUCAAAGUCAAAGUCGGCUGCCGGCGUUUAGCCGCCGGCGAGCCCGACGCGGCGGCGAGAGUGGUUUUGGCCACUCCGGCGACCAAAUGGGCCGCGGAGGGCAUCUAGGAGGAGCUGGGGACGAGCCGAAGCUCCUGGUGGAGUCAGUUGCGCUCGGGGCGGCCGGAAUCGGUGCCGACGGCGAGCGAGGCGGCGGCCGGAGCUCGGGUGUGCUCGGUUUCGGUGUUACACAGCACGGCGGGCGCGGCCGAUGGGCUCUACGGGAUGCUGGGGUCACCAGGAAUACCCGGAGGCAACGAGCGCAGGCGGAGAAGCUCGGGAGCACGGAGCUCACCGGCCAUGGCGGACGGCGGCUUCGGGUGCUCGUGGGGCGGCGGCUACAGGGCGCAAUCGAAGGGGGAAAGAGGGAGGGGAGGCGUAGGAGCUCACAGCGGUGCCGUAGGGAUGGUUGGCCGGCUCGGGGGCGCGCCGGAGUGGCCGAAUCGACGGAGAAGCUCCUCGGCGGCCGGCGAGGGGAAAACGUCGGGGGUGGCGUUCCGGGGCUCUUCUGGUCGCGUGACACGACGAGGAGGUCGAGGGAGGACCGGCGGAGCUUCCUGGGGCGUCGGCGAGGCUAGGGGUGGCCGGUGGCCAUGGGUACGGCGACGAUGGCGGCGAGCUCCGCUCGGUGGUGUGCGCGAGAGGGAAACAGAGGAGGGAAUGGGGUCCAGGGGGAGAGAGGGGAGGUGCAGGGGGCGAGGGCGUCUCCGUGGCGUCGCGAGGGGGUCGGGGAGGAAGCAGGAGGUGGCUAGGGGGGGAAGCAGGAGGUGGCCGAGGCAGCGUCGGCGAGCGCCACGCCUCGCCUCUGCUCGUCCUCCUGGCAGAGGAGGAAGAGGACAAAGGAGGAGGAGGUGGGCUGGGCCGGCUGGGGGGCAACUGGGCCGGCUGGUGGGCUGCACGGGUGAGGCCAGGUAUGUCCUUCUCCCUCUUAUUUUUGUUCUGUUUUAUUUUUUUCUAUUUCUGCAAUUUGUUUUUGAUUUGUUUUAAACAUCAAAUCAUUUUAUAAAAUCCUGGAAAUAAAUAUGGGUGCUUUCUGAAUUAUUCCAGUGACCCUUAUCAAUUUCCAACAUUUAUUUGAGCAUUUAAAAUAUUUAUAGUAUUUAAAUGCCCAAAGUCAAAUACAAUAUGAUUUAAUUCAAAAAUCCAAAAAUGACCUAAGGAUAUAUUCAUCAUUUUUGGCAGAGGUUUCCACCUUAACCAGAAAUCAUGAACUUUUCUUAGGGGCCUUUUGGGUUUAUUGAAAAGAUUUUAACUUACCCUAGUUGAGUUGAUUUAAUGCUAGGGUUUGAACAUCCCCAUUUCAAUUUUAGGCAAAAUUUAAACAUGAUGCAACACAUGACUAGCUAGCUCAGAGCAUUACCAGAAGCUAGGGAUGUGACAGUUUUUGCCAUAGAAAAGUUGUAAUACAGUAGAUAUAAUGCAAAAAAACAAAAUAAUAAUAGGUUUGCAACAGUACUUAUAGUAGUGGUUUGCUUUCUUAUACUAAUGGAUCUCACGAAGGUUUUGUUGAGUUCUGUGUGAUUGAAGUUUUGAAGUUUUGGGUGAUCUUACGAUGGAUGAAGGAAUAAGGAUUAGCAAAAGGCUAAGCUUGGGGAUGCCAUUGGCACCCCAAGACAAUAUUCAAAGAAGUAGCAAGCAACUAAGCUUGGGGAUGAAGGAAAUAUGCCCUAGAGGCAAUAAUAAAGUUAUUAUUUAUUUCCUUAUAUCAUGAUAAAUAUUUAUUAUUCAUGCUAGAAUUGUAUUAACCGGAAACUUAGUACAUGUGUGAAUACAUAGACAAAACAUAGUGUCCCUAGUAUGCCUCUACUUUACUAGCUCGUUAAUCAAAGAUGGUUAUGUAUCCUAACCAUAGACAUGUGUUUUCAUUUGAUGAAUAGGAUUACAUCAUUAGGAUAAUGAUGUGAUGGACAAGACCCUUCCGUUAGCUUAGCAUUAUGAUCGUUACAGUUUCAUUGCUACUGCUUUCUUCAUGACUUAUACAUGUUCCUCAGACUAUGAGAUUAUGCAACUCCCGAAUACCGAAGGAACACCUUGUGUGCUCUCAAACGUCACAAUGUAACUGGGUGAUUAUAAAGAUGCUCUACAGGUGUCUCCGAAGGUGUUUGUUGGGUUGGCAUAGAUCGAGAUUAGCAUUUGUCACUCCGCGUUUCGGAGAGGUAUCUCUAGGCCCUCUCGGUAAUGCUCACCACUAUAAGCCUUGCAAGCAAUGUGAUUAAUGAGUUAGUUGCGGGAUGAAGCAUUACGGAACGAGUAAAGAGACUUGCCGGUAAUGAGAUUGAACUAGGUAUGAUGAUACCGAUGAUCGAAUCUCGAGCAAGUAACAUACCAAUGACAAAGGGAACAACGUAUGUUGUUAUGCAGUUUGACCGAUAAAGAUCUUCAUAGAAUAUAUAGGAGCCAAUAUAAGCAUCCAGGUUCCGCUAUUGGUUAUUGAUCGGAGAUGUGUCUCGGUCAUGUCUGCAUAGUUCUCGAAUCCGCAGGGUCCGCAUGCUUAACGUUUGAUGACGAUUUGUAUUAUGAGUUAUGUGUUUUGAUGACCGAAGUUUAUUCGGAGUCCCGGAUGAGAUCACGGACAUAACAAGGAGUCUCAAAAUGGUCGAGACAUAAAUAUUGAUAUAUUGGAAGGCUAUUUUCGGACAUCAGAAUGGUUCCGUAGAAGUUCGGGUAUUUUCCGGAGUACCGGGAGGUUACGGGAACCCCCCGGGGAGUUGUUGGGCCUUAGUGGGCCUUAGUGGGAAGAGGAGGCAACGGCCAGGAGGUGGCGCGCGCCCCCCAAGCCCAGUCUGAAUUGGACAAGGGGUUGGGGCGCGGCCCCCCUCUCCCUUCCUUUUCCCUCUCCUUUUAGGUGGAAUCCUACUAGGACCUCGAGUCCUAGUAGGACUCCCCUCUCCUGGCGCACCCUGUAAGGGCCGUCCAACCUCGCCCUCCCUCCUUUAUAUACGGGGGCAAGUGGCACCCUAGAACACACCAAGUUUUGCCUUAGCCAUGUGCAGUGCCCCCCUCCACAGUAACACACCUCAAUCAUAUCGAUGUAGUGCUUAGGCGAAGCCCUGCGCCGGUAACAUCAUCAUCACUAUCGCCACGCUGUCGUGCUGAUGGAACUCACCCUCAUCCUCAACUGGAUCAACAGCACGAGGGACGUCAUCGAGCUGAACGUGUGCUGAAUGUGGAGGUGUCGUACGUUCGGUACUUGGAUUGGUUGGAUCAUGAAGACGUUCGACUACAUCAACCGUGUUACUAAACGCUCCCGCUUUCGGUCUACAAGGGUACAUGGACACACUCUACCCUCUCGUUGCUAUUCAUCUCCUAUAUAGAUCUUGUGAGAUCAUACACAAUUUUUUGAAUUACUACAUUCCCCAAUAGUGGCAUCCGAGCCACGUCUAUGCGUAGAUGUUUUAUGCACGAGUAGAUCACAAAGAGUUGUGGGCGAUAAUAGUCAUACUGCUUACCACCAAUGUAUUACUUUGAUUCGACGGUAUUGUUGGAUGAAGCGGCCCAGACCGACAUUACAUGAUCACGUUCAUGAGACUGGUUCUACCGACGUGCUUUUGCACAUAGGUGGCUGGCGGGUGUCUGUUUCUCCAACUUUAGUUGAAUCGAGUUUGACUAUGGCAGGUCCUUGUUAAAGGUUAAAACAGCACACUUGACGAAAAAUUGUUGUGGUUUUGAUGCGUAGGUAAGAACGGUUCUUGCUAGAAGCCCGUAGCAGCCACGUAAAAUUUGCAACAACAAAGUAGAGGACGUUUAACUUGUUUUUGCAGAGCUUGCUGUGAUAUGAUAUGGUCAAGACGUGAUGUGCUAUAAAUUGUUGUAUGAAAUGAUCAUGUUUUGUAACAGAGUUAUCGGCAAUUGGCAGGAGCCAUAUAGUUGUCACUUUAUUGUAUGCAAUGCAAUCACCAUGUAAUUGCUUUACUUUAUCACUAAGCGGUAGCGAUAGUCGUAGAUGCAAUAGUUGGCGAGACGACAACGAUGCUAGAUGGAGCUCAAGGUGUCACACCGGUGAUGAUGGAGAUCAUGACGAUGCUUCGGUGAUGGAGAUCAUAAGCACAAGAUGAUGAUGGCCGUAUCAUGUCACAUAUUUUGAUUGCAUGUGAUGUUUAUAUUUUAUGCAUCUUAUCUUGCUUAGUACGGCGGUAGCAUUAUAAGAUGAUCCCUUACUAAAUUUCAAGGUAUAAGUGUUCUCCAUCAGUAUGCACCGUUGCUACAGUUCGUUGUGCCGAGACACCACGUGGAUCGGGUGUGAUAAGCUUUAAGUUCACAUACAACAGGUGCAAGCCAGUUUUGCACACACAGAAUACUCGGGUUAAACUUGAUGAGCCUAGCAUAUGCAGAUAUGGCCUCGGAACACUAAGACCGAAAGGUCGAACGUGAAUCAUAUAGUAGAUAUGAUCAACAUAGUGAUGUUCACCAUUGAAAACUACUCCAUAUCACGUGAUGAUUGAUGUCUACUACGCAGCCUUCUCCUUGUAGACGUUGUUGGGCCUCCAAGUGCAAAUGUUUGUAGGACAGUAGCAAAUUUCCCUCAAGUGGAUGACCUAAGGUUUAUCAAUCCGUGGGAGGUGUAGAAUGAAGAUGGUCUCUCUCAAACAACCCUGCAACCAAAUAACAAAGAGUCUCUUGUGUCCCCAACACACCCAAUACAAUGGUAAAUUGUAUAGGUGCACUAGUUCGGCAAAGAGAUGGUGAUACAAGUGCAAUAUGGAUAGUAGAUAUGAGUAUUUGUAAUCUGAAAUUAUAAAAACAGCAAGGUAACUAAUGAUAUAAGUGAGCGUAAACGGUAUUGCAAUGCUAGGAAACAAGGCCUAAGGUUCAUACUUUCACUAGUGCAAGUUCUCUCAACAAUAAUAACAUAACUGGAUCAUAUAAUUAUCCCUCAACAUGCAACAAAGAGUCACUCCAAAGUCACUAAUAGCAAAGAACAAACGAAGAGAUUAUUGUAGGGUACGAAACCACCUCAAAGUUAUCCUUUCUGAUAGAUCUAUUCAAGAGUCCAUAGUAAAAUAACAUGAAGCUAUUAUUUCUGUUCGAUCUAUCAUAGAGUUCAUACUAGAAUAACACCUUAAGACACAAAUCAACCAAAACCCUAAUGUCACCUAGAUACUCCAAUGUCACCUCAAGUAUCCGUGGGCAUGAUUAUACAAUAAGCAUCACACAAUCUCAGAUUCAUCUAUUCAACCAACACAAAGUAUUCAAAGAGUGCCCCAAAGUUUCUACCGAAGAGUCAAGACGAAAACGUGUGCCAACCCCUAUGCAUAAGUUCACAAGGUCAAUGAACCCGCAAGUUAAUCACCAAAACACACAUCAAGUAGAUCACGUGAAUAGUCCAUUGUCACCACAGAUAAGCACAUGCAAGACAUACAUCAAGUGUUCUCAAAUCCUUAAAGACUCAAUCCGAUAAGAUAACUUCAAAGGGAAAACUCAAUCCAUUACAAGAGAGUAGAGGGGGAGAAACAUCAUAAGAUCCAACUAUAAUAGCAAAGCUCGCGAUACAUCAAGGUCGUGCCAAAUCAAGAACACGAGAGAGAGAGAGAGAGAGAGAGAGAGAGAGAGAUCAAACACAUAGCUACUGGUACAUACCCUCAGCCCUGAGGGUGAACUACUCCCUCCUCGUCAUGGAGAGCGUAGGGAUGAUGAAGAUGGCCACCGGUGAUGGAUCCCCCCUCCAGCAGGGUGCCAGAAUAGGGUCCCGAUUGGGUUUUGGUGGCUACAGAGGCUUGCGGCGGCGGAACUCCCGAUCUAUUGUGUUCCUGGAUGUUUUCGGGGUAUGUGGACAUAUAUAGGCGAAAGAAGUCGGUCAGGGGAGCCAUGAGGGGCCCACGAGGGUGGGGGGCGCCCAGGGGGGUAGGGCGUGCCCCUGACCCUCAUGGCCACCUUGAAGCUUCCCUGACGUCUACUCCAAGUCUCUUGGAUUGCUUCCAUUCCAAAAAUAACUCUCCCGAAGGUUUCAUUCUGUUUGGACUCCGCUUGAUAUUCCUUUUCUUCGAAACACUGAAAUAGGCAAGAAAACAUGGGCCUCCGAUUAAUAGGUUAGUCCCAAAAAUAAUAUAAAAGUGUAUAAUAAAGCCCAUUAAAUAUCUAAAACAGAUAAUAUAAUGGCAUGAAUACUUCAUGAAUUAUAGAUACGUUGGAGACGUAUCAGCAUCCCCAAGCUUAAUUCCCGCUCGUCCUCGAGUAGGUAAAUGAUAAAAGAAAGAAUUUAUGAAGUGUGAGUGCUAGCAGGUGCACAAGUUUGAUCAAUGAUAAUUUCAAUCACCUUUUCUAGCAUCAUUAUAUGUCAUAACACUAGCUCAUCUUAUAAAACUUUUCAUGAUCAAGUAACAAGCUAUUCACAUGUUAAUGUAUAGAUCAUAAACUUUCUUGAAAACUAGCAAACCACAUUCUUAAUCAUCAAACAAUUGCAAUUCUUCUUAUUUUCAAGAAGGGUCUAUGUCAGAGCUUUGAUUUAGCAAACUCGACAUACUCAACUAUCAUUUAAUCUUUCACAAUUGCUAACACUCACGUGAUAUUUAUGGGUUCAAAAUUUUAAUCGAACACAGAGAAAGAUAGGGGCUUAUAGUUUCGCCUCCCAACCUUUUACCUCAAGGGUAAUGUCAACAAUAAUAAUUUAUGAACGCCUACAUCCAAGUGGAUAUAUAUAUAUAUAUAUAUAUAUAUAUAUAUCCGGAUCACUCCAACACAAAGUGCUUGCCAAAGGAAAAAGUGUAAAAAGGAAAGGUGUUGAUCACAAUGACUCUUGUAUAAGGGUAAAAGAUAAAAGUAAAAGAUAGGCCCUUCGUAGAGGGAAGCAGAGGUUUUCAUGCGCUUUUAUGGUUGGAUGCACAAAAUCUUAAUGCAAAAGAACGUCACUUUAUAUUGCCGCUUGUGAUAAAGACCUUUAUUAUGAAAUCCAUUGCUUUUAUUUCUUCCCUAUCACAAGUUCGUAUAAAGCUUAUUUUCUUCGCACUAAUAGAUCAUACAUAUUUAGAGAGCAAUUUUUAUUGCCUGCACCGAUGACAACUUACUUGAAGGAUCUUACUCAAUCCUUAGGUAGGUAUGGUGGACUCUCAUGGCAAAACUGGUUUAAAGGAUGUUUGGAAGCACAAGUAGUAUUUAUACUUGGUGCAAAGAAUUUGGCUAGCAUGAGAGGGAAAGGCAAGCUCAGCAUGUUGAAUGAUCCAAGACGAUAUAAUGUUUCGGAUAUAGGAAAACAUAACCCAUUAAGUUGUCUUCCUUGUCCAACAUCCACUUUUUAGCAUGUCAUAUUUUAAUGAGUGCUCACAAUUACAAAAUAUGUCCAACAUAGUAUAUUUAUAUGUGAAAUCUCUCUUCCUUCAAUAUUCUUUCAUGAAUUGUUCAAGUGACCAAUACAAUGUUUGCUAACCUUCAAUAAAUUUACCACCUCUACUUCUUAUAUGUGAAGUCAUUACUCCCCAUGGGAUAAGCGUAUGAAACAUAUAUAAUUUCAGAUUUAUGAUAUUCAAAUCAUUCAACCAUUUACUCAUAAGAUAUAAGUGAAGCACAUGAGUAAAUGGCAAACUACUUCCAAAAAGAUAUAAGUGAAGAUCAAUGAGUAGUUAAGUAUUUGUGUAACUAUGUGAAGACUCUCUCUCAUUUAAGAAUUUCAUAUCUAAUGUAUUUUAUUCAAACAUCAAGCAAAGUAAAACAAAAUGGAAUUGCAAGGAUAGCACAACUCAUGUGAAGAAGCAAAAAACUUAGGCUCAACCGAUACUAACUGAUAAUUGUUGAAGAAGAAAGGUGUGAUGCCUACCGGGGCAUCCCCAAGCUUAGAUGCUUGAGACUUCUUGAAAUAUUAUCUUGGGGUGCCUUGGGCAUCCCCAAGCUUGAGCUUUUGUGUCUCCUUAAUUCCUCUGAUAUCACGUUUUCCUAAAUCUCAAAAACUUCAUCCACACAAAACUCAACAAGAACUCGUGAGAUAAGUUAGUAUAAACCAAUGCAAAAGCCUUAUCAUUCUCUACUAUAAAAAAUCAUUAAAAUUAUUAUUCAACAUUUCAUACUAAAUGCCUCUGCAUAUUUAAUACUCCUAUCCUCAAAUAGAAUCAUUAAACAAGCGAACAUAUGCAAACAAUGCAAACAUAACAGCAAUCUGCCAAAACAGUACAGUCUGUAAAGAAUGCAAGAUCCAUCAUACUUACCUAACUCCAAAACUUCUGAGAAAAAUACUACAAUGUAUAAGAUUUAUAAUAGCUAAAUAUGCAAAAAAAAUUCAAUAUUAUAUCAUUCUCUGACUUUUCUAGGGAAUUUUCGCAACAGCUGUAAACUUUCUGUUUUGAAACAGCAACAUGUAUACUUGCAAAAUAAGCAUGGUAAAGGCUAUCCUUGACAUUUUUAUUGAAAAUAGAGAUGCAAAACAUUAUUCUAAAUAAAAGCAUUCAAAUACUAACAAAAUAAUAUGACGCUCCAAGCAAAACACAUAUCAUGUGGUGAAUAAAAGUAUAGGUCCAAGUAAAGUUAUCGAUGAAGGAAGACGAAAGAGGGGAUGCCUUCCGGGGCAUCCCCAAGCUUAGGCUCUUGGUUUUCCUUGAAUAUUACAUUGGUGUGCCUUGGUCAUCCCCAAUCUUAGGAUCUUGCAACUCCUUAUUCCAUUGUUCAUCGAAUCUUUACCCAAAACAUGAAAACUUCACAACACAAAACUCAACAGAAAACUCGUAAGCUCCGUUAGUAUAAGAAAAUAAAUCACCACUUUUGGUACUGUUGUGAACUCAUUAUAAAUUAAUAUUGGUGUAAUAUCUACUGUAUUACAACUUAUCUAUCGCUCAUACCUUCCGAUACUACUCAUAGAUUUAUCACAAUAAGAAAACAACACAUAGAAAACAGAAUAUGUCUAAAACAGAACACUCUGUAGUAAUCUGUAUCAAAUGUAUACUUCUGGAACUCCAAAAAUUCAGAAAUAAAUUGGUGGACCUGGGGAAUUUGUCUAUUAAUCAUAUUCAAAAAGAAACCUAAAAUCACUCUCCAGUAAAACAUGGCAUCUAAUCUUGUGGGCGCCAAAGUUUCUGUUUUUUUACAGCAAGAUGAUAAAGACUUCACCCAAGUCUUCCCAAAGGUUCUACUUGGCACAAACACUAAUUAAAACAUAAAACCACAUCUAACCAGAGGCUAGUUGAAUUAUUUAUUAUUAAACAGGAACAAAAAGCAAAGAACAAAAAUAAAAUUGGUUUGCCUCCCAACAAGCACUAUCGUUUAACGCCCCUAGCUAGGCAUGAUGAUUUCAAUGAUGCUCACAUAAAAGGAUAAGAAUUGAAACAUAAAGAGAGCAUCAUGAAGAAUAUGACUAACACAUUUAAGCCUAACCCACUUCCUAUGCAUAGGGAUUUUGUGAGCAAACAACUUAUGGGAACAAUAAUCAACUAGCAUUGGAAGGCAAAACAAGCAUAACUUCAAGUUUUUAAGCACAUAGAGAGGAAACUUGAUAUUAUUGCAAUUCCUACAAGCAUAUGUUCCUCCCUCAUAAUAUUUUUCAGUAGCAUCAUGAAUGAAUUCAACCAUAUAACCAGCCCCUAAAGCAUUCUUUUCAUGAUCUGCUUGCAUAGAAAUUUUACUACUCUCCACAUAAGCAAAUUUCUUCUCAUGAAUAUUAGUGGGAGCAAACUUAAAAAAAAUAUAAUGUGAGGCAUAAUCAAAUUGAAAACUAAAAUCAUGAUGACAAGUUUCAUGGUUAUCAUUAUUCUUAAUAGCAUACAAGUCAUCACAAUAAUCAUCAUAGAUACCAACUUUGUUCUCAUAAUCAAUUGGAACCUCUUUCGAAAUAGUGGAUUCAUCACUAAAUAAAGUCAUGACCUCUACAAAUACACUUUUAUCAAUAUAAUCAUCAUAAAUAGGAGGCAUGCUUUCAUCAUAAUAAAUAUUCUCAGUGACAAAAAAUAUCAUAUUCAUCAAACAUAGCAUCCCCAAGCUUGUGGCUUUGCAUAUCAUUAGCAUCAUGGGUAUUCAAAGAAAUCAUAUUAAUAACAUUGCAAUCAUGCUCCUCAUUCAAAGAUUUAGUGCCAUACAUUUUAUAGACUUCUUCUUCUAGCACUUGAGCACAAUUUUCCUUACCAUCAUUCUCACGAAAGAUAUUAAAAAGAUGAAGAGUAUGAGGCAAACUCAAUUCCAUUUUUUGUAGUUUUCUUUUAUAGACUAAAUUAGUGAUAAAACAAGAAACUAAAAGAUUCUAUUGCAAGAUCUAAAGAUAUAACUUCAAGCACUUACCUCCCCGGCAACGGCGCCAGAAAAGAGCUUGAUGUCUACUACGCAACCUUGUCCUUGUAGACGUUGUUUGGCCUCCAAGUGCAGAGGUUUGUAGGAUAAUAGCAAAUUUCCCUCAAAUGGAUGACCUAAGGUUUAUCAAUCCAUGGGAGGUGUAGGAUGAAGAUGGUCUCUCUCAAACAACCCUGCAACCAAAUAACAAAGAGUCUCUUGUGUCCCCAACACACCCAAUACAAUGGUAAAUUGUAUAGGUGCACUAGUUCGGCGAAGAGAUGGUAAUACAAGUGCAAUAUGGAUGGUAGAUAUGAGUAUUUGUAAUAUGAAAAUAUAAAAACAGCAAGGUAACGAGUAAUAAAAGUGAGCGUAAACGGUAUUGCAAUGCUAGGAAACAAGGCCUAAGGUUCAUAUUUUCACUAGUGCAAGUUCUCUCAACAAUAAUAACAUAACUGGAUCAUAUAACUAUCCCUCAACAUGCAGAAAAGAGUCACUCCAAAGUCACUAAUAGCAAAGAACAAACGAAGAGAUUAUUGUAGGGUAUGAAACCACCUCAAAGUUAUCGUUUCUAAUCGAUCUAUUCAAGAGUCCGUAGUAAAAUAACACAAAGCUAUUAUUUCUGUUCGAUCUAUCAUAGAGUUCGUACUAGAAUAACACCUUAAGACACAAAUCAACCAAAACCCUAAUGUCACCUAGAUACUCCAAUGUCACCUCAAGUAUCCGUGGGCAUGAUUAUACGAUAUGCAUCACACAAUCUCAGAUUCAUCUAUUCAAUCAACACAAAGUACUUCAAAGAGUGCCCCAAAGUUUCUACCGAAGAGUCAAGAUGAAAAUGUGUGCCAACCCCUAUGCAUAAGUUCACAAGGUCACUGAACCCGCAAGUUGAUCACCAAAACAUACAUCAAGUAGAUCAUGUGAAUAUCCCAUUGUCACCAUAGAUAAGCACAUGCAAGACAUACAUCAAGUGUUCUCAAAUCCUUAAAGACCUAAUCCGAUAAGAUAACUUCAAAGGGAAAAUUCAAUCCAUUACAAGAGAGUAGAGGGGGAGAAACAUCAUAAGAUCCAACUAUAUAGCAAAGCUCAUGAUACAUCAAGAUCGUGCCAAAUCAAGAACACGAGAGAGAGAGAGAGAGAGAGAGAGAGAGAGAGAGAGAUCAAAUACAUAGCUACUGGUACAUACCCUCAGCCCCAAGGGUGAACUACUCCCUCCUCGUCAUGGAGAGCGUCGGGAUGAUGAAGAUGGCCACCGGUGAGGGAUCCCCCCUCCGGCAGGGUGCCGGAACAGCGUCCCGAUUAGUUUUUGGUAGCUAUAGAGGCUUGUGGCGGCGGAACUUCCGAUCUAUUGUGUUCUUGGAUGUUUUCAGGGUAUAUGGACAUAUAUAGGCAAAAGAAGUCGGUCAAGGGAGCCACGAGGGGUCCACGAGGGUGGGAGGCGCGCCCAGGGGGGUAGGGCGCGCCCCUGACCCUUGUGGCCACCUCGAAGCUUCCUUGACGUCUACUCCAAGUCUCCUAGAUUGCUUCCAUUCCAAAAAUAACUCUCCCGAAGGUUUCAUUCCGUUUUGAUUUUGUUUGAUAUUCCUUUUCUUCGAAACACUGAAAUAGGCAAGAAAACAACAAUUUGGGCUGGGCCUCCGGUUAAUAGGUUAGUCCCAAAAAUAAUAUAAAAGUGUAUAAUAAAGCCCAUUAAAUAUCUAAACAAAUAAUAUAAUAGCAUGAAUACUUCAUGAAUUAUAGAUACGUUGGAGACGUAUCAAUGAUCGAACAUGGUUUAGUUGAUUUGGAUCACGCAUUUAGAUGACUAGAGGGAUGUCUAUCUAAGUGGGAGUUCUUAAGUAAUAUGAUUAAUUGUACUUUAAUUUAUCAUGAACUUAGUCCUGAUAGAUAUUUUGCAUGUGUAUGUUAUUAUAGAUCAAUGGCCCAUACUAUCGUUCCUUUGAAUUUUAAUGCAUUCCUAGAGAAAGCUAAGUUGAAAGAUGAUGGUAGCAAUUACACGGACUGGGUCUAUAACUUGAGGAUUGUAAUCAUUGCUGCACUGAAGAAUUACGUCCUGGAAGCACCCCUAGGUGAACCACCCGCGCCAGCAAAUGCAGACAUUGUGAAUGCUUGGCAGACAUGUGUUGAUGAGUACUCGAUAGUUCAUUGUGCCAUGCUUUACGGCUUAGAAUCGGGACUUCAAAGACGUUUUGAACGUCAUGGAGCAUAUGAGAUGUUUCAAGACUUGAAGUUAAUAUUUCAAGCAAAUGCCUGAGUUGAGAGAUAUGAAGUCCCCAACAAGUUCUAUAGCUGCAAAAUGGAGGAGAAUAGUUUUGUCAGUGAACACAUACUUAGAAUGUCUGGGUACCAUAACCACUUGACUCAGCUGGGAGUUAAUCUUCCUGAUGAUAGUGUCAUUGAUAGAGUUCUUCAAUCACUGCCACCAAGCUAUAAAGGCUUCGUGAUGAACUAUAAUAUGCAAGGGACGAACAAGACAAUUCCCGAGAUCUUCGCGAUGCUAAAGGUUGCGGAGGUAGAAAUCAAAAAGGAGCAUCAAGUGGUCAACAAGACCACUAGUUUCAAGAAAAAGGGCAAAGGGAAGAAGGGGAACUUCAAGAAGAACAGCAAGAAAGUUGCUGCUCAGGAGAAGAAACCCAAGUCUGAACCUAAGCCUGAAACUAAGUGCUUCUACUGCAAAGGGGCUGGUCACUAGAAGCGGAACUACCCCAAGUAUUUGGCGGACAAGAAGGAUGGGAAAGUGAAAGGCAUAUUUGAUAUACAUGUUAUUGAUGUGUACCUUAUAUUACUAAUGCUCGUAGUAGCGCCUGCGUAUUUGAUACUAGUUCCGUUGCUCAUAUUUGCAACUCGAAGCAGGGGCUACUGAUUAAACGAAGAUUGGCUAAGGACGAGGUGACAAUGCGCGUGGGAAAUGGUUCCAAGGUUGAUGUGAUCGCCAUCGGCACGCUACCUCUACAUCUACCUUUGGGGUUAGUUUUAGACCUGAAUAAUUGUUAUUUGGUAACAGCGUUGAGCAUGAACAUUAUAUCUGGAUCUUGUUUGAUGCGAGACGGUUAUUAAUUUAAAUUAAAGAAUAAUGGUUAUUCUAUUUAUAUGAGUAAUAUCUUUUAUGGUCACGCACCCUUGCUGAGUGGUCUAUUUUUGUUGAAUCUCGAUCAUGGUGAUACACAUGUUCAUAGCCAAAAGAUGCAAAGUUGAUAAUGAUAGUGCAACUUAUUUGUGGCACUGCCGUUUAGGUCAUAUUGGUGUAAAGCGCAUGAAGAAACUCCAUGCUGAUGGGCUUUUGGAAUCACUUGAUUAUGAAUAACUUGGUGCUUGUGAACCAUGCCUCAUGGGCAAGAUAACUAAAACUCUGUUCUCCGGAACAAUUGAAUGAGCUACUGACUUAUUGGAAAUAAUACAUACCGAUGUAUGCGGUCCAAUGAGUGUUGAGGCUCCUGGCGGGUAUCGUUAUUUUCUUACCUUCACAGAUGAUUUGAGCAGAUAUGGUUAUAUCUACUUAAUGAAGCAUAAGUCUGAAACAUUUGAAAAGUUCAAAGAAUUUCAGAGUGAAGUGGAAAAUCAUCGUAACAAGAAAAUAAAGUUUCUACGAUCUGAUCGUGGAGGAGAAUAUUUCAGUUGCGAGCUUGGUCUUCAUUUUAAACAAUGUGAAUAGUUUCACAACUCAUGCCACCUGGAACACCACAACAUAAUGGUGUGUCUGAACGUCAUAACCGUACUUUAUUGGAUAUGGUGCGAUCUAUGAUGUCUCUUACUGAUUUACGGCUAUCAUUUUGGGGUUAUGCUUUAGAGACAGCUGCAUUCACUUUAAAUAGGGCACCAUCAAAAUCCAUUGAGACGACGCCUUAUGAACUAUGGUUUGGAAAGAAACCAGAGUUGUCGUUUCUUAAAGUUUGGAGCUGUGAUGCUUAUGUGAAAAAGCUUCAACCUGAUAAGCUCAAACCCAAAUCGAAGAAGUGCGUUUUCAUAGGAUACCCAAAGUAAACUAUUGGGUACACCUUCUAUCACAGAUCCGAAGGCAAAAUAUUUGUUGCUAAAAAUGAAUCCUUUCUAGAGAAGGAGUUUCUCUCGAAAGAAGUGAGUGGGAGGAAAGUAGAGCUUUAUGAGGUAAUUGUACCUUCUCCCGAAUUGGAAAGUAGUCCAUCACAGAAAUCAGUUCCAGUGAUUCCUACACAAAUUAGUGAGGAAGCUAAUGAUGAUGAUCAUGAAACUUCAUAUCAAAUUACUACCGAACCUCGUAGGUCUUCCAGAGUGCGAUCUGCACCAGAGUGGUACAGUAAUCCUGUUCUGGAAGUCAUGUUACUAGACCAUGAUGAACCUACGAACUAUGAGGAAGCGAUGAUGAGCCUAGAUUCCGCGAAAUGGCUUGAGGCCAUGAAAUCUGAGAUGGGAUCCAUGUAUGAGAACACAGUGUGAACUUUGGUGGAUUUGCCCGAUGAUCGGCAAGCCAUAGAAAAUAGAUGGAUCUUCAAGAAUAAGAUUGACGCUGAUGGUAAUGUUACUGUCUACAAAGCUCGACUUGUUGCGAAAGGUUUUCGACAAGUUGAAGGAGUUAACUACGAUGAGACUUUCUCACCCGUAGCGAUGCUUAAGUCUGUCCAAAUCAUGUUAGCAAUUGCCGCAUUUUAUGAUUAUGAAAUUUGGCAGAUAGAUGUCAAAAUUACAUUCCUGAAUGGAUUUCUAGAAAAAGAGUUGUAUAUGAUGCAACCAAAAGGUUUUGUCGAUCCAAAGGGUGCUAACAAAGUGUGCAAGCUCCAGCGAUCCAUUUAUGGACUGGUGCAAGCCUCUCGGAGUUGGAAUAAACAUUUUGAUAGUGUGAUCAAAGCAUAUGGUUUUAUACAGACUUUUGGAGAAGCCUGUAUUUACAAGAAAGUGAGUGGGAGAUGUGUAGCAUUUCUAAUAUUAUAUGCGGAUGACAUAUUGUUGAUUGGAAAUGAUAUAGAAUUUCUGGAUAGCAUAAAUGGAUACUUGAAUAAGAGUUUUUCAAUGAAAGACCUCGGUAAAGCUGCUUACAUAUUGGGCAUCAAGAUUUAUAGAGAUAGAUCAAGACGCUUAAUUGGACUUUCACAAAGAACAUACAUUGAUAAAGUUUUGAAGAAGUUCAAAAUGGAUCAGUUAAAGAAAGGGUUCUUGCCUGUGUUACAAGGUGUGAAGUUGAGUCAGACUCAAUGCCCGACUACUACAGAAGAUAGAGAGAAAAUGAAAGUAAUUACCUAUGCUUUAGCCAUAGGUUCUAUUAUGUAUGCAAUGCUAUGUACCAGACCUGAUGUGUGCCUUGCUAUAAGUAUAUCAGGGAGGUACCAAAGUAAUCCUAGAAUGGAGCACUGGACAGUGGUAAAGAAUGUCCUGAAAUACCUAAAAAGGACUAAGGAUAUGUUUCUCGUUUAUGGAGGUGACAAAGAGCUCACCGUAAAUGGUUACGUCGAUGCAAGCUUUGACACUGAUCCGGAUGACUCUAAGUCGCAAUCCGGAUAGAUAUUUUUAUUGAAUGGUGGAGCUGUCAGUUGGUACAGUUCCAAGCAAAGCGUCGUGGAGGGAUCUACAUGUGAAAUGGAGUACAUAGUUGCAUCGGAAGCAGCAAAUGAAGGAGUCUGGAUGAAGGAGUUCAUAUCCGAUCUAGUUCAUCGGGUCCAAUGAAAAUAUUUUGUGACAAUACUGGUGCAAUUGCCUUGGCCAAGGAAUCCAGAUUUCACAAGAGAACCAAACACAUCAAGAGACACUUCAAUUCCAUCCGGCAUCAGGUCGCGGAGGGAGACAUAGAGAUUUUCCUUAGCCGUGUGCAGUGCCCCCCUCCACAGUAACACACCUCGAUCAUAUCGUCGUAGUGCUUAGGCGAAGCCCUGCAUCGGUAACAUCAUCAUCACUGUCGCCACGCCGUCAUGCUGACGGAACUCACCCUCGUCCUCAACUGGAUCAAGAGCACGAGGGACGUUAUCGAGCUGAACGUGGAGGUGUCAUAUGUUCGGUACUUGGAUCGGUUGGAUCAUGAAGACAUUCGAUUACAUCAACCGCGUUACUAAACGCUUCCGCUUUUGGUCUACAAGGGUACGUGGACACACUCUCCCAUCUCGUUGCUAUGCAUCUCCUAGAUAGAUCUUGCGUGAUCGUAGGAAUUUUUUUGAAUUACUACAUUCCCCAACAGGGGAUGCCCCUGAGUGGCAUCCCCGCUUUCUUCUAACAACCAUCAGUAUUUUACUUGAAACUAUAUUUUUAUUCGUUACAUAAUAUGAGUUUUUCUUGGAGUAUCUUGUAUGAUAUGAGUCUUUGCUUGUUUUGCUUUGUAUUCGAAGUGUUGAAUCUUGCCUGGACACACCCUUUUGAGAGAGCCAAAAAUUAUGCUAUGCUUCACUUAAAUUUUUAGAGCCAUGGAUUUGCUCUAGUGCUUCACUUAUAUCUUUUUUAGCACGGUGUGCUUUGUUAUUUUGGAAUAAAUUCUCUCAUGCUUCACUUAGAUUUAUUUGAGAGUUAGUUAAAUUUUAAGAAAUUAUCUCUUGCUUCACUUAGAUUAUUUUGAGAGAAAUAAAAAAUUAUGCUCAUGAUCUUCACUUAUAUUUGUUUGAGCUUAUCAAAAGCAAUAUAUGAAAAUAGUCCCAAAGUGAUAGAUAUCCAAGGAGGAUAUAAUAAAAACUUUCAUGAAGAUCAUUGGACAAAAUAAACUUGAUUCUUAGUAAUGGUUUUGAGAUAUGACGAUAUGAUAUUUGAGUUAUGUUGAUGAGUAAUUGUGCUUUAGUAAGAAUAUUGGUGUUAAGGUUUGUGAUUCCCUAUGAAAGCACGGAAGUCAAUAUUUAUGCAAUGAAAUUUAUAUCCUACUUAUGGUGAAUUAUUUGGUGUAACUUAUGCUUAAUGCUUGGGUACGAGAUUUUUCGCUUUUUCGUUGGUCGCUUCUCAAUCUUUUUGCUAGUCUUCAUUUUGCAGUAAGUAUGAUCACUACUUGUGCAUCCAAAACCCUUUAAACCAGUUUUGCCAUAUGAGUCUACUAUACCUACCUAUAUGCGGUAUUUCUAUGUCGUUCUAAGCAAAUUUACAUAUGCCAUCUCUAAUUUUCAAAAUAAAUUUCUCUUUUGUGUGCUCUACCGCUCGCGAGGCGGUGAAGGGUGACCAAUAUUUUCCAUGCUAGAUGUGUUAUUCUCAUGAUGAGUGUUUAUUCACUUGUCAUUGCACGAGAGUAUGGCAAAGGUAUUAGGGAUGCCCAGUCCCGAAAUGAAAAAUGAAUUUACUUUAGGUUGUCAAAUAAUAAAUUCCUUGGAAAGUGUUGGUAUGGAGGGCAACCGUGGAUUCGGCUAGCCAUGGAAAGUGAAAGUAAUGGUGGAAAAAGGAAUAAACUUUACUUUCUGUUUGUGAACCGCCUAUGAUGUAUCUAGCAUGGAAAGUGUUGGGAUGCUCCAAGUCAUUUUCGUUUGUGGAAAAAGUAUGCCUCUCAAAAAUAUUUUUAUCUCUCAAUUUAAGCUUUGAGCUCUGGAACCUCUACAAAUCCCUACUUACCUCCGCGAAGGGCCUUUCUUUUAAUUGUGCAAUUUUUAUGUUGAAUUUGAGUCUCUAUCUUCUCUUAUAAAGCACCAACUAAAGGGCACUAUGAUCGUAUUUGAGCACUGGGUGUAACUAAUAUCGAGUGUGUCUCAUGAAUGGAUCAAUGAUUGAGCAUAAUGGGCUAGGGAUAACUUCCUUUAGUGUUGAUAUUUUGGAAGACAUGGUUGCUUGUUGGUAUGCUUGAGUAUUAAAGUCUUCAUGUCAAAACUAGACUAUUGCUUUGAAUCAUAUAAAAGUCCUAAUGUCCAUGUUAUAAAUAAAAGAAAUGCGAUGAACAUGUUAGGCAACAUUCCCCAUCAAAUAUUCUAUUUUUAUCAUUUGCCAACUCGAGGACGAGCAUGAAUUAAGCUUGGGGAUGUUGAUACGUCUCCAAUGUAUCUAUAAUUUUUUAUUGUUCCAUGCUAUUAUAUUAUCAUUCUUGGAUGUUUUACAAUCAUUUUAUAGUCAUUUUAUAUCAUUUUUUGGUACUAACCUAUUGCCAUAGUGCCCAUUGCCAGUUGCUAUUUUCUACAUGUUUUUUACAUCACAGGAAAUCAAUAUCAAACGGAGUCCAACCGCAGCGAAACUCCUGGAGGAUUUUUUUUGGGCAGAAGACAUCUAGUGGGCCAAGAAAGCACCUGGGGCUGGCUCGAGGGGAGCAACACCCACCAAGGCGCGCCAGGAGGCCCAUGCGCGCCCUGUUGGGUUGUGCCCAUGCUCGGGUGCCCCUUGAACUUCCUCUUUGCUCUAUAAAUACACCAAUAUUCCAGAAACCUUAGGGGAGUCGAAGAAAAUCAAUUCCAACCGCCGCAGAGUCCAGAACCACCAGAUCAAAUCUAGACACCAUCACAGAGGGGUUCACUACUUCCAUUGGUGCCUCUUCGAUGAUGCGUGAGUAGUUCUUUGUAUACCUACAGAUCCGUAGUUAGUAGCUAGAUGGCUUCCUCUCUCUCUCUCUCUCUCUCUCUCUCUCUCUCUCUUGAUUGUCAAUACAAUGGUCUCUUGGAGAUUGAUACGUCUCCAACGUAUCUAUAAUUUUUGAUUGUUCCAUGUUGUUAUAUAUAUUAUCAUUCUUGGAUGUUUUACAAUCAUUUUAUAGUCAUUUUAUAUCAUUUUUUGGUACUAACCUAUUCACAUAGUGCCAAGUGUCAGUUGCUAUUUUCUACAUGUUUUUUACAUCACAAGAAAUGAAUAUCAGACGGAGUUCAAAUGCCACGCCACUUUACGAUGAUUUUUUUGGACCAAAAGGAAGAAGUUGGGCCCUGGUUGCACCUGGCGGGAGUCCCGAGGAUGGCACAACCCACCAGGGCGCGCCAGGACGCCCAGGCGCGCCCUGGUGGGUUGUGCCCACCUUGGGUGCCCCUCAGACCACCUCUUUGCUCUAUAAAUACCCCAGUAUUCCAGAAAUCCUAGGGGAGUCGACGAAAUAUUCAUCCAGCCGCCGUAGAGUCCAGAAGCACUAGAUCCAAUCUAGACACCAUCAUGGAGGGGUUCACCACUUCCAUUGGAGCCUCUCCGAUGAUGUGUGAGUAGUUCUUUGUAGACCUUCGGGUCCGUAGUUAGUAGCUAGAUGGCUUCCUCUAUCUCUCUUGAUUAUCAAUACAAUGGUCUCUUGGAGAUCCAUAUGAUGUAAGUCUUUUGGCGGUGUGUUUUUUUGGAUCCGAUGAACUUUGAGUUUAUGAUCAGAUCUAUGUUUUUAUCCAUGAAAGUUAUUUGAGUCUUCUUUGAUCUCUUAAAUGCAUGAUUGCUUAUAGCCUUGUAUUUCUUCUCCGAUAUUUGGGUUUUGUUUCGCCAACUUGAUAUAUUUAUAUUGCAAUGGGAAGAGGUGCCUGGUAGUGGGUUCGAUCUUAUGUCCUUCGCCUAUCUUGAGGCGACGUACCCCGAACGGGACUGACAACCCCUUAAACACGUCGGGUUGCGAGGUGUUGUUAUUUGUGUGCAAGGGUUGUUUAUGUUGUGUUGUUUGGUUCUCCUACAGGUUCGAUAACCUUGGUUUCAUAUCUAAGGGAAAUACCUACCGCCGUUGUGCUACAUCAUCCCUUCCUCUUUGGGGAAAUACCCACGUAGCUUCAAGUGACAUCAAAAGGAAUUUCUAGCGCUAUUGCCAGGGAGGAUCUUCAACAUCAACCAGGUUCCUAAUCACAAAUCUCAUCUCCUUGCAAUUUACAUUAUUCACCAUUUGCCUCUCGCUUUCCUCUCCCCCACUUCACAAAAAUGCCAUUUUAUUCUCCUCUCUUUUUUCGUUCGUCGUUUUCUCAUCAGAUCUGUUUUUGUGUGCGUUCAUGUUUGCGUAGUCAUGAUGCCUCAAAGAAAAUAUUAUGAUGUUCCUUACCCAAAUAUUUUGCUUGAAAUUGAGAAAAGUACUAAGGAAUAUAUGACUACACAAUUUGAGCAUAAUAAAUAUUUUACCGAAGAACUUAAGGAACGUUAUGUUAUGUUAGAAGCUAUAACGAAACAACUUGAUGAUAUUAGUAAGAAGUUUGAAAUCUUCAAUCUAAGUAUGCAUUUGCUGAAAGUUUGUUCGGAAAAAUAUCCGAUGCACAAGCCACUUUAGUGAAUCAAAUGGCCGCUAAACCAAUCUUGUUAGAAGAUAAAAGUGAUGAAGAUCUAAACAUGAUUGGUGUUUCUUCUAUUGAUUCCCUGUUUAGUAAAAAUAAGAUUGAUGAAAAAGGGACUGGAGAAGAGUCAACUUUAGGUAGAAGGCGCCCCAAUAUUUCGGAGGGUGAAAAUCUUGUUGACAAAAUUUAUAAAAGUGGGUUUGAAGAGGUCAAGACUUUAACUAGUGAUGUGCCCACUAUUUUGGAUUACAAAGACUUUAAUUAUGAUAGUUGCUCUUUGAUUGAUUGUAUUUCUUUGUCGCAAUCCAUGAUAAAUCCACCCCAUGCUUAUGAACAAAAUAAAGCUUUUACUAAACAUAUUGUUGAUGCCAUGAUGAAAGCUUUUGAAGAAAAAUUGGAAUUAUAAGUUUCAAUUCCUAGAAAAUUUCAUGAUGAAUGGGAACCUACUAUAAAAGUCAAUAUCAAAAAUUAUGAGUGUUUUGCUUUAUGUGACUUGGGUGCUAGUGUUUCUACAAUUCCAAAAUCUUUAUGUGAUGUGUUUGGUCUUACCGAUAUUGAAGAAUGCUCUUUAAAUUUGCACUUAGAGGAUUCUACUAUUAAGAAACCUAUGGAAAGGAUUAAUGAUGUUCUUAUUCUUGCAAAUAGGAAUUAUGUGCCCAUAGAUUUUAUUGUUCUUGAUAUUGAUUGCAAUCCGUCUUGUCCAAUUAUUCCUGGUAGACCGUUUUUGCGUACUAUUGGUGCCGUGAUUGAUAUGAAAGAAGGCAACAUUAAAUUUCAAUUUACACUAAGGAAGGGAAUGGAACACUUCCCUAGAACAAGAAUUAGGCCACCAUAUGAAUCAAUCAUGAGGGCAUCUUAUGGAUCUAGAACCAAAGAUGACAAAACUUAGAUCCUACGUGUUAUGCCUAGCUAGGGGCGUAAAACGAUUGCGCUUGUUGGGAGGCAACCCAAUGAAUAAAAUUUAUUUUUGCUUUUUUCUUUCUAUUCUUGAGUGUUAGAACAAUUAUGCUACUGUUAUGACUUUGUUUUUUGUGUUUUAGUUAGUGUUUGUGCCAAGCAAUGCCUUUGGGAAGACUUGGGUGAAAGUUUAUUUGAUCUUGCUGAAAAACAGAAACUUUUGCGCUCAUGAGAUUCGUUGUAAUUGUUUAUAGAAGAGUGAUGUUAAGUUGAUUCUUUUUGAAGAGGAUUAAUAUAAAAAUUCCUCACGUCCACCAAUUUAUUUCACAAUUUUUGGAGUUACAGAAGUAUUAGAAAUUUUCAGAUUGCUACAGACUGUUCUGUUUUUGACAGAUUCUGUUUUCUUUGCGUUGUGUGCUUGUUUUGAUGAUUCUAUGGUUUUCUUUAAUGAGUUUUUGCCAUAGAAAAGUUGGAGUACAGUAGAUAUAAUUCAAAAACAAAAUAAGAAUAGGUUUUCUGCAGUACUUAUAGUAGUGGUUUGGUUUCUCAUACUAACGGAUCUCACGAAGAUUUUGUUUGAGUUUUGUGUGAUUGAAGUUUUCAAGUUUUGGGUUAUCUUAUGAUGGAUGAAGGAAUAAGGAUAAGCAAAAGUCUAAGGUUGGGGAUGCCCGAGGCACCCCAAGAUAAUAUUCAGAGAAUUAGCAAGCAAAUAAGCUUGGGGAUGCCCCCGAGUGGCAUCCCCGCUUUCUUCUAACGACCAUCGGUAUUUUACUUGAAACUAUAUUUUUAUGCCUCACAUGAUAUGAGUUUUGCUUGGAGUGUCUUGUAUGAUAUGAAUCUUUGCUUGUUUUUCUUUGUGUUUUAAUUAUUGAAUCCUUGCUGGACGCACCCUUUUUAGAGAGCCAAAAAUUAUGCUAUGCUUGCUCCUAUGCUUCACUUAAAUUUUUAGAGCCAUGGACUUGCUCUAGUACUUCACUUAUAUCUUUUUGAGCACGGUGUGCUUUGUUAGUUUUGAAGAAAUUCUCUCAUGCUUCACUUAGAUUUAUUUGGGAUUUAGUAAAUGUUUAAUAAAUUCUCUUUUGCUUCACUUAGAUUAUUUUGAGAGAAAGAAAAAAAAUUAUGCUCAUGAUCUUCACUUAUAUUUGUUUGAGCUUACCAAAAGCAACAUAUGAAAAUAUUUCCAAAGUGAUAGAUAUCCAAGGGGGAUAUAAUAAAAACUUUCAUGAAGAUCAUUGGACAAAAUAAACUUGAUUCUUAGUAAUGGUUUUGAGAUAUGACGAUGUGAUAUGUGAGUUAUGUUGAUGAGUAAUUGUGCUUUAGUAAGAAUAUUGAUGUUAAGGUUUGUGAUUCCCUAUGCAAGCAUGAAAGUCAAUAGUUAUGCAAUGAAAUUAAUAUCCUACUUAUGGUGCAUUAUUCGGUGUUACUUUCUUAAUGCUUGGGUACGAGAUUUUUCGCUUUUUGGUUGCUCGCUUCUCAAUCUUUUUGCUAGCCUUCAUUUUGCACUAAGUAUGAUCACUACUUGUGCAUCCAAAACCCUUUAAACCAGUUUUGCCAUAUGAGUCCAGUAUACCUACCUAUAUGCGGUAUUUCCAUGCCGUUCUAAACAAAUUUGCAUGUGCCAUCUCUAAUGUUCAAAAUAAAUUUCUCUUUUGUGUGCUCUACUACUCGCGAGGCGGUAAAGGGUAGCCAAUAUUUUCCAUGCUAGAUGUGUUAUUCUCAGGAUGAGUGUUUAUUCACUUGUCAUUGCACAAGAGUACGACAAAGGUAUUAGGGAUGCCCAGUCCCGAAAUGAAAAAUGAAUUUACUUUAUGUCGUCAAAUAAUAAAUUCCUUGGAAAGUGUUGGUAUGGAAGGCACCCGUGGAUACAGCUAGCCAUGGAAAGUGAAAGUUAUGGUGGAAAAAGGAAUAAACUUUAUUUUCUGUUUGGGAACCGCCUAUGAUGUAUCUAUCAUGGAAAGUGUUGGGAUGCUCCAAGUCAUUCUCGUUGGUAGGAAAAGUAUGCCUCUCAAAAAUAAUUUUAUCUCUCAAUUUAAGCUUUGAGCUCUAGCACCUCUACAAAUCCCUCCUUCCCUCCGCGAAGGGCCUUUCUUUUACUUAUGCAAUUUUUAUUUUGAAUUUGAGUCUCCAUCUUCUCUUAUAAAGCAUCAACUAAGGGGCACUAUGAUCGUGUUUGAGCACUGGGUGUAGCUAAUAUUCGAGUGUGUUUCAUGACUGGAUUAAUGAUUGAGCGUGAUGGGCUAGGGGUAACUUGCUUUAGUGUUGAUAUUUCGAAAGACAUGGUUGCUUGUUGGUAUGCUUGAGUAUUAAAGUCUUCAUGUCAAAACUAGACUAUUGCUUUGAAUCGUAUAAAAGUCCAUAUGUCCAUGCUAUAAAGGAAAGAAUGUGAUCAACAUGUUAGGCAGCAUUCCACAUCAAGAAUUCUAUUUUUAUCAUUUACCUACUUGAGGACGAGCAGGAAUUAUGUUCGGGGAUGCUUAUACAUCUCCAACGUAUCUAUAAUUUUUGAUUGCUCCAUGUUGUUAUAUUAUCAUUCUUGGAUGUUUUACAAUCAUUUUAUAUCAUUUUUUGGUACUAACCUAUUGACAUAGUGCCAAGAGCCAGUUGUUGUUUUCUGCAUGUUUUUUACAUCGCACGAAAUCAAUAUCAGACAGAGUCCAAAUGCCACGCCACUUUACAAUGAUUUUUUAUGGACCAAAAGGAAGAAGUUGGGCCCUGGUUGCACCUGGGGGUGUCCCUAGCAGGGGACAACCCACCAGGGCACGCUAGGAGGCCCAGGCGCGCCUUGGUGGGUUGCGCCCACCUCGGGUGCCCCCCGGACCGCCUCUUUGCUCUAUAAAUACCCCAAUAUUCCAGAAACCCUAGGGGAGUCGACAAAAUAUUCAUCCAGCUGCCAUAGAGCCAGGAACCACCAGAUCCAAUCUAGACACCAUCACGGAGGGGUUCACCACUUCCAAUGGUGCCUCUCCGAUGAUGCGUGAGUAGUUAUUUGUAGACCUUCAGGUCCGUAGUUAGUAUCUAGAUGGCUUCCUCUCUCUCUUGAUUAUCAACACUAUGGUCUCUUGGAGAUCCAUAUGAUGUAAGUCUUUUGACGGUGUGUUUGUUGGGAUCCGAUGAACUUUGAGUUUAUGAUCAGAUCUAUGUUUUUAUCCAUGAAAGUUAUUUGAGUGUUCUUUGAUCUCUUAUAUGCAUGAUUGCUUAUAACCUCAUAUUUAUUCUUCGAUAUUUGGGUUUUGUUUGGCCAACUUGAUCUAUUUAUCUUGCAAUGGGAAGAGGUGCUCGGUAGUGGGUUCAAUCUUACGGUGCUUGAUCCAGUGACAUAAAGGGAACCGACACGUAUGUAUCGUUGCUACUAAGGAUAAAAAGAUGGGAUCUGUAUCUACCGUAAUAGAUAAACGGAUCUUGUCUACAUCAUGUCAUCGUUCUUAUUGCAUUACUCCAUUUUUCCAUGAACUUAAUACACUAGAUGCAUGCUGGUUAGCAGUCGAUGUGUGGAGUAAUAGUAGUAGAUGCAGGCAGGAGUCGGUCUACUAAUCUUGGACAUGAUGCCUAUGAAAUGAUCAUUGCUUGGAUAUCGUCAUAAUUAUUUGAAGUUCUAUCAAUUGCCCAACAGUAAUUGUUUUCCCACCAUUUGCUAUUUUUCUCGAGAGAAGCCACUAGUGAAACCUACGGCCCUCGGGUCUCUUUUCAUCAUAUUUGCCUUUGCGAUCUAUUAUCUCUUGCGUUUAUUUUCAGAUCUAUUAAACCAAAAAUACAAAAAUACCGUGCUGCAAUUUAUUUGUUUCAUGAUCUAUUUAUCCUAUCUACAAAUUUACCUCACAUCCUUUGCCUAUCUUGAGGAGUCGUACCGCGAAAGGGUUUGACAACCCCUUUAACACAUCAAGUUGUGAGGUGUAGUUAUUUGUGUGCAGGGGCUGUUACGUAGCGUUGCUUGGUUCUCCUACUGGUUUGAUAACCUUGGUUUCAUAUCUGAGGGAAAUACCUGAAGGAAAUAUGCCCUAGAGGCAAUAAUAAAGUUAUUAUUUAUUUCCUUAUAUCAUGCUAAUUGUUUAUUAUUCAUGCUAGAAUUGUAUUAACCGAAAACAUAAUACAUGUGUGAAUACAUAGACAAACAUAGUGUCACUAGUAUGCCUCUACUUGACUAGCUCGUGAAUCAAAGAUGGUUAAGUUUCCUAGCCAUGGACAAAAGAGUUGUCAUUUGAUUAACGGGAUCACAUCAUUAGGAGAAUGAUUCGAUUGACUUGACCCAUUCCGUUAGCCUAGCACUUGAUCGUUUAGUAUGUUGCUAUUGCUUUCUUCAUGACUUAUACAUGUUCCUGUAACUAUGAGAUUAUGCAACUCCCGUUUACCGGAGGAACACUUUGGGUGCUACCAAACGUCAUAACAUAACUGGGUGAUUAUAAAGGAGUACUACAGGUGUCUCCAAAGGUACAUGUUGGGUUGGCGUAUUUCGAGAUUAGGUUUUGUCACUCCGAUUGUCGGAGAGGUAUCUCUGGGCCCUCUCGGUAAUGCACAUCACUAUAAGCCUUGCAAGCAAUGUGGCCAAUGAGUUGGUUACGGAAUGAUGCAUUACGUAACGAGUAAAGAGACUUGCCGGUAACAAGAUUGAACUAGGUAUUAGAUACCGACGAUCGAAUCUCGGGCAAGUAACAUACCGAUGACAAGGGGAACAAUGUAUGUUGUUAUGCGGUUUGACCGAUAAAGAUCUUAGAAGAAUAUGUAGGAACCAAUAUGGGCAUUCAGGUUCCGCUAUUGGUUAUUGACCGAGAAUAGUUCUAGGUCAUGUCUACAUAGUUCUCGAACCCGUAGGGUCUGCACGCUUAACAUUACGAUGACAGUUUUAUUAUGAGUUUAUAAGUUUUGAUGUACCGAAGUUUGUUCGGAGUCCCGGACGUGAUCACGGACGUAACGAGGAGUCUCGAAAUGGUCGAGACAUAAAGAUCAAUAUAUUGGAAGCGUAUAUUUGGACAUCGGAAUCGUUCCGGGUGAAAUCGGCAUUUUACCGGAGCACCGGGAGGUUACCGGAACCCCCCCGGGGGGUUAUUGGGCCUACAUGGGCCUCGAGGGAGAAGAGGGAAGGAGGCAGGAGGGGGCCGCGCGCCCCUCCCCUUCCUAGUCCGAAUAGGACAAGGGAAGGGGGGCGGCGCCCCCCCCCCUUUCCUUCCCCUCUUCCUCCUCUUUCCCCCCUUCUCCUAUUCCAACUAGGAAAGAAGGGAGUCCUACUCCCGGUGGGAGUAGGACUCCCCCCUUGGCGCGCCCUCCUUGGCCGGCCGCCUCCUCCCCCCUGGCUCCUUUAUAUAUGGGGGUGGGGGGCACCCCAUAGACACACAAGUUGAUCUACGGAUCGUUCCUUAGCCGUGUGCGGUGCCCCCCUCCACCAUAUUCCACCUCGGUCAUAUCGUCGCGGAGUUUAGGCGAAGCCCUGCGCCGGUAGAACAUCAUCAUCGUCACCACGCCGUCGUGCUGACGGAACUCAUCCCUGAAGCUUUGCUGGUUCGGAGCCCGAGGAUCGUCAUCGAGCUGAACGUGUGCUGAACUCGGAGGUGCCGUCCGUUCAGUGCUUGGAUCGGUGGGAUCGUGAAGACGUACGACUACAUCAACCGCGUUGUGCUAACGCUUCCGCUUACGGUCUACGAGGGUACGUGGACAACACUCUCCCCUCUCGUUGCUAUGCCAUUACCAUGAUCUUGCGUGUGCGUAGGAAUUUUUUUGAAAUUACUAUGUUCCCCAACAGUGGCAUCCGAGCCUAGGUUUUAUGCGUUGAUGUUAUAUGCACGAGUAGAACACAAGUGAGUUGUGGGCGAUACAAGUCAUACUGCUUACUAGCAUGUCAUACUUUGGUUCAGCGGUAUUGUUGGAUGAAGCGGCCCGGACCGACAUUACGCGUACGCUUACGCGAGACUGGUUUUACCGCCGUACUUCACACACAGGUGACUAGCGGGUGUCUGUUUCUCCAACUUUAGUUGAACCGAGUGUGGCUACGCCCGGUCCUUGCGAAGGUUAAAACAGCACUAACUUGAUGAACUAUCGUUGUGGUUUUGAUGCGUACGUAAGAACGGUUCUUGCUCAGCCCGUAGCAGCCACGUAAAAUUUGCAACAACAAAGUAGAGGACGUCUAACUUGUUUUUGCAGGGCAUGUUGUGAUGUGAUAUGGUCAAGACGUGAUGAGAUAUAAGUUGUUGUAUGAGAUGAUCAUGUUUUGUUGAAGUUAUCGGCAACUGGCAGAAGCCCUAUGAUUGUCUCUUUGUUGCAUAAGAUGCAAGUGCCAAAUAAUUGCUUUACUUUAUCGCUAUGCGAUAGCAAUAGUUGCAAGAGCAAUAGUUGGCGAGACGACCAUGUGAUGACACAUUGAUAUAGAUCAAGAUGAUGAAGAUCAUGGUGUUGUGCCGGUGACGAUAGAGAUCAUGACAGUACUUUGGAGAUGGAGAUCAAAGGCGCAAGAUGAUCAUGGCCCUAUCAUGUCACAUAUUUUGAUUGCAUAUGAUGUUUAUCUGUUAUACAUCUUAUUCUGUUUUGUUUGACGGUAGCAUUUUAAGAUGAUCUCUCACUAAUUAUCAAGAAGUGUUCUCCCUGAGUAUGCAUCGUUGAGAAAGUUCUUCGUGCUGAGACACCACGUGAUGAUCGGGUGUGAUAGGCUCUACGUUCAAAUACAACGGGUGCAAAACAGUUGCACACGCGGAAUACUCAGGUUAAACUUGACGAGCCUAGCAUAUACAGAUAUGGCCUCGAAACACGGAGACCGAAAGGUCGAACGUGAAUCAUAUAGUAGAUAUGAUCAACAUAGUGAUGUUCACCAUAGAAACUACUCCAUCUCACGUGAUGAUCGGACAUGGUUUAGUUGAUUUGGAUCACGUGAUCACUUAGAUGACUAGAGAGAUGUCUGUCUAAGUGGGAGUUCUUAAGUAAUAUGAUUAAUUGAACUUAAAUUUAUCAUGAACUUAGUCCUAGUAGUAUUUUGCAAACUAUAUUGUAGAAUAAUAGCUCACGUUGUUGCUUUCAUAUGUUUAUUUUGAUAUGUUCCUAGAGAAAAUUGUGUUGAAAAAUGUUAGUAGCAAUGAUGCGGAUUGGAUCCGUGAUCUGAGGUUUAUCCUCAUUGCUGCACAAAAGAAUUAUGUCCUUCAUGCACCGCUAGGUGACAGACCUAUUGCAGGAGCAGAUGCAGACGUUAUGAACGUUUGGCUAGCUCAAUAUGAAGACUACUUGAUAGUUUAGUGCACCAUGCUUAACGUCUUAGAAUCGGGACUUCAAAGACGUUUUGAACGUCAUGGACCAUAUGAGAUGUUCCAGGAGUUGAAGUUAAUAUUUCAAGCAAAUACCCGAGUUGAGAGAUAUGAAGUCUCCAACAAGUUCUAUGGAUAAAAUAUGGAGGAGAAUCGCUCAACUAGUGAGCAUGUGCUCAGAUUGUCUGGGUACUACAAUCGCUUGAAUCAAGUGGGAGUUAACCUUCCAGAUAAGAUAGUGAUUGACAGAGUUCUCUAGUCACCAUCACCAAGUUAGUAGAACUUUGUGAUGAACUACAGUAUGCAAGGGAUGACGAAACGAUUCCCGAGCUCUUCGUGAUGUUGAAAUCGACGAAGGUAGAAAUCAAGAAAGAGCAUCAAGUGUUGAUGGUUGACAAGAUCACUAGUUUCAAGAAAAGGGCAAAGGGAAAGAAAGGGAAACUUCAAGUAGAAUGACAAACAAGUUGUCACUCCCGCAAAGAAGCCCAAAGCUGGACCAAAGCCUGAAACUGAAUGAUUAUACUGCAAAGGAAAUGGUCACUGGAAGUGGAAAUGCCCUGAAUAUUUGGUGGAUAAGAAGGAUGGCAAAGUGAACAAGGGUAUAUUUGAUAUACAGGUUAUUGAUGUGUACCUUACUAGUGUUUAUAGUAGCCCAGAGUAUUUGAUACUUGUUCGUUUGCUAAAUAUUAGUAACUCGAAACAGGAGUUACAGAAUAAACAGAGACUAGUUGAAGGGCAAGUGACGAUGAGUGUUGGAAGUAGUUCCAAGAUUGACAUGAUCAUCAUCGCACACUCCCUAUACUUUCGGGAUUAGUGUUGAACCUAAAUAAAUGUUAUUUGGCGUUUGCAUUGAGCAUGAAUAUGAUUUGAUCAUGUUUAUUGCAAUAUGGUUAUUCAUUUAAAAUCAGAGAAUAAUUGUUGUUCUGUUUAAAUGAAUAAAACCUUUGAUGGUCAUACACCCAAUGAAAAUAGUUUGUUGGAUCUCGAUCGUAGUGAUACACAUAUUCAUAAUAUUGAUGCCAAAAGAUGCAAAGUUAAUAAUGAUAGUGCAACUUAUUUGUGGCACUGCCGUUUGGGUCAUAUCGGUGUAAAGCGCAUGAAGAAACUCCAUACUGAUGGGUUUUUGGAAUCACUUGAUUAUGAAUCAUUUGAUGCUUGCGAACCGUGCCUUAUGGGCAAGAUGACUAAAACUCCGUUCUUCAGAACAAUGGAACAAGCUACUGACUUGUUGGAAAUAAUACAUACCUAUGUAUGCGAUCCAAUGAGUAUUGAUGCUCGUGGUGGGUAUCGUUAUUUUCUGACCUUCACAAGAUGAUUUGAGCAGAUAUGAGUAUAUCUAUUUAAUGAAGCACAAGUCUGAAACAUUUGAAAAGUUCAAAGAAUUUCAGAUGAAGUGGAGAAUCGUCAUAACAAGAAAAUAAAGUUUCUAUGAUUUGAUCACAGAGACAAAUAUUUGACUUACGAGUUUGGUCUUCAAUUAAAACAAUGUGGAAUAGUUUCACAAACUCAUGCCACCUGGAACACCACAACGUUAUGGUGUGUCCGAACGUCGUAACCGCACUUUAUUGGAUAUGGUGCGAUCUAUGAUGUCUCUUAUCGGUUUACCACUAUUGUUUUGGGGUUAUGCAUUAGAGACAGUUGCAUUCACUUUAAAUAGGGCAACAUCAACAUCCGUUGAGAUGACGCCUUAUGAACUAUGGUUUAAGCAAGAAACCAAAGUUGUCGUUUCUUAAAGUUUGGGGUUGCGAUGCUUAUGUGAAAAAGUUUAAACCUAAUAAGCUCGAACCCAAAUCGGAGAAGUGCGUCUUCAUAGAAUACCCAAAAGUAACUAUUGGGUACUCCUUCUAUCACAGAUCCAAAGGAAAGUUAUUCAUUUCUAAGAUGGAUCCUUUCUAGAGAAUGAGUUUCUCUCGAAAGAAGUGAGUGGGAGGAAAGUAGAACUUGAUAAGGUAAUUGUACCUUCUCCCAAAUUGGAAAGUAGUUCAUCACAGAAAUUAGUUCUAGUGAUGCCUACACCGAUUAGUGAGGAAGUUAAUGAUGAUGAUCAUGAAACUUUGGAUCAAGUUACUACAGAAACUCAUAGGUCUUCCAAAGUAUGGUCCGCACCAGAGUGGUACGGUAAUCCUGUUCUGAAAGUCAUGUUACUAGACCAUGAUAAACCUACGAACUAUGAGGAAGCGAUGAUGAGCCCAGAUUCCGUGAAAUGGCUUGAGGCCAUAAAAUCUGAGAUAGGAUCCAUGUAUGAGAACAAAGUAUGGACUUUGGUUGACUUGCUCGAUGAUCAGCAAGCCAUGUUAAAUAAAUGGAUCUUCAAGAGGAAGACGGACACUGAUAGUAGUGUUACUAUCUACAAAGCUCGACUUGUUGCGAAAGGUUUUCGACAAGUUCAAAGGUGUUGAAUACGAUGAGAUUUUCUCACUCAUAUCGAUGCUUAAGUCUGUCCAAAUCAUGUUAGCAAUUGCCACAUUUUAUGAAAUCUGGCAAAUGGAUGUCAAAACUGCAUUCCUUAAUAGAUUUAUUAAAUAAGAGUUGUAUAUGAUGCAACCAGAAGGUUUUGUCAAUCCUAAAGGUGCUAACAAAGUGUGCAAGCUCCAGCGAUCCAUUUAUGGACCGGUGCAAGCCUCUCGGAGUUGGAAUAUACGCUUUGAUGAGUUGAUCAAAGCAUAUGGUUUUAUACAGACUUUUUGAGAAACCUGUAUUUACAAGAAAGUGAGUGGGAGCACUACAGCAUUUCAGAUAAGUAUAUGUGAAUGACAUAUUAUUAAUUGGAAAUGAUGUAGAAUUUUCUGGAAAGCAUAAAGGAGUGUUUGAAAGGAGUUUUUCAAAGAAAGACCUCGGUGAAGCUGCUUACACAUUGAGCAUCAAGAUCUAUAUAGAUAGAUCAAGACGCUUGAUAAGUUUUUCAAUGAAUACAUACCUUGAUAAAUUUUUUGAAGUAGUUCAAAAUGGAACAGUCAAAGAAAGAGUUCUUGCCUGUGUUGCAAGGUGUGAAGUUGAGUAAGACUCAAAACCCGACUAUGGCAGAAAAUAGAAAGAGAAUGAAAAGUCAUUCCCUAUGCCUCAGUCAUAGGUUCUAUAAAGUAUGCUAUGCUGCAAACCAGACCUAUUGUAUACCUUUCUCUGUGUUUGGCAAAGGAAUACAAUUUUGAUCUAAUAGUAGAUCACUGGACAGCGGUCAAGAAUAUCGUUAGUAAAGACCAAGGAAAUACUUCUCGAUUAUGGAGGUGAUAAAAGAGCCCGUCGUAAAAAGUUACAUCGGUGCAAGUUUUUUCACCGAUCCAGAUGACUCUAAGUCUCAAUCUGGAUACAUAUUGAAAGUGGGAGCAAUUAGCUAGAGUAGCUCCAUGCAGAGCAUUGUAGACAUAGAAUAUUUGCAAAAUACAUACGGCUCUGAAUGUAACAGACCCGCUGACUAAGCUUCUCUCACGAGCAAAACAUGAUCACACCUUAGUACUCUCUGGGUGUUAAUCACAUAGCGAUGUGAACUAGAUUAUUGACUCUAGUAAACCCUUUGGGUGUUGAUCACAUGACGAUGUGAACUAUGGGUGUUAAUCAUAUACAGAUAUGAAUAUUGGUGUUAAAUCACAUGAUGAUGUGAACUAGAUUAUUGACUCUAGUGCAAGUGGGAGACUGAAGGAAAUAUGCCCUAGAGGCAAUAAUAAAGUUAUUGUUUAUUUCCUUAUAUCAUGCUAAAUGUUUAUUAUUCAUGCUAGAAUUGUAUUAACCAGAAACAUAAUACAUGUGUGAAUACAUAGACAAACAUAGUGUCACUAGUAUGCCUCUACUUGACUAGCUCGUGAAUCAAAGAUGGUUAAGUUUCCUAGCCAUGGACAAAAGAGUUGUCAUUUGAUUAACGGGAUCACAUCAUUAGGAGAAUGAUGUGAUUGACUUGACCCAUUCCGUUAGCCUAGCACUUGAUCGUUUAGUAUGUUGCUAUUGCUUUCUUCAUGACUUAUACAUGUUCCUGUAACUAUGAGAUUAUGCAACUCCCGUUUACCGGAGGAACACUUUGGGUGCUACCAAACGUCACAACGUAACUGGGUGAUUAUAAAGGAGUACUACAGGUGUCUCCAAAGGUACAUGUUGGGUUGGCGUACUUCGAGAUUAGGUUUUGUCACUCUGAUUGUCGGAGAGGUAUCUCUGGGCCCUCUCGGUAAUGCACAUCACUAUAAGCCUUGCAAGCAAUGUGGCCAAUGAGUUGGUUACGGAAUGAUGCAUUACGUAACAAGUAAAGAGACUUGCCGGUAACGAGAUUGAACUAGGUAUUAGAUACCGACGAUCGAAUCUCGGGCAAGUAACAUACCGAUGACAAAGGGAACAACGUAUGUUGUUAUGCGGUUUGACCGAUAAAGAUCUUCGAAGAAUAUGUAGGAACCAAUAUGGGCAUCCAGGUUCCGCUAUUGGUUAUUGACCGAGAAUAGUUCUAGGUCAUGUCUACAUAGUUCUCGAACCCGUAGAGUCGGCAUGCUUAACGUUACGAUGAUAGUUUUAUUAUGAGUUUGUAAGUUUUGAUGUACCGAAGUUUGUUCGGAGUCCCGGAUGUGAUCAUGGACGUAAUGAGGAGUCUCGAAAUGGUUGAGACAUAAAGAUCAAUAUAUUGGAAGCCUAUAUUUGGACAUCGGAAUCGUUCCGGGUGAAAUCGGCAUUUUACCGGAGCACCGGGAGGUUACCGGAACCCCCCCGGGGGGUUAUUGGGCCUACAUGGGCCUCGAGGAAGAAGAGGGAAGGAGGCAGGAGGGGGCCGCGUGCCCCUCCCCUUCCUAGUCUGAAUAGGACAAGGGAAGGGGGGCGGCGCCCCCCCCCCCCUUUUCCUUCCCCUCUUCCUCCUCUUUCCCCCCUUCUCCUAUUCCAACUAGGAAAGAAGGGAGUCCUACUCCCGGUGGGAGUAGGACUCCCCCCUUGGUGCGCCCUCCUUGGCCGGCCGACUCCUCCCCCCUGGCUCCUUUAUAUACGGGGCCGGGGGGCACCCCAUAGACACACAAGUUGAUCUACGGAUCGUUCCUUAGCCGUGUGCGGUGCCCCCCUCUACCAUAUUCCACCUCGGUCAUAUCGUCGCGGAGUUUAGGUGAAGCCCUGCGCCGGUAGAACAUCAUCAUCGUCACCACGCCGUCAUGCUGACGGAACUCAUCCCCGAAGCUUUGCUGGAUCGGAGCCCGGGGAUCGUCAUCAAGAUGAACGUGUGCUGAACUCGGAGGUGCCGUCCGUUCGGUGCUUGGAUCGGUCGGAUCAUGAAGACGUAUGACUACAUCAACCGCGUUGUGCUAACGCUUCCGCUUACGGUCUACGAGGGUAUGUGGAUAACACUCUCCCCUCUCGUUGCUAUGCCAUCACCAUGAUCUUGCGUGUGCGUAGGAAAUUUUUUGAAAUUACUACGUUCCCCAACAAUACCUACCUCCGCUGUGCUGCAUCAUCCCUUCCUCUUUGGGGAAAUACCGACGUAGCUUCAAGCGACAUCAGAGAUCCAUAUGAUGUAAGCCUUUUUGUGGUGUGUUUGUUGGGAUCCGAUGAACUUUGAGUUUAUGAUCAGAUCUAUGUUUUUAUCCAUGAAAGUUAUUUGAGUCUUCUUUGAUCUCUUAUAUGCAUGAUUGCUUAUAGCCUCAUAUUUUUCUCCGAUAUUUGGGUUUUGUUUGGCCAACUUGAUCUAUUUAUAAUGCAAUGGGAAGAGGUGCUUUGUAGUGGGUUCGAUCUUACGGUGCUUGAUCCCAGUGAUAGAAGGGAAACCGACACGUAUGUAUCGUUGCUACUAAGGAUGACGAGAUGGGAUCUAUAUCUUCCUUAUAUAUAAACCGAUCUUGUCUACAUCAUGUCAUUGUUCUUAUUGCAUUACUAUGUUUUUCCAUUAACUUAACACACUAGAUGCAUGAUGGAUAGCGGUCGAUGUGUGGAGUAAUAGUAGUAGAUGCAGGCAAGAGUCGGUCUACUAAUCUUGGACGCGAUGCCUAUGUAAUGAUCAUUGCUUGGAUAUCGUCAUGAUUAUUUGAAGUUCUAUCAAUUGCCCAACAGUAAUUGUUUUCCCACCGUUUGCUAUUUUUCUCGAGAGAAGCCACUAGUGAAACCUACAGCCCCUAGGUCUCUUUUCAUCAUAUUUGCCUUUGCGAUCUAUUUUCUCUUGCGUUUCAGAUCUAGUAAUCCAAAAAUACAAGAAAUACCUUGCUGCAAUUUAUUGUUCCGCGAUCUAUUUAUCCUAUCUACAAAUUUACCUCACGUCCUUUGCCUAUCUUGAGGCGCCGUACCCCGAAAGGGAUUGACAGCCCCUUUAACACAUCAAGUUGUGAGGUGUUGUUAUUUGUGUGCAGGGGUUGUUUACGUUGUGUUGCUUGGUUCUCCUACUGGUUCGAUAACCUUGGUUUCAUAUCUAAGGGAAAUACCUACCUCUGGUAUGUUGCAUCAUCUCUUCCUCUUUGGGGAAAUACCUACGUACUUAAAGCGACAUCAGAGAUCCAUAUGAUGUAAGCCUUUCAGCGGUGUAUUUGUUGGGAUCCGAUAAACUUUGAGUUUAUGAUCAGAUCUAUGUUUUUAUCCAUGAAAGUUAUUUGAGUCAUCUUUGAUCUCUUAUAUGCAUGAUUGCUUAUAGCCUCGUAUUUCUUCUCUGAUAUCUGGGUUUUGUUCGGCCAACUUGAUAUAUUUAUCUUGCAAAGGGAAGAUGUGCUUUGUAGUGCGUUCGAUCUUACGAUGCUUGAUCCCAGUGACAGAAGGGGAACCGACACGUAUGUAUCAUCGCUACUAAGGAUAACAAGAUGGGAUCUAUAUCUUCAUAAUAGAUAAAAGGAUCUUGUCUACAUCAUGUCAUCGUUCUUAUUCCAUUACUCCAUUUUUCCAUUAACUUAAUACAUUAGAUGCAUGUUGGAUUGCGGUCGAUGGGUGGAGUAAUAGUAGUAGAUGCAGGCAGGAGUCGGUCUACUAAUCUUGGACAUGAUGCCUAUCUAAUGAUCAUUGUCUGGAUAUCAUCAUGAUUAUUUGAAGUUCUAUCAAUUGCCCGACAGUAAUUGUUUUCCCACUGUUUGCUAUUUUUCUCGAGAGAAGCCAUUAGUGAAACCUACGGCCCCCGGGUCUCUUUUCAUCAUAUUUGCCUUUGCGAUUAUUUUCUCUUGAGUUUAUUUUCAGAUCUAUUAAACCAAAAAUACAAAAAUACCUUGCUGCAAUUUAUUUGUUCCGCGAUCUAUUUAACCUAUCUAUAAAUUUACCUCAUGUCCUUUGCCUAUCUUGAGGCGCCGUACCCCGAAAGGGAUUGACAACCCCUUUAACACGUCGGGUUGCGAGGUGUUGUUAUUUGUGUGCAGAGGAUGUUUACAUUGUGUUGCUUGAUUCUCCUACUGGUUCGAUAACCUUGAUUUCAUAUCUGCGGGAAAUAUCUACCGCCGUUGUGCUGCAUCAUCCCUUCCUCUUUGGGGAAAUACCGACGUAGCUUCAAGUGACAUCAGAGAUCCAUAUGGUGUAAGACUUUUUGCGGUGUGUUUGUUGGGAUCCGAUGAACUUUGAGUUUAUGAUCAGAUCUAUGUUUUUAUCCAUGAAAGUUAUUCGAGUCUUCUUUGAUCUCUUAUAUGCAUGAUUCGUUAUAUCCUCGUAUUUCUUCUCCGAUUUGGGUUUUGUUUGGCCAACUUGAUCUAUUUAUCUUGCAAUGGGAAGAUGUGCUUUGUAGUGGGUUCGAUCUUACGAUGCUUGAUCCUAGUGACAGAAGGGAAACCGACACGUAUGUAUCGUUGCUACUAAAGAUAACAAGAUGGGAUCUAUAUCUUCAUAAUAGAUAAACCGAUCUUGUCUACAUCAUGUCAUCGUUCUUAUUGCAUUACUCCAUUUUUUCAUUAACUUAAUACACUAGAUGCAUGCUGGAUAGCGGUCGAUGUGUGGAGUAAUAGUAGUAGAUGCAGGCAAGAGUCGGUCUCCUAGUCUUGGACGUGAUGCCUAUGUAAUGAUCAUUGCCUGGAUAUCUUCAUGAUUACUUGAAGUUCUAUCAAUUGCCCAACAGUAAUUGUUUUCCCGCCAUUUGCUAUUUUUCUCGAGAGAAUCCACUAGUGAAACCUACGGCCCCCGGGUCUCUUUUCAUCAUAUUUGCCUUUGCGAUUAUUUUCUCUUGCGUUUACUUUUAGAUCUAUUAAACCAAAAACACAAAAAUAUCUUGCUGCAAUUUAUUUGUUCCGCGAUCUAUUUAUCCUAUCUACAAAUUUACCUCAUGUCCUUCGCCUAUCUUGAGGCGACGUACCCCGAACGGGACUGACAACCCCUUUAACACGUCGGGUUGCGAGGUGUUGUUAUUUGUGUGCAGGGGCUGUUUACGUUGUGUUGCUUGGUUCUCCUACUGGUUCGAUAACCUUGGUUUCAUAUCUGAGGGAAAUACCUACUGCCGUUGUGCUGCAUCAUCCCUUCCUCUUUGGGGAAAUACCGACGUAGCUUAAAGCGACAUCAGAGAUCCAUAUGAUGUAAGCCUUUUUGGGAUGUGCUUUUUGGGAUCCAAUGAACUUUGAGUUUAUGAUCAGAUCUAUGUUUUUAUCCAUGAAAGUUAUUUGAGUCUUCUUUGAUCUCUUAUAUGCAUGAUUGUUUAUAGCCUGAUAUUUCUUCUCCGAUAUUUGGGUUUUGCUUGGCAACUUGAUCUAUUUAUCUUGCAAUGGGAAGAGGUGCUUUGUAGUGGGUUUGAUCUUACGGUGCUUGAUCCCAGUGACAGAAGGGGAACCAACAUGUAUGUAUCGUUGUAUCUUCAUAAUAGCUAAACGGAUCUUGUGUACAUCAUGUCAUCAUUCUUAUUGCAUUACUCCGUUUUCUCAUUAACUUAAUAGACUAGAUGCAUGCUGGAUAGCGGUCGAUGUGUGGAGUAAUAGUAGUAGAUGCAGGCAGGAGUCGGUCUACUAAUCUUGGACAUGAUGCCUAUGUAAUGAUCAUUGUCUGGAUAUCGUCAUGAUUAUUUUAAGUUCUAUCAAUUGCCCAACAAUAAUUAUUUUCCCACCAUUUGCUAUUUUUCUCGAGAGAAGCCACUAGUGAAACCUACGGCCCCCGGGUCUCUUUUCAUCAUAUUUGCCUUUGCGAUUAUUUUCUCUUGCAUUUAUUUUCAGAUCUAUUAAACCAAAAAUACAAAAAUACCUUGCUGCAAUUUUUUUUCCGACAUCUAUUUAUCCUAUCUACAAAUUUACCUCAUGUCCUUUGCCUAUCUUGAGGCGCCGUACCUCGAAAGGGAUUGACAACCCCCCUUUAACACGUCGGGUUGCGAGGUGUUGUUAUUUAUGUGCAAGGGUUGUUUACGUUGUGUUGCUUGGUUCUCCUACUGGUUCGAUAACCUUGGUUUCAUAUCUGAGGGAAAUACCUACCGCUGCUGUCCUGCACCAUCCCUUCCUCUUUGGGGGAAUAUCGAUGUAGCUUCAAGCGACAUCGGAGAUCCAUAUGAUGUAAGCAUUUUUGCGGUGUGUUUGUUGGGAUCCGAUGAACUGUGAGUUUAUGAUCAGAUCUAUUUUUCUAUGCAUAAAAUUUAUUUGAGUCUUCUUUGAUCUCUUAUAUGCAUGAUUGCUUAUAGCCUCAUAUUUCUUCUCCGAUAUUCGGGUUUUGUUUGGCCAACUUGAUCUAUUUAUCUUGCAAUGGGAAGAGGUGCUUUGUAGUGGGUUCGAUCUUACGGUGCUUGAUCCUAGUGACAGAAGGGAAACUAACACGUAUGUGUCGUUGCUACUAAGGAUAACAAGAUGGGAUCUAUAUCUUCAUAAUAGAUAAACGGAUCUUGUCUACAUCAUGUCAUCGUUCUUAUUGCAUUACUCCAUUUUUUUCAUUAACUUAAUACACUAGAUGCAUGUUGGAUAGCGGUCAAUGUGUGGAGUAAUAGUAGUAGAUACAGGCAGGAGUCGGUCUACUAAUCUUGGAUGUGAUGCAUAUGUAAUGAUCAUUGCCUGGACAUCAUCAUGAUUAUUUGAAGUUAUAUCAAUUGCCCAACAGUAGUUGUUUUCUCACCAUUUGCUAUUUUUCUCGAGAGAAGCCACUAGUGAAACCUACGGCCCUCGGGUCUCUUUUCAUCAUAUUUGCAUUUGUGAUCUAUUUUCUCUUGCGUUUAUUUUCAGAUCUAUUAAACCAAAAAUACAAAAAUACCUUCCGGCAAUUUAUUUGUUCCGCAAUCUAUUUAUCCUAUCUACAAAUUUACCUCACGUCAUUUGCCUAUCUUGAGGCGUCGUACCCCGAAAGGGAUUGACAACCCCUUUAACACGUCGGGUUGCGAGGUGUCGUUAUUUGUGUGCAGGGGCUGUUUACGUUGUGUGGCUUGGUUCUCCUACUCGUUCGAUAAUCUUGGUUUCAUAUUUGAGGGAAAUACCUACCGCCGUUGUGCUACAUCAUCCCUUCCUUUUUAGGGAAAUAUCGACGUAGCUUCAAGCGACAUCAGAGAUCCAUAUGAUGUAAGCCUUUUUGCGGUGUGUUUGUUGGGAUCCAAGCAUCCCUUCCUUUUUAGGGAAAUAUUGACGUAGCUUCAAGCGACAUCAGAGAUCCAUAUGAUGUAAGCCUUUUUGCGGUGUGUUUGUUGUGAUCCGAUGAACUUUGAGUUUAUGAUCAGAUCUAUGUUUUUAUCCAUGAAAGUUACCUGAGUCUUCUUUGAUCUCUUAUAUGCAUGAUUGCUUAUAGCCACGUAUUUCUUCUCCGAUAUUUGGGUUUUGUUUGGCCAACUUGAUCUAUUUAUCUUGCAAUGGGAAGAGGGGGUUUAUAGUGGGUUCGAUCUUACGGUGCUUGAUCCCAAUGACAGAAGGAGAACCGACAUGUAUGUAUUGUUUCUACUAAGGAUAACAAGAUGGGAUCUAUACCUUCAUAAUACAUAAAUGGAUCUUGUCUACAUCAUGUCAUCAUUCUUAUUGCAUUACUCCAUUUUUGCAUUAACUUAAUACACUAGAUGCAUGCUGGAUAGCGGUCGAUGUGUGAAGUAAUAGUAGUAGAUGCAGGCAGGAGUCGGUGUACUAAUCUUGGACGUGAUGCCUAUGUAAUGAUCAUUGCCUGGAUAUCGUCAUAAUUAUUUGAAGUUCUAUCAAUUGCCCAACAGUAAUUGUUUUCCCACCGUUUUCUAUUUUUCUCAAGAGAAGCCACUAGUGAAAGCUACGGCCCCUGGGUCUCUUUUCAUCAUAUUUGCCUUUGAGAUCUAUUUUCCUUUGCAUUUAUUUUCAGAUCAAUUAAACCAAAAUUACAAAAAUACCUUGCUGCAAUUUAUUUGUUCCACGAUCUAUUUAUCCUAUCUACCACUUUUACCUCAUGUUAUUUGCCUAUCUUGAGACGCCGUACCCGAAAGGGAUUGACAACCCCUUUAACACGUCGGGUUGCAGGUAUUUGUUAUUUGUGUGCAGGUGUUGUUUACGUGGUGUGAGGAGGUUCUCCUACUGGUUCGAUAACCUUGGUCUCAUCACUAAGGGAAAUACCUACUGUCGCUAUACUGCAUCAUCCCUUCCUCUUUAGGGAAAUACCGACGUAGUUCUAGCAGACAUCACCCACAACUCCCCAUUAUCCUUUUGUCAUGCUGACAGUCCCGGGGCAUUUCGGCAUCAAUGGAAAAUUUUCCUUCAUUGAGGGCAAAUCCCAAUUUGUCUCUUGUUGUGUUGUCCUUUCUUUCUUGUUGAGUAAACUUAUUAUUGCAAUGCUGCCCCUUGUAGGUUGGUCACCUUUUGCCAUGUUUUGUUGUGCAUGAUGUACACUUGUGUUUGUUAUGCUCAUGUCCCCUAUUUUUCAUUCAAAUGUAACUAUUGCCAUGUUUGUUCUCUGCAUUUUCCAUUUUUUGGGCCAUGUGAUCUAGUUACAUGUUUGAUUUGUGUACUUUGUUGUCAUGCUCUUUCUUUGUGUGUAGGAAUUUUGUUCCCUAUUUUUUUCCAUGGUUCAUGUUUAGUUAUGUGCCUUAGAUAACUUCAUUUCCAUGCUCUUAUGUAUGCAGAAGAUUCUUAUCUUCAAAAAUUCUAGCUUUCGGUGAUUGACUCACAUUUUUUCCAUGUUGUCAUACAUGUACUUAUUUUUCUAGUGCAAAUUUGCCAUGUCAUCUUAUAGGUGUGAUUUUCUUUUAGUUGUUUUUCUUCUUUUGUUUUUGCCAUGUUUUUGUGUGUAGGAGUUAGUUGGUUAAAUGCAAAAUUUGCAAUGCCAACAUGUACUAUGUGGUUUGCUUACUUACAUCGUAUCAAUUUCCAUAGUACUAUGUUCACAUUCUUGUCAUUCUAAUAUAUGUGGUGGUUUAUUACGUAAAUGUCACUUUCAUAUUUUUGUAUUUCUAUUUUAUAUGAGUGGAAAUAGAGCUUGGCAAGGUUUCUUUUCUCUCUUUUUUUCAGAAAAAAAAUGUUGCCUUAAAUUCUUAUUAUGUAUUUUUCAUUUGCAGAUCUUUUUGCAUCAUUGUUCGGAAUGCCCUGGCUACUGCUGUUGAUGGUUUCAUGCCGACGAGAGGGAAUGCUGUCGCAGCCGGCAAACAGAUUCGAAAGGAGGUAUUUUAUACUUGUUUCAUAUGUUUAAUUCUUGGGGCAAAUUAACCAUGGCAAGUUUCUUUAACCACUCACGGAAACUUAAGUGACAUAUCCAUAUCAUGCCAUUUUGUAAUUUGGUUAUCCUUCUGCAGGCUGAUGACCAACAAGUAUGGGGGAUCAAUCGUAGUCCUUUCGAUAAGUAAGAGUGUCAAAUCCAAUGAGGAGCAGAAGGAAAUGAUAAGCGGUUUUCAACAAGGUAUUCUCUGCAAGUGUUGUAAGUACUGGCAAUAGGUAGUUUGGUAGAAAGAUAAUUUGUAGCAAGUAACAAUAAUUACAAAGGUGUAGCAAGGUGGCCCAAUCCUUUUUGUAGCAAAGGACAAGCUAAAGGUACUUCUUAUAGUGAGCAAAACGUUCUCGAGGACACGUGGAUCAUUUAGUUACGUUCAUCAUGUUUAGUUGAUUCACAUUCACUAUUUUGAUAAUUUGAUAUGUGGACUGGUGUUAGGGUGUUUUUCUUACUUGAACAAACAACCCACUUAUGAUUACCCCCUCUCGCAAACAUUCACAACUACGAAAGGAGAAUUAAGAUAAAUCUAACAAUAGCAUGAAACAUACGGACCCAAAUCAGCCCCUUAUGGAGUAGUGCAUAAACUAGGGUUUAAGUUUCUCUCACUCUCAGAACCCAUCAUCUACUUACUACUCCCCAAUGCCUUCCCCUAUGCCCAAACAUGGUGAAGUGUCAUGUAGUUGACGUUCACACAACAUCACGAGGGGUAUGUUUGGUUGCCUGUGCAGCUUUGCCUACACCAUAUGGGGGAUCCUGGUUGAGCCUGGCUUGAUUGAGAUGAUGAGGCGAAGGACCAAAAGGUGGCAACGAUGGCCAAUCGGAGAACCAGCGGAGGAGAAACCGAGGAAGUCGGGGGACACUUCAGGUAAUAAAAACGAUUUCGGGUCUGGAUCUGGCAGAUGCCUCGCACAUGGAGUAGAUGAGAUGUGGCAGGGAGCAAUGGUGGCGGAGGCUGGCGAUGAUGUGCACAGGGGCGAGAGUGAGCCAGAAACGCAAACGAGGGAGUUGUGGUGAAGGGAAUCGUUACCCCUGCAUGAAGUUGAACGCGCGAUGGGAUUGGGGAGGUGGGUGUGGGGGGGUUUGCAUCAGCUCGUGCCUGCAUGCAAGGAACUGAGGAUUCAUGCGUAUCCGCUCAGCCUGGCUCGGGAGCCCUAUAUGCAUCAGUCGGGCCAGGCCCAGUUAUGUGUGCAGUCUACAAACACCCAGUUAUUGCACGGGGGAUGAGAGUAAGCAAACACGCCCUAGAGGAAUAACAACAUAUGCAUCAUCAAAAUAUUGAACGAAUACCAACUUCACAUGUACUUAUAACAAGACUUCUCUUAUGUCCUCAAGAACAAACGGGACUACUCACAAAUCAUAUUCAUGUUCAAUAUCAGAGGAGUAUAAUAUAUGAUUGAGGAUCUAAACAUAUAUUUUUUUUCACCAAAUAAACCAACUAGCAUCAAAUCCAAGAUGUAAUCAACACUACUAGCAACUCAAAUGUAUUAAUCUAAGAUUUGGAGGCAAAGAUCGAAUACAACAGAUGAACUAGGGUUUGAGAUAAGAUGGUACUGGUGAAGAUGUUGAUGGAGAUGAGUCCUCCCAUGAUGAGAUGAGCAUUGAUGAUGCCAAUAGUUUCGAUUUCACCCUCCUAGAGGGAAGUAUCUGCGGCGAAAUCGCUCCGCCGGAAAGCAAAUGUGCUCCUGCUCAGGUUCCACCUCGAGACGGUGGCUCUUUGUCCCGAAAAUAUUCUUCUAUUUUUUUUUGGGAAAAAGGCUUCAUAUAAGAGAAGGGGGCCACAGAGGCCUGCUGUUGGGUCCACAAGCUUAGGUGGCGCGCCCCACCUAAGAUUGUGGCUUUCUGGUGGGGUCCCUCCUCGUGAUUCUUCUUUCAGUAUUUUUAUUAAUUCCAAAAUAAAUCUUCGUAAAAUUUUAGAUCAUUUGGAGCUCCAGAGAAUAGUUAUCUCUGUUGUAGCUCUUUUUAGGCCCAGAAUUCAGGCUGCCGGCGAUUUUCCUCUCCAUAGAAAUCUUGCACAAUAAGAGAGAAAAUACAUUACAAUUGCGUCAUAAAGUGAAAUAUGACUCUAAAACAUUAUAAAUAAUAGUAGAAAAACAUGAAACGUGAUCAACUAAAUUUUUGGGACAAAUCAACUAAAUUUUUGUGUGAAUUUAAAUAAUGUUAAAUAUAAAAAAUCCAUAGAAAGAAAGUUUAGCGCAAAAUGAAUGUACGUAAAUUCUUUGGGACAAAUCAACUAAAUUUUUGUUUGAAUUUAAAUAAUUUUAAAUAUAAAAAAUCCAUAGAAAGAAAUUUUAGCGCAGAAUGAAUGUACGUAAAUUCUUUGGUACAAAUCAACUAAAUUUUUGUUUGAAUUCGAACAAUGUUAAAUAUAAAAAAUCCAGAGAAAGAAAGUAUAGCACGGAAUGAAUGUACGUAAAUUCUUUGGGACAAAUCAACUAAAUUUUUGUUUGAAUUCGACAAUGUUAAAUAUAAAAAAAUCCAAAGAAAGAAAGUAUAGCGGCGAAUGAAUGUACGUAAACUCUUUGGGACAAAUUAAUGGAAUUUUUGUUUGAAUUUGAUUAAUUUUAGAUUUAGAAUCUAGAUAAAGAAAAUAUAGUGUCGUAUGAAUGUACGUAACCUUUUUUUUGGGGGGAAAUCAACUAUUUUUUAAAUUCAAAUAAUGUUAAAUAUAAAUAUUGAGAUAAAAGAAAAUAUAGCGCAGAAUGAGUGUACGUAAAUUCUUUGGGACAAAUCAAUGAAAUUUUUGUUUGAAUUCAAAUAAUUUUAAAUCUUUAAAUCUAGAUAACAGGAAAUAUAGUGUAGUAUGAAUGCAUGUAAUUUUUUGGACAAAUCAACUAAAUUUUUGUUUGAAUUCAAAUAUGUUUAGUCUAAAAAUCUUUUGGACAAAAUAUGUUUGAAUUCAACUAUAUUUUUUGGAUAAAAAAAUAUAAUGCAGAAUGAAUGUACGUAAAUUCUUUUGGACAAAUCAACUAAACAAGAACGGACAAAAUAAAUUUCUUUUAUCCCUAUUUUACAUCAUGUGUCCUUGUGGUCGUCACUCAUUUGCAGGUUCAAACAGCGGGCUUCUUAUUAUUUGGUUAGAUUUACCUUUAAUUUUUUCGGUCAGUCUUGAAAUGAUAUUCGUUUGGUGGCUGUACGGGUGGGUGAGCCUACUAGCAGUGGAUGUGCGUUCUAACUUCUAAACCACCAGCCCCUCCUUUUUUCAUUUUAUUUGAGGGACUCUGUGUGCGUCAAUGAAAAAAAUGCAAGGCAAUUUCUGUAGAAAAAAAAUCCAGUGCAGCCGCUACCAGCCACUGACAGUGGCCGCCUGUACGCUGGCACGCCAGGUAAGCGCAAAAUACGGCUGGAUAUGGGAGGAAGCACCGUAUUUGAACUAUCGGACAAGUUCGCUGACCAGAAAUAUAUAUUUUACAAGUUUAUACACUAAACUGACCGUUAACGUGCAAGUUCUAUGACCCAUGAUGUAUUUAGGUCUUGAAUAAAGCCCUAUGCUUCAUUAGAAAGGAAAAACAUGUCACUGUCGAAUUCAAAAGGAAAAACAGGUCACCGUCGAAUAACCCAAAGUUCCAGGACAUCAGCACCCACUGGACAAACAAAUGUGGACGUUCUACUCGCCAAUGAUUCAACAACAUACUAACAGAAAAGACACAUCUGUGCUUACAAGAUUUAAGAUUCCAGCGCGAUAAAAUUACAACAAGACGAGACAGACUCUGUGGUCGGAAAUUUGUAUACAGCUGAAAGCCUGAAACUGCAGCAACAUCUAGGGCGCAAAGCUUGACUGUUGGUGUGUCUAACUAAAAUGAACAAGGGCAUGAACCACUACACACGAGGUGAUGAAGGGGGCAGCUUUGUCUCUAGAGGUCUUUCACCUGACCGUAGGAUAGCCGUCGCCCGUUGAGGAUUGCAGUGGUUGAAGCUUCAGUUUCGUCGGACUUGAAUUUCCACUCUGAAAAUGAACCACCAUACCUGCAUCUCUGCUCAAGGACAACCAGUACUGUAGUUCCAAUUCCCAACACACCCUGAACUUACUUCUACAGAUUAUCACAAUUCCUCUACUAACCUUAGUACACAUCAUUAACUCAACUAGUAAUAAUGUACGUAUUUCCCAGCUCCUGAAUCACUGCUAUGAUAACCACGCCCAUCCAAGUGCAGUAUAAGGAUCAGUCAUGCAAACCAUACCUGCCAGUUUACUGAAACUGAAAUUAUCAGGGAACUCGUGAACCAUCCCCAUUUGCUUGCAUACUGCAGGUCCGGCUUCCAUUACCUACAAUAUCACAGCAUUUUCUAAGGAAGCAGUUACCCACAACAAUUGAACUAGUACAUCUGUUCUAGAGAAUUGUGGUACAUGAGGCCGCCUUUCAUUCAAAGCUUCCUAUACACUCACUUCCCUCUGGGAACGUAAGUAAAGCACUGACCUUGUACAGCUAGGAAUCAGCAAGUUCCUGGAGGAGUCUGACUGACUACAAAAUUACACUUGCCCAGAUUCUUCAUAGCAAAGGAUGCAUUCCAAAGCUUGCCACCACAUUGUGUGACGAUUCGGUAUUCGACUGGACAAUCUGUGCAACUUCUACUCGCUUCAUUCACUGCUACUCAAUGUAAAAUAUUAAGAGACCAUGACAGUUCUAAUGCAAAGGAUACAGAGGAGCUAACUGCAGUCCCCUCCACAUUUUCUCAUCCGGGCUUGGGACCGGCAAAGGCAGUGUUAAACUACUCCUACUUAAACACAAAAAACAGCAAACACUACAAACAAUUAUAUUGAGCUAAGCAUACAAGCCAAGCAACCAACCAAAGGCGGCAUUGGCAUGACACACGAUUGGCAAUAAAUAUUCAUGCCGUGCGGAACAAACAAAGAAUGCCAUAAAUUCCAGAACCUGAAUGGGAGUAACUAAUUUAUCUAGUGGGAUGAGCGUGAUUCCAAUCUUUGCACAGAGAAAGCUUUAGUAGUUCUAUGCCAUUAUAGGGUCAGAGGACCGUAAGGUGUGUUAACAGACUUCCGUGUCUUCAAAAUCUAGGAUUUAUUAUGUAGUAUGACUGUAUGAAACAGAAUGGGUUUAUCUAAUUUCCAAGUUAAGAAUAUGCAAUCGGCAGGUAUCAUCAAAUUAGUAGUUUUGCUAGUUGCCAACUAUUUUAAAACUAGGAAGUUGCCCGAAAACUAAGAAUAUAUGUAAUUAAAGAGAACAUGCGAUUCAAGAUUCAGAAUCCAGAUCAAAUUAGCAAAUUGCUGGAAAAGAAGCUCAAUUAGCCAUUAGAGGACCUAAGAUGUGUGAACGCUGUGAAAUUAUAUAUUUAUAAGAAUAUGUAACUGAAGAUUCCAUAAUCCAUAUCAAAUUAGCAGUUCGGUGAAAAGAAGUUCAAAUUAGCAACUACAGGACCAUAAGAUGUGUGAACACCAUGAAAUUUUAGAUUUAAUAAGAAUAUGUAAUGGAAGAUUCCAUAAUCCAGAUCAAAUUAGCAGUUCGCCAUAAGAGAUAAAAUUAGCCAUCGGAGGACCAUAGAGAUGUGUGAGCGCUUUGUGUCUUCAAAUCCAGGAUGAAUGAAAUACGAAACAAACUGCCAUAUGUUGAAAGUAAUCAGCAGGAUUCAUCAUCAAAUUAGCCAAAGUGUUUAAGAAUCAUCAAAUUAGCCACUGUUUUGCUAGUUGUCACUUUAAAGUAGGAAGUUCCCCAGCAAACCGAGAAUCCAGAUCUCACUGGAGAAGCACCAAUGAGAAGAACAUCACUUCUGAAAAUCAACUCCAUACCAACAAACCAGAAUCAUAUUCAGUGGACAUGAGCGGAGUGUUCAGGGCAAAAAUUUUGUUCAAGCUUCCAGUUCAGAACCUUCCAAUUCCCCAUUGUUUAUAGUAUAUAUAGCAAUAACUCCUAACCUCUUUCUGCAUAUCAAGUCAUCAGUAUUACCCUACUACACAGGAGGCCACUACUGUUAAACCAACACAAGUGCGAGGGUGGGAUCUUUCUUUAUCACCAAAGUUAAAAAUAUGUGCACACCAAAAGUUGAUUUUGUGUCAUAAGAUGAACCCAAAGAAUGUAUAUACAUAAUAUACAUAAACCAAGUGCAAUCAUGUAUAUAUGUAGAAUAGUAGACCAACAAAUCCAAGUGUAACCAAUUCAUGUGUAUAUAUAUAAUAUGCAUUAACAUUUUAACUGCAUUCAGAGCUCAUGUACAUGCGAUCUUUUACUUCCUACUACGUGAUAUAUUUGCAAAUUGAAAGAUACAAGCAGCCAAAUAUCAAAACAAAACUUCCUGAAACAGUAUGGUAACCAGGUAAUUAAUAGCCAAACCAAACUUUGAUAAUCUGCUAUACAGACUGAGUACGAACUGAUAUUUCCAUUUUGGAAGACUUCUAGCAUUUUCUUGAUUCGAGCAAAAGAUGAGAUCAUAUUCCAUCCAAGUUGGAAGAGGAUACCGUAACCAGUAAGAUUUUUUUUUAUCAUAUACCGUAACCAGUAAGAUGGCACAACAGAAACCUAGUAAGAUGCUUCAGGACAGUUGAAAGAAUCAGAUGCACACACUACCAACUCCAAGCUGCACCAAAGAUAUGAGGCCACUGAAUGCAAGUUCAAACUGAAAACUACCACAAAGACCAUAUCAUUAUGCUUCAGGAUCAGUAAUCAGAGGUCAAAACCAUCAGGGAAGUCCAUUUGCUUCACCAAGUCCCCGCGCUAACUGACUAUCCAACUCUACAAUCUUGCAAUAAAACCUCCAACAAUGCAAAUCAAUUAACGGCCCAAAUAUAAUCAGCAUACUUCAAGUUUCUUCAAGGAAAGUCAGACCAUAGUGAAAUCUGGUAAAUCAGUUGAAACAAGCAUGGAGUCCAGGUGUAAGUUUUUGUGGUUGAAGGAAGAUUCCAAACGAAGAUCCCAAACAGCCAUUAGACAAACAUAAAUCGAAGAACUUAAUGUAUAGCCACUCAAAUCUGACGUCACCAAGCACAGUUGAGGAAUCCAGUAAACCAGUGUGACCAAGCAUGGGAAACUGACCUGCCUCGAGUCCCCUUCACCAUACGUUCACACACCACAUGGAGCUUCACUCCCAAACCAGAUCAAGAUCCAGUACUGCGAUAACAAAUGAAACAAACAGACUGUCUACGAGACACUGACCUCCAUGUACAGAGCAAAGGUUUGGGCCCAAACUCCUAAUAACAAUUACUUGGCCAACCCACACACAAGACCAAGAGAACACAGGGAUCAAGAGUACAGAUAACAAGCAUGGAGAGCUAGUCAUUGCCCACAUGGCCUGGGAUAAAGAAAAAUCUGCAACCAUAGGAAGGGCAGGGGCAAAAACCUAUAUCAGAGAGAUGGCCAAGUAACUACAUGAAAAAUAAAAUAGGAAGGUAAGAAUCUUUUUCGGUUGUAGGAUGUGUCAUUAGUUGAAAGCUCUGGAUUAUCCUUAUAUUCGUGCUGCAUAUGAAUCUGUAUUUAAAAUAUUGUCUAGUAAGAUAAGUUAUAGGUUAUGUAUAAGUUACAAUGAAUUGAAACGACACUAGUAGAUUUAGAAGAUCAGUAGACGGAUUCAUCGUCAGGCUGGACAGGAGUUCGUCAACUACAUCCUGCAGCGAGCAAGAGACCGUUUCUAUAAAAAAAUUGUUAGGGGAAAUGCUGCUUAUAAAUAGCAAAAGCAUGAAUGAUGAGUGGGAACAAGUAAAGCCUGUCUAGGGUCAGGUAUGGAUGAUGGAGGACAACAACGCCAGUUCCAAACUGAAGUUAUAUCCUUUCCAAGUCAGUAUCUGCAAGAGCUGAUAAUUACCAAGGCAAAGAGAACCUAAUGUCUAGAGUUCAAUUAGAGUAAAAAAGGUUGAAAAAGUUUUAGCCACAGAAGGAACCGCCAUGCCGAGGAAAAAUAGGACCGCCUACUAAGCCAUAUCAUUCCAAUUUCUGGAGAGCCACCAAGAAAUAGUUUAAAUCAGAAUUGUGGAGAACCAAAACAGAACAGUGGAGACGAAAGAGUAAAACAGAGGGAGUGAUAAUUAUCCAAAUGCAGAGCAGCAAGAUGCGUCGCUCCCGCUAAGCCAUAUAAUUCCAAUUUCUGGAGAACCACGAACAUAUCCAAAUAUCCUGCACAUAGGCUCAGACUUCCUAAAUAUAUCCUGCAACUGAUACACGCAGAAGACCAGCACAGGAAUCAAGAGUACAAACCAAACGAUUUUAACAGAUUCCGACUCACUACCAGCAUGGUUUGGGAUUAAUCUGCAACCAAAUGGAGGGUAGAAGGAAAAACCUAAAUCAAAGACAUGAACAAGUAGCUACGUGAAACAAAAAUAAGAGGUGAGUUAAAACUGGAGCAGCCUUUUUCACUGUAAGAUGUUCCAUUAGUUUGAAUCUCCAUUGUUGAACCUUGGCAGAUAAAUCUGAAUUCAAAAUAUUGUCUGGUAAGAUAAUUUUAAAGGCUGACUAAGUUCUGAUGAAUUGAGAAAAUAGUUGAUUUAGAAGAACUGCAAACAGAUUCAAGUCGGCAUCAGGUUGGACGAGUUCAUCAAGUACGAUCUGCAACGAGGAAGAUACCUUUCUAUAAGUUACAAGAGGAAAACUAGGCUCAGCUAAAGCAUGCAUCAAAUGUUGAGGUAAAGGGUAAGUAAGCCUGUCUUGGCCGGAAAGUCAGGUAGACAACACUGGUUCCAAUUAUUUCGCCCCCAAGUCAGCAUCUGCACGAGCUGAGAAUUACCAACCAAGGCAAAGAAAAUAACAUUUUGAAAGUUCAAUUAUCAAGGGAGGAUAAAAGGUCGGAUAUGUUGGACCACAGAAAGAACCACCAUGCCGAGGAAAAAUGGGUCACCCGCUAAGCCAUAUAAUUCCAAUUUCUGGAGAACCAGCAGAAAUUCUAAAUCAGAAUUGUCGGGCAACUAAUUGAGCUAUGGAGAAGAAAUUGUCGGGCCUUAGGCAUUUGCCCGAAGAUCUUGAACCGAGGGUAGGAGGUCAGAGAUCUCCACGGCAGCGCCUCCAAACCGCUGCCGAUGAGCAACAACGGGGCAGGUCUUCACCCGGAGCAUCUCGAACACCACCUCCACGCGCCGCAAUCCGCUCACCCGCUCGCCUCCCAUGCAACAACCGCGCUAUCGCCGUAUGGGAGCCACCACGUAUCUCGCCGGCACCAUGUCGGGCCAGAUCCGGCCGCAACCGGAUCACCAUCUAGCCUCACGCCGGAACCCCGGCUGCCUUCAGCCACCAAACGGACGAGGCCGCCGGGCUAGCAAGCCAGCCAGAUUUGCAGCACCAAGCCGGGAGGGGGCGUGCCACCCUGCCCCAUCCCGCAGUGUGGAGCUGCCGACCCGAAGCACAGGCAGCCCGCAGCAGCCGCUACACCGCCAAGAGGGCGCCGUCGAACAUGCGUAAGCCGCCGACUGCCACCCCAUCUUCCAGAUCCAUGCGCCAGGAGCCACCAAGCCGCCACCAUCCGCCGGAUCCACAGCGGCAGGAGCUGCCAGUGCACCACCGAGACGCUGCCGAGCCGAGCACCACCAUCCCGCGCAGACCGCAGGCAACGCUCGUCGUCGCGCCGGAUCCGCACCUGGCCGCGCCCGCCCACAGCUCCGCGACGCAAAGGGAGACGGCCGCCGCCAGGAGCAGUCCUCCCGCCGCCGGCACCGCACGGGCUUUGCCCGAUGGUGGCCGGGGGGAGGGGGGAGGUGGCCGCUGGUUAACGGCUGGGGCGCCCCAAUGCCACCCGGGUGCGAGAGGCAAAAUAGUGCCAUACUUGCGGCGAUUUGGAUGAGAAGAAGAUGAUGUACUCCCUCCAUUCGAAAUUACUUGUCGCGGAAAUGGAUGUAUCUAGACGUAUUUUAGUUUUAGAUACAUCCAUUUCCGAGACAAGUAAUUCUGAACGGAGGAAGUACGUAUAUCCUAAGAAGUCUAUCGAUAUUUUUGUUAUUCAUGGAUCAAUGCAUUUUGGUCCUAUGCUUUAGAAAGGAAAGACAGUUUGAACCCCACAACGGUUAGGGUCACUUAUGCCGAAUAAUCCAAAAGUUCCAGGACAUCAGCAUCCACUCGACAAACAACUGCGGACAUUCUACUCGCCAAUGAUUCAACAACGUAUAUUAACAUCUGCGCUGAUCAAAUAUUUAAGAUACAGCGCGAUGAAAUUACGAGACGAGACAGACACUGUUGUUGGAAUUUGUAUACAGCCGAAACUGCAGCUAACAUCUACAGUAGUGCGCAAAGCUUGACUGACGGUGUGUCUAACUGAAAGAAACAAGGGCACGUACCUCUACACACGAGGUGAUGAAGGACGUCUCCAGAGGGGAUCGCAGCAAGGCCGGUCCUGAGGUUUUGAGAGCCCGGGCGAAACUCAAACUCGGGGCCCUUUAAUAUAGACAUCAUGACAAUAAAAUUGUUGGUCUGGCAAACGGCGGUUUCCUGAAAAUGGCAACAACAUCGGUCGAUUUUCCUAAGGAGAACACGAGGCGUGAACGGGAGUGACGUGGCCGACCGCAGCAGCUGGGCAAGGCCCACGUUGUCGCGGGUAGCAGGGUCUCGGGGGUAGACACCAGGCCGAAAAAGAGGGGUAGUAGAGUGAUGGUCGGAACGGCGGCAGACCGACAACGCACGAGGUGGCUAUAGCAAGCCGGCGCGUCAGCGUAACACAAGCUGAGGGUGAUGGUGGACAGCAGUACAUCCAGGGACGGAGUUAGAAAAUUGGCAUGGAGGGGGCUAGACUAUAAGCAAUUGGCUUUAUUAUUUUUAUUAAUUACCUCUCUUCCUAAUCGUGUCUUCCAAGUACAAAUGGAUAACUGAAAAUUUCCUAAUUAAUUAUUGAUGUUUGUAACUUCUAAAAUUCAUCCCACUUCUGUAGUUUUAUAGUCACAAAUUAAUCUAAUGUAAAAAAUAGAGCUGAGGCGCAAUCAAAUUAGAUAUAGCGUAAACUAACCUUUCUUCCUUAGACCAUCACUGUCAUGCUUAUUCGUGUGGGUGACACCAGCCGGCCGGCCAUGCGUGGUGCCCCUGCAGUUCUGCAUUGCUGCCCUUCUCACCCUCUAUGGAUCCACUGGUAUCAGCUUGAUCAGGCGCUCUGCUGAAUCGAUGUCCAUUGGCAGGCAGUCGGCGAACGUGCGUUUGUGCGUGUGCUACAAGGACUUGGAGUCCAGAUCGCGGAGAACGGAGUUGCGGACUUCAUCGGCGACUCGGCGUCGGCGCAUCGCGACUCCACCUGCGACUCUCGGUCGCGGCCAGUCAGCUAGGGUUAACCUGAAUCGGGAUCGGGAAGAAGAAUCGGGCCACCCGCGACUCACGAAGACACCGUGUGAUCGGUGUAAUCAGCGGCUACAUGCCUUCCUAGCCCAUGGGCUACCUGCCUACGUAACAGGCUUUUGGGGGGCCCUGGAUUUGGGGGGCCCGGGGCGGCCGCCCCCCCUGCCCCCCCCUCAGGGCCGGCCUCGCAGUGGUUGAAGCUUCUUCAGUUUUGUCGGACUUGAAUUUCUACUCUGAAAAUGAACCACCAUAUAUCUGCAUCCCUGACUUUCUUAUGGGCGCAAAAUGAGAUUGUGUGAACGGUAACCACAACUUGACAAGGACAACCAAUAAUGUACGUAUUUCCGAACACGCCCUGAACUUGCUUUUACAGAUUACAAAAAUUCCUCCGCUAACCUCAUUAACUCAACUUGUAAUAAUGUACUCGUAUUUCCCAACUCCUGAAUCACUGCUAUGAUUACCACUACCAUCCAAGUGCAAUAUCAGGACCAGUCACGCAAACGUACCUGCUAGUUUACUGUAACUGAAAUUAUCAGGGAACUCUGUGAACCAUCCCCACUUGCUUGCAUCUGCUACCCUUUUACCCUACUGCGGAUCUCUUGUCCAGCAAUACCACAGCAUUUUCUAGGAGACCUUUCAUGCAAGGCUUCCUACACACUCACGACUUCCCUUCGGGGAAGGUAAGUAAAACACUGACCUUGUACAGCUAGAAAUUCAGCAAGUUGUUGACAGUCCCGACUAACCAAAAUUACCCUUGCCCAGAUUCUUCAUAGCAAAGGUCUGUGCAGCUUCAGUAUUCGACUAGGACAGUCUGUGCAGCUUCUACUCGCUUAAUUCGCUGCUACUCAAUGUAAAAUAUUUGGGCACCAUGACAGUUCUAAUGCAACCGAUACAGAGGAGCUAACUGCAGUUCCCUCCACAUUUUCUCAUCCGGGCUUGGGACCGGCAAAGGCAGUGUUAAACUACUCCUACUUAAAACACAAAAAUUAGCAAACACUACAAACAAUUAUUCAGGUAAGCAUACAAGCCACGUAAUCAACCAAAGGAAGCACUGACACCACACACGAUUGGCAAUAAAUAUUCACGCAACAUUUUCGGAAGAUCAUCACACAGACAUAGGGCACAAACAAAGAAUGCCAUAAAUUCCAGAACCUGAAUGGGAGUAACUAAUUACACUAGUGGGAUGAGCGCGAUUCAAGUCUUUGCACAGGGAAAGCUUUCGAAGUUUUAGCCAUUAUAGGGUCAGAGGACUGUAAGAUGUGUGAACAGAUACUUCUGUGUCUUUAAAAUCUAUAUAUAGGAUUUAUUAUUUAGUAUGAAACAGAAUGGGUUUGUCCAAGUUUCAAGUUACGAAUAUGCAAUCGGUAGGAAUCAUCAAAUUAGUACUUCUGCUAGUUGCCAACUAUAUUAAAACUAGGAAGUUGCCAGAAAACUAAGAAUAUAUGUAACUCAAGAGAAUAUGUGGUUCAAGAUUCAGAAUCCAGAUCAAAUUAGCAGUUCACCGGCAAAGAAGGUCAAUUAGCCAUUAGAGGAUGUGUGAACGCUAUGAAAUUAUAGAUUUAAGAAUAUGUAAUUGAAGAUUCCAUAAUAAUCCAUAUCAAAUUAGCAGUUUGACAGUAAAGAAGGUCAAAUUAUCCAUUAGAUGACCACAAGAUGUGUGAACGAUAUGAAAUUGUCUAUUUAAUAAGAAUAUGUAAUGGAAGAUUCCGUAAUCCAGAUCAAAUUAGCAGUUUGCCGUAAAGAGAUCAAAUUAGCCAUUGGGGGACCGUAGAGAUGUGUGAGCAUUUUGUGUCUUUAAAUCCAGGAUGAAGUACGAAACAAACUGCCAUAUGUUGAAAGUAAUCAGCAGGAUUCAUCAUCAACUUAGAGUGUGUUCAGGAAUCAUCAAAUUGGCCAGACUGUUCUGCUAGGUGUCAAUUUAACCAAACCGAGAAGAUGCAUUGAAGAAUCCAGAUCUCACUGGAGAAGCACCAAUGAGAAGAACAUCACUUCUGAAAAUCAACUCCAUACCAACAAAGCAGAAUCAUAUUCAGUGAACAUGUUCAGGGCAAAAUAUUUGUUCAAGCUUCCAAGCUCAGAAGCUUCAACUAUCUAUUGUUUUAGCAUAUAUAGCAAUAACUCCUAACCACUUUAUGCAUAUCAAGUCAUCAUUAUUACCCAACUACAGGAGGCCAACCAACACAAGUGCGAGCGUGGGAUCUUUCUUUAUCACCAAAGUAAAAAAUAUGAGCACACCAAAAUUUGAUUUUGUGUCAUAAGAUGGACCUAAACAACGUAUAAUCAUGGACAACAGUAUGUAGAAUAUGACAAAUCCAAGUAUGACCAAUUCAUAUAUAUAUAUAUACAUAUAUAUAUAUAUAUAUAUAUAUAUAUAUAUAUAUGCAUUAACAAUUUUUACUGUGUUCAGAGCUCAUGUACAUACGAUCUUUACUUCCUAUUGGGUGAUAAAUUUGCAAGUUGAAAGAUACAAGCAGCCAAAUAUCACACUUCCUGAAACAGUAUGGUAACCAGGUAAUUUAUAGUCAAAUCAAACUUUGAUAAUCUGCUAUACAAACUGAGUAUGAACUGAUAUUUCCAUUUCGGACCCUUAUUUGAGACUUCUAGCAUUUUCUUGAUUCGAGCAGAAGAUGAGAUCAUAUUCCAUCCAACCACAUGCAAGUUGAAGAAGAUACCAUGACCAGUAAAAUGGCAGAACAGAAACCAAGUAAGAUGCUUCAGGACAGUUGAAAGAAUCAGAUGUGCACACUACCAACUCCAAGCUGCACCAAAGAUAUGAGGCACUGAAUGCAAGUUCAAACUGAAAACUACCACAAAGACCAUGGCAUUAUGCUUCAGGAUCACUAAUCAGAAGUCAAAACCAUCAGGGAAGCCCAUUUGCUUUCACCAAGUCCCAGUGCUGACUGACUACCCAACUCUACAAUCUUGCAAUAAAACCUCCAAUAAUGCAAAUCAAUGAACGGCCCAAAUAUGACAGGCAUACUUAUCUUCAAGGAAAACCAGACCAUAAUGAAAUCUGGGAAAUCAGUUGAAGCAAGCAUGGAGUCCAGGUUUAAGUUUUUGUGGUCAAGGAAGACUCCUCCAUCCAGAACGAAGCUCCCAAACAGCCAUCAGACAAACAUAAAUCAAGGAACUUAAGGUAUAGCCACUCAAAUCUGACGUCACCAAGCACAGAUGAGGAAUCCAGUAAAUCAAUGUGACCAAACAUGGGAAACUGACCUGCCUCAAGUACCCUUCACCGUUCACACACCAUAUGGAGCUUCAUUUCCAGACCAGAUCGAGAUCCAGUCCUGCAAGCUAAAUUGUAGAGGAGGCCAUAACAAAUUAAACAAACAGACCGUCUACAAGAAUCUGACCUUACUCCAUGUACAGAGCAAAGGUUUGGGCGCAAACUCCUAACUAUUAUAUCUUGCCAACCCACACUCGCAGAAGACCAAGAGAGCACAGGGAUCAAGAGUACAGAUAACAACCAUGGAGAGCUAGUCAUUGCCCACAUGGCCUGGGCUAAAGAACAAUCUGCAACCAUAGGAAGGGCAGGGGCAAAAACCUAUAUCAAAGAGAUGGCCAAGUAACUAAUAAAUGAAAUAAAGAAAAUAGGAAGGUAAGAGUCUUUUUCGGUUGUAGGAUGUGCCAUUAGUUGAAAGCUCUGGAUUAUCCUUAUAUUUUUUUUGCAUAUGGAUCUGUAUUUAAAAUAUUGUCUUAUAAGAUAUUUCAUAGGUUAUAUAAGUUAAAAGAAUUGAAACGAUACUAGUAGAUUUAGAAGAUCAGUAGAUGGAUUCACCGGGUUGGAAAGGAGUUCUUCAACUACAACCUGCAGCGAGCAAGAGGCCUUCUCUAUAAAUUUUUGGUUAGGGGAAAUGCUGCUUAUAAAUAGCUAAAGCAUGGAUGAAACAAUGUGGGAACAAGUAAAAGCCUGUCUAGGGUCAGGUAUGAAUGAUGGACGACAACACCGCCAGUUCCGAACUGCAGUUUCCUUUCCAAGUCGGUAUCUGCAAGAGCUGAGAAUUACUAAGGCAAAGAAAACCUAAGGUCUAGAGAGUUCAAUUAUAGAGUAAAAAAGGUUGAAAAGUUUUAGCCACAGAAGGAACUGCCACGACGCAAAAUAGGACCGCCUUCUAAGCCAUAUUAUUCCAAUUUCUGGAGAGCCACCAACAAAUAGUUCAAAUUAGAAUUGUGGGAAACCAAAACAGAACAGUGGAGACGAGAGAGUAAAAGAGAGGGAGUGAUAAUUAUCCAAACGCAAAGCAGCAAGAUGUGUCUCUCCGCUAAGCCAUAUAAUUCCAAUUUCUGGAGAGCCAACAUAUCCAAAUAUAUAUCCUGCGGCCCAGACUUCCUAAAUAUAUCCUGCAACUGAUACACGCAGAAGACCAGCACAGGGAUCAAGAGUACAAACAACAAAUCGAUCCAGAGAGAGAGAUAGACCGCAAACCAAAUGAUUUAACAGAUUCCGACUCACAACCAACAUGGUUUGGGCUCAAUCUGCAACCACCAAAGGGAGGGUAGAAAGAAAAACAUAAAUUAAAGACAUAAACAAGUAGCUACGUGAAACAAAAGAUAAGAGGUGGGUUAAAAUAGUCUUUUUCAUUGUAGGAUGUUCCAUUAGUUUGAUUCUCCUUUGUUGAACCUUUGCAGAUAUGUAUUCAAAAUAUUUCCUGGUAAGAUAAUUUUAAACGUUAUCUAAGUUAUGAUGACUUGAGGAAAUAGUAGAUUUAGAAGAACUGCAAACAGAUUCAACUCAGCACCAGGUUGGACUUGAGUUCAUCAACUACGACCUGCAACGAGGAAGAUGCCUUUCUAUAAGUUAAGAGGAAAACUAGGCUCCGCUAAAGCAUGCAUCAAAUGCUGAGGUGAAGGGUAAGUAAGCCUGUCUCGGCCGCGAAGGUCAGAUAGACAACACUGGUUCCAAUUAUUUUGCUUCCAAGCCAGCAUCUGCAAGAGCUAAGAAUUACCAACCAAGGCAAAGAAACAAAUGUCUAGAAAGUUCAAUUAUCAACGGAGGACAAAAGGCCAGAUAUGUUGGGCCACAGAAAGAACCGCCAUGCUGAGGAAACAUAGGAUCACCCGCUAAGCUGUAUAAUUCCAAUAUCUGGAGAACCAGCAACAAAUCUAAAUCAGAAUUGUUGGACAACUAAUUGAGCUGAGAAGAAAUUAAGAAGAGAGUAAUGAUCAUCCAAACGCAGGUCAGCAAGAAGAUAGGUCGCUCCCGCUAAGCCAUAUAAUCCCAAUUUCUGGACAACCAGCAAGAGAUCCAAAUCAGAACUGUGGGGGACUAAAGUUGAAUUGUGGAGAAUGAAUUAAAUAGAGGGGUUCAUAAUCAUCCAAACACUGAUCAACAAGAAGAUAGGUUGCUCCUGCUAAACGCCCAAUUUCUGGAGAACCACAAACGAAUUCAGAACUGCCAAUGACUAAAUUGUACUGUGCAAACCAAAUAAAUUGAAUUGGGAUGAAAUUCAUUAUCCAAAUGCAGAUCACAAGUUUCAGGUUGGCAAGAGAUCCUAAGCUUCAUUAUCCAAUCAAUCAAAACGACGAACAGAAGCCAAACCUCCACCCUAUGAUUCAUCUGUGCAGAACUACUACACUCCUGCAUCUGCUGCAAGCAAAGGAGCACAAACACACACCAAAAGUGCGAUCAGCUGCUACAAUAAGAAUGCACCAGGACCUCUAAUCCACCUCAUAUUAGCUGAUGAUGCGUGAUGAGAACCAGAAGACAACACCGUCGAUAGCCAUUCAAAUCUGACCUGCUCAAAUCCCCUUCGACAUACAACACCACAGAGAUCUCCACAUUCCAGAUCCAAUCCUGCAACCAAUGUGUGGAGGAACACAACUAAACCAAACAAACCGUUGAUAGAACACUGACCUGACUCACUGUACAGAGAUUUGCCUUCCUAAAUAUGGCCUGCAGUCGACAGGAUAAGAGUACAGAUAACGAAUUGAAACGCAUAGAGAUAGAUUGCAAACCAAACGAUUUUAACAGAUUUCGACUGACUACCAGCACUCUCUGGGCUAAAAUAAAUCUGCAACCACAGGGGCAGAAGCAAAAAAGCCUAAAUCAAAGGCAUGAAGAAGUAGCUACAUGAUAUAAAAAAAAGAGGCAAGAGUUAAAAAUGGAGGAGUCUCUUUUUUGUUUGUAGGUUUUGCCAAGUUUGAAGCUCCAUUCGUGCACCUUUGAGAUAAAUCUGAAUUCAAAAUAUUGCCUAGUGAGAAGAUCUUAAAGGUUAUCUAAGUAUAAUGAUGAAUUGAUUAGAAAAAACUGCAAACAGAUUCAACUCAGCAUCAGGUUGGACUUUGCAUUCGUCAAACCUGCAACGAGCAAGAUAUGCCUCCGUAAAUUAUUGGAAAACUAGGCUCAACUAAAGUAUGCUUCAAACGAGGAGGUAAAAGUUAUAAGGAAGUUUGGGCUGAGAAGGUCAGGUAGACAGCACCGAUUCCAAUUAUAUCCCUUCCAAGAUGGUCACUGUUUCUGCAAGAGCUGAGAAUGACAAACUAAGGCAGAGAAACUUGUCUGGUGUUUUCUAAUUAUGUUAUUAAUAGAGUAAGAAAAUGUUUGAGCCACAGAAGAACCGCCGUGCCGAGGGAAAACUGGACCACCCGCUAAGCCGUAUAAUUCCAACUUCCGUUGUACCAGCAACAAAUCCAAAAUCCAAAUCAGAAUUGCGUGGAGACUAACUGAAGUGGAGAGAAGGAAAUAAACAGAGUGUAAUGAUUAUCCAAACACAGGUCAUGAAGGAUUAAAGUCGCUCCCGGUAAGCCGUAUAAUCCCAAUUUCUGGACAAUCAUCAACAACAGAUCUAAAUCAGAACGGACUAAAAUUGAGCCAUGUAGAUGAAGGAAUUAAACAGAGGGGGUAAUAAUAUAAUAAUCAUCCAAACACAAGUCAAGAUAGGCCGCUCCCUCCCCCUAUGCCUUGUAAUCCAAUAUCUGGAGAAGCACCAACAAACGGGAAUCAGAAUUGCCGUUGACUAAUGUGCGAACCGAGAAACUAAACUGGGAGGGAUUUAGUAUUUAUUAUCCAAACGCGGAUCGUAGGUUGCAGGUUGGCAAGAGACCCUAAGCUUCAUCACCCAAAAGAUCUGACCAUGUCAUCAGAAUAAACAACCGGUGAACUGUAACCAACCAACCAGUCAGAAUAAUCAUGAACAGAAAUCAAACCUCCACCAACUCCACGAGGGCCUUGAUUAAUCCACCUCGUACCAACGAAUUAUUUGGCGGAAUAAACCACAGCGGUCGGGGAACCAGAAGAUCACGCGGGCCAUAUCCAUUUGAUUUGAAAGCUGGAAUAUAUCACGGACGAACGCAGGGGAUGGAACCAAGGAAGCGAUCUGAGAGAGCACGGGAAACUGACCUUGCCUCGGCCUCCGGCUCCACAAUCAGAGCUCCAAUUCCAAAAACCAGGCUCGACGAUCCUGCAACCAACGCGCGCGGAUGCGAACACGAAUACGAGGAACACAGGAUCCACGGUUGCAAGCAAACAGAAGCGGACACGCGAAACAGACUCUGAGAUAGACUCGCAAACCAGAUGAAUGAAUCCCCCGACCCAUCGCUUCCCGGGCUCGCACGGAGGCGGACGAGACGGGCCGGAUUGGAAUGCCCUGCGAGCACAUCAAGGCAACGGCGACGGCGAGUGAAUGAAAUCAAAUCAAACGCGAUUCGAAACGAAUCGGGAAUUGAUGGACAAGGGGUAGGAGACGGUCGCGGAGACGCGAGAAGAUGGCUCGCUCAGGCGAUCGAGGCCGGAGGCGCGGCCGGAACGAAAGCUCCGGAGGAGAAGAGAGGAGGGCAGAGCGCGGGGUGGAGGGGGCGCGCCUGGGGCGCCUUUUGUAGCCGGCGCAGAGGCGGUGCGGGAGGGGGAGGCGGCCUGGCGCUGGCGCCAACCGGUUCCUUACCGGACCGGACACGGCUUCGCCUCGCUGAUUAGGCAAGGGAUUAAUCAGGCUUUCUGGUCACAGGUGGGCGGCGGAAAUCAAACGGGAGUGGACCUGGUGAGAUCCGGACCGGGUUUGGUUCGGGUGGGCGGGUGGCUGGCAGGUCGGCAAAGCAUCGGGUUGGGACGUGGGCCACACCGACGGAACGCGGAAUUUCUAGGCUGCUCGCUGCUCGGGGGUUGCGACGGGCCAUGUGAUGUGAGGCUGACCGUGUCCGCGAGUGCGAGCCGCGACGAACAGGUCCGUGGAUGGGAUGAGAACGUGGAACAGGCGGUGCCGUGGAUGGGAACGUGGUCCGCGGAAAUAUCUGCCGUGUUUACACAAUCAACGUGCUCGCUAGCUUUUUUAUUUUUUAUUUUUGGAAAAUGAUAAAAAAACAAACGUCUGAUUUUUGAAGUUUCAGCCCUAAGCAACUCCAACCUGCCGACCCAAACGGACGGUGCUUUUACCCGCUUUUCCUUUAUUUGGGUCGGUCUGCCGGACACCCAUGUCCGCUUUCGCUUUGGGGUCGGCGCUUACGCCCAACACUGUCCCGACCCAUUUUUGAGCCGGCGCGAAAAAAAACCGCGUUCGCAAACAUUUAAAAAAUAAAAACGUUAAUUAAACAUUAAUGUCGGCUACAAAGGUCGAUGAGAAUUAAAUAAAACUACAAACUACUAGGAAGUGCGCUGCCCUAAAAGGCCUCGUCGUCAUCGUCGAGCCUGGUGAGGUCGAUGAGCGUCGGCGUCGGGCCACCCAACGGGAACGUCGUCGACCAGGACAUCGUCCGCCGCCGGCUGGGCUGGCCCACCGCGGGCAAGACAUACCUCCUCCUCCGCCUCGCGGCGCUUCUCCUUCGCGUCGCGCUCCAGCUGCUCGAGGUACUCGCCCUCGCGACGCUCCUCAGCCAGCCUUUGCUGCCGCCAUUGCUCGAGGUACGUCUGCUCCCGCGCAGGGGGCGCCCCCAACCAGACCGGUGGCGCGCUGACCCACUUGCGCACCACCCCAGUCCAUGAGUAGUGCUCGAUGGGGGUCGGCAUCGGCUCGGCCUUGACGGGGGACAACGCCCUCAAAGGCGGCAGGACCCAGUCGCCGGCCACGGAGAGUGCCACGGCCUCCGCAAUGCGUGCCUGGUACGCCUCCUCCUCCUCCCCCUUGCGCCGCUCCUCCUCGCUUUCAUAGAGGACUGCCGCCAGCGUCGCCUAGUAGGCGGCCUCCGCCUCAUGGUCCUCGUCAUGCUCGACGAGGGCCGGCGGCGGGGAGCCAUGCCGCACGUCGCGGACACCGCGCCUCCUAGCCUCUCAUGCUCGAACGCGAACCAGUGCUCCCAAGUGGGAGAGUCGAACACGUAGGUGGGGGCACGAUGCUGCUCCGGCGUCAGCAGCUGCCACCGGGGUCGAAUCUCCUCCGCGUGCGCCCGCGCCAACCGCGACGCCGCCGCCGGCACUGGGAACCUCCUCCAUCGUGCGCCUGUGUCAGUCGUCUGGCAGCUUCACAUCGGGGUAGGGAAGGGGGGACGCGGUGCUUCCAGUGCCACUUCGCCUGGUGCACUGGCACAUUGAUGCGCUGCCGCGCCCAGCGAGAAGACGCCAACGGGGGAAACAGGUGGCGGGGGGCUUUCCCUUGCCCUUGCCGGAGAAGAAGCCCAUCACGGUGGCUAGGGUUUGUCGCUGACGAGGGAGCAAAGUGGGUUGUUGAGAUGGGGACGGGGGCCUCCGGAAGCGGAUGAGGACGGUUCACGACCGCAGGCUCGGGAUUAAAAAAGGUCGACCGCUGUCACUGGCGCGUGGGCCCGCGGUGGGUGCUUGUCAUUAAUAAAGACGACCGCGAUAGCUAAACGGCCGCCAGGUGGGAACACAGCGGACACCGAGAGGGCGUGCGGCGUGUCCACGUCGACGCAUUUCAUCCGCGAAUGGGUCCGCACAGACGCGAAGCGGACGCGUUUUGGGAAUGCAUCAGCGUGUUGGGCCAGCACAUUUCUCCACGGCGACCCAAACAGACGGUGGCGGGCAAAAUGGGUACCUGCGUUGGAGUUGCUCUAACAUUGUAAGGACCGUUGAAUUGUAGUACGAAUCUUGAAGCAAGAACGAUCAGCCACGUCAGCGAAGGAUAUUGUCGGUGUCAAAACCGACGGAUCUCGGGUAGGGGGUCCUGAACUGUGCGUCUAAGGUCGAUGGUAACAGGAGACGGGGGACACGAUGUUUACCCAAGUUCGGGCCCUCUCUAUGGAGGUAAUACCCUACUUCCUGCUUGAUUGAUCUUGAUGAAUAUGAGUAUUACAAGAGUUGAUCUACCACAAGAUCGUAAUGGCUAAAACCCUAGAAGUCUAGCCUAUGGGAUUAUGAUUGUGUCCUAUGGACUAAACCCUCUGGUUUAUAUAGAAACUGGAGGGGGCUAGGGUUGUACAAGGUCGGUUACAGAGAAAGGAAUCUACAUGUCGAAUCAUCAAGCUUGCCUUCCACGCAAAGGAGAGUCCCAUCCGGACACGGGAAGAAGUCUUCUGUCUUGUAUCUUCAUAGCCCAACAGUCCGGCCCAUGUAUAUAGUCCGUCCGUCCGAGGACCCCUUAAUCCAGAACUCCCUCAGUAGCCCCUGAACCAGGCUUCAAUGACGAUGAGUCCGGUGCGCAAAUUGUCUUCGGCAUUGCAAGGCGGGUUCCUUCUCCGAAUACUUCAAAGUAGACUUCGAACACAAGAAUCGUGUCCGGCUCUGCAAAACAAGUAGCACACACAACCGUAGAGAGUAUAAUAUUUCACGGGCCCAAUCCGCUGACAACUUUUCGUAGCGUGACAUCACGUCACCGCCCGGUCAUUAUACGAACUGUUUUUUUAGCCUGCCGCUUCAUAUUUUGAGGUGCAGUUUUAUUGGCCCAUCUUGUCAAAGCAGAGAUUGUAUCCUCUUAUUACGGGAUUCUCAUCAAUACGGGUGUUGGUAACCCAACCAUUCCGUUGGCAUGAUUCCUUGGGAAUAGGCAUGUUUUAAGGCCUAGGAGGGACGUCUGAUAUUCAUUGCCCUUAUAAAGGAGUGGAGACUCGUCCUUCUUCCUUUACGCCAAGUCCUUUCAACCUUUCCCAUCUCGAGUUCUAGCACCCAAAGCACAAUCUAAUCACUUCGCGCUUCAUGAUCAUGUCUGGCCCCAACCGUCAAGGCUGGUGGGUGGCUUCCUCUGUCACAAAGGAGGAUAUCGCGAAGCUCUGGGAGGCAAGAUACCUGACUACGGAAAUCCUCCACAUGCUUCCUGCUCAAGGGCAGGUUAUUCCCACUCCCAGAUCUAAUGAGAGGGUUGUAUUCAUCUCCCACUUCCUCCGAGGGUAGGAUUUUCUCUUCAUCCCUUCGUCCGAGGGCUCAUGUUCUAUUACGGAUUAGAUUUUCAUGAUCUAGCCCCAGACUCUUUCCUUCAUAUCUCGUCGUUCAUUAUCGUAUGGGAAGCCUUCCUCCGUAUUCCCCCACACUUUGGCUUGUGGCUCAAGACCUUUAAUGUGAAGCCGAAGGUAAUCAAUGGGAAACAGGCGGAGUGCGGUGGUGCUGUGGUGAGCAAGCUCGCCAAUACUACUUGGCCAAAGGGCUCCUUCAUGGAAACUUCCGACCUGUGGCAGCAUGAGUGGUUCUACAUCACCGAACCCCGUGGUACCAGGUGGGCAGCUACUCCUACAUUCCGAUCUGGCCCUCCGUUAUAGCUCGUGUCAUGGAUUAAUAAGGGGCCGGACUGGGGAUCCAUCAAUGAAGUGUAGACGCUACAAAGCCGCAUUCGGAGCCUUAUUGAGAAGGACACCGGUCUCAUCAACGUAAUCCAAGUAAUGCUAGUCCGACGAGUCCUACCGUGCCAGCGACGGCCUCUCCGCAUGUGGGAGUUUAAUCUGGAAGGACCACGAACCAUUCAGCACCUCUCCGGCGCAACGCUCAGAGGAAUGUAGAAAUCAUUCUUCGGGACUCGAAAACAGUGGCCAUGUACUACAGAGGACAUCAGCCUUGACUGCAACCAUCCGGAUACAUCGGUAAGUACUCAACUUCCGAACACUGUUUAGUCAAAUUCCCCAUGACAACAUACUGAGAAAAUAGUAUUCGGUCAGGGCUGGAUAAAGAAAGCGGAGAGGAUUAGGUGUUCGGCACAUCUUCCCGAAGACUCAGCCGAUCCGGUGUUAACAAGGAUGCUGGCUCCAGCGCCCUACCAAGUGUCGGCGAGGGAAGACGAAGAGGAGAAUGAGGAGGCCCAAGGCGGCCUUCAUUCUAAAGGCUCGCCAGGCCCUUUGUCCAGGGAGAUUGGAACUUCCACCUCCAAAGGUAGAAAAGAAGGGCAAACUGACCUCCCUUCUCCUCAUGGGAAGAAAAGGACCGCCUCCAAAGACAUGAAGAGAGAGGCUUCUAAGCGGGAGAAGAUAUCCCGGUCAGGGGGUUCUGGUUCGGGGGGUGACGUUGACAUGCAAUCUUUCCAUAAAGAUAGGCCCUUAGUUGAAUCGUAAGUGAACAAGGGUGUUUUAAACAUACCCCGUUUAUUUUCUUGGCUGUAAGGGUAACAUUUAAAAUGUAUGUUUACAGUCCGGCACGCCGCUUUCCUCAACAGUCCUCCUCUUCGGGGGAUCUUCUUUCGGAGAUGACGGAGAGUGAGACGCCUCCACAGAUCUCCCCGCCUGAUAAGGCGGACGGCGUCGAGGUGUCGUUCGGGAGGCCGGAGGAUCUCUCCCGAUCAACAAGCAGUGCGAGGGACAAUGAAGACCGGGCCCAAAGGUGACACUUCGACCGCCCGGGAUCCGAGGUAUACGGCCCUCACGGGGACCAACAACAAAAGUCCUGGACUAUCAAAGUUCCGAGGGACGACACAACCUGUUCCGGUCUGGAGGCGCCGGAUACAUUGAUGGACAUAUUGCAACAUGCGUCCUUCUUAGAGGAACAUCGUACCUUGAUGGGUACGGUGGUUGAGAGAGUUCGAUCCGCGAAAAGCGAAUUGAAUGAAGCCUUUACGAGCCUACUAAGAGGUUUCGAGGUACGUAAUGUAAUAUUUUUAAUUGUGUUACAAACGCAAAAUGUGCCUGUGUAUAGAUAGUAGCCCCUGAGACUCUGGUUGACGUCCAAAGGGAGGCGAUCAGAGGAUCAAGAAAUAGAUGCCCAUGAAAUGAUCUGACUAAUUGAAACACAUGAUUUUACAUCCGUGGCGACUACCCGAGCGACAGAGAUUGAACAUCCGAAGCAGAAAGUUGAUGUGGCGGAUGUUGACAUCACGCUUAUGAACAGACGGCUCGACAAGGCGCAAGGUAUGUCCUUGAGGCACUCAGUAUAUGCAAUCAUUAUGAGAUGAGCAUGAUGCUGAGAAAUUGUAUACUGAAAUAUGCAUAACUGCAGAUAGUGCCGCCAAAGUUGAGACCCUUUGAGCUGAGCUUGCCCGGGCCAAGGAGCAGUCUAGGAUGGGUAAUGCGGCUGCCGAAAAGGCAGCCACUGAGUUAAAGGCCGAGCAGGCUGCUCGGCGCCAGUGUGAGGAGAUAAUUUCUACUAUGGCGCUUGAGCUAAAGGAUGCCGCUAGCCGAUGCCAAUUUCUUGAGGAAGAUAACAAAGCCAAAACGACCGAUCUUGACAAGGCCUUACAAGAGGCGAGGGAAGCCUGGUCUGAGUCUAGAGCAGCUCGGGAGGAGAUCCGACAAGCUGGGGAGAUCGCGGCUGGUAAGCCCUUCUUAUUACAAACUAAGUUUUGCGAUCCGAAGUAUGCCCCGCUUAAUCAAAUGUGGAGUUCUCCAGAUGCAUUUUUGGACUUGCCAAAGAGUGUUGCCGAUGCAACUCAGUUUUUCCACGCGCAAGAAGGGCAUGCAACGGAAAAGCUAUUCUGGUCGCAAUUCAACAUGCCAAAGCGUCCGUUGUUGAAUGAACAGAUGGCCCAAUGGGCCGAGCUCUACAAGAUGUCCAGAUCUGCCAUGAAGGAUGUCGUAGUCUGGCUAUGGCCGACUGAGCCAAUUCUGAAUAGUUAUUUCGGUUUGGUGCGACGGCUUAUUGAUGCGGCGCCGCGUAUCGAUGCUGUUAAGCGGUCAACAUGGAUAGAAGGUGCAUGGAUGGCCCUUGCCCAUGUGAAGGCAUAUUGGGCGAAGAUGAAGGCCACCGAUAUUGCAGCGUAGAGUCCACCCGAAGGCAAGGACCCUACCGCGCCAGAACAUUACUUUGAAGAUGUCCUAGAAGGUGCCCGCUUGAUAGAGGGUCAGUGCUCAAAAGAUAUUAUGUUCGAGUGAAGUGUACUGAAAUUUUGAAAACAAUGUUGUUUUUAAGGCUAUGUUUUUAUACUUUUGCCCGAAAAGUUUUGGUGCCACAUGUGCGGCCGUUUUUUAUAUAUAUAAUCUGAAAGUUUGCCAGUCGUCGGCUUCAGCCCCCUCGCGUAUAACACGGGGUGUUUGGAAAAGCACUUGAUCACACUUGACCCAACGUCUUGGUCCGUUAAGGAGGUGUCAGUGCGGCGAACCAGACAAUCGGACUAUAGGGCCUUAACACUUUCACUUAGCCAUAGGAGUUUGAUGGUGGGUCUACGAUAUAGCCUCUGAUAUGUACGCGUUUAUCCGAAUACGGUGCGCUUGCAUACGUGACCAGAAGAACGGUCCUUCGUUUAAUACGGAGGGAAUCGGGAAGAUUCCGAUGAGUCAUCGAGUGGUUGACCAGCUCUCGCCGCAUCAUGACAGUCAGUUUUCGGCUUUCUCUACUGAGGUGCUCAUCCAGACGAACCAGGACACAAUCGCAGUAGUUCUCCCUUUACUACCUUAGCCGAUAGAGCGGAACGUAAGGUAGCAAGAACAGGAGCCGGGCAACCCAACUAUUGACCAAAUACAUGAUUCGGAGCUGAUGCAUAUAAGGCCAAACUCGUGACGCCGAACACUCCCUAUAGGUGUUUGGACUUUUUGAAGUAUACCGGGCUGAAUACAGCCCCUGGUAAUGAACCCUGGUGUCAAGGCACGUGUGGCAAUCUGAUAUGGGGGGAGAACGCAGGUGGUGAGAGAAUAAAACUCCGGACAUGAUAUUGACCAAGCUGCUUCUAUAGUAUCCCUUUAUAGUACGGCGAGCUGUGUGCUUACAGAUAAUGCCGAUAACUCCUUAGGACAUUGUACAAGCCCGGAAAGCAUAAAACAAAAAGAGAUAAAAAAGGUUUACACAGGAUCUUAAUCUACAAAGAAACCUUAGUACGGGGCCUUGCUGCACGUCUACGUUGUUUUCUCCUUUGUGAUGUGUCCUUGAAGGGGGUGGUGUCACUACCAAAAAACAAACAUCCCUGACAUUUUGGGCCGAACGAAAAAAACAUAUGUCAUACAUAUGACACUUCUAUGACGAUAAUUGUGACAAAACCCGGUAUCAUCAUAGAUGUGGUGGGCUCCUACUUCUAUGACAAAAAAUCAUGAUAGAAAAUGGGCUUUUUGUCCUGGGCGGGCCAGAGACGCAGCUGCAUGACAUUCUUUGGGCCAUCCAUGACGGAAAAAACCGUGGUAGAAGCGAGGGCGAGGAAAAUUUCAGGGAGUUCCCGGUUACGGUGGGCGGUCGGGGGCCGAGCGAUGCGCGUUUCUCUCGUACACGUACGCGUGUGUGCGCGAGGUGUUGGCUCUAAUUGAACCCGAGCGAGGCGUUGGGCUCUAACUAAACCCGAGCGAUUGCACUGUAGGCUACACGUUACUAAACCCGAGCAAUCGAUCGAUGGCUGUUAACUGAACCCAAUCGAGAGAUUCCUUUGCUACUGCUGCUAACUGAAGCUGAUCGAUGCUGCCUCUCUGGAUGAACAGUGAGCAUUGCAGGGGGGUUGGAUGAACAGUGAGUGGUGGCAUUGCCUCUAGAUGAAUAGGACCCCGUGGUGUGGAGGGCUGGAUGAACAGGACGACCCCGUGGAGGGCUGAAUGAACAGUAGAUGGUGGAGGGGUGCCCGUGGAGGGGUGGUUGAACAGUAGCCGGUGGAGUAGCGUGCGGUGGAGGCUGGAUGAACAGGAGCCCGUGGAGGCUGGAGGAGGUCGACGGUAGCCCGUGGAGGCUGGAGGAGGUCGACGGUGGAGAUGAACAGUAUCCCGUGGAGUCCCGUUUUGCGGUACGCCACACCCCUCUCGAUGAACAGGACCCCCGUUUCGACCGUAGCGCUCCAACACAAGUCCGUUUCGUCCGUUUUGCGGUACGCCGCACCCCUCCCGAUCGACAGGACCCCCAUUUCGACCGUAGGAGGUCCGUUUCGUUCGUUUUGCGGUAUGCCACACCCCUCCCGAUCAACAGGACCCCCGUUUCGACCGUAGGAGGUCCGUUUCCUCCGUUUUGCGGUAUGCCAGACCCCUCCCGAUGAACAGGAUCCCAUUUCGAACGUGGCCGGUCGAACACAAGGCUGUUUCCUCCGUUCUGCGGUAUGCCAAGCCUCGUUUCCAUCGCCUGUUCCGUCCAAGCCCUCCCGAUGAACACGACGAUGCAUUCCGUUCCGACCCAGCCGGUUGGCUCCCCAUGAACACGACGACAACACUGUUUCUCCAUUCCGACCCAGCCAUGUACACGAGCCCUGACCGUACGUAUGCGCAAGUAGGCGUUCGAGACCCCGCCCGUAUGUACACAUACGUGGCCGUAUUUUCUUUCUUGCACACUGGCUGCUGUACGUACGUGUACAUGCUACAUGCGCGCCUCUACUACGACACGUACGCACCUCUACUACGACACGUGUGCGCCUCUACAUUGACCAGUAUAUAUGUAUGUACACGUUCGCGACCAGAAUGAAAAUGCUACAUAUGCUUCGACCAGGUGGGUCCCGACUGUCAGGCACUUCCUUGCGUCCGAAGAUGUAGCUGGUGGGUCCCAGCAGUCAGGGGGGCGAAUCAUUUUGGUUUUUUUGCUCAGACGCACUUCCUUGCGUGCGAAGGUGUAGCUGGUGGGUCCCAGCAGUGAGGGGGGAAACAUUUUUUUCGCGAAAUACGGUGGCCCGUCCGGUGGGUCCCCGCUGUCAGGUGGAGGAAUAAUUAUUUUGCGCGUAAUAAGGAGGCACUUCCUUGCGGCCGCCGUGGACCCAGCUGUCAGCCUCUCCACGCACAAUACUCUUCCAAUGGAAGUCGGUCGUUGACCACAUUGACCACGCCGCGCCGAGAGCACCACGAUGGUGGACGAUGGCGAGGCCUAGGAAGGGGAUGACGCGGAACCGGGGAAGACGCGGCAGUGGAUGCCCACACAAAGAGGAGUACGAGGGUUCACUGGUUCGGCUGCGGUGUGAGGCUGCCGUCCCCGCAGAAUAACAAGGGGUGCGGGUGAGUAGAGGGAUGUCCUGGCUAGCGGUGGGAGUAGUAGGGGGCGGUGAGGCCUCCGCGGUAUCACAACCGACCACGGGAGGCAGGAGCAUGCGGCAUGACCGGCGCUGCUUUGGGCGGCUAGAGAACGAAGACCAGAGGUUGAAGAAGCACUACGGCCGUUGGAUGGACAUCGUACGGUCACUGGAGUAUUGACUAAGUUGACAAAGCCCUUCGUCCCCGUCAACUUAGUAGGCCCACAAGUCAGCCUGCCACUAUACUGGGUCCCAGCUAGCAGGGGGGUAUUCUUUUUUUUUGCGUAAUAAGGAGGCACUUCCUUGCGUGCGAAGAUAUAGCUGGUGGGUCCAAGCUGUCAGCGGCGGUAACGUUUUUUUGGUGGGUCCCAGAUUUCAGGUGGAGGAAUCAUUAUUUUGCGCGUAAUAAGGAGGCAUUUCCUUACGUGCGGCCGUGGACCCAGCUGUCAGCCUCUCCACGUACAGUCCACUUCAGAUGCAUGUCGGUCGUUGACCAUGUUGACCAGGCCGUGCUGAGAGUACCAGGGCGGUGGACGACAACGAGGCCUAGGAAGGGAACGACACGGAGGCAGGGAAGAGUCGGCAGUUGUUUCCCACGCGGAGGGGAGUACGACUGUACGAGGGUUUACUGGUUCAUCUGUCAUCGCCGGAGAAUAACAGCAAGUGUGGGUGAGUAGAGGGAUGGCUAGGCCAGCGAUGGGAGUACGGUGGGGCGGUGAGGCCUGUGCGGCAGCACAGCCGGCCGCGGGGAGGAGGGAGCAGGUAGUCCCGCCAGUGCUUGUUUGAGCGGCUGGAGCAGGAAGAGCAGAGAUUGAAGAAGCACGACGGCCGUUGGAUGGAAAUCCAACGGUCACUGCUUGUGCGUCAACCUUUUUUUAGGAAAGCCUCAAAUCUGUGGAAAACAGCAUACAACCCAUUUGCCACUAUUUCUAAUAAUUUACAGCCCAUUUGCUAAUUCUUAAGGUUUUUUUGGAGCCCAUAUUCUUUUUGUUAGCAUUACAGCCCAUAUUGUGGCCACGGUUAAAAAAUUAUAUGAAAUUUUGCAUAUUUCAGUGUGGUCCGAACUGUUUUUACUCUCGAAAUUUCGAGUCAUAUUCAAAAUGAUUUCAAAAGUUAAUGUAUAUCAAUAUAAAAUCCAACAAGUUGUCCAUGCAUAAAAAUAAAUGCAAUUUAAAAUCUUGAAAUGAAAAAGAGAUAUUUGAAACUAAUUGCCGGUUUGAUGUGUUUUAAAAAUGUACAACCCAUUUCUCAUUACUGAUAGGCCAUUUUCUCGGCCAGCCGAAUGAAGCUCUCCUCGUCUUGAAAGAUUUGCAGCCCAACAGGCCUGACAAACUGACUUACUAGGCAAAUCACAAAAAACUGGGUUGUGGCGAUGGACCCAACUGUCAGCCUCUCCACGUACAGUACUCUUCCGAUGGAAGUCGAUCAUUGACCACAUUGACCACGCCGCGCCGAGAGCACCAAGGCGGUGGACGACAGUGAGGCCUAGGAAGGGGACGAUGCGGGGCCGGGGAAGACGCGGCAGUGGAUGCCCACGCGGAGAGGAGUACGAGAGUUCACUGGUUCGGCUGCAGCGUCAGGCUGUCGUCACCGUAGAAUAACAGGGGGUGUGGAUGAGUAAAGGGAUGCCCUGGGCCAACGGUGGGGGUAGUAGGGGGCGGUGAGGCCUCCACGGCAUCACACCGGCCACGAGAGGCAGGAGCACGCGGCACGACUGGCGCUGCUUUGGGCGGCUGGAGCAAGAUGACCAGAGGUUGUAGAAGCACUAUGGCCGUUGGAUGGACAUCGUACGGUGACUGGAGCUAGAAUCGUUCAUAUUGACUAAGUUGACAAAGCCCUCCAUCCUCGUCAACUUAGUAGGCCCACAAGUCAGCCACCCACUAUGGUGGGUCCCAGCUAGCAGGGGGUAUUCUUUUUUUGUGCGUAAUAAGGAGGCACUUCCUUGCGUGCGAAGAUAUAGCUGGUGGGUCCGACCUGUCAGCAGGGGGAACGUUUCUUUCGUGAAGUACAGAAGCCCUUCCCACAUACAGUCCACGUAUAGUGCGUAAUAAGGACGAACUUUCCUUGCGUGCGACCAUGGACCUCGUGGGUCCCAGCCGUCAGGCUCUCCACGUACAGUCCUCUUCCGAUGACUCUCGUAUGUUGACCACGCCGCGCUGAGCACACUGAGGCGGUGGUCGACAAUGAGGCCCCAGACUGGAAUGACCCGGAGAUGGGGAAGACGCAGCAGUGGAGUCGUAGACGGAGAGGAGUGGGAAACUUGACUGGUUCGGGUGCGGGGUGGGCCUACACUCGGCAGAGAAUAACAGGAGGUGCAGAGUGGAGGGAUGGCAUGGCCAUCAGCGGGGUAGCGUUUCGCUGAGGAGCGCAAAACAACGCCGCUGGAUGCCGAAGACUAGAGCAGGCGGUUCCGGCAAUGCUGCGGGAAGAAGACGAGAGAUUGAAGAAGAAUGUCGGCCAUUGGAUGUAAAUCCAAUGCCUUCUUAGGCUUCGACCUACUGGCCCACAUGUCAGCCAGUCCAUUUGUUUUUUAGUCCAUUUGGUGGACUGGGUGAAACAAUGAUGUAGCAUCUAUGCAGCCCGUUUAAAUCCCAUUUGCAUUUUUCUCAAAAUCCGCGGACUUGCUGGGCUGGGUGAAAAUAUCAUGUUGGGCUAGAUGAAGAAAUGUUAUAAAAACAUAAAAACAUGAUUGCACGUUAUUACUGCAUUGGUCAGUAAAAUAUUUGCAAGCUUAUGUACGCAAUCACUAGGAGUUAACUUGCCAAGUUAUAUAUAAACAAUUAUUAUUAUUAUUUUGUAAGAACUUUCAAUUUACAAAAUAAAAUAUCAUUUAAAUUUGAUGAGUUAAUAGUCCGUGGGGUAUUAUCAUUUUUAGGCUAGACGUGGGACAUUUGAGUUGGUUCUAAAACUCAGUUUACAUCGAAAAAGAAAGUGGGAGAAAAUUCAGAGACCUGUUGGGUCCACCUGAGGAGGGGAAUAUGUUGGGAGGAAGGAGAUUCAAAGCACGGAGGCCGAGUGAACUAGUUUUUUUUAACGGACAAGUGAACUAGUUACAUACAUAAGCAAAUAGCCACUAAAAAAAGCAAUGAGGUUAAUGGGUUCUUAAAAGAAAUAUUUCAGACAAAACAGAUAAUUACGACACAUAGGCUAAUGCAUGAAACACUCAGAUGAUAAAGGUGCUUAUAAACAGAUAAAAGUACAACAUCUAGACCUUUCUGGCACGCUUGAUCAUGACGUUGCGGUUGUCCGUGUACUCGUCGGUUACGGAAAGCAGACACACCCUCAUGUCCAAGAUCUGCCUGUACAUGUCGUAGCAUGUGUAUGCGUCCUUGGCCGCGUAGGUUAUGUAGGCUAUAUUCGGAGGUACCUCCCACAUGUUCAGGUCAUCUUCUUUCAUGUUGGCGUAUCAGGGGUCGAUGAUGGUCUCAGCGAGGUCAACCACUGAGUCCUUCUCCUGCCCGUUGCUGAUGAUCUUGUAUUGCUUCUAGAUGUCGACAAGCUUGUUGCACCAGAUGGACGAAUCGUCGCAUUCUUCCUUCUCUCCACCGUAGUGAAGAUGCAGUCAGCGCUGCCGAUGAAACGGGCGAAUGCUCCAGAACCUGGUGCAGCCAUAGGACUGAGGCGAGGCAGAGCUUCACCGAGUCCGUAUCGUUGGUGUACAUCACAUUCAACUUGGUGCAGCCAUAGGACUGAACGGCGAACUCAAAGGGGAACUCCUUGCUGAAGUCCAUAUCCAGUAGGCUCACCCCUCGGAUCGCCAUUGGAGUCUCUUCAAGUGAACAAAUGUGUAAGCGGCGGCAGCAGUUCGUUUUUCAGCUCUUGGGGAACUGGAUUCAACAGUAAGCUGAGUGUGUACAGGCGACACCGGUUACUACCCCUCCCUCAUCCGCUGCACGCCCGGUAGAAGAUGCACCCUCGGUGCAUUCAAACGCCUCCAUUAAGAAACCUACUCCGGCCACACGUCGGUUCACAAGCGGUCUGUAUUGGUACUAUAAUAACAGGAGUUAGUGGUCACUUUACUUAAAUUUAAUUAGCUUUAAUAGAAAUUUAUACUUAAAACAAGCAAUGCAUUGGCUCGUUCUAUCAGUGCCACAGGAUCAACAUCCACGACAAUUAGAAUUAUUAUUCUCAGGACACACACGAUCAACACAUUUGUCGCACUUUCACAAAGAUAAUACUACCAAAUUUGAAUUGUUUGCUAUGGUUGUUGUCCUCUGCAUCAUCAUGCCGUGUUUCCUAGCUUGCAAGAUUCAGAACCAACAAAUAAGAUCCAAAUAAUUACAACAAAGAUGCCUACACAUCUCAUUGAUUCCCAGCUUGCAAGAUUUAGAACCAACAAAUAAGAUCCAAAUAAUAAGUACAACAAAGAUGCCUACACAUCUCAUUGAUUCCCAGCUUGCAAGAUUCAGAACCAACAAAUAAGAUUCAAAUAAUAAGUACAACAAAGAUGCCUACACGUCUCAUUGAUUCCCAGCUUGCAAGAUUCAGAACCCAUUAGAGCCUUUUGAUAAAGUGAAUAUCGAGAUUAAAUCCAUCUUGGCUAGCCAUGUCAUACAAUCAAAGAACUUGGUGAAUGCUCUUGACCAUCACAACAUCUGUAGUUGAGUAUUCCUGUUUGCACAGCACAAACAAGGAGACAGGAGAGCAUGAUUUCACUUUAAUAGCGGCCUCCUUGAACUCAACCUGCAGCUCCACUAGGAUGAGGUCUACCUGGAGUUCCAUGAUUCAAUUCAUGCGCCUUUUUCUCCAGUUCACCUUAAAUGAAGCAAAGAUUGCAUCAUUCAGCUAGCAAGAAGUACUUGCUCUCGUGAGCUGGCAGGUUCUUCUUUAGUAGUUGCACUAAAAUUGAGGAACAUUAAGGUUGGCUGUCCGGCUCAUGUAAGGUGCAACUAUAAUUUUCUUAUCCUUUUGUGCAGUUCCACUAAAAUAAAGUCCCAUUGUGGUGACCGUGAUGGCUCCAUCUUGCAAAGGCUAAUAAAAUGUUGCACGAGAUUACCAACAGAACUUGACGAAGAUUUUGGAAACUCCAAUCACCAUUUUGUGCAGUUCCACCAAAAUUAAGAGAUGUUGCCCAUGUGACAUUUUAGUUGAACUGCACAAGACACGCAUUCCAAAAAAAAGUGUUUUGUGCAGUUCACCAAAAAGAUUACAAAUAGCAACAAGGUGAAAUGGAUAUCCCUAUCUGCACAAAAAGAUAGAAAGUAAACAGUUGUUGGUCAAUAAGAAUAUAUGAAACAUAUACAUAAUGAAAAUAAGCAUCUUAAUUAUGUUAAUGGCAAUCACGCAAGGACAGUAGAAAUUUUAAAACGUCAGCAAUGCUUCAUGUUACCAGAAGCAUUACGAUCAACAAUGAGAUUCCUCAAAUAUGGGAUUACUUUAAUGCUGGCAUUGCUUGUUUAACAGACAUAGUAAAUCAAUAGCAUCUAAAGAGUUGGUUUAAGGGCAUGGGACCGUGGGGACACCAAGACACUCAGCAGCGUAAAGGAGCAACUUACUUAGGGCCUGUUUGGUUCCAAAUAAGUCACCAACUUAUAAGUCAAAAAGUGAAAAAAGUGACUUAUUUUGCCAAACAGACCCGACUUAUAAGUCACCCCAACUUAUACAUCAUAAGUUGUUCCACCCCAACUUAAAACUUAUAAGUCACCCCCUUUUGCGUGGGUCCGACCACCUGCAUGAUGUUGAUUGGUGUGGGAAGGUGUGUCAGGUGACUUAUAAGUCAGGUGACAACCAAACAGGCAUGACUUAUAAGUCACUGGUUUUAAGUCACCUGACUUAUAAGUCAGGUGACUUACUGGAACCAAACAGGCCCUUAUCAUACUGGGGAAAACAGCAGGAGUGCCAUUUGUAACACAGUUUAAUUGCAUCUUAUCACUGGAGGCAUUAGAUUAACAAUAACACUGGUUAGACAUGUCCCUAAGGUAAUAGUGUGAUCGCCUCAUUUUACAUGCGCCCUUACAUUAACAACAGCAAAAGGUUGGUAUACGGACAUGCGACAGUGGAUGCAUCAGCACAAUGUACCUACAAGGAGGCAUAAAGUGGUGAUGCCGAGUUUGUUCAUGCUAUGUGAGGGCAGCAAACCUAAUCCUGGAGACCUUGUACUAUGUGAGGGCAGCAAAUCUAAUCCUGGAGACCUUUUACUAUGUGAGGGCAGCAAAUCUAAUCCUGGAGACCUUUUACUAUGUGAGGGCAGCAAAUCUAAUCCUGGAGACCUUUUACUAUGUGAGGGCANNNNNNNNNNNNNNNNNNNNNNNNNNNNNNNNNNNNNNNNNNNNNNNNNNNNNNNNNNNNNNNNNNNNNNNNNNNNNNNNNNNNNNNNNNNNNNNNNNNNNNNNNNNNNNNNNNNNNNNNNNNNNNNNNNNNNNNNNNNNNNNNNNNNNNNNNNNNNUGUGAGGGCAGCAAAUCUAAUCCUGGAGACCUUUUACUAUGUGAGGGAAGCAAAUCUAAUCCUGAGACCUUUUACUAUGUGAGGGUAGCAAAUCUAAUCCUGAGACCUUUUACUAUGUGAGGGCAGCAAAUCUAAUCCAGGAGACCUUUUACUAUGUGAUGGCAGCAAAUCUAAUCCUGGACAUACUCUGUUGACUUGUCCACUAGCCACCACUUUCUAUCCUUUUUUCAACCAAUAAUAGAUGUGUUCCUUAUCUAGUUAGUACUGCGUUUUCCCAUUAUUUCCGUUUUCAACCAAGAGACCAGUUGGGUAUCCGGUCUCUACUACUUUCACAUAUUAUUUCCUCUUUGAAUCAAGUCCUAGAUUCAUGCUACAACUUUCCCCCCUUUCUUCGUUGUUUGAACAAAGCCCUAGAUUCGAAUGCAUGAAGUAGCUUUACCUCUAAUAAUACUAAAAACUUAGGUGGCUUUGGAAGAGCUGAUGGGAGUAGAAAAGGAUGCACAUGCAGACACGUGGGGAGCUGGGGCGGUAGAGCAAGGCCGCUUUCGAAGAACUUAUACCUGAGGGUCGCCGGGAUGUCGGCGGCGGCAGGUCAGAUCUGCGGACAAUACGGCAGGGAGGAAGAAGGGUCGGAGGACCUCCCGAGCCGGCGCUAUGUUGGAGAGAACGACACGGGCAGAGGAUCGGGCCCCUCCGGCAGCUGUGGGUUUCCUCCCUCGGCUGUGAUUGAUAACCCCCAAGUAUAGGGGAUCGCAACAGUUUUCGAGGGUAGAGUAUUCAACCCAAAUUUAUUGAUUCGACACAAGGGGAGCCAAAGAAUAUUCUCAAGUAUUAGCAGCUGAGUUGUCAAUUCAACCACACCUAGAAACUUAGUAUCUGCAGCAAGUGUUUAGUAGCAAAGUAAUAUGAUAGUGGUGGUAACGGUAACAAAAAUAAAGACAGCAAAAGUAAUGUUUUUGGUAUUUUGUAGUGAUUGUAACAGUAGCAACAGAAAAGUAAAUAAGCGAGAACUAGUAUAUGGAAAACUCGUAGGCACCGGAUAAGUGAUGGAUAAUUAUGCUGGAUGUGGUUCGUCAUGUAACAUUCAUAACAUAGGGUGACACAGAACUAGCUCCAAUUCAUCAAUGUAAUGUAGGCAUGUAUUCCGUAUAUAGUCAUACGUGCUUAUGGAAAAGAACUUGCAUGACAUCUUUUGUCCUACCCUCCCGUGGCAGCGGGGUCCUACUAGAAACUAAGGGAUAUUAAGGCCUCCUUUUAAUAGAGAACCGGAACAAAGCAUUAGCACAUAGUGAAUACAUGAACUCCUCAAACUAUGGUCAUCACCGGGAGUGGUCCCAAUUAUUGUCACUUCGGGGUUGCCGGAUCAUAACACAUAGUAGGUGACUAUAGACUUGCAAGAUAGGAUCAAGAACAUACAUAUAUUCAUGAAAACAUAAUAGGUUCAGAUCUGAAAUCAUGGCACUCGGGCCCUAGUGGCAAGCAUUAAGCAUAGCAAAGUCAUAGCAACAUCAAUCUCAGAACAUAAUGGAUACUAGGGAUCAAACCCUAACAAAACUAACUCGAUUACAUGAUAAAUCUCAUCCAACCCAUCACCGUCCAGCAAGCCUAUGAUGGAAUUACUCACGCACGGUGGUGAGCAUCAUGAAAUUGGUGAUGGAGGAUGGUUGUUGAUGACGACGGCGACAAAUACCCCUCUCCGAAGCCCCGAACGGACUCCAGAUCAGCCCUCCCAAGAGAGAUUAGGGCUUGGCGGCGGCUCCGUAUCGUAAAAUGCGAUGAUUUCUUCUCUCUGAUUUUUCUCUCCCCGAAAGCCAAUAUAUAGAGUUGGAGUUGGCGUCGGAGGGCCACCAAGGGGCCCACGAGGUAGGGGGGCGUGCCCAGGGGGGCUCGCCCCCCACCCUCGUGGACAGGGUGUGGGCCCCCUGGUCUUCAUCUUGGGCGAGGAUUUUUUAUUGUUUUUUCUUAGGUGUUCCAUGGAGUUUCAGGUCAUUCCGAGAACUUUUAUUUUCUGCACAUAAAACAACACCAUGGCAAUUCUGCUGAAAACAGCGUCAGUCCGGGUUAGUUCCAUUCAAAUCAUACAAGUUAGAGUCCAAAACAAGGGCAAAAGUGUUUGGAAAAGUAUAUACGACAGAGACGUAUCAACUCCCCCAAGCUUAAACCCUUGCUUGUCCUCAGGCAAUUCAGUUGACGAACUGAAAGAGAAAAAGAAAAAAAAUUACAAACUCUGUUUGCUCUUGUUGUUGUAAACAUGAAAAGCCAACAUUCAAGUUUCGGCAAAUAUUAUGAACUAACCAUACUCACAAUAACACGAAGGUCUCACAAUUACUCAUAUCAAUAACAUAAUUAGCUAGCGAGCCAUAAUAAUAAAACUCGGAUGACAACACUUUCUCAAAAUAAUCAUAACAUGAUAUAACGAAGUGGUAUCUCGCUAGCCCUUUCUGUGACUGCAAAACAUAAAUGCAGAGAACCUUUAAAGAUCAAGGACUGACUAAACAUUGUAAUUCGUGGUAAAAGAGAUCCAGUCCAGUCAUACCCAAUAUAAACCAAUUAUAAUGAAUGCAAACGACAGUGUGCUCUCCAGCGGGUGCUUUUUAAUAAGAAGGGUGAUGACUCAACAUAAAAGUAAAUAGAUAGGCCCUUCGCAGAGGGAAGCGGGGAUUUGUAGAGGUGCGAGAGCUCGGUUUUAAAAUAGAGAUUGAAUAACAUUUUGAGCGGCAUACUUUUGCUGUCAAUGCAACAACUAUGAGAUGACGAUAUCUUCCAUGCUAAACAAAUUAUAGGCGGUUCCCGAACAGAAUGGUAAAGUUUAUACUCCCCCUCCUCCACAAGCAUCAAUCCAUGGCUUGCUCGAAACAACGACUGCCUCCAACGUUCAACGGGUCCCAGGGGGAGUUUUGUUUGCAGUUAUUUUGAUUUAGUUUUCAUAAAGCAUGGGACUGGGUGUCACGACCGGUUUUUCAAUAAGAAUAGUUAUUGAGAAAACCAAUCUUUAAAUCCCAGUAUAGGAAAAGUCAUCCUUUCUGGUAGACAAAAGCUUGAUAAACAGAGAACCAGUAGCACCAAAUAUAUUACAGGGUUGAGCUGAGGUAGCUCAACAAUUUAUUACAGACUCGCCAAUAUAUUACAUAUGGGCGGUUAUGACACAGGGGUGGGGUGGCAUGCUACUAGUUCGAGGGAAAAGUGGGGGUGGAUAACUUGACUUCUACUGGCAGUACAUCGAGCGUCGAGGUGAGGCUCAAUGAAUUUAUUCGGGAUUGCGGAAGCGGAUAAUACAAUGACCAAGACAGGAUCGCAAGGGACUGACUGGGACUCCUCUAGGCGUCGGACUCGCUAUCAUACUCUUCAUCCAAGAGAUCGCCUUCAUCAUCAUCUGGCCAAAUCAACAAGCCAGGUGAGUACUUGAAAGUACUCGCAAGACAGUUCGGACAAAAGAUAUAAUCAAUGAAUGCAUGAAUGCGUCAUGAACAAAGUAUGAUGUUCAAAUACAACGGAAUUAUUGCAGAACUUGAUGCAACAAAAUUUAAUAAUUAAAAACCGAUCGGGUGUCUGGAGCGACGCCUCGAAAGGUAAAUAAAUAAAAAAAAUGCAUGCCGCAGUCGGGCGUCUUAGCGACACCACUUAAAGGGCUUUAAAAGAAAUGCCACCGUCGGACGUCUGAGCGACAUCACUGACAGGGCUUUAAAAGAAAUACCACAGUCGGACGUCUGAGCGACAUCACAGAAAGGGCUUAAAAAGAAAUACCACUGUCGGACGUCUGAGCAACAUCACAGACAGGGCUUUAAAAGAAAUACCACCGUCGGACGUCUGAGCGACAUCACAGACAGGGCUUUAAACAAAAUACCACCGUCNNNNNNNNNNNNNNNNNNNNNNNNNNNNNNNNNNNNNNNNNNNNNNNNNNNNNNNNNNNNNNNNNNNNNNNNNNNNNNNNNNNNNNNNNNNNNNNNNNNNNNNNNNNNNNNNNNNNNNNNNNNNNNNNNNNNNNNNNNNNNNNNNNNNNNNNNNNNNNNNNNNNNNNNNNNNNNNNNNNNNNNNNNNNNNNNNNNNNNNNNNNNNNNNNNNNNNNNNNNNNNNNNNNNNNNNNNNNNNNNNNNGGAUGUCUGAGCGACAUCACAGACAGGGCUUUAAAAAGAAAUACCACCGUCGGACGUCUGAGCGACAUCACAGACAGGGAUUUAACAAUAGCAAAAUAACAGGUAUGCCACCGUCGGACGUCUGAGCGACAUCACAGACAGGGCCUUGUAACAAAUGUAAAUAACGAGAUUAGUUCAUCCACAAGAAUAAUCUUUUAACCGGAAUUAUUUCACAAAAAACCCACCGGAGUUUUUGUCACCGAGGCUGAAUACCUGACAAGAUAAGACAAUUAUAGUACUUGAACAAAGUACAAGAUAAUUGAAAGAUUGAGGCUCUGCAGAGUUUGGAAGAACUGAACACAGCCAACGAAUUUCCGUAGUCACGAAGGACUAGUUCCGUUUACGGUAUUUCAGUAGAAACACAUUUAACUAGUACACACCCAUUUCACCUCACGAUGCCAGGAAUCACCCUGGACAACGUCCAAGAAAAACUUUGAGACGGGGAGGCCACAACCUCGAAUAGCAUGGGAUCAAAUUUCUAUACGCGCGCUCUAAGGGGUGCCCCUCUCGGUCCCAACCGGAAACACCCAUGCCCCCUGACCGGAUGACGGGCUUUAAUCCAGGGCCAUGGAACCCUCAUCCCGGCCUCUCCACUUGGUCUGUACCAGGAAAACAAUUUGCAACUUACUAUGCCAUAUUCCUUUCGGAAAACAUGUGACAGUAUAGGAUGGAAUGAAUGGAAAUGUGAAUUGUGUCAUGACGACACGGAAGUCAAAUAAUCUGGCAUAAGACUGGCAUGUCACAACACUGCCAUCUUACCCAUCCUCAUACCAACACAUGGCUUUGCAAAUAUGUAUCCAACAACAUAAUGCUUUCCGGAACUUACUUUCCGAUUACGUGCAUGCGAUAUAUCAUGCAAGGUGAUGUUCAUAAACAUGCCAUGACUAUACUAAAAUGCAAACAUGCAACAACACUCAUCAUAUCAAGAGUUCAAACAUGCUUGCCUGGUUCGGAGUAGUCGGAGUCUAACUGUGUGAAGUUUGCGGCUCCAUCACCUCCUCCGGUAUCUACGGUAUAAGAAAAAUAUGUAGGCAACGUAAAUACCGUGAGUGUACAGAAAAGUGUUCCAAAUAUUUUUCAAAUAAACAUGAUAAAAAACUAGACAAAAAUCUAAAGAGAACAGAAAAAGAAUCAACCAAAAAUUCCCUUCUGAUAAAAAGUUAUAAGUGUUUUAACCCAAGGACACAUCUGUAAUGAAACAAAAAACUUCCAGGGGGUUCAGCGUAAAAGUACAGAUAACGUUUCGUUUAAAAGAAACGGCUGUGAGGCUGACAGGCGGGCUCCACCUGUCGGGUUUGAAAGUUCAAACAGAGAAACAGAGCGCGACGGCGCCCGAGAGGUGCGGUGGUCGCCGGCGGCGAUCCACGGCGAGGCAAGGCGAUCGGGGGUUACCUUCAAGAUCAGUGCACCGUUCCGCGUCUGUGGGUGGUGGUGGUGGUCGCCGGCGAGCAUUGUGUCGACGGCGGCCCUUGCUCCGGCGGACGGUGAUUCGGGCAGUCGUGGAUCUCGCCGGAGGGAGCUGCGGGGAUCAAAUAGGAGUGGGGGUUAGUCUCCUAGUUGCUCGUGAGGGCUGCUGAUGAAGUUAGAGCGCCGGAGACGGCCUCACCGGAGCGAAUCGCGGUGGAGUCCGAGGCGGAGCGCGGUGGCCAGAGUCGGGGAAGAAGGGCCCCUCGGGGCUCUCCCAGUGGCUGGGCGGGGUCUAGUGAGGUGGUGGAGUCGUGCGGGGGCGAGAGCAGGCUCGGGGGUGCUAUAUAUAGCCGGCCCGAGUCGGUUGCCGUGAACGGAUAAGUCCGGCGAGUUGAUUACGGCGGCGCUGUGGCCGGACGGUCGGCUUAGGGGUUUGAGCAUCGCCUAGGUGAAGUAGUGGUGCCAUUUUAGGGUCCAGCUCAGCACGGGAGGGAGGUUUACGGCCUGCCCUCGACGAAACGGCCGCACGGCCCGUCGGUGGCAGAGAGCGCGCUCUGCGCGUGUCGCGCCACGGCGACGGUGCUGCAUGCGUGCGCUGGCAAGGAGGUGGCCACGCGGAGCUACCAGGACGCUUGGGCGGCGCCGAACGGCGUUGCGCCGCCGUUCUGCUUCCUGUCGGCCGCUACGGCGCUACGGCCGCCGCAAGACACGCCGGCGCAGGCGGGCCAGGGCACCACCGACGCCAGGAAGGCGCCAAGCGCGCGUGUGAGGCCCCGGACAAGCAAGCCUGGCCGUGAGCUACGUGCCAAGCGCACUGUGAGCUCGUGACUGAAGUCACUGACAAAGAUCAACACUGAAUUCUGAAUUUAACUGAAUAUGACUAGAACAGUGCAUGCAAGGUGUUCGACAGAAUGAUCCAGGCAUGUAGGGAUUUUUCCUUGAGCUAGUUUUUGGUGGAGGGACCUCUCAUUGCACCUAGAGGUUGCCUGAAUAUUUGUGGAAUUUUUGGAGAUGUAUAGAUAUGAAUUUCACCAAAUUUGGCAAAUCUGGUCCAAACUUGCAGUGAGUGCAAUUUGAAAAAUUUGAACAGGAGAAGAGUGGAUCAAGAUGGUUCUGGGUUGUGGGUACAAAGGACUAUCCAGGGGUGUUGAGAUGAGGUCAAAAAUCAAAAGCAUUAAAGCACUUGCUUUGCAAUCCACCUAGGCUCAAAAGUAUAGACAGAAUUAUUUUGGGAGGAGAAAUAGUUGGAAUAAAAUCCAAAAAUGGAUUUUAUUAGUUUUGACAGAAUGUUUGGGUUGAACUAAAGUGGGAGGAAAGGUUUUUGGGAAAAAUUUCACCAUAGGAAGCAUGGUGAAAUUUUUGAAGGGAUCAAAACCAUAAAGAGCCCAAAACUAAAAGGGUUUUCAUUUUAAAAGAAACCAAAUCCAAGAAAAGGAUUUUUGAGAGGGAAAACUUAGAAGAUGGUUUUUGGGAAGGGUUUAAAUGACCUUCUUUCAAACCAAGCAAGGUUCUUUCUGAAAACAAAAAAAAUCACAAAAAUCUUGGAGUGUCACAGAACCUACCCCCUUAGGAAAAAUCUCGUCCCCGAGAUUUCAGCUGAUCCUUAAACAGGUGUGGGUGCUCUGUCCGAAGAAAAUCCUCGCUCUCCCAAGUUGCUUCAUUCUCGGUGUGAUUGCUCCAUUGAACUCUGAAAAACUUAAUGGUUUUCUGUCGGGUCCUCCUCUCAGAUUCUUCUAAUAUUUUUAUCGGGUGCUCCCGGUAAGUGAGGUCUGGUUGCACGUCAAUAUACUCAUGUGAAACUUGCUUCUCUGGGUUGCUUAUGUAUUUUCUCAACUGCGAGAUGUGAAACACGUUGUGGAUAAUGGACAACUCUCCGGGUAGGUCCAGCUGGUAGGCUACCUUGCCUCGUCGGGCCACUAUCUGAAAUGGUCCGAUGAAUCUUGGUGCUAGUUUCCCCUUAAUCUUGAAUCAUUGCAGACCCUUCAUAGGAGAAACUUUCAGGUAUACGAAUUCUCCGGGUUCAAAACUGAUUUCCCGAUGCUUUCAGUCGUAAUAACUCUUUUGCCGACUUUGAGCUGUUUUGAGUCGUUCCCUAAUCGUCUUAACUUUCUCCUCGGCCUCCUUGAGCAUAUCUGGGCCAAAGAUAUGGCUGUCUCCGGUCUCUGACCAAUUUAGCAGGGUACGACAUCUUCUCCCAUAUAGAGCUUCAAAGGGUGCCAUUUGCAAGCUGGCUUGAUAGCUGUUGUUGUAUGCGAACUCUGCAUAUGGCAAACUUUCUUCCCCACUGUUCCCGUAGGUGAGGACACAUGCUCUUAGCAUGUCUUCUAAGAUUUGGUUUACGCGUUCCGUUUGUCCAUCAGUCUGGGGAUGGUAUGCAGUACUGAAGGCUAGUUGGGUUCCCAGUGCCUGUUGUAGGUGAUCCCAGAACGUAGAGACGAACUGUGUGCCUCUAUCUGAGAUGAUAGUCUUAGGAACUCCAUGUAGGCAGACGAUACGGGCAAGAUAAAGCCUGGCUAGUCUCUGAGUGGUGUAAGUUGUUUUUACUGGAAUAAAAUGUGCCACCUUGGUUAAUCUGUCGGUUAUGACCCAAAUGGCAUCGUUUCCGUGUUGUGACCGUGGCAGUCCAACGAUAAAGUCCAUUCCAAUCUCGUCCCAUUUCCACUCGGGUAUCUUAUUUGGCUGUAACAGUCCGGCUGGUUUCUGGUGCUCUGCCUUGAUACGUUGACAAGAGUCACAUCAUGCAAUGAACGUGGCUAUAUCUCUCUUCAUACCGUGCCACCAAAAAAUUUCCUGAAGGUCUUUGUACAUUUUUGUCCCUCCAGGAUGGAUUGAAUACGGAGCAGUGUGACUUUCAGUUAAUAUCUGUUGUUUGAGGUCCUUGACAUUUGGUACGCAUAGCCUUUCUCCGUACCACAAUAUUCCUUGCUCAUCUAUGUUGAAUUCUGAGGCUCUUCCCGAACUCACUUUUCUCUUUAUGCCCUCAAUGCUGGGGUGUCCGUGCUGGGCUUCCUUGAUGCUUUCCAUUAGGGUAGGCUGUAUUUCUAUAUUCGACACACUGCCUUCGGUAACCAUUAUUAGAUUGAGUCGGGCAAAUUCUUGUUGAAAUUCUGGCCUCAAUUUUGGUAUAUUGUCGUCUUCUGUGCUGGGAUUUCGACUAAGUGCAUCUGCCACAACAUUUGCUUUUUCGGGAUGAUAGUGGAUUCCAACAUCAUAAUCCUUCACCAACUCUAACCAGCGUCGUUGCCGUAAAUUUAACUCUGGUUGUGUGAAAAUAUACUUAAGACUCUUAUGGUCUGUGUAUAUCUCACAACGAUUCCCAAGUAGGAAGUGUCUCCAUUCCUUGAGUGCAUGGAUGACCGCUGCUAAUUCCAAGUCAUGUGUGGGAUAAUUUUCUUCAUGCUUGCGUAGUUGUCUGGAGACAUACGCUACUACCUUGCCUUCUUGCAUCAAUACGCAUUCGAGGCCUUUCCGGGAUGCGUCACAAUAUACCUCAAAGCUCUUGUGUAUAUCUGGCACAAUUAGUACUGGUGCCGUUGUUAAUUUUCUUUUUAUCUCUUGGUAGCUUUUCUCACAUGCUUCUGUCCAUUCAAAUUUCUUGCCUUUCUUGAGCAAUUGUGUCAUGGGCUUUGCUAUAGUGGAGAAUCCUUCAAUAAAUCUCCGAUAAUAGCCUUCCAUUCCCAAGAAACUCCGUACGUCCGUUACGUUACCUGGCGGUUUCCAGCCAAGUACGGCCUUGACUUUUUCUGGAUCUACUGCAAUACCUUCUUGGGUUAGCACGUGGCCCAGAAAACCCACCUGCCUUAGCCAAAAUUCACAUUUGCUGAAUUUGGCGUACAGUUGAUGUUUCCUGAGUUCUCCGAGUACAAUCCUGAGAUGUUCGGCGUGUUCUUCUGGUGUUUUGGAAUAUAUCAGAAUAUCGUUGAUGAAUACCACAAUAAACUUGUCCAUAUACUUCAUAAACACCUUGUUCAUGAGGUGAACAAAAUAUGCGGGGGCGUUGGUUAGCCCAAAUGGCAUUACUGUGAACUCAUACAGCCCAUAUCUGGAGGUGAAAGCGGUCUUGGGAAUAUCUUCUGUUCGUACUUUUAACCGGUGGUAUCCUGAUCUCAAAUCAAUUUUUGAGAAGACUUUGGCCUGUGCGAGCUGAUCGAAUAAAUCAUUUAUUCGUGGCAUUGGGUAUUUGUUCUUGAUUGUGACCAUGUUGAGAGCUCGAUAAUCAAUACACAACCUCAUUGUUCCAUCCUUCUUCUUGGCAAAUAAAAUUGGAGAACCCCAAGGUGAGGAGCUGGCUCGUAUGUAUCCUUUAUCCAAUAAUUCUUUUAUUUGCUUCUUCAACUCUACCAAUUCGGGUGGUGCCAUUCUGUAAGGUUUCUUGUAAAUAGGAGUGGUUCCGGGUGCGAGCUCAAUGCUGAAUUCUAUCUCUUGGUCUGGUGGCAUGCCCGGUAGUUCUUCUGGAAAUACAUCUGGAAAUUCACAUACCACUGGAACCUUGUUCAGCUCAGAAACGUCUACUUUGUUUAAUCUAGGUUGCCGAGGUAUUUGUCUCUCCUUGGCUGAAACUUUUAUUUUCUUCCCUUGAUGGUGGGUGAGAAUUACGGUACGGUUGAAGCAAUCAAUAAAACCUUUGUUGGUGGUCAACCAAUCCAUUCCUAGGAUGACAUCCAGUCCUUUGCUUUCCAGUACAAUAAGAUUGGUGUAAAAUUUCAAUCCUUCAAAUUCAAUAACCACACCUUGACAGUAACUCUGGGUCACUUGCUUAAUCCCAGGGACUUGACGAUCAUUGAUUUUUCCAAGGGAAGCAUCAAAAAAUUAUUUUGCAAAGCAAAACUUUUCAAAACGAAUGAGUGAGAAGCUCCAGAAUCAAACAAAACCAUGGCAGGUAUUGUGUUGACGGGGUACGUACCGAGUACGAUAUCUGGGGCGUUCUGUGCUUCCUCUCUGGUCACGUGGUUCAAGUGACCUUUCCGGUGGUUGUUGUUGGGGUUGAAAUUGCUUCGCUUUGGUGCUGAAUUAUAUCCACCAUUAUUGAACUUCGGGUUUGAGUUCCUUGGCUUGGGACACUGCUUGGCAUAGUGCCCUUCUUCUCCACGAGCAUAACAGGUAACACCUGGGCGAUAGGUGAACUCUUUGUCUCUUGCAUGGAAAUUCUUGGUUGGACGUGAAUUAUUCGCCGGGGUUUUGUGUGAAUCCCCCUUCUGAAAUUCCUUCUUGCUUCUGGGAUUGCGAGAAAAAUUAGUCUGGUCCCUUUUCCGUUUGCGGAUAUCUUCCAGGCUACGUCGCUCAUUUUCUAGGGUAAUGGCCUUAUCCACCAGUGUUUUAAAAUCUGGAAAGGUGUGCACAACUAGCUGGCACUUAGGGGCGUGUGCCAGGCCUUCCAAGAAUUUUUCCAUCUUCUUGCUCUCGGUCAUGCGUUCUUCAUUGGCGUAACGUGACAGCAGUGUGAAUUGGCUGUUGUAUUCUGACACUGUCAUGGCUCUUUGCUUGAGUUCAUCAAAUUCUUUCUUCUUGAUUUUCAUGACGCUCUUAGGAAUAUGUGCCCCACGAAAACCUUCUUUGAAAUUUUCCCAGGUGAUUUCAUUUUCGUUGGGGUGCAUGUGCAGGAAGUUUUCCCACCACGAUGCAGCUGCACCCAUGAGAUAAUGUGGUGCAUACAGUACUUUUUCACGGUCUGAACACUGUGCGAUAAUUAAUUUUCUCUCCAUGUCUCGAAGCCAGUCCUCGGCCUCAAGAGGCUUGUCAGUAUGAGAAAAUGUUGGAGGACGCGUCUUUUGUAACUCAGAUAAUUUGGAUUGUGGUUGAUACUGACCACGGUACUUCCCAUAUUGAUGAAUUGGUUCAUCAUUUCCUGGUGUUGCUGCUGACUCUGUUCAUACAAACGACAAACUUGUGUAAAAGCUGUUUCACUGUCUGGUUGACUUGUCUGACCCUGAGUGAAAUUCUAGUUCUGCGGUGUGCCAUAAAUUUCUUCUGGCUGAGUUGGCAUGGAGCGCAUCCAAGGACGAGACAUCUUUCACUCUGGGGAUAAAUUUUUUGUGAACUCGUAAGACAAGAAGAAGAGUCGCAAAAGUCAAAAAAAAAUCACAGGCAAGGAACAUUUUUAAACUCCAUGGUAUUUUUUUGAAACACACGAUUGCGCGCGGAGAAGGACUAGUGCAUAUCUUACACGCGGGCAUAAUUAUACAUUACAUCACUCAGGAUAUGCGUACAUAAUCCUGACAUGUUAUUUAAACUAGUGCACUCCUCCAGAUCCUACAUGAUGCGCAAAUAGGCUACUUCUCACAACCUGAGAACAUAAAAACAUAUUACACCAGUUGAUACAUCGCAUGGCGUCUAUGCGUACUUAGUCGGAGAUGUUGAUGAUCUCCCUUGGCCUGCCGAGGGUGAGACGCAGAGACGCUGGGGAAUUGACCUCCUCCUCGCUAAUAGGUUCCAGACGAGAAACGUUGUGCUGAGCUGAUGGAGCAGGUGCCCUAGGCGGAAUAACACGAAUACGAGUGGGUGGAAUAGGUGGGGUAGCUCGUAUGGGAGUGGGCGCAACACGUGGUGCAGAGCGGACGGGAGUGGGUGCAACAAGUGGUGCAGAGCGGACGGGAGUGGGUGCAAUAGCCUGGUUAAAUUCCUCUGUGGUAGGCAGACGACGAGCAGAGGCGAGUAUGGUAGGUGAGUGAGAGGCUUUGGAUGACACAAAAGUCAGUGGUGGAGCAGUAUGCAGGAGUUCCCUCAUGUUAGCAGCACAGCCAUGAACUGAGUCCAUGCGUGCAGCUACGAAGUCAUCCACCAUGCAGUCGAAUGCUGCCUCCAGGGCUCGGAGGUACUCGACAAGCAUCUCAAAGGCUUCGUCUCGCUCUCCUCUGGGGCAAGAGAACGAGUAGUGACAGGUGUAAGGCACAUGGCAAGGAAGGUAGCGGUAGCGACGGGUCUUCAUUGCAGGAAGAACAUCCCGAAGAUGGGUUAUUGCCUCGCGGGCAGCCAUCUGCAUAGCAUGCCUUUCUGUAGGCAUGGCUCUCCCCACGAAUCGGAGACGGCGUACUUCGGCAUGGCCUCCCCUGAAUUGCACCGCGGCCUGGUGCAUAGUCAGACUGUCGUUGAUCUUGUGUGGAUAAAGCGUGAAGACUGGGCACACAGAUGGCCCCAUCGCGUCCUGAACGAUGAAGGAGAGGAGUUUGACGAACCCCUCAGGCACGUUGGCGAACAUCUGAGACUCGCAGUCGUUGCCGGCCAUCUACAAAAGUAGGCAAAAAUUCUGAGUGGUCAGAACAUAAAUUUUAUGCCGACUGUCAGAAAAUGACUACAAUUGUAAAAACAUGAAUAACUCUAUCAUGCUAAUAACCAAUUAGCGAUCGCACCUAGUGGCUUCCUACAGUCUGCCUGGCUCUGAUUACCAAGUCUGUCACGACCGGUUUUUCAAUAAGAAUAGUUAUUGAGAAAACCAAUCUUUAAAUCCCAGUAUAGGAAAAGUCAUCCUUUCUGGUAGACAAAAGCUUGAUAAACAGAGAACCAGUAGCACCAAAUAUAUUACAGGGUUGAGCUGAGGCAGCUCAACAAUUUAUUACAGACUCGCCAAUAUAUUACAUAUGGGCGGUUAUGACACGGGGGUGGGGUGGCAUGCUACUAGUUCGAGGGCAAAGUGGUGGUGGAUAACUUGACUUCUACUGGCAGUACAUCGAGCGUCGAGGUGAGGCUCGAUGAAUUUAUUCGGGAUUGCGGAAGCGGAUAAUACAAUGACCAAGACAGGAUCGCACAGGACUGACUGGGACUCCUCUAGGCGUCGGACUCGCUAUCAUACUCUUCAUCCAAGAGAUCGCCUUCAUCAUCAUCUGGCCAAAUCAACAAGCCAGGUGAGUACUUGAAAGUACCCGCAAGACAGUUCAGACAAAAGAUAUAAUCAAUGAAUGCAUGAAUGCGUCAUGAACAAAGUAUGAUGUUCAAAUACAACAGAAUUAUUGCAGAACUUGAUGCAACAAAAUUUAAUAAUUAAAAACCGAUCGGGUGUCUGGAGCGACGCCUCGAAAGGUAAAUAAAUAAAAAAAUGCAUGCCGCAGUCGGGCGUCUUAGCAACACCACUUAAAGGGCUUUAAAAGAAAUGCCACCGUCGGACGUCUGAGCGACAUCACUGACAGGGCUUUAAAAGAAAUACCACAGUCGGACGUCUGAGCGACAUCACAGAAAGGGCUUAAAAAGAAAUACCACCGUCGGACGUCUGAGCGACAUCACAGACAGGGCUUUAAAAGAAAUACCACCGUCGGACGUCUGAGCGACAUCACAGACAGGGCUUUNNNNNNNNNNNNNNNNNNNNNNNNNNNNNNNNNNNNNNNNNNNNNNNNNNNNNNNNNNNNNNNNNNNNNNNNNNNNNNNNNNNNNNNNNNNNNNNNNNNNNNNNNNNNNNNNNNNNNNNNNNNNNNNNNNNNNNNNNNNNNNNNNNNNNNNNNNNNNNNNNNNNNNNNNNNNNNNNNNNNNNNNNNNNNNNNNNNNNNNNNNNNNNNNNNNNNNNNNNNNNNNNNNNNNNNNNNNNNNNNNNNNNNNNNNNNNNNNNNNNNNNNNNNNNNNNNNNNNNNNNNNNNNNNNNNNNNNNNNNNNNNNNNNNNNNNNNNNNNNNNNNNNNNNNNNNNNNNNNNNNNNNNACCGUCGGACGUCUGAGCGACAUCACGGACAUGCCUUUAAAAAUAAAUACCUCCGUCGGACGUCUGAGCGACAUCACAGACAGGGCUUUAAAAAGAAAUACCACCAUCGGACGUCUGAGCGACAUCACAGGCAAGGCUUUAACAAUAGCAAAAUAACAGGUAUGCCACCGUCGGACGUCUGAGCGACAUCACAGACAGGGCCUUGUAAAAAAUGUAAAUAACGAGAUUAGUUCAUCCACAAGAAUAAUCUUUUAACCGGAAUUAUUUCACAAAAAACCCAUUGGAGUUUUUGUCACCGAGGCUGAAUACCUGACAAGAUAAGACAAUUAUAGUACUUGAACAAAGUACAAGAUAAUUGAAAGAUUGAGGCUCUAACAGAGUUUGGAAGAACUGAACACAGACAACGGAUUUCCGUAGUCACGAAGGACUAGUUCCGUUUACGGUAUUUCAGUAGAAACACAUUUAACUAGUACACACCCAUUUCACCUCACGAUGCCAGGAAUCACCCUGGACAACGUCCAAGAAAAACUUUGAGACGGGGAGGCCACAACCUCGAAUAGCAUGGGAUCAAAUUUCUAUACGCGCGCUCUAAGGGGUGCCCCCCUCUCGGUCCCAACCGGAAACACCCAUGCCCCCUGACCGGAUGACGGGCUUUAAUCCAGGGCCAUGGAACCCUCAUCCCGGCCUCUCCACUUGGUGUGUACCAGGAAAACGAUUUGCAACUUACUAUGCCAUAUUCCUUUCGGAAAACAUGUGACAGUAUAGGAUGGAAUGAAUGGAAAUGUGAAUUGUGUCAUGACGACACGGAAGUCAAAUAAUCUGGCAUAAGACUGGCAUGUCACAACACUGCCAUCUUACCCAUCCUCAUACCAACACAUGGCUUUGCAAAUAUGUAUCCAACAACAUAAUGCUUUCCGAAACUUACUUUCCGAUUACGUGCAUGCGAUAUAUCAUGCAAGCUGAUGUUCAUAAACAUGCCAUGACUAUACUAAAAUGCAAACAUGCAACAACACUCAUCAUAUCAAGAGUUCAAACAUGCUUGCCUGGUUCGGAGUAGUCGGAGUCUAACUGUGCGAAGUUUGCGGCUCCGUCACCUCCUCCGGUAUCUACGGUAUAAGAAAAAUAUGUACGCAACGUAAAUACCGUGAGUGUACAGAAAAGUGUUCCAAAUAUUUUACAAAUAAAUAUGAUAAAAAACUAGACAAAAAUCUAAAGAGAACAGAAAAAGAAUCACCCAAAAAUUCCCUUCUGAUAAAAAGUUAUAAGUGUUUUAACCCAAGGACUCGUCUGUAAUGAAACAAAAAACUUCCAAGGGGUUCAGCGUAAAAGUACAGAUAACGUUUCGUUUAAAAGAAAUGGCUGUGAGGCUGACAGGCGGGCUCCACCUGUCGGGUUUGAAAGUUCAAACAGAGAAACAGAGCGCGACGGCGCCCGAGAGGUGCGGUGGUCGCCGGCGGCGAUCCACGGCGAGGCAAGGCGAUCGGGGGUUACCUUCGAGAUCAGUGCACCGUUCCGCGUCUGUGGGUGGUGGUGGUGGUCGCCGGCGAGCACUGUGUCGACGGCGGCCCUUGCUCCGGCGGACGGCAGUUCGGGCAGUCGUGGAUCUCGCCAGAGGGAGCUGCGGGGAUCAAAUAGGAGUGGGGGUUAGUCUCCUAGUUGCUCGUGAGGGCUGCUGACGAAGUUAGAGCGCCGGAGACGGCCUCACCGGAGCGAAUUGCGGUGGAGUCCGAGGCGGAGCGGGGUGGCCAGAGUCUGGGAAGAAGGGCCCCUCGGGGCUCUCCCAGUGGCUGGGCGGGAUCUAGUGAGGUGGUGGAGUCGUGCGGGGGCGAGAGCAGGCUCGGGGGUGCUAUAUAUAGCCGGCCCGAGUCGGUUGCCGUGAACGGAUAAGUCCGGCGAGUUGAUUACGGCGGCGCUGUGGCCGGACGGUCGGCUUAGGGGUUUGAGCAUCGCCUAGGUGAAGUAGUGGUGCCAUUUUAGGGUCCAGCUCAGCACGGGAGGGAGGUUUACGGCCUGCCCUCGACGGAACGGCCGCACGGCCCAUCGGUGGCAGAGAGCGCGCUCUGCGCGUGUCGCACCACGGCGACGGUGCUGCAUGCGUGCGCUGGCAAGGAGGUGGCCACGCGGAGCUACCAGGACGCUUGGGCGGCGCCGAACGGCGUUGCGCCGCCGUUCUGCUUCCUGUUGGCCGCUACGGCGCUACGGCCACCGCAAGACACGCCGGCGCAGGCAGGCCAGGGCGCCACCGACGCCAGGAAGGCGCCAAGCGCGCGUGUGAGGCCCCGGACAAGCAAGCCUGGCCGUGAGCUACGUGCCAAGCGCACUGUGAGCUCGUGACUGAAGUCACUGACGAAGAUCAACACUGAAUUCUGAAUUUAACUGAAUAUGACUAGAACAGUGCAUGCAAGGUGUUCGACAGAAUGAUCCAGGCAUGUAGGGAUUUUUCCUUGAGCUGGUUUUUGGUGGAGGGACCUCUCAUUGCACCUAGAGGCUUCCUGAAUAUUUGUGGAAUUUUUGGAGAUGUAUAGAUAUGAAUUUCACCAAAUUUGGCAAAUCUGGUCCAAACUUGCAGUGAGUGCAAUUUGAAAAUUUUGAACAGGAGAAGAGUGGAUCAAGAGUGUUCUGGGUUGUGGGUACAAAGGACUAUCCAGGGGUGUUGAGAUGAGGUCAAAAAUCAAAAGCAUUAAAGCACUUGCUUUGCAAUCCACCUAGGCUCAAAAGUAUAGACAGAAUUAUUUUGGGAGGAGAAAUAGUUGGAAUAAAAUCCAAAAAUGGAUUUUAUUAGUUUUGACAGAAUUUUUGUGUUGAACUAAAGUGGGAGGAAAGGUUUUUGGGAAAAAUUUCAGCAUAGGAAGCAUGGUGAAAUUUUUGAAGGGAUCAAAACCACAAAGAGCCCAAAACUAAAAGGGUUUUCAUUUUAAAAGAAACCAAAUCCAAGAAAAGGAUUUUUGAGAGGGCAAACUUAGAAGAUAGUUUUUAGGAAGGGUUUAAAUGACAUUCUUUCAAACCAAGCAAGGUUCUUUCUGAAAACAAAAAAAAAUCACAAAAAUCUUGGAGUGUCACACUGGGCAUCCCGGCGACUAGCCAUUUUUCUCGUGAAUGAGGAGUGGAGUCCACUCCUCUUGAGAAUAACCGCCUAACAUGGAAGAUAAGGGCAGCCCUAGUUGAACAUGAGCUGCUCGAGCAUACAAAACAGAAUUUCAUUUGAAGGUUUGGAGUUUGGCACAUACAAAUUUACUUGGAACGGCAGGUAGAUACCGCAUAUAGGAAGGUAUAGUGGACUCAUAUGGAACAACUUUGGGGUUUAAGGAGUUUGGAUGCACAAGCAGUAUUCCCGCUUAGUACAGGUGAAGGCUAGCAAAAGACUGGGAAGCGACCAACUGAGAGAGCGACAACAGUCGUAAACAUGCAUUAAAAUUAAUUUACACCGAAUACAAGCAUGAGUAGGAUAUAAUCUACCAUGAACAUAAAUAUCAUGAAGGCUAUGUUGAUUUGAUUCAGCUACAUGCGUGAACAUGUGCCAAGUCUAGUCACUCAAUUCAUUUAAAGGAGGAUACCAUCCUAUCAUACCACAUCAUAAUCAUUCUAAUAGCAUGUUGGCACGCAAGGUAAACCAUUAUAACUCAUAGCUAAUCAAUCAUGGCACAAGCAACUAUAAUCUCUAAAUGUCAUUGCAAAUAUGUUUACUUCAUAAUAGCUAACUCAGGAACGAUGAAUCAUCAUAUUUACAAAAACAAGAGAGGUCAAGUUCAUACCAGCUUUUCUCAUCCCAAUAAGUCCAUCAUAUAUCAUCAUUAUUGCCUUUCACUUGCACGACCGAACGAUGUGUAUAAUAAUAAGAGUGCACGUGCAUUGGACUAAGCUGGAAUCUGCAAGCAUUCAACUCAAGAGAGAAGACAAGUAAUAUGGGCUCUAAGUUAAAUAAACAUUCAUGCAUAUAGGAGCCACUAAGCAUUUUCAAUAUGGUCUUCUCGACCCCCAAAGAAAGGAAAAGAAAUAAAAACUAUUUACACGGGAAAGCUCCCAACAAACAAAAGAAGAACGGGAAAUAUUUUUGGGUUUUCUUUUUAAUUACUACAAAAAAGAAAUAAACUACUACUAUUUUUUUGUUUUUUCUUAAGGUUUAUCAAACACACAAGAAGAAAGCAGGAAAAAGAAAAUAAACUAGCAUGGAUAUUACAGUGAAACGGUAUGAGCACCGACAUCUAGCAAUGAGUGUGUGUGAACAUAAAUGUAAUGUCGGUGGGAAAGACGUACUCCCCCAAGCUUAGGCUUUUGGCCUAAGUUGGUCUAUUGCCAGGGAUAGCCUGGCGGAUACCCGUAGGUGAAGCUGGGGUCAUACUGUGAUGCAGCUACUAUCGCCGCCUGAGCUGUAGCGUGGCGUCGAGCAGCCUCCGCUCUCCUCUCGUACUCAUCCGCCUCCUCUCUGGUAAUAAUAUAUCUUCCUUUUGUCUGAAAAUCAAAGAAGGCAGGAGCAGGAAGAGCAAUAUGGACUACAUGACGUUUGUUAAAGAUUGGUCGAUACUGGAGAGGUGGUUCAGUCCUCUCAACAAACUGGUGGGAAACCAUAGAAUCAAAAUCUAAAUAAGAAGGGGGUAACUCCAUAUCACCCUCACGAAUGUCUAUCUCAAGAAAAUUAGCUAAGCGGGUUGCAUAAAUUCCUCCAAAGAAAUCUCCGUUAUGUCUAUUCUGAUGCAACCUAUGAGUUACAAUGGCUCCCAUAUGAUAAGAUUGGUAUCCUAACACAGCACUCCUAAGAAUGCUGAGAUCAGGGACACACAUGUGACAUGCUUCAUCCUUAGCAUUUAUGCAUCUACCUAUAAAGAGAGCAAAAUAAUGUAUAGCAGGAAAGUGAAUGCUUCCUAAAGUGGCUUGUGUUAUAUCUCUAGAUUCCCCCACGAUUAUUCUAGAAAGAAAGUCUCUAUAUUCAGAUUUAGGGGGAUCCCUGACACUACCCCAUGAUGGAAGUUUGCAAGAAGAAGUGAAAUCCUCUAAGUCCAUGGUAUAAGAUUUGUCAUAAAGGUCAAACAUGACUGAAGGAGAAUUACGCGAAGAUGAAAACUCAAACCUCCUCACAAAUGAACUUGUGAGAUCAUGAUACUGGGGGCAUUUGUCAGCUUCAAAGUCCUCAAGACCGACGUUGCGCAAAUAUGCGCUAAAUUCUUCUUUGAUUCCCACUUGAUUCAUAAAAUUUUCCGAAGGCCAUUCACAGGGCCUCACAGGAGCGUCUCUUGGUGGUUCCUCGUCAGCAUCACGUAUUGCAAGUCUAGGACCUUGCUUCCUUGAAGGACCACCUUGGAACAUCCUCCUAAACAUAUUGUUUCCUAUGAAAAAUUUCUGAAAUUUUUAGUAACUUCAAAUAAAAGUGAACCAAGUUCAAUAAAAUUGAUAGUAACAACUCCCACAAGUGCCUAGAGCCUAUAUCAAGCAUUAAAACUACUUGGAACCAUAUGAAUUUGACAUGCAAGCUCAAGAACAUGGUCACCUAUGCAACACAAAUUUGCAAUGAAUAAAGCACUAGAACAAAAACUAAUUGAACCAUUGGAGGAGUCACAUACCAAGGAGCAAUCUCCCUAAGCAGUUUUGCGAGAGGUGCUUUGAGCAAAGAGAUCGAAAAUCACAGCAACAGGGGCUGGAACUCGUGCUUGAGUUGGUUUUUCGUGUUUGUGUGAGACAGAGGAAGAAGAUGGGUGCAGGGAUAAGUGGAGGAGGGCCACCAUGGGCACACGAGGUAGGGGGCGUGCACAGGGGGUAGGGCGCGUCCUCCACCCUCGUGACCAGGUGGCAGCUCCCCCCGCGGUGAUUUUUGCACAGUAAAUCCUCAAAUAUUCCUGAAAAAAUCAUAUUAAAUUGGCAUGGCAUUCUGAGGACUUUUAUUUUUGGAAUAUUUUUAUAUUGCACGGAUAAGUCAGGAAACAGACAGAAAAAUACUAUUUUACUUUAUUUCUACUAAAUAACAAAAAAUGUAAAGAGGGUACAUAAGGUUGUGCUUCUAAUUUCAUCCAUCUCAUGCUCAUAAAAAAGAAUCCACUAACAAGGUUGAUCAAGUCUUGUUAACAAACUCAUUCCGAUAAUCAUGGAACCGGAGAAAUUUCGAAUAGCACUAAGUUACCUCAACGGGGAUAUGAAAAUCCCCAACAAUAAGAAUAUCAUACUUUUUCUUGACAGUAGGGAGAGGAAAUUCAAAACCUCCAAAUAUAAUCGAUGGAAUUUUUCCAAUAUAGUUGAUACUAUAAACUUGAGGUUGUUUCCUUGGGAAGUGUACCGUGUGCUCAUUGCCAUUAACAUGAAAAGUGACAUUGCCUUUGUUGCAAUCAAUAACAGCCCCUGCAGUAUUAAGAAAAGGUCUUCCAAGAAUAAUACACAUACUAUCAUCCUCGGGAAUAUCAAGAAUAACAAAGUCCGUUGAAAUAGUAAUGUUUGCAACCACAACAGGCACAUCCUCACAAAUACCGACAGGUAUAGCGGUUGAUUUAUCAGCCAUUUGCAAAGAUAUUUCAGUAGGUGUCAACUUAUUCAAGUCAAGUCUACGAUAUAAAGAGAGAGGCAUAACACUGACACCGGCUCCAAGAUCACAUAAAGCAGUUUUAACAUAAUUUCUCUUAAUGGAGCAUGGUAUAGUAGGUACUUCGGGAUCUCCAAGUUUCUUUGGUAUUCCACCCUUAAAAGUAUAAUUAGCAAGCAUGGUGGAAAUUUCGGUUUCAGGUAUCUUUCUUUUAUUAGUAAUGAUAUCCUUCAUAUACUUAGCAUACGGAUUUGUUUUGAGCACAUCAGUUAAUCGCAUACGCAAAAAGAUGGGUCUAAUCAUUUCGGCAAAGCGCUCAAAAUCCUCAUCAUCCUUUUUCUUGGAUGGUUUUGGAGGAAAAGGCAUGGGUUUCUGAACCCAUGGUUCCCUUUCUUUACCAUGUUUCCUAGCAACGAAGUCUCUUUUAUAAUAAUGUUGAUCCUUUGAUUGUGGGUUAUCAAGAUCAACAGUAGGUUCAACUUCUACAUCAUUAUCAUUACUAGGUUGAGCAUCAACAUGAACAUCAUCAUUAACAUUUUCACUAGGUUCAUGUUCAUCACCCGAUUGUGUUUCAGCAUCAGACAUAGAGAUAUCAUUUGGAUUCUCAGGUGGUUCAGCAAUAGGUUCACUAGAAGUUUGCAAAGUCCUGUCAUUUUUAUUUUUCUUCCUCUUAGAAGAACUAGGUAGAUCAAUAUUAUUUCUCUGAGAAUCUUGCUCGAUUCUCUUAGGGUGGCCUUCAGGAUACAAAGGUUCCUGAGUUAUUCUACCAGUUCUAGUAGCCAUUCUAACAGCAUAAUCAUUUUUCUUACUAUUCAUUUCAUCAAGCACUUCUUUCUGAGCUUUAAGUACUUGUUCUACUUGAGUGGUAACCAUAGAAGCAUGUUUGCUAACAAGUUUAAGUUCACCUCUAAUAUCAGCCAUAUAAUCACCCAAGCGUUUAAUCAUAAAGGUAUUCUGUUUCAAUUGUCUACCAAAAUAAGCAUUAAAGUCAUCUUUCUUAAACAUAAAGUCAUCAAACUCAUCCAAGCACUGACUAGCAAUUUUAGUAGGAGGAACUUCAGCUUUAUCAUAUCUAUAGAGAGAAUUUACCUUUACUACCUGUGUUGGGAUAUUGGGAGGUUCUUCAGUAAAUAAGCAAUUGAGAUCAUAUACUUCUUCAACAGGUGGUAAAUUAAGGCCAUGUAUUUCUUCAAUAGGAGGUAAAUUCUUAACAUCUUCAGCUUUAAUACCUUUUUCUUUCAUAGAUUUCUUUGCCUCUUGCAUAUCUUCGGGACUGAGAAAUAGAACACCUCUCUUCUUCGGAGUUGGUUUAGGAAUAGGCUCAGUAAUUGGCUCAGGAGCUGGCUCAGGAGGUGGCUCGGGAGAUGCCCAAUUAUUUUCAUUUGUCAACAUAUUAUUCAAUAGAAUUUUAGCUUCAUCCAGUGUUCUUUCCCUGAAAAGAGAACCAGCACAACUAUCCAGGUAAUCUCUGGAAGCAUCAGUUAGUCCAUUAUAAAAGAUAUCAAGUAUUUCAGGUUUCUUAAGAGGAUGAUCAGACAAAGCAUUAAGUAACUUGAGAAGCCUCCCCCAAGCUUGUGGGAGACUCUCUUCUUCAAUUUGCACGAAGUUGUAUAUUUCCCUCAAAGCAGCUUGUUUCUUAUGAGCAGGGAAAUAUUUAGCAGAGAAGUAAUAAAUCAUAUCCUGGGGACUUUGCACACAACCAGGAUCAAGAGAAUUAAACCAUAUCUUAGCAUCACCCUUUAAUGAGAAAGGAAAUAGUUUGAGUAAAUAAAGGUAGCGCGAUCUCUCAUUAUUAGUAAACAGGGCAGCUAUAUCAUUUAACUUAGUAAGAUGUGCCACAACAGUUUGAGAUUCAUAACCAUAGAAAGGAUCAAAUUCAACCAAAGUAAUUAUAUCUGGAUCAACAGAAAAAUCAUAAUAAUCCUUAUCGGGAACACAGAUAGGUGAAGUAGCAAAAGCAGGGUCGGGUCUCAUUCUAUCUCUAAGAGAUUCUUUACUCCACUUAACUAGCAACCUCUUAAGUUCAUAUCUAUCAUGGCAAGCAAAAAUAGCUGCAGAAGAUUCCGCAUCAAAAAGAUAACCCUCAGGAAUAGCAGGCAUAUUCUCAUCAUCACUAUCAUCAUCGUAUUCAGAUUCAAUAAUUUCUCUUUCUCUAGACCUAGCAAUUUGCUCAUCGAGGAAUUCACCGAGGGGCACAAUAGUAUCAAGCAUAGAAGUAGUUUCAUCAUAAGUAUCAUGCAUAGCAGAAGUGGCAUCAUCAAUAACAUACGACAUAUCAGAAUUCAUAGCAUAGCAGGUUUAGGUGUCGCUAGCUUACUUAUAACAGAAGGAGAAUCUAGUGCAAGGCUAGAUGGCAGUUCCUUACCCCCCCCCCUCGUAGUUGAGGGCAAAAUAGUAGUUCGAUCGUCUUUCAAGUUCUUCAUAGUAUCCAGCAGAUAUAAAUCCCAAGUGACUCAAAGAAUAGAGCUAUGCUGCCCGGCAACGGUGCCAGAAAAAGGUCUUGAUAACCCACAAGUAUAGGGGAUCGCAACAGUUUUCGAGGGUAGAGUAUUCAACCCAAAUUUAUUGAUUCGACAUAAGGGGAGCCAAAGAAUAUUCUCAAGUAUUAGCAGCUGAGUUGUCAAUUCAACCACACCUGGAAACUUAGUAUCUGCAGCAAAGUGUUUAGUAGCAAAGUAAUAUGAUAGUGGUGGUAACGGUAACAAAAGUAAAGACAGCAAAAGUAAUGUUUUUGGUAUUUUGUAGUGAUUGUAACAGUAGCAACGGAAAAGUAAAUAAGCGAGAACCGGUAUAUGGAAACCUCGUAGGCGCCGGAUAAGUGAUGGAUAAUUAUGCCGGAUGUGGUUCGUCAUGUAACAGUCAUAACAUAGGGUGACACGGAACUAGCUCCAAUUCAUCAAUGUAAUGUAGGCAUGUAUUCCGUAUAUAGUCAUACGUGCUUAUGGAAAAGAACUUGCAUGACAUCUUUUGUCCUACCCUCCCGUGGCAGCGGGGUCCUAUUGGAAACUAAGGGAUAUUAAGGCCUCCUUUUAAUAGAGAACCGGAACAAAGCAUUAGCACAUAGUGAAUACAUGAACUCCUCAAACUAUGGUCAUCACCGGGAGUGGUCCCGAUUAUUGUCACUUCGGGGUUGCCGGAUCAUAACACAUAGUAGGUGACUAUAGACUUGCAAGAUAGGAUCAAGAACACACAUAUAUUCAUGAAAACAUAAUAGGUUCAGAUCUGAAAUCAUGGCACUCGGGCCCUAGUGACAAGCAUUAAGCAUAGCAAAGUCAUAGCAACAUCAAUCUCAGAACAUAAUGGAUACUAGGGAUCAAACCCUAACAAAACUAACUCGAUUACAUGAUAAAUCUCAUCCAACCCAUCACCGUCCAGCAAGCCUACGAUGGAAUUACUCACGCACGGCGGUGAGCAUCAUGAAAUUGGUGAUGGAGGAUGGUUGAUGAUGACGACGACGACGAAUCCCCCUCUCCGGAGCCCCGAACGGACCCCAGAUCAGCCCUCCCGAGAGAGAUUAGGGCUUGGCGGCUGCUCCGUAUCGUAAAACGCGAUGAUUUCGUUUCUCUAAUUUUUUUUCUCCCCGAAAGCCAAUAUAUAGAGUUGGAGUUGGCGUCGGAGGGCCAACAGGGGGCCCACAAGGUAGGGGGCACGCCCCCCACCCUCGUGGACAGGGUGUGGGCCCCUUGGUCUUCAUCUUUGGCGAGGAUUUUUAUUGUUUUUUCUAAGGUGUUCCGUGGAGUUUCAGGUCAUUCCGAGAACUUUUAUUUUCUACACAUAAAACAACACCAUGGCAAUUCUGCUGAAAACAGCGCCAGUCCGGGUUAGUUCCAUUCAAAUCAUACAAGUUAGAGUCCAAAACAAGGGCAGAAGUGUUUGGAAAAGUAGAUACGACGGAGACGUAUCAGUGAUGACCGCGUGAACAAUGCACCUUUUAGUCCUCUACACACACCGGCCGAAGGGAUCCGGCUGGAUCUGUGGCCAGCGGUGAGCAGAGAGAAAAUGUCACUACCGCUGUCUUGUUUAUAUCUGGAGAGGAUGAGAGAAUGAAGAGAGCAACCCUAGUAAAGCAAGCGCUCAGGCCCCUGCGUCCAUAUAUAGUGGAGUGAUUAUCUUUUUUCUCUCCACAACAAGCGUUUCAAUUUGUGUACGUGGCAUUAAAGAAAAGAAACUCUCUAUUUAAGGUGACUACUGUACGACUCCUACUUACUACUAGUAGUACUACAGUAUUGUUCACUUGUGCUCCCCGCCCCUCCAUUCAUUGAACAACCCCACGGAUGAAUAAACAUACAAUAAGUACUGUAUUUAUAUAGAAUAGAACGAACAAGCUCGAACUAUUUUUGCGUAGUUAAAAGUUGAGGGCGGGGCUUUUCCCGGGCAGUACGCGCGGCAGUUUUCGGGUAGGCGGUUUGACAGAGAGGCGAGGAGGGUGAGCGAGUGGCAGAUUCUCAAACAUACUGCUGGAAAGGUCGGGCUGUGCGAUUUGACGGUGCGUUACUGCUGGAAAGACUUGUGAUAUGACCACUCACUAUAGUCAUGAAUUACUGGCGCUCCGACCGGGGUGAUGCCCCCCUCCUGUUCCGCGCUCUAAUCUGGUGCAUGACACGUCGACCCGGAUGCUGGCUCUCCCACAUGUCGGAGUAGUAAGAAGGAGCAAAGAAUGAUGCGGUAUAUACUAGUACUACUACUACCCAGGUCGGAGGAGUGCGAACCACGGCAGCCCAGUGAACCAGCAAUGCGAACCACGGCAGCCCAGUGAACAAGCAGUUCGAACCAUGGUAGCCCAGUGAACCAGCAGUAGAAAACAAUGUGGUGAUAUGGCCAUAAAAAACAAUGUGCUACGGUCCACACUGUAGCAUGUAAAGUAACACUCCUCUUUGUUUGGAUCCCUGAGUUAGAGCUAGUUUGGGUUGAAAUAGCCUCAAAUUAUCGAAACAAGAGGGGUUAGUUUGAGCUAGUUUGCUCUAACCUAGCUAAAAAAACUAGCCCGAUGGAGAGGUUCUAAUUUGGUUAGUUAUCCUCGGGCCCACCAAAAGUGAACUAAAAAAAUUUCCCAUGCCCGCAUGAGAUCACUCCCCCCCCUCUCGCACGACUCCUCUCUGUUCCCCAUAGGGCCGCCCGCCCAAGCACCGCUCGCCCUCUCUCUCCUCCGGCCACCCUCUCCUUCCGUCCUCCGCCGCCCUACUCUGGCCGCCCUCUCCCUCCGGGCUUCGAAGGUCGCCCUGCUCCCCCUUCACCAGUCUUUUUCUCCCUCUGUCGUACGCGGCGGCGGCACAUCUACCAGGGAGGUCGCGAGAGGGUGAGUUUGUUCAUUCCUUCUCUGUCUCACGGUCAUAUCAUUGAUCUUGCUUGCUCUAGCGCUAAUUCUGAUUUGGAAAAGUAGAUCCUGAUCAAACUUGGUAUAGAUUUGUGGUGCAUGCAUGGAAUUGUUUGAUGCUGCUUGAGGAGGUAAUCAAUCUUUCUAGAGGCCCAAUGAUUCAGUUCACCUUUCUAGGUAUUUCAAUUUCAGGCUUGCAUUAUUUCUAGAGGCCCAAAGAUUCAGUUCACCUUUCUAGGUAUUUCAGUUUCAGGCUUGCGUUAUUUCUAGAGGCCCAAAGAUUCAGUUCACCUUUCUAAGUAUUUCAAUUUCAGGCUUGCAUUAUUUCUAGGGGCCCAAAGAUUCAGUUCACCUUUCUAGGUAUUUCAGUUUCAGGCUUGCAUUAUUUCUAGAGACCCAAAGAGCCAGUUCACCUUUCUAGGUAUUUAAAUUUCAGGCUUGCAUUAUUUCUAGAGGCCCAAAGAUUCAGUUCACCUUUCUAGGUAUUUUAGUUACAGGCUUGCAUUAUUUCUAUAUGCCCAAAGAUUAAGUUCCCAGUCAGCAGCAAGCAGCCCUGCUACCGAUGCCGGUGUCGACCUCAACUCGGAAGGGCCGAUGUCGGAGGGGUUCCCGGGGCUUGGGCUCUACAGAGCCUUCCUCCAGAGCGACGAUGGCGAGCUCCUCCCUCGGUGCGUGAGGGGCUCCGGGCUCCCUCCCUAUCGUGAAUGACUUCCGUGAUGAGUUAGCUCAUGCUUUGUUCAUGAAGUGUUUUUUUUAUUUUGUGAAGCUUGAUUGAUGACUUGUAUGUUUAAGUGGGAUAUCUCAUUUGUAUGGACAAAGUAAAAAUUAUCAUGUUUUGCAUGCUUGAUUUGUAUAGAUGGUUCGUUUAUGUCAAUUGUGAGCGGGAGGAGGCCACAGAAGAGCCGGCCACACCAAAUCCGGCAGGAAAUAGGGUCCAAAGUAGUCAAAUGAUUAAGAAAGAGCAUUUAUUGUCAAUCUAACCCUGCCAUCCAUACACCUCUUUGGUUUAGAGUUAGUUCAGGGUUAGAAUCUAACUCUAACCUCUAACUGAGUUAGAGUUCUCCUCGUCUCGGUUCAUCGCCAUCAUACUUUCCCCAUUCCUGUGUUUUCGGUAUCCUGCGAAUCAAAGAGGCCCUUUUUUGCGGGAAAAAUCAAAGAGGCCCUUAGACUGGUUUAGAUCCGGUCAUUUUUUAUAAACGUGUUAUGUCCAAAAUUUAAUGAACGUGCUCUGGUUUCCACGAAAAUAAUUCGGUUUCAUGUAGUAAUUCAUUCAUUUAUUUAUUCUUCUACGGGGGGUUUGCAUGUAAUUCAUGAGGUCUGAAAUGUAAAGUACCCCGGCAUAUGCUCCGAGUCAUGCAUGCACCACGACCCAGAUGCUCUAUGUCCCACAUGUCGGCGAAUGGGAGCAUGUGGAAAUAGCCUAGGAGUACAUAUAGGAGGAUAAAUGCGUGAAAAAAUAUGUACUGUGAAGCAUAGCCGUGGUUCAAAAAGGAGACCUAAAGUGAUGACAGCUAUAGGUCGCACGCAUCCAACUAGUGGUACUAGACAUACGACUAAUUUUUCCCUAAAAAAAGAGGCACGAGUGCUCAGUACUCCUAUUCUAGAAACACGAGUCCCAUCUGACAAUAGCGUCCGUGCUACAGCUAGCUCUCCUUCCCCGUUUCUCUCUUCUAAUUCUAAACUCGGCCGACGCCCGGUGGGCGGGGUGGGUUUGCUCAACUGCGGCCCCACCUCACAGUGAAAACAUUACGAGUGGAGUAAAAAUGCCAUAUACUCCCUCCGUUCCUAAAUAUAAGCCUUUUCAGAUACUAUUUCAAAUGGAAUACAGCAUACAGAUGUAUGUAGACAUAGUUUAGAGUGUAGAUUCACUAUUUUUUUAUUAUGCAUGUCAGAUAUUGUACACAAUCGUACUGAACAUGUAGAGAAAAAGAGAAGACCGUUGCGUGGGAAUAUAAUGUCAUGCAGACGCCGCUCCAUCGUGGGCGAAGUGCCCCCCCCCCCCUCCUGCAUUUCCAGAUUGUAUUCCAGAGGAAGAUAACUGUUCAGAUGGAGAUUCAGAAGGAGCUGACCACGCCUGUUUACCACCUGAGGUGUUUGCUCUAACCUGGCAUGCUGAUGUUGGUCAUAUCAUGCAUAUGGCGCCUUGCAUUUCUUACAUUAUACAUCUUAUAUGUCAUCAGCUUUGUUUAGAUUUGCUUUGUGUGAAUGCCACCUGUUUGGUUUCUAUAUCAUACUCCCACCAUUCCUAAAUAUUUGUCUUUUUAGAGAUUUCAACAAGUAACUACAUAUGGAACAAAAUGAGUGAAUCUACACUCUAAAAUAUGUCUAUAUACAUCUGUAUGUGGUAGUCCAUUUGAAAUCUCUAAAAAGACAAAUAUUUAGGAACGGAGGGAGUAUAUGGGAAUUAUGCAAUGCCAUCUUCUUUAGCCAGGCAUCAUAUACGUGAAUCAUGCAAUGCCAUCCUGUUUAGCCAGUCAUCAUAUAUAUGAAUUGUAUUGUGCCAUAUUUUUUUCCAUAAUGUAUUCCAUUUGUCAACAAUGUUUAUACAUUCAUCUACUCUUCAUGUGCAUCAGCCAUUUGAGUCGGUCAUAGGAAAAUCUGGAGUGAAAACAAGGUCUUCUGAGUAGUCAGUGCUACCUGUCAAUGCAGAUUUCUUGCUGGUUACAGAUAGCUCCUCAGAGGAGGAUUCAGAGACAGAUGGCCAGUNNNNNNNNNNNNNNNNNNNNNNNNNNNNNNNNNNNNNNNNNNNNNNNNNNNNNNNNNNNNNNNNNNNNNNNNNNNNNNNNNNNNNNNNNNNNNNNNNNNNNNNNNNNNNNNNNNNNNNNNNNNNNNNNNNNNNNNNNNNNNNNNNNNNNNNNNNNNNNNNNNNNNNNNNNNNNNNNNNNNNNNNNNNNNNNNNNNNNNNNNNNNNNNNNNNNNNNNNNNNNNNNNNNNNNNNNNNNNNNNNNNNNNNNNNNNNNNNNNNNNNNNNNNNNNNNNNNNNNNNNNNNNNNNNNNNNNNNNNNNNNNNNNNNNNNNNNNNNNNNAACUUGGCUGGGUUAUAUUGCUCAUAUCAUGCAUAUGGUGUCUUGCAUUGCCAUGCCAUCUGCUUAGAUUAGACAUGCUUUGUGUGAAUGCCUCCUAUUUGCUUUCUAUAUCAGAUAUGUGAAUUAUGCAAUGCCAUGUUUUUCAGCCAGUUAUCAUAUAUGUGAAUUAUGCACCAACAUGGAGCCAGACAUCAUAUAUGUGAAUUAUCUCAUGCCAUCUUUUUUUCAAUUACGUAUUCCAUUUGUCGACAAUCUGUGUAUAUUGAACUACUCUUCAUGUGUAUCAUCCAUUUGAGCCAGUUAUGGAAAAAUCUAGAGUGAAAACAAGGUCUUUAGAGUAGGCAAUGGUACAUGUUGAAGCAUAUAUCUCGAUGGUUACAGGGAGCUCCUCAGAGGAGGAUUCAGAGAUAGAUGACCAGUCUUAUAUCCCACCUGAGGUGUAUGCUCUAAGUUGCAAUGUUUAUAUUUCUCAUAUGAUGCAUAUGGUGUCUUGCAUUGCUUAGUUUAGACAUCAUAUGCACAAUAUUGAAUUCUAUCUGCUUAGUUUAGAGAUCAUACAUGCGAGUGCCAGCUGCUUAGUAUAUGAAUCAAUUAUGUCAAUUAUAUCAUGCCAUCAUGUAUACUUAGACAACAUGUAUGUGAAUUAUUUUAUCCCAACCUAUUUUAGAAAGACAUCAUAUAGUUUUGUCCUGUCAUCCUGUUUAGGUACUCAUCAUAUGUUGAAUUAUGCCAUUAUAUCCUGUUAAGUUAUCCAUCAUAUAUCUGAAACUGUGUCAUGCAAUCCUGUUUAGUUAGGCAUCAUAUAUGUGAAAUUGUGUCAUGCUGUCAUGUUUGGUUAGACAACAUAUAUGUGAAUUACCACAUCUGUCUAUCAUACAGUGUCUAUACGUUCAAUUUCUUUUCUUGUUUAUCAGCCAUUUGAAUUGGAGGGGGUGAUGGCAGUAUCUAAGGGAGCAAAAACCCGUUCUUCACAAAAGAUAGUGCUACCCGUCGAUGUAGAUAGAACCAUGGUUGUACUGGCCCACAAACUAGCCCCACCACACAUAAUCGAGACUCUUCCAGAUUGCACACUUACACCAUUCGGCAGAGAACCAGCUACAACCCAUCUAACCGCAACCCCAGCGGAUAGUAACCCACUUCUAGUUGACAAAGCACCAUAUCCACCACAGAGUACCCCCACAUGAGCAGUUUGUAAAGCUAGUGCAGUGCCCAAAGCACGAAGACCACCACAGCUAACCCAAACUCCACGUUUAAAGCAGAAGAGCAAUUGUUCUUAGGUCAGAUUCUGUAGCUAUGGUCCAUACUCCUUUGUUGUUGCAUCACUGUAUUUACUCAUACCAACUACUUCCGAAUUUGAAGGAUCCAAUUGAAACUCCAAUGGCGCAACAGGUAUGUUUUAAACCUAUUUCUUUAACUGGAUUGCUGUUCUAACUUCUUGCUCUAUGUUGAUUUCAGUUUAAGUUGUAUAAACAAUUAUGUUCUCAUGUGAUGCACAUUACAAGUGCUGCCAAUGUUGUGUAGUUUAUCACACUUAUAUUCUGUCUAUGCUGCUGUGUCUUAAAAAUAUAUGAGUUGAACUAUGUCUCUAUCUUGAUUAGGGAACAUAAACUAGAAUGAUAUGGACAAUACAGUGACCAUAGUACAUAGAUAUAUGUUUGUUUCAUGUUGUUAUCCUGUCCACCUUACUACUGAACCGGUUUACCAAAAUGAGUUUCAUAUACUACAUGCUAAACCUGUGAUGUGUCUGCUUGUUUCUCUUGUACGUAGUAUGCAAACAGAAUAUUGGAGAAGAGCACCCCACUAUGCAAUGGUAGAGAAAGUAAUGCAGAUAAGGUUCAAGAUAGUGAGACAACCCUGUUGGUCUCCAAGAAAGGUGAUAAAAACGAUCUUGUAGAUAGUGAGAAAACCCCACAGUCCUGCAUUGAUGUAGUGUUCGAGUUACUGGCCAGUACCGCUGGCACAAGCUCUUCGAACUCACUGCCUGAAUCACUUUGGCUUCUUCAGUCUCAGCUACAAGCUGAAAGGCAUCAGUCAGCUAUGCUGUGGCAAGAAGCCGAAGGGCUGAGGAAGUCCCUGCAGAAUUCAGAUGUGUACUUUCUUGUGCAACAGCAAGCGCUGGAGGAUUUAAGCGCCAAACAAGAGAAAGUUAAUAAGCUUGCUAAGCAUCUUGCCAGCAUUAUGGGUACCCAGGAUAUUGUUUCUUGAACUCUUCUGAAGUGGUUUCAGUUCUGGACUUGUUUUGCUGCGGCGUUUAUAUGCUGCUUUGUUCCCUAUAUUUGCACUGGUGGCGAACUUUGAUGCCCAGUGGAUGUAAUAUGUGUAAUAGCCGUGAUAGCCUAGCAUAAGUUGCUUGCUUAUUUAUUUCCUUGUUGUCUUGUUUAUUUUUUUGCUUGUAGUCAGUGCAAUUCUUUUUUCGCGGUUUGCUAGUGGCUGCAAUAACCUAUUUUUUAAAACUAGGCCACAAUAACCAUGGGCUAAUAUUUAUUGUAGUGACACUGGGCCUCCUACGGGCCGUAGAAACAGUGGGCCUUCUACGGGCCGUAGAAACAAUGGGCCUUCUACGGGCCGAAUCACAAUGGGACUUAUACGGGCCGUAUGACCGAUUGGCCAAACAUGGGCCAAUAACAGGCAGCAUUAUGGCCGUAAAUGGGCUAGAGUUGGAAUCGUCCGUUCAUAGGCCGACCAUAAUGGGCCAUCAUUAAUAGGUCGUAUUUGAUGAUGCUAUGAAAACGGCCCAACGUAUUAACGGACCACAAACGGGCCGACUCUAACCACGGGCUGAAUUUGGCCCACAAGCAAAAAAUGACAAUAACGGGCCGUAAGUAAACGAAUGCUGGAAAUGAGCCCAAUAAUAAAUGGGCUCUGAGAAGGCUGAAAGAUAACAUGGGCUAGAAAUGGCCCAACGGAAUAACGGGUCGUUAAUGGGUAUAAAGUGAUACACUAUUCAUUAUGGGCCAGUUUCACCACGGACCGUUAAUGGGUGUAAAAUGAUACACUGUUCAUUACGGGCCAGUUUCACCACGGGUCGUUAAUAGGCCAAGAGUUACAUAGGGCCUCAUAUGGGCCGAAAGACGUCAUGGGCCAUACAUGGGCCAGAAGUGAAAACGAGCUGGAAUCAUAUUGGAUGGCCCAGAUGACGCUACUGGGCCUAAUUCGGAUAGGGCGUAACAACCCUUGGGUUAGCGGGUUGUAAAUGGGCUAUAUGCGAAUAGGCCGUUAACAGGCUUUACAUGGGUCGGCCCGCCACCUUUUGACCAAGUCAAACGGGCCGGCCUUUUCAUAGGAAUGGGCCUCUAUUGGGUCGUACCACGUGUUGACGUAUCAUAGGCGCCUUCUGUCCAAUGAGUGGAUGACAUCUGUCCCAACGAUGAGCCGACACGUGUUUCCUCCAACCAAUGAUGAUUUUACACGUGGAAAAUCCCCAUUGGUCGGGGCUAUUAACGGGUUAUCGAAUCCAAAACCCGACCCGAUAGCUUAACAACGUUCCAUUACGGUGGAUGCCACAUGUCGGUCACCCUUGACGAAAGCACUUCUGUGACGCGCGAUUUAUCGUCAUGGAAGUGGACACUUUCGUGAUGAUAAUUUUGGUAAUGUCAUGGAACACUUCUAUGACAGCACAUGUAUGACUAUCUUGAUUAUGUCAUAAAAUCGUCAUGGAUAUACAUGCAUGACAAAAACGUGACCUACUGUAACGAACACGUAUCAUCACAGAAGUGUAUUUUUUUGUAGUGUGUGAUGGUCACCUAUAAAAAAAGAAAAACACUGGAAAAGAAAAUCCAGUGUGGCCGUACAUAAAGUCUGUUUGAUGAACCUUUAAAGGUAACCGUAGAGUCCGAAUAGGGUCAAGCCGAACUAUGGACUAUUUGUGUGCAGUAUGCCCCCAGCGCUGCUCAAGGGAUUUUGAGGAUGUACUUGUGUAUACGAGGUACGUAUGAUGUCGCCUUAUGAGGCAGUCGAUAGGGGCGUAACUGCUAAUCGAGCUCCGGUUUAUCUGAGCUGCCGCACUAAGGUGUACUUCGGACACGUUUAGUUGUGUCUGUGGUCUUAACGACCGCUGAUCUGUUUGGCUUGAGUAGGCCGUUUUGGACUUUGACUGCUAGGGCCGCAGUGUCCUUCUCCUACGGAGAGAGUGUUCCAUAUUUCCACUGACCGUAAUGACGCCCCGUGGUCUGGGGAUUUUGAGCUUUAAAUAAGUAUAAUGUGGGACGACAUUAAAGCGGGCGAAGGUCGUUCUUCCGAGUAGUGCAUGAUAGCCACUUCGGUACGGAGCUAUGUCGAAGAUUAGCUCUUCGCUUCGAAAGAUAUCAGGAGAGCCGAAUACGACUUCCAAUGUUAAAGAGCCCGUGCAGCGGGCUUCUACGCUCGGUAUAACUCCUUUAAAGGUCGUGCUACUUGGCUUGAUUCUUGACAGGUCUACCCCCAUUUUGCGGACAGUGUCCUGAUAUAUCAGAUUUAGGCUGCUGCCGCCGUCCAUGAGGACUCGAGUGAGAUGGUGUCCAUCGAUUAUUGGGUCGAGCACUAGGGCAGCCAAACCCCCAUGGCGGAUACUAGUUGGGUGGUCCCUGUGAUCAAAGGUGAUCGGACAUGCCAUCCAUGAGUUGAAUUUGGGAGUAACAGGCUCAACGGCAUAGAUGUCUCGGAGUGCGCGUUUGUGCUUCCUCUUUGGGAUAUGAGUGACGUAAAUCAUAUUCACUGUUUUGAUCUCCGGUGGAAAUUUCUUCUGUCCUCCUGUGUUCGGCUGGCGAGAUUCAUCCUCGUCUUCGCUCUGAGGUCCCCUCUCCUUGUGUUCGGCGGUGAGCUUGCCGGCCUGCUUGAAUACCCAACAACUGCGGUUGAUAUGGUUCACAGGUUUGGUGGGGGUGCCACGGAUUUGGCAGUUCCUGUCUAGUAUUUUGUCUAGGCUAGAUGGACCAUCUUUGUUUCCUUUAAAUGGUUUCUCCGUUGACCGGGUCUGGAGCCACUGAAUCCGACAUUUACUGCCGUAUCAUCUGGGCUUCCCUCAUUGUUUCGACGUUUGUUUCUGUUACGUCGUGGCUUUCCAUUGCCAUCCCUGACUUCGGAUGUGCCAGGUUUGCUGGUGCUGCUAUGGGCUAGCCAGCUGUCCUCGCCCGCGCAAAAACGGGUCAUCAGUGUAGUUAGGGCUGUCAUUGUCCUUGGUUUUUCCUGGCCGAGGUGUCUAGCUAGCCAUUCGUCUUGGACGCUGUGCUUGAAGGCUGCUAAGGCCUUGGGGUCCGGGCAAUCAACAAUUUGGUUCUUCUUAGUGAGAAACCGGUUCUAAAGCUUACGGGUUGAUUCCCCAGGUUGUUGGAUUAUGUGACUUAGGUCGUCAGUGUUCAGGGCCCGGACAUAAGUCCCUUGUAAAUUGGCCCAAAAAGCAUCCUCAAGUUCUUCCCAACUUCCAAUGGAAUUUUCUGGGAGGCUUUUCAGCCAGUGUCGAGUUGGUCCUUUCAGCUUGAGGGGUAAGUAUUUGAUGGCGUGGAGAUCAUCUCCCCGAGCCAUGUGGAUGUGAAGAAUAAAGUCUUCUAUCCAGACUGCCGGAUCCGUCGUUCCAUCAUAUGCCUUGAUGUUUACGGGUUUAAAUCCUUCUGGAAAUUCGUGAUCCUGCACCUCAACGGUGAAGCACAGGGGAUGAGCGGCACCCCUGUAUUUGACUGUGUCGUCGCGUGGGUUCGACGGUUGUGAUGCUCGGCAUUGACUCUAAACUGCUAUAUGACCAGCAUAUUUGGUUUGAUAGCCACAAUCCCGUGUGGGGGCACGGUCCAUAGAUUCGUAGAUGGAUCUGGCUUUACUGGCCUUUUUGUCCAGGUCCUCACGUAGAUCGUGUUUCUGGUCUUGAGCCGCAACCUCCCUUCCUUUACGGGGAGGGGGUGCAGGCUUGUGUACGGCAUUGCUAGCCGCUCUGUCUCGACCACGAGGUGGUCGGUCCGGCUUGUCGGCCGUAUUGUUUUUCGGUGGUAUAGGCGCAAUAGCCUCGUCGUCGAAUUCGGGCAAUAUUACGCUUAGGAUAGCCCCUUGUUUGGCGAUUGCAGCCAUAUUUUUCCUCGGCGUCUAGCACUUCGUUCCAUCUGUUAUUGAGCGUAUCCUGAGUGACUUUAAGCCACUGCUCCUGCUUCUUUAGGCUCCUUGCGGUGGCGAUAAGCCUUUGAUGGAGGCGUACUUGUUCUAAGGGUUCUUCUGGGACGACGAAUUCGUCGUCGCCCAAGCUGACUCCUCUUCGGAGAUAGGUUGGUAAUUGCUAUCUUUGGCAUCGCUACGAUCAGACAACAUCGCCGGACUGUGCUCGCCGUCUUCUCACGCAUCCUGCUCCAACGCUGGGUCUGCGGGGUCCUUAGUUUGGUUCGGAUUAUCAUCGUCGUCAGUGACAAUGUUGCUGUUUUUCCUUCUGCCGGAUCAAGGUCGGUGCUUCUGACACCGACGCUUGGAGGUUCAUCGACAGGCAUACUGUUAUCGUCGUCGGCCUCCUUCUCUUUAGGUGUGUCCACCAUGUAUAUAUUGUAUGAGGAUGUAGCCGUCCACCACCCUAUGGGUGGUGGUUUUUGUGCCUGCUCCUCUCCGACAUCGUCGUCCAUACCGUCGAUGUCCUCGGAGCCAUAAUCGAGCGUGUCGGUUAAGUCUUCGACAGUGGCAAUGAAGUGGGUGGUGGGUGGGAAGCGAAACUCCCCGUCAUCAGAUUCCCAUUCAAGCCGGAAAUAGUUCGGCUGAGAUUCUCCUGAUAAGGAGAGGGCUCUUAAUGAGCUCAGCACAUCACCAAAAGGUGAGUGCCGGAAGAUGUCCGUGAAGCUGAACUCAAUGAUCGGCGCCCGAUCAGGUUCGAUGGGCACGGAUGCACGUGGUUCGGGACCUAUGGCCGGAGAUGAAUCUGAGGUUCCGAUAACACAGGGCCCACUUGAGGUUGGAUCUGUGUGCGGCUCUAUCGCCGCUGAGUUUGCGCCUUCCGUAGCGGGGUUGAGCAUCCCGUCCUCGGAUGGCGCGAUCUGCUCCGGAUCUAGGGCCAGAGCAAUUGUAGGUGUUAUCUCCUGAGCACGGUCCGAUGACAGAUUUAGGUUAUGUUCAUCGUGGUGACAGGGAGCGGCCGUCAUGGGCUCGAAUCUAUCGAAAAUCAAAUCUCCGCGGAUAUCCGCCACAUAAUUCAGGCUUCCAAAUCUGACCCGAUGGCCAGGGGCGUAGCUAUCGAUCUGCUCCAGAUGGCCAAGCGAGUUGGCUCGCAGUGCGAAGCCGCCAAAUACGAAGAUCUGUCCGGGGAGGAAAAUCUCCCCCUGGACUGCAUUGUUGUAGAUGAUUGAUGGGGCCAUCAAACCUUUUGAUGACAACGCAGCGGAACUCUCAAUGAAAGCACAAAUGUCAGUGUCAAAACCGGCGGAUCUCGGGUAGGGGGUCCCGAACUGUGCGUCUAAGGUCGAUGGUAACAGGAGAACGGGGACACGAUGUUUACCCUGGUUCGGGCCCUCUCUAUGGAGGUAAUACCCUACUUCCUGCUUGAUUGAUCUUGAUGAAUAUGAGUAUUACAAGAGUUGAUCUACCACGAGAUCGUAAUGGUUAAAACCCUAGAAGUCUAGCCUAUGGGAUUAUGAUUGUGUCCUAUGGACUAAACCCUCCGGUUUAUAUAGACCGGAGGGGGCUAGGGUUGUACAAAGUCGGUUACAGAGAAAGGAAUCUACAUGUCCGAAUCGCCAAGCUUGCCUUCCACGCAAAGGAGAGUCCCAUCCGGACACGGGAAGAAGUCUUUUGUCUUGUAUCUUCAUAGCCCGACAGUCCGGCCCAUUUAUAUAGUCCGGUCGUCCGAGGACCCCUUAAUCCAGGACUCCCUCAGAUAUCGUUCCAAAAAUCGUAUCGUGGUCACAAACGCUCUCCAUCUCCCUUUCGUAUCUUAUAUGCCAACCACACCGGCCACUCCCAGCCACACAUCCACUCCAUUGUAUCCCCCUCUCCUCAAGCUAUUUUUUUUAAUAAUACACUUUUUUAUUAAUUUUCAAAAAUAUUACAUCUAUAUUUAAAAAGAAAAAUUACAUCGGCGGCCUUCUAGUAGCCGACUGGAUCCAGUAAUCAAGGAGAAAGCCGAUUGGCACCCUGUCGGCUACAGGGUGGUCGAUUGGCCUCCUGUCGGCCAAGGGGUUGCCGACAGCCCUAUCGGCCGCUGGUUGUAGAUCUUGUCGGUUACCUAGUGGAUGGCAGGAACUAAUUGUAUUCCUGCGGAUUAGGUCUAAUUGGCUUCCCCUAAGCCGAUAGGUGCAUGCACCCAUAUUCUCCCACUAUGUUUCCCGCCAGUAUCUCCCGCCAUAUUUCCCGCUUUCUAGUUCCCGUCAUAUUUUUCUCGCUUUCUAGUUCUCGUCACAUUUUUUUGAUUUCUAGUUCCCGCCAUAUUUUCUCGCUUUCUAGUUCCCACCUAUAUCUCCCGCCAUAUUUCCCCACUUCCGAGUUCCCGCCUAUUUUUUCUUCUCAACCUAUAAAACACUCACGGCACUAUGGUGGGUAAGCAUUCUAGUGUAGUGCCUCGCGAAGAUGUCCAGGUAUCCUUUUGAUCAUAGUUUUCACCCUGGUAUGUCCAAAUGUCUUCUAUGUUUAGCCACCGAUUUUAGGUUGACAUAUGAACUCAUCAGUAGUGACACGCUACUGAAUGCGCUAGCUCACACGUAAGUAUGUGCGGGUGGAUUUCCAGGACCUUUCAGGAGAUACGGAAAGAACUUCUCAGGUUGCAUGGAAGAUGGAUGAAGAAACAAUCUAAGAGUGAAAAAUACCUAAAGGUUGCAGCAGAACAUACUUUUUUUUGGACGGCCGACCGCGAGGAUGAAGACGAUAUCUUCAUGCCAAGCACCAAGGCCAAGAGUACCACACCGUCGAAGGGCAAGAGUUGUGUAUCAUCGAAGGACAAGAGUUCUUCAUAGUCAAAGGGCAAGAGUUCUGCAUCGAGGAGAAGGACGAUGAUGACUUCAUGUCGUUUUUACGUUGUGUUUUAAGUUCAAUCCUACCGUUUAAUUCAGAUGUAGUUAUAUCCAGUUGUUUGUACUAUUUUAUUGUACGAGUAUGUUCUAUCUAAAUAUGAUGUUGUAGUUGGCGCACGACGUUGGAUAACAGAGUACUAAAAUAGAGGAGGCAUAUGUAUCAUGUUGGAAAUAUGCCCUAGACGCAAUAAUAAAGUGGUUAUUAUUAUAUUUCCUUGUUCAUGGUAAUCGUUUAUUAUCCAUGCUAUUAUUGUAUUGACUGUAAACUCAAAUACAUGCGUGGAUAUACAGACAACAACAUAUCCCAAGUGAGCCUCUACCGGACUAACUUGUUGAUCAAAGAUGGCUAUGGUUUCAUAGUCAUAGACAUGAGUUGUCAUUUGAUAAUGGGAUCACAUCAUUAGGAGAAUGAUGUGAUGAAAAAGACCCAAACUAGAAGCGUACCAUAUGAUCAUAUCAAGUUUAUUGCUAUCGUGUUCUGCAUGUCAAGUAUCUGUUCCUAUGACCAUGACAUCAUGCAACUCACUGACACCGAAGGAGUACCUUGUGUAUCAAACGUCGCAAAGUAAAUGGGUGACUAUAAAGAUGCUCUACAGGUAUCUCCGAGGGUGUCUGUUGAGUUGGCAUGGAUCAAGACUGGGAUUUAUCACUGUAUGACGGAGAGGUAUCCUAGGGCCCACUCGGUAAUACAGCAUCACAAUGAGCUUGCAAGCAAUGUGACUAAAGAGUUAGCCACAGGACCUUGUAUUAUCGAACGAGUAAGGAAACUUGACGGUAACGAGAUUGAACUAGGUAUGGAGAUACCAACGAUCGAAUCUCGGGCAAGUAACAUAUCGCCGGACAAAGGGAAUUGCAUACAGGAUUGACUGAAUCCUUGACAUCUGGUUCAACCGAUAAAGAUCUUCGUUGAAUAUGUAGGAACUAAUAUAGGCAUCCAGGUCCCGCUAUUGGUUAUUGACCGGAGAGGAGUCUCGAUCAUGUCCGCAUAUUCCCGAACUUGUAGGGUCGCACGCUUAACGUUCGAUAGCCUUAGGGUAGUAUUGAGAUAUUAAUAGUGGAAAGUACGGAGGUUGUUUGGAGAUCCGGAUGGGAUUCGGGACAUCAUGAGGAGCUUCAGAAUAGUCCUGAGGUAAAGAUUAAUAUAUGGAAAGUUGUUAUCGGGGUUCCAGAAAAAGUUCGAGUUUUUUCGAUAUUGUACCGGGAAGGUUCUGGAGUAGGGCCCACCGGCAUGGGGGACCCACAUGAACGUGGGUUGUGGGGAAAGUCCCCACGACCCUAGUCAAGGCGCACCAAAAUCCUCCCUUAAAAGGAAUAGUAUCAUAUCCCAACAUAUUAAUAGUUGAAACAGGAUCAAAGCUCUUCAAGGCANNNNNNNNNNNNNNNNNNNNNNNNNNNNNNNNNNNNNNNNNNNNNNNNNNNNNNNNNNNNNNNNNNNNNNNNNNNNNNNNNNNNNNNNNNNNNNNNNNNNNNNNNNNNNNNNNNNNNNNNNNNNNNNNNNNNNNNNNNNNNNNNNNNNNNNNNNNNNNNNNNNNNNNNNNNNNNNNNNNNNNNNNNNNNNNNNNNNNNNNNNNNNNNNNNNNNNNNNNNNNNNNNNNNNNNNNNNNNNNNNNNNNNNNNNNNNNNCAUCGCCCGACCCGAUGUCGGGCCUUAUGCAUUUGCCCGAAGAUCUUGAACCAAGGGUAGGAGGUCGGAGAUCUCCACGGCAACGCCUCCAAGGAGGGGAACGACGCCCGCGGGCGCCACCGCUGCCGGUUGGCAACAACCGGGCAGCUCUUCACCCGAAGCAUUUCGAACACCACCUCCACGCGCCGCAAUCCGCUGACCCGCUCGCCUCCCACACAGAAAUCACGCUGUCGCCAUACGGGAGCCACCACAUACCUUGCCGGCACCAUGCCGGGCUAGAUCCGGCUGCAACCGAAUCACCAUCUAGCCUCACCCAGAACCCCAGCCGCCUGCAGCCACUGAACAAAUGAAGCCGCCGGGCUAGCAAGCCGGCCAGAUUUGCAGCACCGCUCGGGAGGGGGCUGCCACCCUGCCCCAUCCCGCAGCGCGGAGCUGCCGGCCCAAAGCCCAGGCAGCUUGCAGUAGCCGCUGCACCGCCAAGAGGGCGCCGCUGAAUAGGCAGAAGCCGUCGGCUGCCACCCCAUCUGCUGGAUCCACACGCCAGGAGUCACCAAGCCGCCGCCAUCCGCUGGAUCCACAAUGGCAGGAGCUGCCAGAGCACCACCGAGACGCUGCUGAGCCGAGCACCACCAUCCCGUGCAGACCGCAGGCACCGCUCGUCGCCACGCUAGAUCCGCACCUGGCCGCGCACGCCCACAGCUCCGCGACGCCAAGGGAGAUGGCCGCCGCCAGCACCGCACGGCGAUGAGAAGAAGAAGAUGAUGUAUAUCCUAAGGAAGUCUAUCAAUAUUUUUGUUACUCAUGGAUCAAUGCAUUCUGGUCCUAUGCUUUAGAAAGGAAAAACAGUUUGAACCCCACAACGGUUAGGGUCACUUAUGCCGAAUAAUCCAAAAGUUCCAGGACAUCAGCAUCCACUCGACAAACAACUGCGGACAUUCUACUCGCCAAUGAUUCAACAACAUAUAUUAGCAUCUGCGCUGAUAAGAUUUAAGAUACAGCGCGAUGAAAUUACGAGAUGAGACAGACUCUGUUGUUGGAAUUUGUAUACAGCCGAAACUGCAGCAACAUCUACAGUAGUGCGCAAAGCUUGACUGCCGGUGUGUGUAGCUGAAAGAAACAAGGGCACGUACCUCUACACACGAGGUGAUGAAGGACGUCUCCAGAGGGGAUCGCAGUGGUUGAAGCUUCUUCAGUUUCGUCGGACUUGAAUUUCUACUCUGAAAUGAACCACCAUAUCUGCAUCCCUGACUUUCUUAUGGGCGCAAAAUGAGAUUGUGUGAACGAUAACCACAACUUGACAAGGAAAACACCUCUGCUAACCUCAUUAACUCAACUGAAAAUACGUAUUUCUGAACACUCCCUGAACUUGCUUUUACAGAUUACAAAAAUUCCUCUGCUAACCUCAUUAACUCAACUUGUAAUAAUGCACUCGUAUUUCCCAACUCCUGAAUCACUGUAAUGAUUACCACUACCAUCCAGGACCAGUCACGCAAAAGUACCUGCUAGUUUACUUAGGUAACUGAAAUUGUCAGGGAACUCCAUGAACCAUCCCCACUUGCUUGCAUCUGCUACACUUUACCCUACUGUGGAUCUCUUGUCCAGCAAUACCACAGCAUUUUCUAGGGAAGCAGUUACCCACAACAAUUGUGGUACAGGAGGCCUUUCAUGCAAGGCUUCCUAUACACUCACGACUUCCCUUCAGGGAACGCAAGUAAAACACCGACCUUGUACAGCUUGCCACCACAUUGUGUGACGAUUCGGUAUUCGACUAGACAAUCUGUGCAACUUCUACUCGCUUCAUUCACUGCUACUCAAUGUAAAAUAUUAGGAGACCAUGACAGUUCUAAUGCAAAGGAUACAGAGGAGCUAACUGCAGUCCCCUCCACAUUUUCUCAUCCGGGCUUGGGACCGGCAAAGGCAGUGUUAAACUACUCCUACUUAAACACAGAAAACAGCCAACACUACAAACAAUUACAUUCAGCUAAAGCAUACAAGCCACGCAAUCAACCAAAGGUAGCAUUGGCACACGAUUGGCAAUAAAGUAUUCACGCAACAUUUUUGGAAGAUCAUAACACAGACAUGAGGCACAAACAAAGAAUGCCAUAAAUUCCAGAACCUGAAUGGACUAAUGUAUCUAGUGGGAUGAGCGUGAUUCAAAACUUUGCACAGAGAAAGCUUUGCAAGAUUUAGCCAUUAUAAAGGGUCAGAGGACCGUAAGAUGUGUAGACAGAUACUUCUGUGUCCUUAAAAUCUACAUAUAGGAUUUAUUAUGUAGUAUGAAACAGAAUGGGUUUGUCUAAGUUUCUAGUUAAGAAUAUGCAAUCGGCAGGAAUCAUCAAAUUAGUACUUCUGCUAGUUGCCAACUAAUUUAAAACUAGGAAGUAGGCAGAAAACUAAGAAUAUGUAAUUGAAGAGAAUGUGUGGUUCAAGAUUCAGAGCAGUUCACCGGCAAAGAAGGUCAAUUAGCCAUUAGAGGAUGUGUGAACGCUAUGAAUUAUAGAUUUAAGAAUAAGUAAUGGAAGAUUCCAUAAUCCAGAUCAAAUUAGCAGUUUGCGUAAAGAGAUCAAAUUAGCCAUUGGAGGACCGUAGAGAUGUGUGAGCGCUUUGUGACUUUAAAUCCAGGAUGAAGUACAAAACAAACUGCCAUAUGUUGAAAGUAAUCAGCAGGAUUCAUCCUCAAAUUAGCCAGUGUGUUCAGGAAUCAUCAAAUUAGCCAGACUGUUCUGCUAGGUGUCAAUUUAACCAAACCGAGAAGAUGCAUUGAAGAAUCCAGAUCUCACUGGAGAAGUACCAAUGAGAAUAACAUCACUUCUGAAAAUCAACUCCAUACCAACAAAGCAGAAUCAUAUUCAGUGAACAUGUUCAGGGCAAAAUAUUUGUUCAAGCUUCCAAGCUCAGAAACUUCCAACUAUCCAAAGUUUUAGUAUAUAUAGCAAUAACUCCUAAACCUCUUUCUGCAUACCCAACUACAGGAGGCCAACCAACACAAGUGCGAGCGUGGGAUCUUUCUUUAUCACCAAAGUAAAAAAUAUGAGCACACCAAAAGUUGAUUUUGUGUCAUAAGAUGAACCUAAACAACGUGUAUAUAUAUAAAAUUAUAUACAUAAACAAACCAAGUGCAAUCAUGGACAACAGUAUGUAGAACAAAUCCAAGUAUGACCAAUUCAUAUAUAUAUAUAUGCAUUAACAUUUUUACUGCAUUCAGAGCUCAUGUACAUACGAUCUUUACUUCCUAUUGGGUGAUAAAUUUGCAAGUCGAAAGAUACAAGCAGCCAAAUAUCAAAACCAAACUUCCUGAAACAGUAUGGUAACCAGGUAAUUUAUAGUCAAAUCAAACUUCGAUAAUCUUCUAUACAAACUGAGUACGAACUGAUAUUUCCAUUUCGGACCCUUGUUUGAGACUUCUAGCAUUUUCUUGAUUCAAGCAGAAGAUGAGAUCAUAUUCCAUCCAAACCACAUGCAAGUUGAAGAAGAUACCGUAACCAGUAAGAUGGCAGAACAGAAACCAAGUAAGAUGCUUCAGGACAGUUGAAAGAAUCAGAUGUGCACACUACCAACUCCAAGCUGCACCAAAGAUAUGAGGCCACUGAAUGCAAGUUCAAACUGAAAACUACCACAAAGACCAUAUCAUUAUGCUUCAGGAUCACUAAUCAGAAGUCAAAACCAUCAGGGAAGCCCGUUUGCUUUCACCAAGUCCCAGCGCUGACUGACUACCCAACUCUACAAUCUUGCAAUAAAAACUUCAAUAAUGCAAAUCAAUGAACGGCCCAAAUGACAGGCAUACUUAUAGUUUCUUCAAGGAAAAUCAGACCAUAAUAAAAUCUGGGAAAUCAGUUGAAACAAGCAUCGAGUCCAGGUUUAAGUUUUUAUUUUGUGGUCGAGGAAGAUUCCUCCAUCCAGAACGAAGCUCCCAAACAGCCAUCAGACAAACAUAAAUCAAGGAACUAAGGUAUAGCCACUCAAAUCUGACGUCACCAAGCACAGAUGAGGAAUCCAGCAAAUCAAUGUGACCAAACAUGGGAAACUGACCUGCCUCAAGUACCCUUCACCAUAUGUUCACACACCAUAUGAAGCUUCAUUUCCAGACCAGAUCGAGAUCCAGUCCUGCAAGCUAAAUUGUAGAGACCAUAACAAAUUAAACAAACAGACUGUCUACAAGAAUCUGACCUGACUCCAUGUACAGAGCGGUUUGGGCCCAAACUCCUAACUAUUAUAUCUUGCCAACCCACACUCACAGAAGACCUAGAGAGCACAGGGAUCAAGAGUACAGAUAACAACCAUGGGGAGCUAGUCACUGCCCACAUGGCCUGGGCUAAAGAACAAUCUGCAACCAUAGGAAGGGCAGGGGCAAAAACCUAUAUCAAAGCGAUGGCCAAGUAACUAAUAAAUGAAAUAAAGAAAAUAGGAAGGUAAGAGUCUUCUUCGGUUGUAGGAUGUGCCAUUAGUUGAAAGCUCUGGAUUAUCCUUAUAUUUGUUUUGCAUAUGAAUCUGUAUUUAAAAUAUUGUCUUAUAAGAUAAUUUAUAGGUUAUAUAAGACGAUACUAGUAGAUUUAGAAAAUCAGUAGAUGGAUUUACCGGGUUGGAAAGGAGUUCUUCAACUACAACCUGCAGCGAGCAAGAGGCCUUUUCUAUAAAUUUUUGGUUAGGGGAAAUGCUGCUUAUAUAUAAAUAGCUAAAGCAUGGAUAAAACGAUGAGCGGGAACAAGUAAAAGCCUGUCUAGGGUCAGGUAUGGAUGAUGGACGACAACAACGCCAGUUCCAAACUGCAGAUUCCUUUCCAAGUCGGUAUCUGCAAGAGCUGAGAAUUACCAAGGCAAAGAAAACCUAAGGUCUAGAGAGUUCAAUUAUAGAGUAAAAAGGUUGAAAAGUUUUAGCCAUAGAAGGAACUGCCACGAUGCAAAAUAGGACCGCCUUCUAAGGCGUAUUAUUCCAAUUUCUGGAGAGCCACCAACAAAUAGUUCAAAUUAGAAUUGUGGGAAACCAAAACAGAACAGUGGAGACGAAAGAGCAAAACAGAGGGAGUGAUAAUUAUCCAAACGCAAAGCAGAGCAAGAUGUGUCUCUCCGCUAAGCCAUAUAAUUCCAAUUUCUGGAGAACCAACAUAUCCAAAAAUAUCCUGCGGCCCAGACUUCCUAAAUAUAUCCUGCAACUGAUAACACGCAGAAGACCAGCACAGGGAUCAAGAGUACAAACAACAAAUCCAUCCAGAAAGAGAGAUAGACCGCAAACCAAAUGAUUUAACAGAUUCCGACUCACAACCAGCAUGGUUUGGGCUCAAUCUGCAAACACCAAAGGGAGGGUAGAAAGAAAAACAUAAAUUAAAGACACAAGCAAGUAGCUACGUGAAACAAAAAAGUAAGAGGUGGGUUAAAAUAGUCUUUUUCAUUGUAGGAUGUUCCAUUAGUUUGAUUCUCCUUUGUUGAACCUUUGCAGAUCUGUAUUCAAAAUAUUUCCUGGUAAGAUGAUUUUAAAGGUUAUCUAAGUUAUGAUGACUUGAGGAAAUAGUAGAUUUAGAAGAACUGCAAACAGAUUCAACUCAGCACCAGGUUCGACUUGAGUUCAUCAACUACGACCUGCAACAAGGAAGAUACCUUUCUAUAAGAUAGGAGGAAAACUAGGCUCAGCUAAAGCAUGCAUCAAAUGCUGAGGUGAAGGUUAAGUAAGAGGUAAAGGGUAAGUAAGCCUGUCUCGGCCACGAAGGUCAGAUAGACAACACUGGUUCCAAUUAUUUCGGUUCCAAGCCAGCAUCUGCAAGAGCCAAGAAUUACCAAGGAAGGCUAAGAAACAAAUAUCUAGAAAGUUCAAUUAUCAAGGGAGGACAAAAGGUCAGAUAUGUUGGGCCACAGAAAGAACCGCCAUGCUGAGGAAACAUAGGAUCACCCGCUAAGCCGUAUAAUUCCAAUUUCUGGAGAACCAGCAACAAAUCUAAAUCAGAAUUGUUGGACAACUAAUUGAGCUGAGAAGAAAUUAAGCAGAGAGUAAUGAUCAUCCAAACGCAGGUCAGCAAGAAGAUAGGUCACUCCCGCUAAGCCAUAUAAUCCCAAUAUUUGGACAACCAGCAACAGAUCCAAAUCAAACUGUGGGGGACUAAAGUUGAAUUGUGCAGAGACUUAAAUAUAGGGGGUUCAUAAUCAUCCAAACACUGAUCAACAAGAAGAUAGGUUGCUCCUGCUAAACCUUGUUAAGCUCAAUUUCUGGAAAACCACAAAUGGAUUCAGAACUGCCAAGGACUAAAUUGUACUGCACAGACCAAAUAAAUUGAAUCGAGAUGAAAUUCAUUAUCCAAAUGCAGAUCACAAGUUUCAGGUUGGCAAGAAUCCUAAGCUUCAUUAUCCAAUCAAUCAAAACGACAAACAGAAACCAAACCUCCACCCUAUGAUUCAUCUGUGCAGAACUACUACACUCCUGCAUCUGCUGCAAGCAAAGGAGCACAAACACACACCAAGAGUGCGAUCAGCUGCUACAAUAAGAAUCUACCAGGACCUCCAAUCCACCUCAUAUUAGCUGAUGAUGCGUGAUGAGAACCAGAAGACCACACCGGCGAUAGCCAUUUAAAUCUGACCUGCUCAAAUCCCCUUCCGACAUACAACAUCAUAGGGAUCUCCACAUUCCAGAUCCAAUCCUGCAACCAAUGUGUGGAGGAACACAACUAAACCAAACAAACCGUUGAUAGAACACUGACCUGACUCACUGUAAAGAGAUUUGCCCAUAAGCACAAACUUCCUAAAUAUGGCCUGCAGUCGACAGGAUAAGUGUACAGAUAACAAAUUGAAACGCAUAGAGAUAGAUUGCAAACCAAACGAUUUUAACAGAUUUCGACUCACUGCCAACACUCUCUGGGCUAAAAUAAAUCUGCAAUCACAGGGGCAGAAGCAAAAAAGCCUAAAUCAAAGGCAUGAACAAAGUAGCUACGUGAUAUAAAGAAAAAGAGGCAAGAGUUAAAAAUGGAGGAGUCUCUUUUUUGUUUGUAGGUUUUGCCAAGUUUGAAGCUCCAUUCGUGAACCUUUGAGAUAAAUCUGAAUUCAAAAUAUUGCCUAGUGAGAAGAUCUUAAAGGUUAUCUAAGUAAUAAUGAAUUGAUUAGAUUUAGAAAGAACUGCAAACAGAUUCAACUCAGCAUCAGGUUGGACUUGCAUUCGUCAAACCUGCAACGAGCAAGAUACGUCUCUGUAAAUUAGGGGGAAACUAGGCUCAACUGAAGCAUGCUUCAAACGAGGAAGAGGUAAAUGCUAUAUGAGGAAGUUGGGCUGGGAAGGUCAGGUAGACAGCACAACACCGAUUCAAAUUAUAUCCCUUCCAAGAUGGUGUCUGCAAGAGCUGAGAAUGACAAACUAAGGCAGAGAAACUUGUCUGGUAUGUUCCAAUUAUAUUAUUGACGAGUAAGAAAAUGUCGAGCCACAGAAGAACCGCCGUGACGAGGGAAAAUAGGGCCACCCGCUAAGCCGUAUAAUUCCAAUAUCUGGAGUACCAGCAACAAAUACAAAAUCCAAAUCAGAAUUGUGUGUUGUGUGAAGACUAACUGAACUGUGGAGAAAAGAAAAUGAACAGAAAGGGAAUGAUCGUCCAAACACAGGUGAGGAAGAUGACAAGUCGCUCCCGCUAAGCCGUAUAAUCCCAACUUCUGGACAACCAUCAACAAAUCUAAAUCAAAACCGACUAAGAUUGAACUGUGUAGAUGGAGGAAUUAAAUAGAGGGGGCAAUUAAUCAUCCAAACGCAGAUGUUGCUCCCGGCUCCUGCUAUGCUGUGUAAUCCAAAUUAUAAUUCCUGGAGAACCAACGAAUUCAGAUCAGAAUUGCCGUUGACUAGUGUGCAGACCAAGAAACUAAAAUUGGGAGGGAUUUAUAAAUAUUAAACGCGGAUCGCAGGUUCAGGUUGGUAAGAGAUCCUAAGCUUCAUCACCCGAGAAGAUCUGACCAUAUCAGGACAGCCGCUGAACCUCAACCAAUGAAUCAAAAUAAUCAUGAGAAGAGAUCAAACCUCCACCUCUGUAGAACUAGCGCACCCUCUGGCUUCCUCUGCAUCUACAUAGGGUGAGAGGACAAAGACAUACCAAAACCGAGAUCAGCCGGUACAACAAGAAUCCUCCACGAGGGCCUCGAAUUAACACACCCCGCACUAACGGAUGACACGGAAUAAACCACAGCCCUCGGGGAACCAGAAGAUCACACGGGCCAUAUUCAUUUCAAAUCUGGAAUCACGGACGAACGCAGGUGACGGAACCAAGGAAGCGAUCUGAACGAGCACGGGAAACUGACCUUGCCUCGGCCUCCGGCUCCAUAAUUAAGCCCCAAUUCCAAAAACCACGCACGAUCCUUCAACCUGCACGCGCGGAUGCGAACACGACGAGAAACACAUGAUCCACAGUUGCAAACAGAAGCGGACACGCGAAACAGAUUCUGAGAUAGACUCGCAAACCAAACGGAUGAAUCCCCCGAUCGAUCGCUUCCCGAACUCGCACGGAAGCGGAGGAGAGACAAGUCGUCGAAUUCGAAUCCCCUGCGAGCACAUCAAGGCAACGGCGACGGCGGGUGAAUGAAAUAAAAUCAGACGCGACGAAUCGUCACGAGGAAAAGAGAAAUUGGAAGGGGAAGGAAACAGUCGCUCAAACGCGAGGAGGCGCGGCACGUCACGAACGAGAAAGGUCGGAGGAGAGACGGGGCCGGAGCGCGGGGAGGAGAGGGCGCACCUGGGCGCGUUUUAUAGCCGGCGCGGGAGGGGGAGCCGGCCUG